AUCGCAAGACGAAAGAAGAGGUAUAGUUUUCCAACCGGAAGAAGAAUUGGUGCAGAGGCAGCUAAAGAGCUCUAAAGCAUUGGCUUGCCCCUCGGUAGCUCUCUAGAUAGCUUCUAUGCCUUUCGGUUUCAAACUAAACGGAGGAGGUAACUCAAAUUGGAAGAGGAGUGGAAGUAGCUCAACCAGCGCUAGAAGGAAUCUUUAAUUUGGAAUAAUCUUCGGCUAAGAUUUCGUCGGGAAAAGGUCGUCGGCGAUAACUUUAGCCGACAAAAAAAAGAAGACGUCGUCGGCUAUAAUCCCACAGUUUAGCCGACGAAAAACAUGUCGUCGGUUUUUUUCCCAUACUUUAGCCGACGAUAUUCGUCGGCUAAAGUGUGUAAUAAAUAAUAAAAAAAAUAACCAUAGCCGAUGAAAUAUAGUCUGUUUCGUCGGCUAAACCUUAUAAAAAAAUUAAAAAAAUAACUAUAGCCGACGAAAGUAUUUAAAUAUCGUCGGCUAAAAUAUUUAAAUAUCGUCGGCUAAAGUUGCUGGUUUUUGAAAAAAAAAAACUGCAGAAACUUUCGGCCACUCCCAAUCACCACCAAAAUUUGACAGAAUCUUCCUCUCAACAUUUCGAACAACUUUUUAGAAGAAGUCGAAGCCCAAUUCUAAGCCUAAACAGGUCAAUUGAAUCAAAAUAUAAAAAUCCCCAAUUUUAAACCCUAAAAACUUCAAACCUUCGAUUCUCCUCACACACACCGAAUCGAGCAACCAAAUUCUAGGGGAAUGUAGUCCUAAUCAAACUCAACUUAUCCAUAUAUAGAACUCACCAAAUGGUGACCUGAGGAAGGAGAAAUUUGAUCGACACCGAAUCCGAACCGGCGGGAAUUUUGGAGCUCGAUUUAUCCCUCACGGCAGCGCCACUCGAUGCACCACCUGUCCAGCAAUGAAGUAGAGACGACGGCGAAGCUUUUGGGACAAGUGUGGCGGUCUCCAGUGGCUUGACGGCUGAGCUAGGCCGAGAAGAACUUUUUCUGGUUUUCUGACUUCUUACAAUCCACCUCCGGUAAAACUCCUAUAUAAAGAACUUUACCCGACGAAAUUCUUUAUUUUUGUCAGCUAAACACUUUUGAAAAUUUUGGUUGACGGCCAAAAAAUUUUGGUUGAAAAUUUUGAAAGUUUUGAAAUUUUUUGACAAUAGCCGACGACUUUUCAUAUAUUUUCGUCGGCUAAAGUCCUUUGAAAAUUUUCGUCCAAAUUUGGUUUACCGCCAAAAAAAUUUUGACCUUAGCAGACGACUUUUUUAAUAUCUCAUCGGCUAAAGUCUAUAAAUUCACGAAAACGCUCAUAUCUCCCUCUAUAUUACGUAGUUUGGUCAAACCUUCCACACGAAAAACUUUCAUGUAGAUGAGACCCAACCGCCUAUAUAAAAAUUUUGAGACAUUUACCUUCCGACGAUAGGGCUCUCCACAAGGAAUAAUAACGGUAAAUAGGGUUGACCGCUACUAUCGGCACCGAGACGUUACCCGAUUUACGUGCUUUUUGAACCAUAGCCGUAUUUCACCAUUCUGAACACAUCUUAUUUUACGAGAUUUUUGAUAAUUUUGCUUCCUAUGUAGAGUUGGUUCACAAAGUUGUAUAACCUUCUAAACAAGUUAUACAACAUUAGUAGACAGGUUGUGAUUCCGAUGACUAAAAUUCACAAACCAAAAUUCGACUGUCAGAUAUGAUCAUUAUGACGAAAGAUGUCUAUGGUAAAAAAUACAACUGGAUCCGACAACGUUAAGGGCUCGAUCGAAACGGUCAACCCUAAUCCAUCGUCACUUAUCACACGAAAACACUCAUAUCUCCCUCUAUAUUACAUAGUUGGUCAAACAUUCCACAUGAAAAACUCUCACGUAGAUGAGACGCAACUGCCCAUAUAAAAAUUUUGAGACAUUUACCUUCCGACGAUAGGGCUCCCCAUAAGGAAUAAUAACGGUAAAUAGGGUUGACCGCUACUAUCGGCACCGAGACGUUACCCAGUUUACGUGAUUUUUAAACCAUAGCCAUAUUUCAUCAUUCUGAACACAUCUUAUUUCACAAGAUUUUUGAUAAUUUUGCUUCCUAUGUUGUAUAACCUACUAAACAAGUCAUACAACAUUAGUAGACACGUCGUGAUUCCGAUGACUAAAAUUCACAAACCAAAAUUCGAUCGUCAGAUAUGAUCAUUAUGAUGAAAUAUUUCUGUGGUAAAAAAUUCAACUGGAUUCGACAACGUUAAGGGCUCGAUCGAAACAGUCAACUCUAAUCGGAAAUAAGAAAACUGCAUUUUGAAGCCCUAAACGGACUCGGAUGGCCAAAAAGGCCCAUAUGUCAUGGCAUAGCGAUGAGUUUGACUCGUAGGGCCGUUCGUAGGGCCGUUACGCUUCUGGAAAGGUAUCACAAUAGUCAAUCGGACACCGAAUGCCAAAUCUGCAGCAUAGUAAAUACCGGGUUUCGACUGUUCUACAUCAGAGACGUUACCCGAUUUACGUGAUUUUUGAACCAUAGCCGUAUUUCACCGUUCUGAACACAUCUUAUUUCAUGAGAUUUUUGUUAAUUUUGCUUCUAUGUAGAGUUGGUUCACAAAGUUGUGUAUUUGUUUAAAACCUACUAAGCAAGUUAUACAACAUUUUAAUGUUUUUCUUUUAGCCGACGACUUUUUUCGAUAAUAGCCGACGAGAGUUUUUUUCGUCUACUAAAAUAUUUUAGCCGACGAGUAAAAACUUUGGCCGACGAAGGAAAACAUUGGCUGACGAAAAAAAAAUUUCGUCGGCUAUUCGUCGGCUAAAGUAUCGUAUAGCCGACGAAAAAAUUUCUUCAACCAACGAAAAUUUAAAUUAGCCGACGAAAAAAUAAUUCGUCGGCCUGGUUUUUUUAUUUUCGUCGGCUAAAGCCUUUCUUCUAGUAGUGAAGAGUGCCUUCUCGAUGAAGUAUCGAUCAUUCUUCACCAUGACGAGAUAGCCCUAGUGUCGGCUUACCGGAUGUAUGCUAGAGACGGGACCCGUCAUGCCUAGUGGAAUGGUUUACGAGGUAGUUGCUUAAGUAACCAAAACAUAGGAGAGGCCUGAUGCAAAACACCCCAGCCCAAAUUAAAGAUCAGGAAAAGGCAGCUCCAUGAGAACAGGUCUAAAAAGCACAAACGUCAUCCCUAACCCGUGCAACUCUUGUGCAGUCGUGUAGGUAUGCCACCAUUCCGCAAUGUCGUGACCCGAGCCACAUAAUGACGUCAUUGCCACGGCUGAUCCAAAGAUCAACGAUGCUAUGCCGCGACUCAGACCCGCAUAACCAAGAGCAAUGCCAACAUAUAGAUCCGGGAAACUACACCACCGCUCAUGACGCAAGCCUCCCUACACAAGCAAAACCAUCUUGCCAAUGACGUACAAGACCUUGAAACUCCUUGAGCCUCAGCCUCCAAACCAAACCUUACGCUAGAAGCCCUUCUCUGAACUCUCUCAGCGCCUAUUUUGCAGAUACUCGUCUAACAACAGCCCAUGAGCGAAAAAGUGAAAUUCUUAACGAUUUCGUGCUCUGCCGGACAAGCCAAAAUUCGCAAACUCUAGAUCCAAAGAAGUCAGACUUUUUUUAUUCUUAAAGAAGUAUUACGCCAUUUUUAUGGGUCAGUAGCAUUAAGAUAAAUGCAAAUAUAUAAGUACAUGAUCCUCAUUAGUUUACUAAUCCUUCGUAGAGUUAAGAAAUCAUUAUAUAUAUACACACACACCUUAUAAGAGUGUUAAAAGACCUAAUCAUAACAUCCUCGUGGUUGUACACAUCAAUGACCAUAAUAUAAUGAAGAAAAUAAAUACUAACAAAAGUAAUAAGAUAAAAUGACAACAAUAAACUAAUACACAUUCACACGUUCAAUAAGCUCCUUCCUUUUCAAACAGAGAUAGCUAGUAUUAGCUGUUCAACUCUUCAUCUGCCCUCAUUUGCAUUCUCCGUUCUCCGGUUGCUCAAUGCUUUGAACCACCUCUUCCCACUCAGAAUUCUCACAUGCAUUUCUCUGCUCUCGCAGGAAAAUAUAGCCCCAAAUCGACUGGAGACCUUUGGAGCAGUCGGCAGCUUGCGGGACGACGACUUCUUCAGUUUACCUCCGGCUUCGGUGUGUCGUGCGGGGUAGUCUCUGACAUGAGCUUCUUCAUAAGAUAUGUACUUCUAGGAAGCCCUUCUAGUGAGGAUCUUUAAGUUGAGGACUUGGUGAGGACUUUUCGGUUUAUCCUACCUUUUGAUCUUAUAUACACAUCUUAACCGUUGAGUUUAUAAAUAUUUAUGAGUAGAUCAUUUCUCUAAAUUUUCAGCUAUAUUAAAAAUUGUUAAGGCAUUCAUAAGUGUGAUUUAUCAAUUAUGAACUUGAACGGUUCAUAUUUGACAGAUUUAGUUCGUCUAUUAAUUUGAUCUAGUUUGUUAUCUUAAUGAAUACAAAUUUUGCUGAAAAUUUAUAGACAUGAUCUGUUCAUAUAAACUCAAAAACUGAACGGAUGAGAUGUCAAAAUGUGAUUGAAAAAUGGGUCUUUUAAACCAUAAACCGAAAAGUCUUCAACUAGUUUUUAACUUAGUUCUCAACUUAAAAGUCCUCACUAAAAGGGUUUGAUGUAAUUUUAUAUAAUUAAUUAAUUUAACAAAGAAAGCAUGCUGAAUGCUACCCGUUUAUCUUUUGGGUAAAGGUAAUUUUGAGUGCGCCAAGACCAACUAAAUAACACACGAUAUGGGGCCAGUGCAAUACAUAUAUAAUUUUGGAUGUCAAGGCUUCUACGGUUCUACCUAGCUUGCUCAAAUGGAAAGUGUAAAAGAAAACAUGCAAACAAUUUAAGGCAAGUAGGUGUUAGGCGAUCUACACCGCUCCUUGUAUCGGAAAGGAGGGCACCAUGGAAAUGUGGUUUCAGAAAUCUGGUUGUGUAACUUCAACUUCGAGCAGUGAAAAAGGGGAAUUUUGUGAUGUAUCAAAGACCCAAUUCAUACAGUAGCUUACCGCACACUGGUAAGAAAUGGUUUAACCACUGCACGAAAGGGGUGUCCUCAUUGUAUUAGUACGUUUGGUGUAAUGUAGACUCGCCGACGUUCAAAGCUAAAAUCUACAAAAUCGAACUUCAAUUAUAUGGCUCUCUUCAUUUGUUUUCUCCAUCCAAAUGUUGGCUUUCCUCAACGAACUGUCCCACCAUCUGCAUCUGCAGCUCCAUUUGCAUCUGUUCCUUUACCAACACCUUAUUUGUAUCUGAAAAGGAUUUAAGGUUUAGCUUGAUCAGCAAUUGGAGCCACAAAGUUGAAGUGGAAUCAAGGCUGACAUCUAUCAUCUUUCACGUUCAAUAUCUAUUCAAAAAAGUAAUGAGAGCUCACUAGCCCUCAAAGUCUCAAACUCAGUGGCAUACACAAGCAGCCACUAUAGCAAGAGACAAUAUAUAAUAUGCCAACUCCCCUCCUCGCUAUUAUGCUUUCAUGUGUCCAUGUGUGUUUCACCUUCUAACAAAUUUUCAGCGCAUGCCCUACCAAUAUCUGAAAAUCUUCCAUUAUCUAACACCAUCUUAUUUAAUGGCCCUAUGUAUGGCUACCAAUUUAUAUAUGUCCAGUUGAUUAUCUACCAUCAUGGUUGUCAUGUUACCCCUUUAAGAAAAGGAUAGAGUUUCCACAGUCCCUCCACAAAUCAACCCUUGAAUUCUCUUCAAAAUUAUCAUUUUCUCUGAUCUCCAAUGACUGCGAUCAACACUCCUAAAAUGUUCUCCAGUCUUCAACGAUUGCACGAGUUCUUGACUUGUUAUGAAUCACAAUGAGAGUGGAAGAGAAGACAAACAUUGUCAGGCUCUUUCUGUAAAUUCUGUUUACCAGUAUGGUCUUCAUCAAAACCAUUUUCUUUCUUCUGUUCCAGCAUUUUGUUAUAACAUCUUGUAAUGCAGUUAUAGGUCAUCACCACACUCCUCAUCACUCUUUAUUAAGAGAUAAGGCUGCUCUUCUACAGCUCAAGAAGGCCAUUACAUAUGAUCCAAAUUCCACUCUAGCUAAUUGGAAUGAAGGUACUGAUGUUUGCAACUUCACCGGUGUAGGCUGCAACAAACAGCGUCAUCGUGUAACUGAACUCCUUCUGCAUGAUCAUAAGCUUGUAGGGAAGCUUUCACCUAUCAUUUCAAAUCUAACCGGCCUUCGUUACUUGGAGCUUGUAGGCAAUCACUUUUACGGAACUCUCCCUCCUGAAAUUUCCUUGCUCAGACGCCUGCAUCAUUUACGGAUUGAGGGGAACAACUUUCCUGGUUCUAUACCAGAUUCCUUAGUCCUUCCUUCACAACUCACUGUUGUUACUCUUUUGCAAAACAAUUUCUCUGGUGCAGUUCCACCUGCACUCUUCUCCAACUGCUCUGUCUUAAGGGUUUUGGAUAUUUCCAACAACUUUCUUUCAGGAAAAAUUCCAAGAGAAAUCGGGAAUUGUCCAAACCUAUGGACCCUCAAUUUAUACAACAAUCAAUUCACUGGAGAAAUUCCUUUCUCUUUGACUAAUACCUCGUUGGUCAAUCUAGACGUCGAGUUCAAUCAUCUUUCUGGUGAAUUGCCCGUCAAACUUGUGGAGAACUUGCCUCACAUUCUGUAUCUUCACUUGUCAAACAAUGACAUGGUAAGCCAUGAUGGAAACACCAAUCUCGAUCCAUUCUUCACUGCCCUUGCAAAUUGCACUAGUCUAGAGGAGCUUGAACUGGCGAGUAUGGGACUCGGAGGAACAUUACCUAGUUCCAUUGGAGGACUUGGUGUCAACUUUACAAAUCUGUUGCUGCAAGAAAACCAACUGAUUGGAUCAGUUCCUUCAAAUAUAGGUAACAUAUCUAAGCUUGUGGUCCUGAAUUUGACCUCCAAUCUUAUGAAUGGAACAAUUUCAGCAAACAUAAGUCACUUGUCACACUUGGAACAGCUUUUCUUAUCUCACAACUUUUUCACCAGCACCAUACCAGAAGCACUUGGCCAUCUUCCUCACCUAGGCCUGCUUGAUCUGUCUCAUAAUUCGUUCUUCGGAAAUAUUCCAAGCAGUCUAGGAAAUUUAGCCAGGCUGAAUUAUCUGUUCCUCAACAACAACCUCCUAUCUGGAACCAUCCCUCCCGCAUUAGGACGCUGCACAGAACUGUACAGGCUUGACUUAUCAUUCAACAGAUUGGCAGGGUUAAUCCCCCCGGAAUUAUCAGGUUUGAGUGAGAUCAGAAUUUUCAUAAACCUCUCACACAAUCAUCUUGAAGGGUCUAUACCGAUUGAGCUCAGCAAGCUAGAAGAUGUUCAAGAGAUGGAUCUCUCAUCAAAUAACCUGAGUGGGAGUAUCUUUCCACAGAUAUCAAGCUGUAUCGCAUUGACUCUGAUAAACUUCUCACACAAUGCUUUGGAAGGGAGCCUCCCAGAUUCCAUAGGUGAGCUAAAGAACCUUGUGUCUUUUGAUGUUUCAGAUAACCACCUGUCCGGAAAGAUUCCGAUGAGCCUCAACAAGAGUCGGACACUCACAUAUCUAAAUCUUUCAUAUAAUGACUUCGAAGGAAAGGUUCCUUAUGGUGGCAUAUUUGAAUUAGUGUCAGAUACCUCUUUCUUGGGCAACAAGCAUCUUUGUGGAAAACUUGCUGCGAAACAUGUUUGCCCUCGGACAAAGCAUUUGUUUCGUUCUCGUAUAUUCUUAAUAAUAUUCGUCAUAGUGAUAUUCAUUUCAACAUCCUUAUCAAUCAUAUGUUGUGUGAUUGCGUUCCGCCGCGUUAAGGUAUUGGUUUCACCCCAGAAGGCUGCAACUGUAAAGAAGCCAACACAACCUGAAGUGAUUCUGAAUUUCCCAAGAGUUACAUACCGAGAUUUGUCAGAGGCCACCGGUGGAUUUGAUGAUCAGAGACUGAUUGGGACGGGGAGCUAUGGACGAGUCUACAGGGGAGUUCUUCCAGAUGGGACAACCAUAGCAGUCAAGGUGUUACAUUUACAAUCUGGAAAUUCAACAAAGAGUUUUAACAGAGAAUGCCAAGUCUUAAGGAGAAUAAGGCACAGGAAUCUUAUAAGGAUCAUAACAGCGUGCAGUCUACCAGAUUUCAAGGCUAUUGUUCUUCCUUAUAUGGCAAAUGGUAGCUUGGAUAGUCGUCUCUAUCCACAUUCACAGGCCGGUCUAGGUUCAGGCUCUUCUGAUCUGAGUCUCAUUCAGAGGGUCAAUAUUUGUAGUGACAUUGCGGAAGGGAUGGCCUAUCUUCAUCAUUACUCUCCGGUCAGAGUUAUACACUGUGACCUGAAACCAAGCAAUGUUCUUCUCAACGAUGACAUGACUGCUUUAGUUUCUGACUUUGGGAUUGCAAGAUUAGUGAUAGCCGGAGGAGCAGGAGGAGGAAAUGCAGCUGGUCUUGAGAACAUGGGGAACUCUACUGCUAAUAUAUUAUGUGGAUCUAUUGGAUACAUAGCACCAGGUAAAGAACUAUCCCUCCUCUCUCUAAGCAUUGUAAACCAAACAUACUUAUCAAAACAAGCAAUGCAAUCCAAGUACUUAAUGGGGUCCAAAAUGCAGCUGCAUGAUAACCACGUACCAUUUCUUUUUUUUCUCCAUUGAUAAAGUUAUCAUACACUCAAUUUCUUGUAUGCAGAGUAUGGGUUUGGAUCAAGCACAUCUACAAAAGGCGAUGUAUACAGCUUCGGAGUUCUGGUUCUAGAAAUGGUGACAAGAAAAAGGCCAAUAGAUGACAUGUUUGUUGGGGGACUAAGCCUGCACAGCUGGGUAAAGAACCAUUAUCAUGGAAGGAUUGACAAAGUGGUCGACUCUUCCUUGUUGAGAGCUUCUAGAGAUCAGUCACCUGAGGUGAAAAAGAUGUGGGAUGUUGCCAUAGAAGAAAUGAUAGAGUUGGGUAUUCUUUGCACUCAAGAGUCCCCUUCGACUAGGCCUACAAUGGUCGAUGCUGCAGAUGAUUUGGAUCGGCUGAAGAGAUAUCUUGGUGGGGAUACUACUGCGACAUUUGCCUCUUCAUUAGGAAUUUCUUCAUCUACCAUAGACGACGACUAGCAUCAAAACUUGUAACUUCUGUACAAAAAUGGAGAUGCUGUGUCAUUUACUUUUAUCACGAAUAUUAACUUAUGACGACUGCGUAAAAUUAUCUUGCAAACUGCAUAGAAUCUAGGGGUGUGCAUAAAGCCCGUUGGAGAGAAAAAGCCCGAUCCGGACCGGCCGGCUCGACCGGGUCGGGCCGGGCUUUUUACUGGUCCCUAUUAUGUUUAUUGGCGGUACGGGCCAGGCCCGUUUAUAACCGGUCCGGGCCUGGGCCUUGUUUUUGGAAACGAAAAAAUGCCCGAAAGCCCGACUAAUAUACAUGUCAUACUUCUAUUGGGUGUUUCUAAGGAUCUACGAUAAUAGAAUGAGCUCAACCACACAGGAUUUGUGGUCAAACACCUAACUAAAUUGAGAGGGUCAAAAUCUCUCAGAGUCUCAAUCUCGCUCUCGCACUCUCGCUCUCGCACACUCGCGCUCGCACACUCUCGCUGUCUCAGACUCUCUCAGUCUCGCACAGUCGCACCCUCGCACACACACUACUUCACCAGAAAGCAGCUNNNNNNNNNNNNNNNNNNNNUCUCUCUCUCUCUCUCUCUCUCUCUCUCUCUCUCUCUCUCUCUUCGUAGUUCUUAUUCGCUAUUCUGAAUUUGAGAUUGGCUUUGAUUCUAAUCUGGGUUCUUGUUUCUUGUUUUGAUCGACUCUUCUGGAGAAGAUGAUUUACAGAAAGUAAGGCUCUUCCUGGAAUUAGGGUUUCGUUGCUCUUCGGCCUCUUCCUGGUUCGAGUUUUCCAACGAGUUCUCUUGGUAUGGUUUCCUUCCUCUUUUCCGACGAAUUUUCCUUUAUUUUCUCAGUUUAUAUAGAUGGUGAUGGUGAUUGAAGUUUAGAUUGAAGUUUAUUGACUUUAGUUGAACUAUUGAAGUGUUUCUCUGCCCUUGACUGGUUUUGUUAAAGUGUUGAAUGACUUGAAUCUGUGUAGUUGGUUUUGCUUUUUUGGUUUUAAACUGUGAGUAAUCACUAUAAUUGUGAUUUUGUUAAUAAUUGUGAACUGUGAGUAUAUGGAUAUGUGAAUAAUUGUGAUUUUGUGCACUAUGAGUUUGUAUCUUCAUGACUUCAUUGUUGUUUGGUUGCAACAAAGGGUUUAGUCUAAACUCUAAACUCUAAACCGUUUAGAUGUCGACGUCCUCUUCAUCAUAUGGCUGCUAUUCAAUCGAUUCUGAUUCAGAGACUGAGUAUUACGAGUCAAGCAAAGAAAUUGAAGUACCAGCUAAGACCAGGGAUGAUUUGGUUGCAGCAGAGGCUGAGAACAAGGAGACAGAACCAGAAGCUCCAAUUGUAGUUGAAGCUCCAACAGCAACUGAGGUUUCGCGGGGUGCACCGAGAAAAAGAAGAAGAGGUUCUUUUUCAACUCAGCCUAAGGUUUCUAAACUGACUUCAUAUGUGUGGGAGAACUUUACGAAGUAUGACAGAGAGCUCUUUACUACUCGAGAUGGGAAGAAAGUAAAAGCAGGGCAUGAGAAGCGUGCACUAUGCAUGCAUUGUGGCGCUAACCUCAAAGCGGAUUCUUCCUUUAAUGGUACGAGCACUUUGCGCAGGCAUAUUCAGAAAGUAUGCAAGAAGUAUGCUGGUAGGGAAAGUAUAGAUGACGGACAAGCUGUGAUUGUUGGGGAUGGUGAAGCCGAUCCUGAAAUGGAACUCCAGAAAGUGUGGACCAAUGACCGUUGUGUGCAAGCUGCUUGUGAGAUGAUAAUGAUCGAUGAGCUGCUGUUUAGCCAUGUUGAGAAUGAAGGGUUUAGGCAUUUUUGCAAGGUAGCUGUCCCGCAAUUCACUCCACCAUCUAUGAGAAUAGUAGUAAGGUACUUCUGGAAGUUGUAUGAUGAGAAGAAAUAGAAGCUUAAGAAGGUGUUAAGUAGUCAGAGGUUGUGCUUAACGACAGAUACUUGGACUUCAAUUCAGAACAUCAACUAUAUGGUGUUAACGACGCACUUUAUAGAUGAUGGUUGGAAUUUGCACAAGAGGAUCAUCAACUUUUGUAUGAUUCCCAAUCACAAAGGCACAACAAUAGGCAAGAUUUUAGAAUCUUGUUUGCUACGUUGGAGGAUAGAGAAGGUGUUGACUAUCUUGGUCGAUAAUGCAAGUGCAAAUAAGGUGGCGAUAGAGUAUCUUUGAGGGAAAAUGGCUGCAUGGAAAGACCCCCCGGUGUUUGGAGGAAAGCACCUUCAUGUGAGGUGUUUGGCUCACAUCUUGAACAUCAUAGCGAAGGUUGGUUUGUCCUUAAUGGAUAAAAGUUGUCAACCAAUUAGGAAUGCAGUCAAGUUUAUUAGAAGUAGUUCUAAUCAAUGUUUUAAAAGGCUAAGGCGUAGCCGAGGCUAUGGAGCGAGAGCCUCACCAAGGCGUAAGCCUUGAGGCGUAAGGCGUAAGCCUUUUGAAANNNNNNNNNNNNNNNNNNNNNNNNNNNNNNNNNNNNNNNNNNNNNNNNNNNNNNNNNNNNNNNNNNNNNNNNNNNNNNNNNNNNNNNNNNNNNNNNNNNNNNNNNNNNNNNNNNNNNNNNNNNNNNNNNNNNNNNNNNNNNNNNNNNNNNNNNNNNNNNNNNNNNNNNNNNNNNNNNNNNNNNNNNNNNNNNNNNNNNNNNNNNNNNNNNNNNNNNNNNNNNNNNNNNNNNNNNNNNNNNNNNNNNNNNNNNNNNNNNNNNNNNNNNNNNNNNNNNNNNNNNNNNNNNNNNNNNNNNNNNNNNNNNNNNNNNNNNNNNNNNNNNNNNNNNNNNNNNNNNNNNNNNNNNNNNNNNNNNNNNNNNNNNNNNNNNNNNNNNNNNNNNNNNNNNNNNNNNNNNNNNNNNNNNNNNNNNNNNNNNNNNNNNNNNNNNNNNNNNNNNNNNNNNNNNNNNNNNNNNNNNNNNNNNNNNNNNNNNNNNNNNNNNNNNNNNNNNNNNNNNNNNNNNNNNNNNNNNNNNNNNNNNNNNNNNNNNNNNNNNNNNNNNNNNNNNNNNNNNNNNNNNNNNNNNNNNNNNNNNNNNNNNNNNNNNNNNNNNNNNNNNNNNNNNNNNNNNNNNNNNNNNNNNNNNNNNNNNNNNNNNNNNNNNNNNNNNNNNNNNNNNNNNNNNNNNNNNNNNNNNNNNNNNNNNNNNNNNNNNNNNNNNNNNNNNNNNNNNNNNNNNNNNNNNNNNNNNNNNNNNNNNNNNNNNNNNNNNNNNNNNNNNNNNNNNNNNNNNNNNNNNNNNNNNNNNNNNNNNNNNNNNNNNNNNNNNNNNNNNNNNNNNNNNNNNNNNNNNNNNNNNNNNNNNNNNNNNNNNNNNNNNNNNNNNNNNNNNNNNNNNNNNNNNNNNNNNNNNNNNNNNNNNNNNNNNNNNNNNNNNNNNNNNNNNNNNNNNNNNNNNNNNNNNNNNNNNNNNNNNNNNNNNNNNNNNNNNNNNNNNNNNNNNNNNNNNNNNNNNNNNNNNNNNNNNNNNNNNNNNNNNNNNNNNNNNNNNNNNNNNNNNNNNNNNNNNNNNNNNNNNNNNNNNNNNNNNNNNNNNNNNNNNNNNNNNNNNNNNNNNNNNNNNNNNNNNNNNNNNNNNNNNNNNNNNNNNNNNNNNNNNNNNNNNNNNNNNNNNNNNNNNNNNNNNNNNNNNNNNNNNNNNNNNNNNNNNNNNNNNNNNNNNNNNNNNNNNNNNNNNNNNNNNNNNNNNNNNNNNNNNNNNNNNNNNNNNNNNNNNNNNNNNNNNNNNNNNNNNNNNNNNNNNNNNNNNNNNNNNNNNNNNNNNNNNNNNNNNNNNNNNNNNNNNNNNNNNNNNNNNNNNNNNNNNNNNNNNNNNNNNNNNNNNNNNNNNNNNNNNNNNNNNNNNNNNNNNNNNNNNNNNNNNNNNNNNNNNNNNNNNNNNNNNNNNNNNNNNNNNNNNNNNNNNNNNNNNNNNNNNNNNNNNNNNNNNNNNNNNNNNNNNNNNNNNNNNNNNNNNNNNNNNNNNNNNNNNNNNNNNNNNNNNNNNNNNNNNNNNNNNNNNNNNNNNNNNNNNNNNNNNNNNNNNNNNNNNNNNNNNNNNNNNNNNNNNNNNNNNNNNNNNNNNNNNNNNNNNNNNNNNNNNNNNNNNNNNNNNNNNNNNNNNNNNNNNNNNNNNNNNNNNNNNNNNNNNNNNNNNNNNNNNNNNNNNNNNNNNNNNNNNNNNNNNNNNNNNNNNNNNNNNNNNNNNNNNNNNNNNNNNNNNNNNNNNNNNNNNNNNNNNNNNNNNNNNNNNNNNNNNNNNNNNNNNNNNNNNNNNNNNNNNNNNNNNNNNNNNNNNNNNNNNNNNNNNNNNNNNNNNNNNNNNNNNNNNNNNNNNNNNNNNNNNNNNNNNNNNNNNNNNNNNNNNNNNNNNNNNNNNNNNNNNNNNNNNNNNNNNNNNNNNNNNNNNNNNNNNNNNNNNNNNNNNNNNNNNNNNNNNNNNNNNNNNNNNNNNNNNNNNNNNNNNNNNNNNNNNNNNNNNNNNNNNNNNNNNNNNNNNNNNNNNNNNNNNNNNNNNNNNNNNNNNNNNNNNNNNNNNNNNNNNNNNNNNNNNNNNNNNNNNNNNNNNNNNNNNNNNNNNNNNNNNNNNNNNNNNNNNNNNNNNNNNNNNNNNNNNNNNNNNNNNNNNNNNNNNNNNNNNNNNNNNNNNNNNNNNNNNNNNNNNNNNNNNNNNNNNNNNNNNNNNNNNNNNNNNNNNNNNNNNNNNNNNNNNNNNNNNNNNNNNNNNNNNNNNNNNNNNNNNNNNNNNNNNNNNNNNNNNNNNNNNNNNNNNNNNNNNNNNNNNNNNNNNNNNNNNNNNNNNNNNNNNNNNNNNNNNNNNNNNNNNNNNNNNNNNNNNNNNNNNNNNNNNNNNNNNNNNNNNNNNNNNNNNNNNNNNNNNNNNNNNNNNNNNNNNNNNNNNNNNNNNNNNNNNNNNNNNNNNNNNNNNNNNNNNNNNNNNNNNNNNNNNNNNNNNNNNNNNNNNNNNNNNNNNNNNNNNNNNNNNNNNNNNNNNNNNNNNNNNNNNNNNNNNNNNNNNNNNNNNUGCCACCGGUAUUUUUCAGAUCACAAAAUGCACACAGAAAAUAUGUCAAGUGACCAGGAAUUGGUUUAGUCCAUUGCCAAGCAAAAUCUUUCUUUUGUGUCCCAUCACUAGAACUCAUUGUGCUGCCUACAACACACGUACACACCAUUAACAAAGGCAAUCUAUACUUAGACAAAACCAGCACACCAUUUACAGGCAGCUUCUUGUAAAUGCUGCCUGCAACACACCAUGACAAAAGCAACCUCUCUUUAGACAAAACCAACACACCAUUUACAGGCAGCUUCCUGUAAAUGCUGCCUGCAACACACCAUUAACAAAGAUAAUCUAUACUUAGACAAAUUCACAAAACCAACACAGAGUUGUGAGCAUUUACAGGAAGCUUGCUCUAAUGAGUCCAAUCUAUACUUAGAUAAUCAGAGCACAAUGUUGCAUCAUAUACUAAGAAAACACAAUUCACAACACUGACAAGUGACAACAGUCCAAUUGAAUCAGAAAUUCAGAGGAAGAGGUGCGUACUGCACUACUGCAUACCUCAAAUUAGAGGUGAGUUGGUGACUGCAAUGCGAGGCUUAGGAGGAAGAAGACAACGACAACGAAGAGGCGGUGGUCGACUGGUCAGAUGGUCGGAAUCCUGGUGGUGGUCGAUGGUAUGGUCGAUGGUCGGAUGGUUUGUGCCUCUGUGGUGGUCGCGAUUCGCGAACUGGGGGAAUCUUGGUGGUGGUUGAUUGUGUGUCUGUCUUCGAGAGGAAGAGGGAGAGGGGUGUUCGAGAGGAAGAGGGAGAGGGAGAGGGAGAGGGAGGAGGGAGAUCGGGAGCAGGGAGCAGGGAAGGAGGGCGAAAUACAGAGGGAGGCGCACAACCCCCAGCUUAUGCGAAAUACUUACCCAAAACGACCCCGUUUUUAGUUGCUUCAACUAGGCGCACGCCUUAUGCGCCUUAGGGUGCGUUUUUUGCGCCUUAUGCGCCUUAGGGGUGCGUUUUUUGCGCCUCUGCGCCUAACCUGCAAAACACAAUGAAAUUUUCCUGCGCCUCACGCCUUUUAAGCCUCAAGGCGCGCCUGAGGCGCGUUUUUUAAAACAUUGGUUCUAAUAGAUUGGACGUGUUCAAGGUGUGCAUGGGGAAGGAGAAAUUAGAAGGGAACAAAGACACUGAAAAAAUACUGGCACUUGUUCUUCCAACAAGAUGGAAUUCUACCUUUUUAAUGCUGGACAUAGCUUUAGAUAUGAGGCCAGCUUUUGAAAGGAUGGCUGCGAAGGAAAUGAACAAGUAUAGAAGAUAUUUUGAUGAAGAAGAUGAGCUCGAUGAGGAAGAAGAACAAGAGUAUGUUCCGGUGACACCAAGAACAAGAAGAAUAAGAGUUGGACCACCACAAGAUGAGGAUUGGGAAAAGGCUGAAAUAAUUGUGUUGAUCUUGAGGGUUUUUCAUGAUGUGACAAUGAGGAUGAGUAUGACUAAACACCCCACCGCUCAUAAAGCAUUUUAUGACAUUGUAGCAAUAGAAGGGGAGAUUAAUGCACUUUUUGUGCCUACUGCUGGAACUAGAAGUGAAGUUUCAUUGCUGAUGUUGAAGAUGGCAGAAAAGAUGCUUGCCAAGUUUAGAAAAUAUUUUGGACGCAUUGAAGACAUGAAUCAGUUGUUGUUGGUUGCAUUGGUAUUGGAUCUUAGGUUCAAGCUGAAGAACAUAUCUCAUACUUACCUACAAGUACUCCAUUAUUCACCUAAGGAAGCAAAAGCCAAGGCCGACUCUGUUAAGGAGCUCUUGGCAUCCUUAACUGACAUCUAUAGAACAUCAACCAAUGUAUCAACCAAUGACAAUACAUCUUUUAAGAGCAGCAUUGUAGCAAGUGUCAUUUCCAGCAGCACAAAAGAAACAACCUCAUCUUUCAAGUCGAAGAGAAACAGGGUUGUGAAGAUGUCAGGGAAAAUGGCUGACUUAUUGGAAGGUAGUACCAACCGUGUGUUCUGUUUUUGUUAAAAUUUGUUUAUGGCUGUUCUUCAUUUCUUCUUCAAUUUUGAACUUACUGUGUGUUUUGAGAGGUUGUACAUGUAAGUUUUGACUGUUUCAUAUGUGUUUUGUUGCAGGUUGGCCAAAGGCUUUAGCUAAAUCCAACGAAGUCGUUGUUGAGAGUGAGGUUGAUAGAUACUUGCUUGAUCCAAUCGAGUGUCCACCCAAGAAAGAAGCAGCUAAUUGGUGCCUGCUACAUUGGUGGAAGACAAAUGGCUACAAAUAUCCAAAUCUUGCUCAUUUAGCAAAGGAUGUACUUGCUAUCCAAGUUAGCACAGUCACAUCUGAGUCAUUUUUCUCUACUGGAGGUAGAGUGAUUGAUCCUUUUAGGAGUUCUUUGACUCCUAAAACAGUGGAAGCAUUGCUUUGCUUGCAAAAUUAGAUAAAGAAAAAAGAUCAAUCUGAAAUUGAAUAUUAUCCAAGCCAAGCAGAGAUUGAAUUUUAUGAAAAGAUGGAAAGAGGUAUGUACUGACAGUAUUGUCUAUUUGUGAUUUUAUGAUUUUGUCUUAAUAUUAUUUCAUUUGACUUGUUUGAUUGUUUCAUUAUUUCAAACUUUAUUGUAGCUGAGGCAAAGCGAAAGGCAAAAGAAAAGGCUGCAAAGGGAAAAGGAAAGGCUAAGCUAGUGGCUGUGGCAGAAAGUGAAGAUGACGAAGAUGAAGUUGCACAAUUUGUGGCAGCUAAGCCAACUAGAACCUCAAAGUCCUUGAAAGCUGCAAAAGUAGCUAAAACAAGUGCUAAUGCAACUCCAACAAUUCCAGCUGUUCUUAGUGUUGGAACCACCAAGUCCAAUCCUGCAAAAGUUCUUAGAAUGACUCUUGCAACAAAGAAAGCAAAAGGUAUACAUCAGUAUGUCUUAAUUGAAUCAAGUUCUUACUCCUCAAUCAAUCAUUAAUUUAUACUGCUAGCUUGAGCUUGAUGAGUUGAUGUAUGUGAGUUGGUUAUACGUGACUUUUGAUUUUGAAUGUGAGACUUUAUAACUUGAGUUAGCAGCUUUGUUAGGAUUUAGGAAUGAUGAAUGUGCUAAUUUCUAAACACUAAAGUAGCUUCAUCUAGGUUGGUCUGUGGAAUACUAUUGUUCUAUUUGUUCCAUACUUCCAUUUAUUCACUGUUACAUUCUUCAUUUCUUAUAGACUAAUAUUCAAUUAUUCUCUUAUAGGUAAAAGAUGAAGGGCAUGUCAGCAUAUGAAGUUAUGAACUCACAGCAUAGCAGCAGACUUGUCAAUGGCAGAUAACAGAUUGAUGCCAUGAUUUUGUUCAGCUAUUUUGAAUGUUUGAUUGCUUACUGAUUACUUAUUUUUAUUGUGAAUUGUUGGACUAUUGGUAUUGGAUACUUGCCUACUUAGUUCUCUUGGAGUUUUAUUUGUUGUUUAAAAUGACUUCUCUUGUUAAUUUGUUAGUGCUAGACUGAUGGUUUUAUUUAAAUUCAGUUGAGAUUUGAUUGCUUUGCUAGUUUUUGCUGUGCUUUUACUGCUUUGUGCCUUUGUUGAACACUUGAACAGUUGAACACUUGGUCAGUUGGUCUGGUUUUGCUAUUGCAGAUUUGCAAUUGAGUUGUCACUUGUCAGUUCACUCAGUUGUGUGCAUUGUGCAGUGUGUUGAAUUUUCAGUCUUUCACAUUUCAGUGAUUUCAUAGUAUAAAAAUGCAGAUUAUGCAGACAAGUAGAUUGCAUUGCAGAAAUGUAGAAUCAUUCAAAAAUCAGGUUAUCAGGCCUGCAAGCCCGACAGGACCGACCCUAUUUUUACCGGUCCGGGCUUUUACCGGGCUCUAAAAUUCUUGCACCGGUCAAGGCUUUUUCCGGGCCCUGAAUUUGAAACAAUAAAACCCAACCCGGUUAAAGUGUGUCCGGUCCGAGCCCGGGCCCAGUAAAAUAGGUGUCGGGCUCGGCCCGUGCCCAACCCUAAUAGAAUCUCUUGCGUUCUAAAUUAUGAAGGAUAAGAACAAGUAGCUAGUUGGAUCUGGAAGUGGUGUCCUCACUACACAAACAUAGCUAAAUUCUGCGAGUCCAAUUAGCAUAUCUUAUGCAACAAGUCAUCAUUCAUCGAUCAUAGGUGAUGAUUAAUUAGUACAAGAUUCUGAUAAACUGAAAUUUACAGUAACAACUUAGUAUAAACACAUGGCAUGUAUACAGUAUAUGGUAUCUCUAAGGUGAUAACAGAUAUGGAAGUAAAGCAAUCAGAACUAGUUUUCUGGUAUUCUCAUAACAAAACAGAAAUCGUAGCCAAACAAACCAUGCUAGCAUAAUUUUUCUAUCUUUUCUUUGCAGGAACAUAUUCUUAAUCAAUUAUCAAUGAUGAUUGGAAGCACUAUGCUGUGUGCUCUUCCCACCUAUAUAUGCGAAUGUGACGAUUAAGAUGAGUGGGUGAUGGCUCGUAGUCAUUAUUGUGAUCGAGCCUAAGAUAAGUAUGCAUGGUCUAAGACACCCAAGUUGCAGAAAAUGGCAUCUUAAUAAUUAGUUAAAGACUGAAAGAAUGAUAAGAAGCAACGAAAAGCAAAGCUAUGUAUAACUUGUUAGGGAUUUUUUUAUGUUUAAUAACCAGAAAAGCACACACCCUAACAUCAGCAAGCAUAUUUGCAAAACCUAUUAGCCUGACAUAGUAGAGAUCAUUAGUAUGAAAUAUACUGAACUGAUCAAAAACAGAGACCGUAAAAAGUGAAAGCCAUAAAAGGGCAUCAAAAGUGAAAACGAUCAUAAACAUAAUUAUUAGUAAUACAUGAUUGUGCUCAGUGACACAACCUACUAACCAGCUUUGUUGUCAUGGUGACCAAAAUGCCUCAGGCAUCAUACAAGUUCCUUUUAUCAACUAAACCGAAUGCAAAUGAUACAUUUUUUUGCACUUCCAGAAAGUCAUUGCGGACUCCAAAUUAUUAAUACAGUAAACACAAGCUGACAAAAAGAUUGCAGAUGAGUCUAAAAUGAUCGCUUUCUAUGAGUGCCAGUAGCACUGAGCUAUAUGAACAUUAAUAUGACCCGCUCUUGAAUCUGUCGGUUGCUUGUUGUGAUAUUCCCAAAUGUCAAUCAAAAAGUUUAGCGUAUCAUUUCCAUAAAUUAACAGAUGUGCUGUUUCCAGUGGCUUUCAGCAUAGAACUAAGGUGAUCACCAUCUCAAAUUCUCCGGCACGAAAUGACUGAACACAGAAGAUUUCAACCUACGGCAAUGCCAUACACAAUCACAUUGGGAUGAUGAACAGAAGAUUCUGUAAAAUAAUAGAACUUAACAAGCAGUGAACUCAAUCAAAUUCGAACAAGCUCACACUGAAUAUAUGUAAACAAAAUCAAAUUAAAAUAAUCCAUUCCAAAGAUGUGCGCGCAAGAAGACGAGUAAAACCCAACACAAUUAGACCUAAAACUUUCUGGAAUAACCAACUUCAAGCUAGAAUUUUUUUGGGAAGUAAUAACCGGAUGGUUUUUAUAGAUUUCAAUUAAUUUCCUUCAGAUUUGGGGUAUAUUUUCUUCCGAAUUUAUAAUAUAUUUCCCUUCACGAUCGUCGAUUGAGUGCUAUAUACAUUAACACCGGCCAUAAUGAGUGCUACACUGCUACAGUUGCGGUCUUGCGGAGAUGUCUUCCUAUCCUGUCCAGCAAAUUUCUGAAUUCUUGAUAUAAAGAGUUGAAAUUUGAAAACAAGUUUUUGGUACAAUGGUUCUAUGUUUCGAAUACACGAGAGUCCCUGAUCAUGAUCAUUCUCUUCGGUUUUUCGAUACAAUGGCCCAUCCGGUCAUGUCUAGGGUUAGGGUUAUUUUUUAAUGAUCAUAGUGUUAGGUGGCUUCCUCUAAACUCGAAAACUUCGUUAUCACCCCUAUGAAGGGUACGGUGUUUUGGACGUGUUUCGAAACAAUGGUAGAAAAUUUUUGAAUUCUCGAUAUCAAGAGUUGAAAUUUGAAAACAAGUUUCCAGCACAUGCAGACAAACAAAAGCUUCCUUGCUCGCUCAAGUUCUUUCUUAUAUCAACUGCAUCCAUUAGAUCUAAUAGAUGCAGUUGAUAUCAAGAAUCGCUCGAGUCAUGAAGCUUUUGUUUGUCUGCAUGUACUGGAGACUUGUUUUCAAAUUUCAUUUCUUGAUAUCGAGAAUUCAAAAAUUUGCUACCAUUGUUUCAAAACACAUCCAAAACACCGUACCCUUCAUAGGGGUUAUAAGAAAGUUUUCGAGUUUAGAGAAAGCCACAAAACACUAUGAGAUAACCCUAACCCUAUCUAUGUUAAUUGUAUCGAAAAAAAGAAGAGGAUGAUUUGUACAUGAUCAGGUACUCUCGUGUAUUUUGAAACAUAGGACCAUUGGAAUAUUAACUUCCGAAACAAUAAUAGGUCAGAUGUUGAUCUAUACAGGAGUUUAGCAAAGUUGGACCAGCAAUUACAUCCCAGUAUGAGAAAACUCCUAAUAUCUUCUCCUUCCUUUGGGGUAACGUAGUGAAAGCUAUAGGUUGAAAAGUGAGAUAUGUAGACAAGCGUCGCACCGAAUUUGAAAUCAAUAAGUGAGAUAAAUCUCUGUGUUUUUUGAAAUAUUAUUAAAUAGAGGGUGUCUUAUAUAGGCUCUAACUCCUAACUAAAUCAUAUUUAGAAUAGAAAUAAGAAAUAACAAAACCUAUUGGAAAGAAAUCCUUAUUGAAUCAUGUAUCAUAUUCGAAGCUUAUCAAGAAAAGGAAAAGUAAUCCUAGGAAUAAUAGGAAACUUAUACUUGCUUACAACGUUAGUUUUUCAGCUACUCCUCGAACUCUUCUACAAGUUGUUCUACAUCAUAUAUGGGGCCGGAGCCAGUACUUCCUGAGGCUCUUCAACUUUGAACAACCUUUGCAUUAGAUUGGUUUCUUAGUUUUCAUCUCUCCAUUUUGAGUCUUAGUUUUGUUCCAAUGACCCCUAGAAGGCCUUUCUUACUCCUCCUAAUAGUAACAAGGACUUCCACAAGCUCACCGCCAUGCCAAUAUGAAAUAAUGUAGGUAUCUUUGCCUACCUAGGUUUCAGCCACUUUUGCUUAAUCCACUCUCCUUGACACCACUUGCAUACACCACAGUCAUCCUAGUAAUUUGACAUCAAAGUGGGUCACUGGAUAUAACUAGUGAGAUCCGUUAUCGUGCUUUGGGUAACAUGAUGUAGUGUCAUGUCGAACCUCAAUACUAGUCAUGCUUGAGUGCCAGCCCAUUUGUCGAUCUCAUCUGUUUACUAUUUGUUGUUACCACUAGAAAAAAGAAAUUAACAUCAUUAAUGCAUGUAUCCAUAGCUUUUUUAAAAAUAAUUGGUCAACCCUUAUAUUAUCAGACGUUAGAGUACACAUAAUGAUCCGCCCAAUGGGGCUGACAAAAAAGCAUCCUUUCCAGCUAUUAAGCCCAUCCAGAAGAGCCCUCGCGCUUCCCGUCUUCCCGUGAAAUUUCAAAGGCACAAUAUUCUUUUACAUAGCUAAACCCUUAGUAAAAUAAUAUUCUUUUACAUCUGUGUAGUUAUAGUAAAAUUGUUAUGAGGGCAGCUAUUGGGAACUUCAAAAUUGUUCAAUUGACCUCACUUUAUUAUGAGUGUCGGUGAGUUGCGGUCUGGUUGAUUAAAGUGUUUAACUAACAACUUUGAGGUCAUGGGUUCAAACCAUUGACAUAUGUAGAGUGUGUGAGUUAUUUUAUAAAAAAAAUUAAAAAAUAAAAAAAAAAAAACCUCACUUUAUUAUGAUGAGUUAUUGAACGACUGAUAUAUCCUCUUACACAAUGACUAUUAAGGACAAUAAUUAUACCAAAAAAAUAAAAUAUUUGAUCUCUCUAGACUUUUUAAUUCAAUAAUAAUAUAAUUGAAUUCUUUAUUAUUUUUCUUAUAUAUUUUUAUUUUAUAAUUUUACUACAUAUUAUUAAAACAAUUAAAUAUCUAAUAAGAGCUAAAACUAUGAUCAAUGUCGAAAUUUAAACAAGGGGAAUAAAAAUUUAUAUUAUCAUACAUGUUGAAAAAUAUACAAGGUGAAGGAAUAUAUAUAUAUAAAUAUAUAUAUGUGUGUAAAAAAAUCGAUAAUGAAAAAACUAAAUAACUAUUGAAAUAAUCUAUCAUGAGUUACGUACAUAAAACAAAGGAAAAAAAAAAAGGAAUAUACAUAGAGAAAAAAUGGUUAUCCUUAAUCCUUGUUUAGCACAGGUAAAAUAGAAAAAAGGAAAACUAAUUCAUGUUAGAAAAUUUUCUUGUUGAUAAAAGUUUUCUUUCUGAAACCCAAUACCUUGUGUUAUUUGAUUUGCAAGAGAUUUAGGUUCUUAAUUUAAGGAAUGGAAUUAUAAUUGAAAUAUGUAGAGUGAAAACUAAAAAGUAAUUAAUUAUAAUGAGUGUAUUUUUAUUUUAGAGAUAAUGAGUUUUUGAUGAUCGAUAAGAACAAAAAAAUGAGGUCUAGCGAGUGAUAAUGUCACAUCCCGACUCUUAUAUUUUUACCUUAUUUACUAGCUGGUUUAUAAUAAGAAUUUUACCGUCUCCGUCAUUGAGUUAAUAGUUUAAUUGGUCCCUAGAGGGGUUUCGGGGACGAUUAUGUGCGGAGGAUUAUUCGUAAGAGGAAAAUAUGACGACGAUAAAAAUAGUAAAUUUUGAGCUAGUAAAAUGUAAUUUUUAUUCGGGUAUUAUUUUUCGGGGUGUUUUAUUUUUGAGUUGGGUUGAUAUAAGGUUGGACCGGUUGGGAGGCCCAACCCAUUUUUCCUCCCUUUCUCUUCUUCUCUCUUUUCUCUUCCUUCUCCCUCCCGUGCUCUCUCUCCGCCGGAAGCUCCCAGCCACCAGCUGCCGCCGUCCGGCCAGCCAGCUGCCACCGCUCCAUCCCAGUUCGGAGCCCCGCCACCUCCUCUCCCUCCCCGGCCUAGCCCCCGAGCCUCUAACCCGCAGGAAGAGGAGAAAUCCCGCCGGAGACGCCGGGAAGCAUUUCGCCGGAACUCCCUCCUCCGGCCACCAAUCCGGGCAAGUUUGGUACGGUUUUGUAGCCCUCCAACCCAGCAGCCUUGCCCUAAAAGGACUCUCCCUCUCUUGAGCUAGGUAAGGAGAAAUGUGGAGUUGAAAUUUAUAGGGCUUUUAGGUGUUUGUGUUCGAUUGCCCUAGUUAGGCUUGGAUUUUGGGUUUGUGCUGGUCAGGAAAGUUGUAGAGCAUGAUGAGGAGAUUAUUCUGUCAAAAUUUCAUAGGUUUUGGAGGUCGCCGGAAUUGGCCUCCGGCCGCCGUUGCCGGCGGAGCCGCCGCCGGUUGGGAGAUUUUUAUGUUUUUAAAUGUGGAAUAUUAAGGGGAGUUUAUUGAAGUGAGUUAUAGAAUUUUUGGAUGAGUUUUGGAUAGGUUUGUGAUUUUCCGAAGUUUGGUAUUUUUUGCGGUUAAUUAAUGUAGAAUCCGGCCGUAGGAUUUAAGUCAUAUUCUGUGGGAAGUUGUUGUUACGGCUGCCGGUAUGUUCGGCGAAGUUUGAGCCGUAUUGAGUUAAGAAUGGCGAAUUUGGGCAACGAUGAGUGUGUGGGAGGCUCACGUUUAAUUUUGCCCAUUUUGUUUAAAUAUUAGAUUUUUGGUGGGAAAUUAAUUAUAUAUUUGGAACAGGACGAGAGGAGGCCCGAGCAGAGGAAGCCUCGGAGCGUCAUCAGGCUUAAGCCUAAUUUGUGAGUGGACCUUAAUUUUAAUUGAAAAGCAUGCGAUGAAUUAUCUGUUGAUCAUUUAAUUCUUUUCCUGAGAUUUAUUUAUUUCUCGGAUAUUUGGCAAUUUUCCUCAUUUGGAGAGAUCCCGAAAAUGAGAUUUUCGGUGGAUAUGUUUAUUGGUUGUUUAUGAUGAUAGUAUGUAUAUGUAAAUGCUAGCUAGCCAUACGUGCUGAUCCGCCAUAAUGAGGUAAAAUACCAUUAUGGUGUGACGUGAGUGUUAGACACAAGCUUAAUUAGUAGCCCUAUAUGAAAACUAUUUUUUUUAUUUGGUUUAUUUAGGUUUUCAUAUAGGGAGUCCACACGUAUAUACACUCGUACUCUUUCCGCCAUACUGAGGUACAAUUCCAUUAUGGUGUGACGUGAGCGUUAGACGCAAGCGUAGUAGCCUUGUAUGAAUUUCUAUUUUUUUUCUAAUUUGUUCUUAGAAUUCAUACAAGGAGUCUGACGAGUGUAAAUACAUACACUUAUAUAUUUUUAUAUAUAAUUUAGCCUGAGAGGCUGUAUUUUAUUAAGUUUUGGAGACUAGCCGGUGCUGGUCGUGAAGUUGCCAGUUUUUGAGUUGAGCGCUUUUGAGCGAUUGCAUGCAGUAUUAUUUUAUUUGGAAAUUAAAUUGGAGAAGCAUAAAGAAAUAUUUUUAUUUAAUUUAUUUUUGUCCACUCACUCUAACUGUUCCACAUGUUUUCCCCUGGGCUCUUCGUUUUAAAUUGCCCAGUCUGCAGAGUUCAGGUUGGACCUAGUAGGAGACGAGGCAUAGUUACCCGCUUUUCCGCUAGUUUUCAUCAGUAGGUUACCUGUUUAACCUACUAGUGUUUUCUUGCUUCCGCUAGUGUCUAGUAGCUCUGAAUACUUUGGGAUUAUUAUAUAUUAUUCCGGUGGUGUGCUCGGUCGGUUGACUUUAUGUUUAGAAUUGCUGAAGAAUAUUAUUUGCUUUUAUUUAGCUGGAUAAUUGUGUGAUAUUUUUGGAAGUGCUGUAGUAAGUGUGUGAAUUGGAGAUUUUUCAGGUUAGGGUUGUCCAUCUUCAAGGGAGGUUUUACCAAUCUUUUCGGUAAAUUUUCCUUGGAGGUGGUCCCCGCACGACUUACUCCGGGUUUCAGGGUGAAAUUCGGGGUGGGUCGUGUCAGAUAAAAUGUGUAAUGAAUAAUAUAUUGAAAUAUAUGUGAAUUAUAUUUAGAAAUUUGAAUAGAAGUCUAGUGAGUAAAUGCUCGUAUUUAAAAGUAAUUGGAGGUGUAUAGAGCAUGAGAAGUAUACUGAGCAAAUUUAGAGGUCUCAAUAACCGUACUCAAUUAUUAUCUAACCUUAUAUCAUGUGCAUGAAAAUAAUCGACUAGUUAAGCGAAUUUAAGGCUGAAAUUGUUUGUUUCUUGUUGCAUUCGAAUGAAAUUAAAAGGUUCUAUAUCCACGUACAAUGCGGCCAAUCUCAUUGCAGUCAUCAUUAACACUAGACAAGGUUAAAAUCAACAUAGCACAUGUCACUUCUAAAAGUUACCCAAAUUAACCGAUUAACCAAUAAUUCUUCAUGACAAGCAUUUUAGCAAAGGAGGUAUCCAUGUAUAACAGCGAACCAGAGUAAGGAAUAAUGGCAGCUAAACAAUCCCUUUCUCGUCCAAUUUUAAUUUGAAAAGGCCCUCUUCACAUGAAUACAUACUUGACAACACCAACAAUGAUAUCAGAAAAUAUUCCUUCAUAAGGAAAGUGAUAUGAUUUCGGAAUAAUAUAUGAAGCCAUUUGCAAAAGGCUGCUCCUCUUUAACGCUAACAUUCCCGAGUUCAUUCUACACUCAUUUGGGAAUGGUAUUGUACCUAAUGUGUUUGAUGUGCCAGUUGCUUCACUUUUAUGAUUCUCUCAAGCUAGACUUAUAUGCCUGAGGCCCUAGCAUUUUAUUAGUCUCUCUCUAUCUAUCAAACCAAACUAGAUACCCCUACCCCCCCAACCCAUACCCCAAGCUUGAGAAAAUGAAGCGUAAAUUACUUGCAUGGUUGCUGUUGAUGAUCCUGUCUAGCUUGGCUAUCACAAAUGGCUCUUUCCAAUUGGAACAUUGUCAAGGUGAUGUUGGCCUCUCAAGGCUGCAAGGACAAGAAACUAUUCAUGGUAAGAAUCCAUCCAUUAUUUAUAUAAGUUUGUACUUUGUACUGAUUUUUCGAGGCAUAUAACUAUUCCAUUCAAAAUCUACCUAAACCUUGGGCGUGCUGUUGAAGGUGUACCGGGCACAGUGAGACUGAAUAGAUCAGAAGAAGAUGAUGGAAGCGGAAGCAGCAAAGAACAAGGAGAUUUAUUGGUUGCUUCAGAAAAGGGACAAAAAGGGAAAACAGGAGUUUAUGGUGGUGGAAAUUCUUCUCAUCGCCCGAAAAGUAGUGCAACACCCAGCCCUUAUCUCAUGGCCAAAACCAUGUUGCACGUAAUCUUCAGUUCGGUUCUGAUUCAUUCCUUCAAAUUACUCUAACAUGUUCCGAUCGAUUCGAAACACAGUCAUAUAUUCAGUGUGUGGUGUUUUAAUAAUGGUGACAGAUUGUUGAGUUUCCAUUUUGAGUGUCCUUGGUUGGAUCGACUCGAUCGGUCUUAUGAAGGCUUUUUCAUGUUUAUUAGGUGUAUGUUAGAAGAGUGAUUAUAUCUCACUUUAAUUAUAUUGAGGAAGCAGGACAUAUACAACUGGUUCCUGGAUUUUGCUAAUCAUAUAUUUUCCAUUACAUCAAAACGAUUGGUUGUAUGCUAUUGUAAUUUUAUGUACUCUCUCUCUCUCUCUCUCUCUCUCUCUCUCUCUCUCUCUCUUAGAGAAAGAAAACUAGUUAAAGGAUUGUGAAAAUGUUUUAUAAAGAAGCAGGACUUCAACACACUUUAUGUUUCACUAGAGAACUUCCUCACUGGAUCCGGAAGAACUCUAUCUGCAUUAUGCAGGACUACUGGACUACUAGCAUACACCAACUGAUCGAUUCCUCUGCUAACACAGUCAUCAUGAGUUCAUGACAAGAACCGAUUCAAAGUUUUACUUCCUCUUAGAAAAUUUUAUUAAAUAAAGAAGAUAUAACUUAAGAUGGGGACAUGGAGCCAAAAUCUCUUAGAAAAGAAAUAGCAAAACCAAAAGGCAACCAAAACAUGAAAAAGAAGAGUAGAGAGCUGAUCACAUCAAAGAUCAAGGCACACAACAGGAGUCCGAUUACGGGCAGGAUAAGGGUCUUGUGAAUCCUUUUUGGUCUUCAUUUUUUUUUUUUGAGACUUCGGGAGAGACUUGAGCAGAUUCUCAUCUUCCAAAAUUUCACCCUCAUCAUACCAGGAACUCAAAUGACUCACCCUAUCAAUUUGGGUAUAUGUAUGAUGACCAAAGGGUUCUUCAUUGUCUAAAUCACCCCAACAAAACUUGGUUUGAUGAACACUAGAUACUACCAAAGCAGAAUCUAUAUUAUUAUUGUCAAUCAAAAUUUCAUUUCGCUCUCUAAUUGUCUCUUGCUCAUCUACACCCCCUCUCUGCUCAGACACAAUCUGAGGGACAUGUGUUACUACCAUGUUUUGCUCAACACUAGUAGUAUUAUGAUUAUCCUCUAUUGUUUGCUGAAUAGUAGUAACCCCAGCGACCAUAGUGAGCAGCUCAUGCUCAACUAAAUCACCACCAGUACCACAUGGAUUCUCCAUUAGUUGUAUAUCAAUAGGAUUAGGAGAUGGAGACUUACCAGCAAAAGACGGACCUUCUUCAAGGUCGCAUCGCCGGAUGAGUAUUAUCCACCAUCACUUGCUUCCCAUUAUCUGAUUUUUCUGGUUGUUUUUGAACAAAAAUCUGCUUAGCUUUACGUCGUUGGUGCCCUGUCCACAUUAACCUCCUUGUCUAAUUUUAAUCCUAAAAGCCCUGUCCACAUUGAUGUGGAGUCUUUGAUGGUCAUGCUACUGGUAAACUUGACAAUAAUACCAACAAUUUCUUCCUCUAUAAGAAAAGUGAUAUACAUAUGGUUUUGGAAUAAUGCUGCCAUUAAUUUCCAAAAUGCUGCUGCUCUUGGAUAUAUGCAAUAUCAUUCCCCAGUUCCUUCUACACUCGUUUGGGAAUGGUAUUAUACCUAAAUUGUGAAUGAUAUGCCAGCUGCUUCACUUUUAUGAUUCCCUCAUCAUGUUAGAAAGUUAUGCUAGAGGCCCUAGCAUUUUAAAUUUUUAAUUGUCUGUCCCUAUCCUAUCAAAAUAAACUAGCUACUCCUACCCCUAGCUAUCCCAAACUUGAAAAAAUGAAGAGAAAAUUACUUGCAUGGUUGCUGUUGAUGAUCCUAUCAAGCUUGGCCAUCAGAAAUAGCUCUUUCCAAUUGGAACCUCAUCAAGGUGAUUUAAUUAACCUCUCAAGGCUACAAGGAAAAGAAACUAUCCAUGGUAAGAAUCACUCCAAACUUAUGUAAGUUUGUAGUUGUUUUUUGUGGCACAUACCCCUAUAAUUCCAUUCAUAAAUCUAACAGAAGCAGCCAACACAAUUGAAGGUGUAAGACUGAAUGAAUCAGAAGAAGAUUAUGGAAGAGGAAGCAACAAAGAACAAGGAGAUUUGGUUGUUUCAGAAAAGGGAAAAAGAGGGAAGACAGGAGUAUAUGGUGGUGGAAAUGUUGCUCAUCGCCCCCGUCAAGAGAAAAGUAGUGCAACACCCCGCCCUUAUCACAUUGCAAAAACCAUGUUGCACGUAAGCUUCAGUUUGGUUCUAAUGGUUCUUUCCUUAAAAUUUCUCUAAGAUGUUCUGAUCCAUUAGAAACAGGUCUAUAUAUAUACCGAGUGUGAUCAGCUUGUUGGGAAAUUUUCUCCUAGUUUCUUUUGGGGUGGUCUUUUGAUGAUGAGUUGAUGACACACAGUCGAGUUUGCAUUUGAGUGUCCUUAAUUGGAUCAACUCGAUCAUGGCAAGGCCUUUUCGUGUUUGUUAGGUACGUGUGUUUGAAGAUUGUUUAUAUCUCACUAGCUUCAUUCAUGAGUUCGCAGCACUGGCGUGUUGCUACUAGGUUACAUAUAUAGUGUGCAAGUUUUUGAAUAAUUGUCGUCGAUCAAAUGGUCCCUCGAUUUUUCUAUAUAUUCGUGUUAUCAUGUAUUUUCCAUUACUCAAAGAGAUUCGUUGUACUGUAAUAUUAUGUACUCUCUCCCGUCGAGAAUGAAAACUAGUUUGAAGCAAGUAUUGUGACUUGAGAAAAGGAUCAAAGGAGCAGGACUUCGACAUGCUCUGUGUUUUACCAAGAGAACUUCGAUUCCAUAGUGGGAGAACUCUAUCUGCAGAACUACUUGCAUGACACUGAUAGAUUAUUCUACUAAAGCAAUUCGCUUAUAAAAUUCAGACAAAUCGGACCAAAAUCUGACGAAUCAUGUAACAACUAAUACUACAACUGCUGUAGUGCUGUUGUCUAGCUUUAGCAAAAUGAUACUUAUUGUAAACCCAAUAUCAAUUAGUAGCGCAAAUGUUUUUUUCAGAGUCAUUAAUAUGUGUACAGCAUUUGUCCCACUUCGGGUUUCAACAAAAUGUGAACUCACAUAAGUAUCAUACUGAUUUGCACCCAGUACGAGGACUGAAGCACCAGGAGAGAAACAUAACCACUUCAGAAAAUGUUUGGCCAACCUGAAGAUGAGCGGCAGUGGUGGUUCAAACCGUACUAGAAUCCUUAGCCACUUUGUUCAUUAUAUGUCGUACAGCAGCUUCGAAAAUGAUUUCAUAUGUUCAGAUUGCAGGGAAAUGGCAACUGAUAAACUCCCAUCAUUAGUUGCACUUGGUAUUACGAAUGCCAACCCCUCGUAUCCAAUUCCACCUGGUCCCAUGAAAAUAGGUCGACCCCAACCAAAAUCAGCAUCAUGAAUUGGCAGCCUAACCCAACUAGUAAUCCCGAGAUUAGGACACCUAAAAGUAUGUGCCCCACGCACAAGGGCUGACAGAUCAGGCUGAAGCUCAAGGUAGUCAAGAGCAGAUCUAAGAUAAUCAUUGUCCAUUCGCACCAAAGCAUUGUGAAUCUUGCUUGCCGCAUACCAUGUUGGUUUUGAUUGGAGAUCCCCUGCUACAGCAAUAGGUGUGGCUGUGAAAAUCACAUUGCCAAAGUAACCAGGUGGGAGUGGGGGUUGCAGUCUGGACCUGCCAUCAGUUGCAAUAUAUAAUUUGGUGUCUUGAUCAUCAGGAAGGUCUCGCGCCUUGCAUACACAUCGCCAAACAUGACCUGCCAACAUCUCAUAUGAGCUAUAGUUGACAGUGUUGCCAUCUUCCUUAGACUUGGCUUUCAAAGUGUUGAGUUGUUCUCGAGUCAAUUUAAAGAUGGAAAUAGUUGUCUCCUCCGCACCAGGUUUUGUGCUCUGCUGGGGAUUUUUCAUGGGGGGAGCAGGUUGGUAUUCAAUGUGAUGGAAUUCAGGCUGAGGUGGGUCUCGGGCACGAAGCAAUGUCCUGUCGAUGAAUGGUGGAAUUGUAAGGUCAAGACCUCUAGCCAUAUCAGACCAUGUAUUCACGAAGUGGAGACCAGCAAAUCCAUCUGCAACGUGAUGUUGCAUGCCAACACCAAGCGACACUCCACCACAUUUGAAGUAAGUGACCUGCACAGAAAAAAUCCAGGACCUAGUAAGCUCAUCUGUUUAAUAAUCCCCCAACUUUGAGUUAAACUUUGGCAUAUUCUUUCAAUUGACCCAGAAAAUGCGUGGUACUUGAAAUUUUAUGAUAAACAGAAGCUGUUUUGUAAUUCUGAACCCCAAAUAUAAAAACGUCUUCAUCAACAUAGAAUAGGAUGAUCUCAGUUGGUUCAAAAGAAUUGAUCUUAUCCCAAUGGCAAAAUGACAAACUAAAAGGAAGAAUCCUACUAUGCAUAUCAUACCAACUCUCCAAAUUCAAAGCAAUGCCCUGAAUAAAAAAAAACCAAUAUAUCCAUGUACUUCUAUACAAGUAACCAAAAGGAUGAUAAUCAGUUUUCGCAAGCAAGUUAUAAACUAAUGUGUAAACAGCUCACGAGUCAUGACCAUGCACCAGCCCUAUAUUUUUCAACACCAACCUAUUUCUUCAUAUAUGAACCAAAAUAAUGUAUUCAUAUGUAACCCAGAAGUAUCAGAAUACUCUCUUAAACCACCAGUUCUUACUCUGAAUGUGUUACAAUCGACAUAGGCUGAUUCAUCAAUAAAAAAAAGACUCGAAGGAUACUACAACAUGUAACCCAUGUUCAAGUUAAGUGGCCAUACACUCAUACCUAAUGGUCCCUAAUAAGAUUUCCAAUAGGAGUUAGUAAGUAGACUAAAGAUAAAGAACUAAUGGUAAGGAACAUCAUUGGUCAGACAAUUGAAAUGAUACAUAGUUACAGAACAUAUAAGCAUACCUGGAAUCAUUCAACCAAGUCCAAUGGGUGACAUGUUCAAACUUCAAAAGUUCUUUUAAUCCAUCACCUUAACACGUCAAUACAAAGGCUGCUACUUUUCCUUGGGGGUAAAAUUUGCUAGGUCAAAUAUUGAAAUUUUCAACGAAUAGUUGAAAUGAAUAAUAUUUCUUGGGCAAGAACUUUCAUCUGAUAUCUGACCACUUGUUUGACUAAGAAAAAAAUUGAACCUCUUAAGCUUACAAAAAGUCUGGUCCAAGUUUUAAGGAAUUUCCUUAAAAUGAAAUGGCAUGAAGGGGUUCAAAUUCCAGGUUUUCUAGGCAUCACUCCGUUAAUUAGUGUAUUAACAAACAAAGGGUCUAAAAUAGUGAAAAACCACUUGGAUAAGUUUCUGGUUGCAGUGGCCAUUGUAAUGACUAGUUUAGCUGCAAAUCUAGCUAAGAUCAACAAUGAUUCUUUACAUUUUGAUAACACAAAGAUUAACCAAAAGUCAAAACACUGAUUAGGUCCUUUGCAACUAAAAGGAAAGAAAGAAAAAAACAUUAUUAAUAUCACAUCAUUGUCUUUUGGUGCUUAGUUCUAUCUAGUUCUAUAUGAUAUUGGUCAUUACUUUCUAAUUAAUUUCACCCACUGAAGGUGCACCAACCAUGCACUAGAAAUUCCGCAAGCCAAAAUCCAAAAUCCAAUCAUUACUUUCCCUAAACAAUAUCACCCACUAGCAAAAAACAGUAUCUCGUGCAAUCGAAUCUCUAUCUCUACUAUUAGAAAGUCAUGUAUGGUUUUGGUGUCUUUGAUGAAAUCUUUUUUCAAUUGCCCAAAAAACUAAGGUUGCAGAAAAUUCUUAAAGAAUAAAAAUUAUAGUUAUUAUGAGCUUGACUAUAAAACUCCACUGGAAUAGGAGAAGAAAAAAAAGAAGGGUAGUUUCAUCCCACUUUUAGUGUAGUUAUCUACAAAAAAUAAAUGGAGCAGUUCAAGUAUACUAAUUCUAUUUUUUUUAUCCCCUAUGCACGGGUAAGAGGCUAAUGAUCUUCUAAAGGGUUGAUUUUCUAUCUAUAAAACAAAAGUUUUAUUUGUAUUUUAUAGCCUAACGUAACUUAAUAAAAUUUUACUCAAAAUUAUCUGUAUUUCAUCAAACUAUUAACUAUCUAAAAUUUUAUAUGAAACUUCAAAAACUAGAAAUGAAAAGUAUACAGACUAUCGGUCAUAAUAUUACAGAACAUUUGAAAAGAAACUCAUGUUUUACUAAUAUCGACAAGAGAAAAUAUAGAAAAUGAGAAUUACACUUGACAAGAGAAAAUAUAGAAAAUGAGAAUAUGUAAUUCGAACAAAAAAAAAAAACAACUACAAAAAAACAAAAAACGUACUGUAGUGCUAAUAGCACAUCUGCUUGCCAACUUUUGUAUGAAAUCAAAAUAAACGCGUGAUUAUGAGUGUAGAAUCACUCGAAAUUGGUGACCAACUUUGAUCUACAUUCUACAAAUACUACCAACCAAAUUAAUAAUAUUAUGAUCAUAAAUGCAAAAAUACGUAUAAGUACCUGCAAAACGAGGAGCGGAUACGACGAAAUCCCGGCAGAGUAAUCAACGGUGGGGAUGAGCUUCCGGAGCUCAAGAGUCGGCGCAAAGUCGCCAAAAUCAUCGAUGACGGAGCUACUCUCGGCGACGACAAACAGCACGCCCUCGCCAUUACAAUUGAUCUCGAUACGACCGUCGUCGUCGCGCUUCAGACGCCCCGCCAUGGGGUAGAACGGCACCAGCACCUUCGACAGCGCGUGUUUGAGCACGCGCGGAUCGAAGAAGUUGGACGCGCCGUUGGGGCGGUAAAAGUAGAUGCUGGGGGUGUGGAUACUGGGAAUCACAAGGUCGACGUUGGCGUUCCACAGCGACCGCGGCUCGGUGGUCUCCUCGGCCGGCUUCACUAUCGUCGACUCCUUAACGGUCACGUUCACCACCGCCAUGUUGUUGGCUUCUGCAACCAAAUAAUAUCAAAUGAUCAAACAUUAAACCAUAUAUAUAUUUCGCUGACGAAGAUUGAGUUCAAGUGGGAUUAAGAAAUAUGGCAAAUGAUGGAUUUGUAUGUACGUACCUGAGAGACAAUGGAGUGUUGGACGCAGCAGAGGCGGGAAUAAAGGAACCUUUGAGAGACACAAGCGAGAAGAUGGUGGUCGGUGAGAAGAAGAAGAAAAGAGGUAAUGGGGGUUUGGAGUUGUUAUGAAGCACUAUGUAAAAGUACUACGUGAAUGAUCAAGCCCAGAGCAUAUCUGUCACUCACCUACCGCGCCUGCCAACUUUCUCUCAAUCACCCUAUGCCACCUCAGAAUUCAAUCCAUGGAAAUGCGUUUCCUAAUCGGUUUUGUUUACUUUCCAAAAAUAAAAGGCCUUCCCAAUUUUACACUCUCCAAUAUCAAUUGUUUUGAAUGGUUAUUUAAUGGAAAUAUAAAUAUGUUAAUACUCAAUUUAGUAGCCUAAUUAUUUCUUUUGUAUAAAUUUAAACUCAUUUCAUUUAAAGUUUUCAAAAACAAUUUUCGUUAUUCAAUGCUUACAAUUUAAAAUACGCGUGUUCUUCUUAAAACUAGUGAAUACAUACCAGAUUACGACUCAGAGAUACAUGCAAAGAACCAAAAACGAUUUUAUACACGACGGUGCAAGACUGCAAGUACAUGGGUAAACUUGGAUAUUUAAAACUAUUUAUAUGUUAGAACCAUUAUGUAUCUAUAUUAAUAACUUCUAAUCAUAACCGUUUACAUAAUAUAUAUAUAGAUACACGCCACAAAUUGAAAACUCUCACGCAAUGAACUGCUUAGCAUUUACAUGGUUUGAAAAUUUUGUCACUAGCUACCGGUUUAGAAGUGUCAUUACUUUUAGAAAAUAUAAUUUUACUAAUCAUUUUGUUAAUUUUUAACUUUCUAUUUUAGACAAUUUUUUUUUAUCAGGUAAACAAUAUUAUAACUUCGUGAGUCAAACUCACAACCUCUCAUUUACUAAAGGAAGACUAUGCCGCUAAACCAAAUGGUACUGGCUCUGACAAUUUAAUUUGAAAUGGUAAACUAUUAUUUUUUAGGAAAGUAAAUAAGUUUAAAUUGAAAACAAAAACAAGUUAAUGUAUAAUUAUGAUUUUUUUAUUUGUGAUAAUUAUAUAAAUAUGUAAAUUAUUUAAUAUUGAAGAGCACGUACAGUCAUCUAAGAAAGCCUCACAUAUAUUAGUUUGAUAACACAGUUAAAUAAAAAGAAAGUGAUGUGAUUGAUUAGAAAUAAAUAUCCAUGAUUUAGGAAGCAAGAGAGUUGGUAAGACAGGGACACGCGGCUAUCUCGGAUCUUUUCUUAAACAAGAUGGCGGAUGCGCUCUCCGGUUGUGGUCUGCUUUUGUUGGCGUGAGUUGGUGAUUGUUUAGAGCAAUGCAAAAUGCUAAGUUGGUGAGACGGUGACCCAUUAACAAAAGUAGAAGAAGAAGACGCAGAUAAGAUUCGAGGCAGCCAACUCUUCCAUUUCCACUGUAAUCGUAAUUAGUAGCCGCAGCAGUAGUCCACCAACUCUUGACACGACUCGCGCCUCCUGACGGCGUCUCUCCGGGUUCGUCCUCUCCUACCUCCAACCAAACUUUUCAACGCCGACGUGUGUUCUCGGUGGGGUCCGCCCGGGGUUGGUGAGUUUGGUUUUGAACCUCUUCAUCCGGAUGCUGACGUAAUGUCGAAACGGAGAUACGGCUCGGUUCGUUUGGAGUUUAUAACGGUGGUAGGUGAGUCCGUUAGUUAUGACGUCAGCGUGACCGGAUCUCUAGGGGGCCUGGCCUAGGUUCAGGUGGAGCUUUCAAAUUCUGCAAGUUUGGGUAGUAGGAGACUAUGAAACUGGUUACAGUUGAAGCAUUUAUGUUCAUCCUCGUCUGCAACAUUUGAAAGAAAUGGUGGAAUAAUGGAACGUAAUAUAUAGAUAAAUGUUCUAUAAAUUAGGGGAUACCCUAACCGUAAACCACCGAAGACCAGCUCUCUUCGCUGUAACAGGUUCUUAUUAUUUGACCUCAAAGGACUUCCUCUUUUUUUUCCGGAGUUUAAAUUCAAGUUGCCCACUCUCUUUGAGAACCAGAACAUUACCUGAGGUAGCAACCAUACCUAGUGAUCGAGCAGAGAACUUAGGUGUAAAGUUUGGCACAAUGGCACUCUUAGCAAGGCAGUGCUGGAACAAAUCGGUAACAUGAAAAGCUUAUGUUGUACCAUCCAGCAUAAGGAUGUCCACCUCUCGCACAUUUGUAGGUAUAGGUUCAACAUUCUCUAGUGCCUUGGGGUUGAAACAUAAACACUAACUUUCUUCUCGUUUCUAAACAACAGUCAAUAUACGUACCUUCAACCCCAACAAUGCCUUUGAUCAUGAGCUUUGAACGUAAAUGUAGAGAGAGUCUUUUCUGUUCUAAAUAUUGUGAAGAUUGCGUUACAGAGUUGAAUGGGUGACAAUUUAUGAAUAAUUGUUUAAUUUGUGAUAACGAGAAAAACAUGUUUACUAGUUUAGACGGUAAGACUAUCACGCAACGAUUUCAAAAUUUGAAAUCUUGUCGAUAACACCAUUGUAAUUUAUAGAAAUUAAAUUUAAUUAAUUUUAUUUUUUUGUAUUUUUAUGUUUUGUGUCCCAUUAGACCAAAAUUUCUUAGAGUAAGUGUGAAGAUAUAAGUAACAAAGAGAGCUGGUGAUUGAGUAAACAAGAUGGACUAACGCUGGUUUGAUCCUUAAAAUUUAAUGUUUAUGUUUGAUACAGCAAAAAAGGUUUAUGCAUGUUUAUAGUGUUUAUGAAUGUUCAAGAUCCAAUGUUGUUAGUCAAAUGUCUCUAAUCUUGGACAAAUAUGCCAUAGAAGGCCGUCUUCUCUACCAUAUUUCCUCAGCUCAUAUUUGCCAAAACAUCUUAACCUUUGGUAGAGAUUUGCAUACCCCAUAUAGCCUUCCAAACCAGUGGAUCAAUGUAUGGGAGGUACUUGUAGGUUUGACAGAGUGGCAGAGAGUCAUGCAGUACGUCAUGCUUCUAUUUGUUAGUUGGUACAUGUUAUAAUAUCCAAAAUUGACCGAGAAUCAUGCUUUUACAAAUUUCGGUAAUGCCACAAAUGUUCUCUUGUUCUCGAAUUUGGCUUUUUUACUUAGAUUUAUGUUGCUUGGAUAAUUUCUAACUAUUGGAUUUGUAAUACCCUAGAUUUUCAUAUCAAUUUUCGUUGUAUUACUCUCAUAAUUAAUGAAGGAUUAUUUAUGGAAAUUCUUUACUUUGUGCGAAGUUGAAGUUUCAGGAUUAAAUUUUAAGGUGCUUUGCUUUGACUUUUAAGAGGCCAAAAGUUGACUUUAGUUUCAGUAAGUUAUUUGCAAAAACUUCCUUCAUGAAAGUUGUAGAGUUUGGCGAUACAAGUUCGUAAACACGCGGCACGUGUAAUUCGGGUGUCGUAUGAGAAAGUUUUGGUAAGAGGAAGUUAGUUUCCGAGUUUAGAAAGUGUAUAAGUAGAAAAAUGUGUGUGGGAGUUUUUUCUUGGGAACCCUAAAAUCAGCUCACUCUCUUCUCUCUCUUCUCUCUCUUCCUCUCCCGACCUCACCUGCACACCAAACUUUGACCGGAGCUAUCUCCGCCGUCCGGCCACCGAUUGGACCGCCGUUCGUCUUGGUCGACUCACCCGGGCGUCAUUCUGGGCUGGUGUGGGGCGGGGCAGCAAGCCAGAAAAUAGAGCUUUUGGCCGGAAAAGAGAGCUGUUGUGUCUCCGGUCGGACUUGCCGUUUCCGGCGGCGACGAGGGGCAUCCUUAGGUGAGUUUUGAUCCUCUCCUCCUUCUAGUUGUGGCUAGGCAUAGAUUGAAGCAAGUUUUUGAGGUUUUGAGGCCGGAUUUGUAGGUUUUGUAGUUUGAUUUCAGGUUGCUGUUUCGGGGCAGUUUCCGGCCGGUUCCGGCCAAAAUUGGUUGAAGCCUCAGGUAUGAAAGUUGUUCCCCUUGUUUCAAGUUUCAACUUUGCUGUUGAGAGUUCUCUCAAAUUCGGAAGUUUGUGGUGGCACGUGGGGCCCACUCGCCCUGCCUGUGGCGGCGCGUGGCAGCGCGUCCGGUAGUGUUUGUGGCUUAGUUUGCUGUGUUUUAGCUAACUCUUGUUGUGGUGAGCUUAUUGAGAUGUAGAAUUUUUAGUUUGUGAGCAAUGCUUGUAUGUUAGGACUUUAAGUUUGUUAUUAGACUUGGUUGAGGUUUGAAUUAGGGUUUGAGGAUUAGAGGCAGCCAUUUUGGGUCGCUAAGUUCGACGACUUUGGAAAAUUGUCCUCCCUUGAACUAAGGGUUAGUUUAAGAGUAUUGUGUAAACCUAUAGUAUUUUAGUUACUAAGGUUUUAAUUGUGUGAUUUUAGGUGAUUUGUGAAAUUGUGUUUUGGCUUGCUAUUGUCGUCUUGUGGAAUUUGCAGCGGGAUAUUAGGUGAGUAAAUCUCACCAAGAUUCACUUUUGAACCAAAUGUUAUUAUGGUCAUGUGAUGAUGAUAAUGAUGAUGAUGUUGGAUUUAAUAAUAUGUUUUUAAUUGUUUUUAAAAAGAAUUAACCUUUGUUUAGUCCCUAAGGUUUACACAACUCAUCUACUUAGUCCUCAAGGUUUAAAUUUCAUCUAUAUAGUCAUGAAGGUUUUGAUUUCUCAUCUAGAAAGUCCUCUAGUUAAAAAAAAACUGUUAAACCACUAUUUUUCCGUUACAAAAAGAUUUUUUUUUUUUUUUUUAAACCCUACUCUUAAAGGACUAGACCAAGCUUUUCCUAAGAACUAGCUUUCAACAUGUCAAUAUUUCACCUAACGACCUCCUGUCUAAUGGUUACUAAUCAUGGCGGAAUCACUGCUGUCUUAGUGUGGGCAAGCCUAAUCACUUACAAAGUAAAGUAAUCGUAAAACAACGAAACAAAAAGGCACAAAAUUUUUUUUUUUUUUUGACGGAUUAUAGGGCAAAAGGUAGAAGUUAUUUAACAUAAAUACAAAUACCAAACUCAGAGCCUUGCUCUCAGGUAAACAGCUAAAGGUUGUUUAACUACUCAUAAAGUUAAAUAUAAACACAAGUACUUACUUGUAAAUUUACAGCACACCACACUAGAUGAUUACAGACUUCACUCUCAAAACACUCUUAUUAUUCUCACUCUAUUCUAAAGACUGUAUACUGACUUUCUUACUUCUUAAGAAAGGUUGAGAAAAUUUCAGAUUUCUGUUUCAGGUUCCUUCUUCGAUGCCUUCCUAUUGAAGUUUGAGGUUUCUUAUAUAGAGAGCGGAACUCAAACAUGAAUUAAAACACACUUAUUCAUAGUGGUGGACAGGAGGAAUCCUAUCCUGAUAACUUUACCUUUGAAAAAGUAAAGUCGAAAGCUUUUAAGUGCUGGCAGCUACUUUCGUUUUACCAAAAGAAAAGCCAUUUGUCUUGAAGCGUCGGCAGCCACUCAACUUUCCAGCAUAUUCACAAUGUUGUGAUAUGUCUCUGGAUCUUCAGAAUAUCCCACUGAGGAGUUGGGACCACUAUAUUCCCAGUCGCGUGCCGUGUCUAUAUCUCCAUCGUCGAGGUCUGAAUCAUAGGGAUAGGAAAUUCUAUACUUAUCUUCAGUCUCCACUUUUUCUAACCACGUAGUGGUAGCCAGAGUGCAGUCCACUUCUUUCCUCAUAAGAGUUGUGAAAAAGUCACAGUUCUCUGGUGAAGGGUGAUUGUAACAGGUGACCAUAAUUUUUUCUCCACUGGCUAAAAGACUUGAAUCAUAGUCUCUUAAAACCACGUCUUUAAUAAUUGCUAUGGUCAUGGCUUUCAUCCAAGGAAUGCUUUGAUUUGGUCUUCCAUUUCCAUUGGCAAUAGCUGGCUUUUGAACCGGACUUUGGAUUAAUCUGACAAGAUGAUAUGGAGAGAUAUAAUUCAUUUGAUUAUUUACCACUGUCCAUUCUGGCGGAGUUGAAAUGAAUUUUAACCUUAGGAUACAACCAUCAAGUCUGAUAUUCUUAACUGCUUCAGAUAUUAUUUCUGAAAGGCCCUUCAGAUCUUCAUUGGUUUUUGUCCACAAAUUAUGAACAAAACCGUUUUCUACAAGCCAUAGCUUGUGCUUCUGAGGAUGUUCUGUUUGAACGUCAACCAGAUAUCUCCCAUAAUAUGGGUCAGGGGCUAUUGAUAAUGUGCCAGGCAGAAUAUUUUUCCUUUCACCUAAGAGGUUAUGGAAUUUAUACCAUUCAGGUUCCUUUAAAGUUAAAAUAGGAAUUUUAGCACUUUCAGGAUUUUCGAGGUAUUCAACCUUGGAAGAUUCUGCAAGAACACCUUUGUCUUUUGUAUGGAAUCCAUACAUUUCUUCAAUUAAAGCCUUUAGUGUUUGAAGCAAGUGAGCUUCAUUUUCUUCAUAGAAUGAAUACAGAAUAUUAUCAAUAAUAAUCUUCUGCUUAAAGGGCAAUAGCCUUUCAGUCCUGAAAACUGGUCUCUGAAAGAUCUUCAGAGGUUGAUCGUGAAUAACCUUUUUUCCAGUAACUAAAGGUGACUUAUCUGCCUUGAGAGGGUCUCUUCUGCUUUUUGGCAAAGCAGCAACCAUUAACGGACUUGAUAUGUCUUUACCGUCUGCCGUUUGAGACGGGCUAUCCAGUCUUUUCCCCUGAGACUGGUCAGUUAAGACUGAUCCUUUCGGACACAGCAAAAACUCAUUUAUGAGUUUAUCUUCAUUAGUACCACCUGAAUGACUGGAGCAACCAUCUUUUUCAGGUUUAGGCUUGAUUCUUAAAGCAUGACUGGAUUCAGCAGCUCCAUAAGAAACAAUAUACUGAUAACUUGGUCCGUCAUGGAGCGGUCCUACAAUAUUAUCACCGCUUUUGAAUCUUUCCCAAAGCUUCUUUUCUUCUGAUUCUGGUUUUCGACUUCUAGGAUUGCGACCUUCUCUUUCAAACAUCGCCAUUUCUCUUGUGAGAGCGUCGGGCAAAUAGUUCUUGUCACCUGCAACCGUUUCAACAUCAUAUUCAUAUUGGGUUAAAAACAUUUGCCAUCUCAGAACUCUUCCCCUAUCAGCAGCAUCAGUUAAUUUGUAGUUUUUGAAGUUUUUGACUCUUUUGUUAUCAGUUCUAACUACAAAUUUAUUUUCUAAGAAUGCCUCAGCACCCUUAAUGCUUUUAAUUAGGGCAAGGACUUCCUUGUCUCCAGUAGAAUAGUUUAACUCUGCUGCGUUAAACUUUCCUAAUAGAAAUUUACAAAUCUUUUCAUGAUUUCUGUUUGGAGCAACAGCUAAAACAACUCCUGCCCAAUAAUAAUCAUUUGCAUCAGUUUGCAAAAUGAUCAGAUCUCAUUCUUCAAGUAACUGUAGAGGAGGAAUGCUUUUUGUUAACUCUUUAAUCUUUCUGACAGUAUUACUGUCAUCAGCUGUGAAAGACCAUUUCUUCUUAAAACUUGUUUUUGGAGAGAGGAGAGCAGUUAGACCACUAACUUGUGGAAUAAAAUCUCUGGCGAAAUUAACAACUCUCAAAAAUCUCUGUAGAGACUUUGCAUUUGGGAUUAUGUCUGGAAAUUGGCUGAUUUUCUUAACAAUAUGGUCUUGGAGACGAAUCUCUCCAUCCUUAACAUGAAUGCCAAGGAAAUCAAUUUCACAUUUAAUAAGAUGAAUCUUCUUCUGUCCAAGAAUGAUUCCUUUUUCGACAAUAAGUUUACACACCUGUUCAAGAUGCUUUAGAUGCUCAUUCAUAGUUUUGGAGAAGACAAGAAUGUCAUCUAUAUAAACUAAACAGAAAUCUAAGUAAGGCUUGAAGAUAUUAUCCAUUUUCCUUUGAAAAAUAGACGGGGCUUGCUUAAGACCAAAUGGCAUAACUAACCAUUCAUAAUGCCCUUGAGGAGUUCCAAAAGCUAUUAAGGCUAUGGAAUCAGGAUGCAUUUUAACCUGCCAAAAGCCUGAUUUUACAUCAAACUUAGAGAAGAUUUUUGCUCCUUUAAGCCUGUUGAUGAGAACUCUCACCUGAGCUAUCUGAUAACCGUCUUUAACGGUCUUUUUAUUUACAUCCCUGUAAUCGAUCAUCAUUCUAGCUUUUCCUCUUAAUUGUUCUGCAUGAUUUCUCACCAAGAAAGCUGGGGCAUGAUGAGGACUGUUUGAAAGCCUGAUUAACUUCUUUUUCAGAAGUUCUUGGAUUUGAUUCUUCAUUUCUUUUCUAUCUUCUUCUCUGUAAUGAGGGAUGGCCUUAACAUGACAAAUAGUAUUUGCAUUAUGCAUUUUUAGCUGACAAUAUAUUGGGUCUCUUUCCCAAUACUUUUGAGGAUCUUCACUUAUUACUGGUUUCAACAAUUUUUCUAUUUCUGUGAGAGUUGGUAUUUUCUUUUGUUCUACUUUGUUAGCAUAUACCUUUAGAUUAUGCUCUCUGAUGUAUUCUUCUUCUCCAUCAGAACUCUCGUUGUCAGAAAUUUGAUAUUCAGAACUUUCCUCUGAAUCAGAGUCUUCUGAACUUGUUUCUUCAUUCACCAAUAUCUCCUUAUGACUUUUAAGCUGCUCUUGUAGCAACAAGACUAGCUUUAAAAUUGGCGUAUAAUCACCACUCUUCGCUGGCGACUUCUGAUAAUGGUUUGUAAAUCCUUUACUGGUAACGCGUACUGCGUCUGUUAAUCGGGAUUCCCAAUGGUAUUUUUUAUGUUUUUCAAACCCAAUCAUUUUUUGCGUUUGAAUUACUGUUUGUUGAAUAAGAAAGUCAUUCCCUAUCAACAAAUCAGUUGUCUGACCUUCACACUGCCAAAGAAUCUUGAUGGUAAAAGUGUCUCCUCCCAAGGAAACUUGCACAUUUCGUGCCAUUGUAUCCAUAACUAUGUUGUUUUCUUCCAUUGCAACUCCAGUAAUUGUCUUUGGAGAUUUUUCUCAAUAUUUUUCAGGGAUAGCAUAUCGUUUAGCAAGACUAAACCCUGAACCAGUAUCGACAAAUGCAUGUAGAUGAUAUUUUUUGUAAUUGGGAAACUUCAGUCCUAUAGUAAUAUAAUUACUAUAUAUGCUUGUCUGGACUGACAUUAUUCUUGCUUGCUUUCUUGGAUCAUCAAGUAAUUCUGUGAAAUGAUUGACCCUUCUUUCUGCAGGUUUUGAUUCCAGAGGAUUGUCAUUUGCUAGACCCAGUAUCGGAUUGGAACUGGAAUUGAGAGAACCAAGAGAUUCCUUGAUUUCCCUGUUCUGACUUAAUGAAGUUACAAACUUCAUCGUUUUUAUAUCCACUUCAAGGUUUUUUCUUUUUUUAUGGAAUACAUUAUAUUCCUCUUCUACCAGGACAUGUGCUUCAUUAUCCUUGGUUUUUCUUCUGAGUUCUGCAACAAAACAUUCCCGAUGAUAAGUUUCACAUGUAUCUUCACAGUACAUGGGAAUUGUAUUAUUAUCAUCACAUUUGCAAUAGUCACAAAUAAAUCUUCCUGGAUUGGGAUGGAAGGUACUGAUAAUAUCAGUGUUUUCUUCCUUCCAAUUUUGUAUCUGUAAUAAAAAUAUAGGACAGUCUUCUUCUUCUUCUUCUUCUUCUUCUUCUUCUUCUUCUUCUUCUUCUUCUUCUUCAGAGUUUUCUGAAGUACUUUCUGUCUCACUAUCUGAUGGGUACUCAAGAGAAUAUAUUGAUUCAUUCUCUUCAUCAGAAUAUGCGACUUCAAAGUCUUUUAGAUUAGCAUACUCUAUUGCUUCAUUAUACUCUUCAAUUAAGGCUUUAGAGGAUCUCUUGUCCUUUUUAGGACAUUCAUUUGCAUAAUGUCCCUCUGCCUUGCAAAGCCAACAUAUGUAUUUCUUUACUUCUCUAAAAGAAAAAUUGGUCUUCUUUUUCCUUUUGAAAAAUCUCUUUCUAGGAGAAGUUUGAGAAGAUUGUUCUUUCUUAUAUCCAGGUCUUUUCCUGAACUUAAUUAUACUUCUUUUUAGAAGCAAAUUUUUUAUCAUGCUUGGUGCUAGAGAACUUCCUUCGGUGUUUUCUUUCUGUAGGAAUAUGACAUCCCCAUUAGGGUAUCCAAAAUUUGUGGACACAUAUUCUCAACUCCUCUGAGUUGCUUCUUGGCCGUUUUGGAUUUUCUGUUCUCUAUGCAUUGCUUUCUUAAGAGAUCCCUAACUCUUUUUGCCUUCCUCCUACAGUAAAAUACUGAAGAGGGUUUUCUUCUAAUGACUGUGUUACUGCAUCAUUCCAGGGUUCUGGCAAUUUUCUGUAAUAAGUUCUGAUGAAAUCAUUAUUUUCAAUGUCUCCAAUAGUGCAGUAGUAGUUUUGAAACUCAUUGGUGUAUUCUUCAAAAUACCUCAUGUUACAAAUACUCAAUUUUUGAAUAUUUGCUUUUGCUCUUUCUUUAGAUUGCUCACUAUGCCCCGUGAUAUCUCCGCAGAAUUGCGCGUAGAUAGGCACUGCAAAAUCUAAAGGAUUAUUAGUCUGAGCCAUUUUUGCUGCCCAAUCAGUCCAUUGAGAACUUCUCUUGAAGGACUGGUACCAUUUCUGCACUAUUCCAGUUAAGGUAGACUCAUAAUAUGCAUGAGCUUCCUCGUAGGCAUAUUUGGAUAACACUAGGGCCUGAGUUAGCUUUAAACUAGCAACUCAAUUGUCUAUUGUCUUUCUUUUAUCUCCUACUUGGUCCAGAUCCAGAUAAACCCCUCUUUCGGACACUGACUAUCCCCAUUUGGGUUCUGUAGGGAUAUACUUCUGAGAACUUCGUUCUCCGUAUCUUCUUGUAGGGGCUUGCCCUUUUGGAAGCUUGAUAUUCUUUUCACGAAUGAUUUUUGAAGGAUUGUUAGUGAUGUUCUGUAUUACAGUAUGCCCACUUUCUGGAGGAGUUUGUCUUUCACCAUCUGUGUCCAUCGACACUCCUAAUGGCUCUAGGUCUUCUUUCACUGCUUGAUAAGGAAGAAUCUUCCUCUUUUCUUUCCAAGUUGAACUUGAGAAAUUUCAUUUAUGAUUUUCUCUAGUUCUUCUGGGGAAUCACAAGUUUUGGCUUGUGCAUUUAAUUCUCUUAAUUCUCUUGCUUGGAACAUUCUCAUAGGACUUUUUGUAACAUCCCGGACCCAAAUUUUACCUAUUUACUAGGUAUUUCACGAGUUACUGGAGAAUUUAACCGCGCUCGGUAACUUAUAAGUUAACGCUUGAGUUUAUUUGCGAGUUUUUCUGGAAAUGUCAAAUUCUUCUUUUAAGGUCUCAAUGUCGUAGUUCGCGUCGACACGGGUUCUCCGGUAUUUUCGGUUUAUUUUCGGAGCUUUGGAGUAUUUUCUGAAAUUAGAACUGCUCAUUUAAUCCUAGUCGUAUGAUCGAGUCGGGUUUCGAUCUUGACCAUUGAUUUCAGUAUAAAGGAAAAAGAGCUGGGUUGACUUUGUCAAACCCAAUUGGGAGCGUUGACACGAGCUCCGGUCUCUCCCUUCACUCUCUUUCUUCUCCGUCGUUCCCCCGCGCCGGAGUGCUGCCGUCCAGCCACCUUUGGUGACGAGGCCACCACCAAUCUCUUCCUCUCCUUCUCUUCUAUCUAACCCGGUCCAUAGAACUCGAAGUUAGCUCGAUUCAAAGCCAAUCCGAGGGAGAGAAGCUCGGCUGUUUUCCGACGAAUCCUCGAGAUUCUGACCACGGCGUGACGAGUGGGAGGUAGGGUUAUCUUCCUCUCUUCCUACUUCACCUGUUGGUACCUUUCCUUUCCCCAAAUCGUGCCCUAAUUGAAAACCCCUUUUUCUGUGUUUUCCAGGUUUCGAGCUCCUAGCUCCGGCGACCGGCGCUCGGUGGUUUCUGGCGAGUUCUUCAGCGUUUUGGUAGGUCCUGCGAGCUUUGUGUGAAGUGGAGACAGACAGGGGUGGAGUUGUAUAUCGAUCGGGACCAAGGCAGAGGUCUGGUGCCCUUGACCGGAGAGGAUCCAAGGUGAAUGGUGUCGUUACAGUGAAGAAUGAGGCAGCGGUCGUGGACGUUUGGGGGUCCGACAUAUUGAGUCCAACCUGGAGAGUUCUUGGGAUAGCACUUGAGAUCGAUGGAAGGUAAUCUUGAUCUCCUUUGAUGUUAUAUAGUUGUUGUGUGGAUUUUCGGACUGAUUGGAUGCAUUUUUGGUUUGUGUUCAUGUCGAGAACUUAGAGUUCUAAAGAAUACGGAGAGGCUAUGGCGAAAUUCCGGCAAGUCACCGGAAUCCAACGAGUAUUUCUGGCAAUCGGGAUUCCAGCGAGGCAGCAAUUCCGGUAGAAUCCGUGAAGGUAGCUUGUCGACUUUUCUUUUCGUGUAAGUGGUAGUUUACGGUUUAGGAAAACCUGCCAUAUUUAGAAAGUCUCUUUUUAGGGAACUUUCCCUUUUAUGGAAACUUCCAUUCUUGGAAACCCUUUUGGGUGCCCUUAGUAAUUGUUUGUGUGAAGUUGGGUAGAAACGAAAUGUUGAAAUUGUUGGUGUUGGUUGGCUUGAGAUAGGGGACCAUAAAAUAAUUUUUGUUAAUAUGAUUACUAUCCAUAGUAACCCUAAAAUCUAGACCAUUGGCUUCGUGGUGAUUUUGGAAGUGAAUUGCUUAGUGUGUUAAAGGCAUGGAGAUAGUGUGUGACUUCCAUUUUAGGUUAAGGUUUGGUUUGAAACCGAAUAAAUUUUGGAUGCGAAGUUAGUAGUAGAAAAUGAUUCUUUUAUCUGUUGGUCAACCUAGGAAAUCCUAGUCAAACUAGGAAGUAGUCGAUCCGUUAAUGUUGAUGGAGUCCGGUCUGACCAAUUUAUUUUUCUGUUUAUCGUCAGACGUGAGAUUGGCUAGAGUGUGUAACUAGUUAGAGGCAGCACUCGAGGAGUAUUCCGAGCAUUGGAAGACUUAGACCUAAUACUGUGAGUGGACUUUUAUUUUAAAUAAUAUGCAUGCUAUAGUUUUGGUUGAGCAUUUAAAAUUGUUGGAGUUUUGACGUCAUUUAAUUUUGACGCUUUUGUUUCUCUUGGAGAGUUACCGAAAAAUGGGAUUUUUCGGUGAGUAUAAAUAUGUAUAUUGAGGAGAGUAUGUAUAUAAAAACUAGCUAGCCAUAUGUGUCUGUCCACCUUAAUGGCGUAGCAUAUAGCCGCAUUAUGGUGUGACGUGAGCAUUGGACGUGAGCGUAGUAGCCUUAUAUGAGUGUUUAAUUCAUAUAGGGGUAAUGGGCACAUAUUUAUACACCCGUCUGUCCACCUUAAUGGCGUAGUGUAGCACCGCAUUAAGGCGUGACGUGAGCGUUGGACGCGAGCGUAGUAGCCCUAUAUAGACCCAUGAAUUUAUAUAGGGAGUAUGGACGUGUGUAAAUACAUACAUAUAUUAUAGAGCCUGAGAGGCUCGACAUUUAUGAGAUAAAAGUUUUAUCGCUUGCAGCAUGCAUUCGAUUUUCCUUGGAAAUUGAUUUGGGGAAACAUAAGUAUUUUAUUCGUUAAUUUAUUUUUGUCCACUCACUCUUAGGUUUCGUUUUCAAAUGUUUUCCCCUGGGCUCUUCGUUUUAAAAAUGCCCAGUUUGCAAGAUUACAUAGUUGAGGUCGCACGUAUAUGGAGAAGAGGCAUAGUCAAUAGUGUAGCUUCCGCUCAUUUUUAUAUUUCUAGUUCAUUUCCUUUCAAAUAGAGUUGCUCUGAACUGUGGCUGUUGGCUAUGAGAUUUUCUUGUUUAAGUUAGAAAUUAAAUUGGGAGAUGUUGUGAUUUGGGGAGCACGAAUGCUUCAGGAGUUUGAGGUUGGAUUUGGAUUUUUUAGAAGUGUUUGCAUGUAUUUAUUAGGAAGGGUUGUCCAUUUUCAAGAGAGGUUAUGCCGAUUUUUCGGUAAACUUUCCUUCGAGGUGGUCCCCGCAAGACUUACUUCGGGUUUCAGGAUGAAAUUCGGGGUGGGUCUUGACACUUUUAGAAUCCUCUUCUUCAAGGGAUUCCUCAUUAUAAACUGAUUUAGUUCCAAAGGUACUAGCUUCUUCAUAAUUAGUGAAUGAAUGCUUAUGAAAUUACUAGCUUAUCUUUCCCCCCAUGUCUUCAUAAAUUGAAGCAUUGGAGCUUUCAAGCUGUCUGACAGGCGGGGUAAGAUUUCAUUCUCUUGGGAAUGUUAUUUCAUGCCAAUUUGUGACAUGUUUUUGCCUGAGAAUUAUUUUUUGGGUUGAUGAGAACAGAUGUAGUAAUCCCAGGACUGUUUAGAAACCUGGUAUUAGGAGUCACAUUUGAGCUUAUCAACUUAUAAUAGAUUCGAUAAUCUAUCGCUAGCUCCAUCAUUCCUUUUUUCAUAGAGAUCCCAUCUGUCUUGAUUCUCAGUCUUAGACAGUGAGCAGCAUCUCUAAGAUGUGUUGUGAAAUUUGGAAAUACAUUAAAAUAUGCAACUUGGUUGCACAAAGAAGCUUCUACUGUUCCCAACAGACUUUUCUUAAAAUCUAUUAUUCUAUCGUCUUGUAGGACACAUAGAACAGAACAGUCAAUAUCAUCUCUGGCUAAGAGCUUUAUUCCUACUUGCACUACACCUAUAUGCAUAUAGGAAUACUUUUUCUGGAAAGCUUCACUUACUUCCUUUGGAGUUAUCAACCUGAUAUCUAUUUCUCCACCUGUGGCUGGAACUGUUAAUUCAAGAAUCUUGAAUCUGUGAGAAUCCAUAACAAAAUAUCUUUUUUUAUAUAUCUCAUUGAACCUAAAUCUAGGAGCAGAUGCUUUUCGCACACUAGAUUCGAUUUCAUUAUACUCAAAUUCUUAAGCGUUUAUUAAUUGUACCGGAACUGUGUUCCUUUUACUGAGAAUUCUACUCAGCAUCUUCAUAUCUCUCUUGGUUGUAGAUUUUGAUGAUUUCCAUUCAAGUAGCUUUGGUUCACUAAACCUUAGCCUACUUUCUGGUAGGGGUGGAGAAUUAUGAUAAUUUUACUAGCUACAUUUUGAGCUAGUGAUUCUUCAUCUAUUUUUUCAUAGCCUUCUCCUUCCUUCAUCUUUUCUACAAUCUUUUGCAAACAAGAGAUUCUGUUAUGUAACUCUCGAAAUUGAAUUUCGAGGUCAAUACUUAUCUCUUGGAGAUAAGCGAUAUUAUAAUUCUGCUGAUGAAUUAUUGCUUCCACAUUUUCUGACAAUUUUUCUGUAGGACGAUCAAAGCUAAUAGUUUUUACAUCUUCCUGUCUUACUUUUAGAUCUACUCUUUGAUUCAUCCUAUUCUGGAGAUAAGAGUUUCUAAAAGCUUUUUCAGGUUUUCCUGAGUUUUUCUUAGUUCCACUGCUUGUUGAUAAAUGUUGUUUGCAAGAUUCUCAGUGCGAGCUAACUUUCUUUCAAUAUCUAUUAGAUAUUGUUUUUCUUUGAGGUAAUCUAGCUUGAUUUUUCUUUGAGGUAAUCUAGCUUGAUUUCAAGCCUAGCAAUUUUUGAAUUAAUUUCCUCAAGUUGAUUUAUCCGUAGAUUAAAUCUCUCGAGUUAAUCUGAUAUUUUAUCAGAUGUCUUAUGUCACAUCCCGACCCUUAUAUUUUUACCUUAUUUACUAGCCUGAUUAUAAUAAGAAUUUUACCGUCUCGAUCAUUGAGUAAAUAGUUUAAUUGGUCCCUAGAGGGGUUUCGGAGACGAUUAUGUGCGGAGGAUUAUUAGUAUGAGGAAAAUACGACGACGGUAAAAAUGGUAAAUUUUAGCUAGUAAAAGGUAAUUUUUAUUCGGGUAUUAUUUUUCGGGGUGUUUUUAUUUUUUUGAAGUGGGUUGAUANNNNNNNNNNNNNNNNNNNNNNNNNNNNNNNNNNNNNNNNNNNNNNNNNNNNNNNNNNNNNNNNNNNNNNNNNNNNNNNNNNNNNNNNNNNNNNNNNNNNNNNNNNNNNNNNNNNNNNNNNNNNNNNNNNNNNNNNNNNNNNNNNNNNNNNNNNNNNNNNNNNNNNNNNNNNNNNNNNNNNNNNNNNNNNNNNNNNNNNNNNNNNNNNNNNNNNNNNNNNNNNNNNNNNNNNNNNNNNNNNNNNNNNNNNNNNNNNNNNNNNNNNNNNNNNNNNNNNNNNNNNNNNNNNNNNNNNNNNNNNNNNNNNNNNNNNNNNNNNNNNNNNNNNNNNNNNNNNNNNNNNNNNNNNNNNNNNNNNNNNNNNNNNNNNNNNNNNNNNNNNNNNNNNNNNNNNNNNNNNNNNNNNNNNNNNNNNNNNNNNNNNNNNNNNNNNNNNNNNNNNNNNNNNNNNNNNNNNNNNNNNNNNNNNNNNNNNNNNNNNNNNNNNNNNNNNNNNNNNNNNNNNNNNNNNNNNNNNNNNNNNNNNNNNNNNNNNNNNNNNNNNNNNNNNNNNNNNNNNNNNNNNNNNNNNNNNNNNNNNNNNNNNNNNNNNNNNNNNNNNNNNNNNNNNNNNNNNNNNNNNNNNNNNNNNNNNNNNNNNNNNNNNNNNNNNNNNNNNNNNNNNNNNNNNNNNNNNNNNNNNNNNNNNNNNNNNNNNNNNNNNNNNNNNNNNNNNNNNNNNNNNNNNNNNNNNNNNNNNNNNNNNNNNNNNNNNNNNNNNNNNNNNNNNNNNNNNNNNNNNNNNNNNNNNNNNNNNNNNNNNNNNNNNNNNNNNNNNNNNNNNNNNNNNNNNNNNNNNNNNNNNNNNNNNNNNNNNNNNNNNNNNNNNNNNNNNNNNNNNNNNNNNNNNNNNNNNNNNNNNNNNNNNNNNNNNNNNNNNNNNNNNNNNNNNNNNNNNNNNNNNNNNNNNNNNNNNNNNNNNNNNNNNNNNNNNNNNNNNNNNNNNNNNNNNNNNNNNNNNNNNNNNNNNNNNNNNNNNNNNNNNNNNNNNNNNNNNNNNNNNNNNNNNNNNNNNNNNNNNNNNNNNNNNNNNNNNNNNNNNNNNNNNNNNNNNNNNNNNNNNNNNNNNNNNNNNNNNNNNNNNNNNNNNNNNNNNNNNNNNNNNNNNNNNNNNNNNNNNNNNNNNNNNNNNNNNNNNNNNNNNNNNNNNNNNNNNNNNNNNNNNNNNNNNNNNNNNNNNNNNNNNNNNNNNNNNNNNNNNNNNNNNNNNNNNNNNNNNNNNNNNNNNNNNNNNNNNNNNNNNNNNNNNNNNNNNNNNNNNNNNNNNNNNNNNNNNNNNNNNNNNNNNNNNNNNNNNNNCCAGUCUGCAGAGUUCGGGUUGGAUCUAGUAGGAGACGAGGCAUAGUCACCCGCUUUUCGGCCAGUUUUCAUCAGUAGGUUACCUGUUCAACCUACUUGUGUUUUCUUGCUUCCGCUUGUGUUUAGUAGCUCUGAAUACUUUAGAAUUUUGUAUAUUAUGUGAUGUUCAGAAGUGUAAUAUGAAAUUUUCGAGUUAGGGUUGUCCAUCUACAAGGGAGAUUUUCUUAAUCUUUUCAGUAAAUUUUCCUUGGAGGUGGUCCCCGCACGACUUAUUCUGGGUUUCAGGGUGAAAUUCGGGGUGGGUCGUGUCAUCUUAUCCCUAGAUAAACGAUCUAGGAACUCGAUUAAGCUUGGUCUUGUUGGAUCAAGCUCUUCUACUCCAAUUUCUCUUUGGAAAUGAAUAUGUUCGUCGUAGAGCGUAUUUAAUACUCUACAAACGUAUUCAAUGGAGUACUGAUUUUCUUGAAUGUGCCUUGAAUGAAAACACACUUCCCACUUGUCAGUUCCUUUUGUAGUACAAAAGGACUGAUAAUUUUUAAGUUUGGAUUCUCUCUUAUUCGUCAAGAGAAGCCAACUCUGUGGCAUAAGCCUUUUUCCUUUUCCUGCUUUUGAGCCAAGCAGGCUCUUAUACCAGCUAUGGCGGAUCUAACCGAUACUCAAAAUAUCAAGAGAUUUUUUAUCUUCUUCAAAUGUUUCUUGAAGAACUUCAAUUUCUUCUCUUGACUCGUAUAUUCUUCGUUGUAAUUGGAAAAUAAUAUCCCAGUAAUUUUUUGUAUUUCUUGGAAGCUUGUCUCUUUUUUCUUUUAGUUUUCUAAUUUUUCUUCUUUCUUCUUGCAAUUCUUUAAAGGAUAAUUUAGCUUCUGCUAAAAAUUCUAGUCGAGUAGCAAUAGAUUCUCCUAUUGAUGAUAAAAAAUUUAACUGUUUACCUUUGAGUAGAAUGAUAGAUUUUAUAUUUGUAGAAUGCUAAAUAUAAACAAAUUCAAAAUUCAAGGCCCACCAUGCUCCGUGCACUUUUCUUUUAAACAGGAAAAUUAAAAAGAACAAAGACAAACAGAAUAUUCCUUUUCUGACGGAAUAUUCUAUUAGAAAUAUUGGAAAGGACUAACUAGAUUAACAAUUGUAAGUUCAAGGACUAAACAGAUUAAAAUGAAAGUUCAAGGACUAAAGGGAUGAAGCACCUAAACUAUAGGGACUUUACAGAAUUUUACCUUUUUAAAAAUAUAUGAGCUUAAUCGCCAACGGCUCAUAGGUAAGAUAAAACAAGUUUUCCUUAUAUGUUAUUUUUGAGAUUCAUAUGAUCAUAAUUUUAUUGAUUAUUGAUAGAUUAUUCUUGUGGAAUAUCUAUAUUUUGUUCAUGUAAAUAUAUCUAUGUGGAAGGAUAUAAUUUAUGAUGUGAUAUUGUGUUGUUGAGGAUAAUGAUGUGAUAUUGUGUUGUUGAGGAUAAUGUUGUGAUAUUGUAAUUGUUGGAUAAAUAGCGAAACCGGGUUCCAAAUCUUUAAUUGGGUGAUUGGUUGCGGUUAAGAUGCUAUUUAUCAUUCUUGUGUUUGAUAUUAGACAGUCAAACCGGGUUCCAAGCCUUUGGCCGGGUGAUUGGUUGCGGUUAGGAAUAGAGCUCUAGUCCGUCUGUCAGUGUAGGUCAUGGGAGAUACUGUAUGGUAUCUGGGACCCAUGGAUACACAUUUUGUUGUUGUAGGUUAUGAGGGGUAGUUAUUAAUAUCUGGGACUCAUGGGUACAUGUUAAUUGAAAAGUGUUGGAUUUGUAGAUUUAAUUAUUGAUAUAAAUUGCUCUUGUGAUAUAAUUGGUAAUUUGAGGUUUUUGUGUUAUUUUGAGAAUUACUUAUACGGGCUUUUUAGCUUACCGGGUUUGUUGUUUACAACCCGAUGCACCAAUUAUUUGGUGUAAGGGUUAGUACUACGAGGUGAGAUNNGNGGUGNGNGNGNUGUGNGUUAGGUUUUUUUUUUUUUGUUGGGUUUUGUUGUACAUUGUAUAUUUUUAUAUUUGAGGUAGACAACAUUAAACUUAUGUGAGCGUUUUCAUUUUCUUGACUUUCAAGUUUAUAUAAACAAGGAAAUGUAAUAUUUAACUCAGUGUUGAGUUGUGUAACAUUUACAUUCCGCAUUGAGUUUAGUUUUCCUUGAAAUUUGUUUGAAACAGGUUUUGGGAUUAUAUUAUUUUAAGUUAUAUCAUGCCAAAAUUUUUGAAAAUUAUCCUUCAAAAAUUGGGGCGUGACAGGAUUGAGAACAAUCUAAAACCACCAUGUCAUUCUUAUGUCAACUUUACUUCAUCUAAUGGUUAUAAGACAUCCAAGCAAAUCUAAGCAGAGAAUUCGGAUCCCUUGUUCUCGGGGUUAACUUGUGCUUUGUAACAUGGUAGUCCUUUACCUAAGGAAGUAAGGAAUUCUAGCUUAUCUAAAAUAAAUCCAUAUUGUACUACUGCAUAGGAAAAGAACAAUGCAUCAUUCGAAGGUGAACAUAUAUUUUCAUGCAUGUGAUGACCCAUUUGUUAACUAAAAACAUGAAGCUCAUUGAUAUCUAGUCAGUAAUGCACCUGGGUAGACUUGGAAAGGUUUCUUGAUUGCUCUGCAUCUCUGCAUCUACACUCAUCACUGUAGUCUAUUGUAGCACCCAAUUUGGUUACACACACACACACCAGUUCUGAUUCUUUUUUAUGAUAUAUGAUUUAGCUACUGUAAGUUCUGUAACUUUCUAGCUGUGGUUGUUCUCGAAGUAAUUGUGUAUAUAAUUAACUGGAUGUACAAUAUGUUACAGAAUCACCCCCAUUUUGUUACUCAAAAGUACUAAUCAGUUCAACUCGCAAACCAGUAGUUGUUUUCUAAUUCUAGUUGCUAUUUAAAAAAGGAGAAUUUUAAAUACACACCCCUAAUAUCUUAAUACACACCCCUUUACUUAAUACAUUACCUAUCAAGUUUUUNNNNNNNNNNNNNNNNNNNNNNNNNNNNNNNNNNNNNNNNNNNNNNNNNNNNNNNNNNNNNNNNNNNNNNNNNNNNNNNNNNNNNNNNNNNNNNNNNNNNNNNNNNNNNNNNNNNNNNNNNNNNNNNNNNNNNNNNNNNNNNNNNNNNNNNNNNNNNNNNNNNNNNNNNNNNNNNNNNNNNNNNNNNNNNNNNNNNNNNNNNNNNNNNNNNNNNNNNNNNNNNNNNNNNNNNNNNNNNNNNNNNNNNNNNNNNNNNNNNNNNNNNNNNNNNNNNNNNNNNNNNNNNNNNNNNNNNNNNNNNNNNNNNNNNNNNNNNNNNNNNNNNNNNNNNNNNNNNNNNNNNNNNNNNNNNNNNNNNNNNNNNNNNNNNNNNNNNNNNNNNNNNNNNNNNNNNNNNNNNNNNNNNNNNNNNNNNNNNNNNNNNNNNNNNNNNNNNNNNNNNNNNNNNNNNNNNNNNNNNNNNNNNNNNNNNNNNNNNNNNNNNNNNNNNNNNNNNNNNNNNNNNNNNNNNNNNNNNNNNNNNNNNNNNNNNNNNNNNNNNNNNNNNNNNNNNNNNNNNNNNNNNNNNNNNNNNNNNNNNNNNNNNNNNNNNNNNNNNNNNNNNNNNNNNNNNNNNNNNNNNNNNNNNNNNNNNNNNNNNNNNNNNNNNNNNNNNNNNNNNNNNNNNNNNNNNNUACAAAAAAAAAAAAAAGACAACCAAAAUGAAUUGUGGAGAAGAAUUAGGGUUAGAGGAGAAGACAUGUUUUCGAAAAUUUUAGGGUAGAAGACGUUGAAAAGAAUACUUCUAGCGUGUAUUUUUUUUUUUAAUUAAUAGAUGUAUGUUUUGGUCAUUUAGCUUACCUAUAAAAUCUCAACAGAAACAUAAAAUAGUAAGGGUGUGUAUUAAGAGAUUAGGGGUGUGUAUUUAAAUUUCUCUUAAAAAGUUAGGAGUACAAAUUAAAAUAGAAGUAGAACAAAGUAAAACGACACAUGGUAAGUCUUCAAGGAACUUGAGAUUCUUGCCAAACUAGGCAUUCAUUCUUUUUCAAUUUGAAGUAGAGGCAAAGGGAUAAGGAGGCAUGCUUAGACUGUCACCUUCUCUCUCCAACAUUUGAACAACAUUGCUCAUGGAUGGGCGAUCUAUUGGAUGCCAUUGAAUGCACCAUAGACCGAUGAUUGCUAGUUUUCUAGCUAAUUUAACAUCUUCGUCCUCGAUAUGGAUUCGUAGAUCACUCCCUUGUUCUAAAAGGUUAUAAAUCCAUUCUGGGAAGUAGAUAUGGCUGGUGGAGUCCUCCAUAACUUUAAAAUUUUUCUUUCCCCCAACCAUUUCAAGCAACAAGAUUCCAAAACUAUAUACAUCUGACUUGUAAGAUACGUUUCCAAAGUUCCUAGAGAACACUUCUGGUGCAAUGUAGCCCAUGGUCCCCCUAGCUGUAGUCAUGGAUAUUGCACUCUGAUCCUUAGAGCACAACUUGGCUAGACCAAAAUCAGAAACUUUUGGAGUGAAAUCAUGGUCUAGCAAAAUGUUAUUAGGUUUGAUAUCAAAAUGCAGAAUUCUCUGGUCACACCCUUGAUGAAGAUAUUCGAUUCCUUUAGCUAUACCUAAAGCAAUAUCUUGCAGCUUUUCCCAACCAAGAAAUGAGUUCUUAUCAUCUGCAGAUGACAAGUAAUUCUGCAAUGAGCCAUUUGGUAAAUACUCAUAUAUAAGAGCUCGUAUGAAUCCAUCAGCGCAAAAGCCAACCAAGCGAACCACAUUAACAUGGUGGAUGAGACCCAUUGUUCCCACCUCAUUAAUGAAAUCUUCCCCCUUCUCGUUUGAAUUGUCGAGGAUUUUCACAGCAACAAGUAAUUCAGAGGAAAGCUUUCCUUUGUACACGGUUCCAUAAGCUCCCUGACCCAACUUGUCCUCAAAUUGAUUUGUUAUCCGCCUAAUAUCACCAUAGGCAUAUCUACUGGGUUUGAGAGCUCUGUAAUCACCCAAAAACUUUUCAAUUCUCAGUUGAUUUUCUUCUUCUGUCUUCUUAGAACUAUACACAUAAUAUAUUACAGUAGCCACUAGCCACUCCUAUGAGAACAGUAGCAAGUGCACAAAUGCCUGCAGAUAUAUAUGACAUCCUGAAUUAAGAUUGACAUGCAUUUUCUACAGAACAUUUGAAUUAAUACGAAAAGACUCCAUUUCUGAAAAAUAAAUAACUAAAGCUUCCAAAAACUUACCUAAUAUCUCCAAGAUUCGUUUUCCACGAUUAGGACCUGUAAAAUCAAUGGAAACCAGAGUAUUGAUUAAUAUACAAUCUCAAAGUAAUUGCUUGUGUACGAGUAUACAGGCCUACAGGGUAGCUAGCUAGUUAGGAGUGAAGACACAUGAUUUACGUACCUUUAGGCACCUCUAAACAUUGAGUUUCUUCAGUUUUCUGAUCAUCUGCAACUUGAUUCAGAAAUCCACAUUUCUUGCCCAUCUCUUCGCAACGUUUACAUGAUGGUCUGGUCCAUUUGAGCUUCACAGGCUGCAUCCAGACAGAUGGUACUGACAUGUAAUCUUCCACCUUGGUACACGACACCAGUUGGGGCAUGUACAUAAGCUCUGCACAUCCAUCCUCAAGAGCAUACAUCUUGUUGCUGUGAUUGCCAAGGCAAGGGCUCAGUUUUGCCAGUGGACAAAAGGAUGGAGACUGAUCUCUUUCAUCUGACGGUGGACAACUGAAUAUGGUAUAGUUAGUUUUCUCUUGGGCGUCUGAGAAUUCGAAUGGAGAGGAACUGAGCUUGAAAAUCUGUCUAGGAAUACAGAUAUAUUGGAAAUCAUUCAUAUAAUCGUAGUGACUAUCAUAAAGAUAUAUUUCAAUUUCCUGAGCAGUGUAGUUAAUCCUUUUAACCAAGAACUUGUCAGCUGAUGAUGAGUUGAUCUGGAGCACGGUCUGCUUGUCCGUGGUGCAUGACAGAUCAAAGCCCGGGUAGCCGCAAUGGAGUGGUUGAAUUCCUUUCAGCCGAAAUGGGAAUCGGAUCACAGGGCCAUGCCGUUUACAUCGAACCUCUGUGCAAUUUUCAGGGCCAACUGAUUCUCCAUGCACAAUAAUAUCUACAUCUAGUACUGCACCUAUGAGAAACCAACAACAUAACAAAUUCAGAAGCAUUUUCUGCAUUUCUAAUACUAAAAUUAGCUGAACUGGAUAUGCACAGCGGCUUGGUUUCCUCUUAGUUUGAUUGUGUGUGUAUACACACACAUGUUUCUCUUACAUAUAAACCAGACUACAUGGAUGGCGUAGCUUGACUUGUCUAGUCAACACAGCUCACUCAAGAACUUCUUUCGUUCAUAUAUUUACUUGAUGAAGGCGAUAGGGCCGCAUCUGAGAUGAACAAGUCACAAUGUCACACCAUCUCUCUGCUGUGAAGAUGGUUAACGCUUAAUUUGACUAGUCUGCCUGUUCAACAAAAUAAUAAUAAAAUAAAAUAAAAUUUGACUAGUCUGCAAUUUGACUAGUCUCCAUUACUUGAUUGAUAAGGUUCCAGUAUAUAUAACGGUGACAAUUUGGUCCAUGUUUGCGUCGUGUUUGAUGACUUGGCUUGUUUUAAGACUUAUUUGAGACAUGAGACUUGCAAAGUCCUCACGUAUGACUUGUAUAGAGCCACAUAACAUAAACAAUCUCCCAAGUGAUUGGGAUCCAGAUUUGCCAACCAGUCUCUCUCUCUUUCUCCCCCUCUCUCUUCUCUCUCUUCUCUCUCUCCCUUUUGAUUGGAUGAUCAUGGAGACCAGCAAAGGUUGCUGGUUGGCAAAUCUGGAUCCAAGUGAUUGGCUUGACGGUGGAUUGAAGAAAGCUGAUAGAGCUUGGACAAUUUAAAGGGCUCCAAACUAAAUAGACAUUUCUAUUUACCCUUAUCAUCUCUGUUUCAUUACGCCUUCUUCCUGCUCACCAUGUCUAGAAGAAGUCUCCUUUUUGCUUCUUACACCAUCCUCCUCCUCCUUCCUUUUACGGUUAUUUCACAAACGUCGGAUACCGGAAAUCCUUUAGAUAUCUGUACCUCUUCUUGUGGAGGUAUUUACAUAAGCUAUCCAUUUCGACUGAAAGGAGACCCUCAAAACUGUGGAAACGAAAAGUUUGAGCUGUCUUGCGAGGCAAAUAGUACUACUGCAGUACUAUACUUGGAAUCAGAAAAGUAUUACGUGAAGUCGAUCCAUUACAAUAACUUCACAAUCCGAAUCGUGGAUUCCGGUGUUCAGAAGAAGCGGAACUACUGCUCCACCGGACUACACUCUAUGACCACCUUCAACUCUAGUUAUCCAUAUAGCUUCUCUUCCUGGUACACUCCUUACAUGGAACAAGUGCCAAUAAUACUUGUGACCUGCGCAACUCCGGUGAAUUCCACUCUCUUUAUUGAAACAGCUUCAUGCCUCAACAGCACCACCACCGAUUCUUCCAAAUACAAUUAUUUCAUGGUUGGCUCUGUAACUUCAUUUGAUUUGAAGAGUUCUUGCGAAGUAACACAAAUGCUUUUAGCAUCCCCUUCAAUCAACAACAGCUACAUGAUGUCAUGUGAAAGCAUAUGUAAUGAAAUAGUGAAUGGUUUUGAACUCUCAUGGUUUACAUAUGGAUGUCAAAAAUGCAAAUCUGAUGAGGUGUGCGACACGUCGUACGACUCUGACAUCCCACCGGAGCUCAAGACUAUCAAGUGCAGUAGGCCAUCCUCAGGUACAUUGAUCUGGAUAUUAUCUCUUUGGUUUCCAUUUCCAGGGGAAAAUGUCAUACAUAUGUUUCAUCUAAUUUCAUUAUUCGACUUCCAUAUGCUAAUCCCAAUCGGUUUAUUCAUCAAUUUAGGAGAACGCUGGUAUGACCCGAUAAAGAAUAAGUUUUCAGGCAAGUGCUGUUUUACUCUGUUUUCUUUACAUUCACAAGUGGUCUUUGAGAAGUUCUACCAUACAUCAAGGUAGUGAUACAUUAAUGUCGUGAUACAUCAAGUAAACUUAGUUUGGUACAAACAUAGACUAAUUGAAUUAGUUUACUUGAUGUAUCGGUAGAUUGAUAAACUGUACAAGAACCUGUAAUCUUUCCCCUCGAUUAAUCAUCUUAGAGUUAAAAAUCCAAUUAAGGUUUUCUAGGUCCUUGCCUUUAACCAGUUGUAUGAUCCAUUUUCCUCAAUUGCAGGGAAACUUCUCAUAUAUAACUCUAAAUUUCAUGUUCAGCUCCUUCUAAAUGCACCCGUUUAUUACGGUAAGAAAUGGAUCUCCAAAUCUUAUUCAGAUUAAACAUUUACAGUGCCAUUCAAUAAAUGUUUUGUGCUUGCCUACAAUGUCUUUUUAAAUUUUAAUGAUUCCAUCUCUGGGAACAACAGCAAUACUACAAGCAGCUAAACUUGUAAUUGGCAUUCCUUGUUUAACUGCAUUACUGAUAUACAAGUGGAGGAGAAGACAUUUGUCGAUGUACGACGAUAUAGAAGACUUCCUGCGGACUAAUAAUAAUCUCAUGCCAGUGAGAUACUCUUACUCAGACAUCAAGAAGAUGACAAGGGAUUUCAAGGAAAAAUUGGGUCAAGGAGGCUAUGGGACGGUAUACAAGGCAACCCUUCGUAGUGGUCGGCUUGUAGCCAUUAAGAUGUUGGGCAAGUCCCAAGCUAACGGGCAAGACUUUAUCAAUGAAGUUGCGACCAUUGGAAGGAUUCACCAUGUUAAUGUUGUGCAACUAAUUGGAUUUUGUGUUGAGGGAUCCACGCGUGCUCUUGUAUAUGAUUUCAUGCCUAAUGGGUCUCUUGACAAGUACAUUUUUCUUCCACAAGGAGUGAGCACCUUAAGUUUCAAGAAAAUUUUUGAAAUUGCGCUUCGAGUUGCUCGUGGUAUCGACUAUCUGCAUCGAGGGUGUGAUAUGCAAAUUUUGCACUUUGACAUCAAGCCUCAUAACAUCCUCCUGGACGAGAAUUUCACUCCAAAGGUUUCCGAUUUUGGGUUAGCAAGGCUAUACCCAUUGGAUAAUAGCAUCGUGUCUCUGACUGCUGUAAGAGGCACGAUAGGAUACAUAGCUCCUGAGCUAUUCUAUAAGAACAUUGGAGGUGUUUCCUACAAGGCUGAUGUAUAUAGUUUUGGAAUGCUAUUGAUGGAAAUGGCUGGGAGAAGGAAGAACUUGAAUGCAGGGAUAGAAUAUUCAAGCCAAUUUAGUGAAAAUUACUUUCCUUCAUGGGUAUCUAACCAACUGAAUGAAGGAAAAGACAUUGAGAUAGAAGAUGCCACUGAGGAUGAAAUGAAAAUCAUAAAGAAGAUGAUUGUAGUAGCAAUGUGGUGCAUACAAAUGAAGCCCAGUGAACGCCCUUCAAUGACAAAAGUAGUCGAGAUGCUUGAAGGAGAACUAGAGAGCCUCCAAAUACCCCCAAAGCCUUUCUUAUAUCCGCAAGAAUUCCCGGCAGUGGAUAGUGGAGACACUUCAACUACAACAGGUGGAUCAACAAUGACACAGAAUCUACAGAGAUCAACUAAUUGAUCUCUUCUGAAAAUGCAAGUUAGUCAAGUGAUUUAAUAUUAGAUAUGAUGUGCUAGGCUUAUGGAGACUAGGUCUAGUUCGGGAUUGCUUAGCUCAGACCAUUAGCAGCUAAGCUGUAGUUUUAUUCAAUUGGUUAGCAGCUAAGGUGUACAAGUUUUAUUCAAUUGGUUAGCAGCUGUAGCUUUUAGCUUAUGAAUACUUCUUUUUGCCAACUUUUAUCAGCAACAACUUGGUGUAAAUUUUGAAGCAAGAUGUUUCUUUAACUGUGUUUUUUUUUUGGCUCAAAAGGAGGAUUAAGAGAGAGGCAAGAAACCUCCUUACCUCCCCAUGUUAUUAAAGAAAAAAAAGAUGCAAAGGGAUGAAACCAAAACCUCCAUAGUAAAAUAUAUCAGACAAUAAAGAAAACUAACAAACCAAAACAAAAUUGAGAAACACCCAGACAAUCACUACUGUAAGGCGAAACAAUGAAAGGAGGAUUCACAUCUCACCAAAUUAAACCUGUUACCUAAAGUUUUAAUAAAUUUCACCCAUGUUUUACUAGUUAUAAGUUACGCAGUUCUUUCGCUUUCAAAACUACUUCAAACCAGACCUGUUUAGUUGGUCUACAAUUUGAAUAGUCUAGAAUCUAUGAUUGAACUAGUCUGCAUUUUGACUAUUCAGCAAAUUUUCGAUUGAGAAGGUUAGAGCAUUACACUGACCUUUUCAUGCAUGUUUGUCUCAUAUCAUGCACUACGAUUAUGCUCGUUGGGUCUACCCACCUUAAUAAUUUAUUGGAUGGAGACUUCUAUUCGAGGCAAGACUUCUUCCGUUUACUGGUAUUUCACAGACGUCCAUAUGCAACACUGGAGCAUCCUCAGCAUUGACCAAAUAAUACCAAAAAGGUCUUGGUUUGAUCGUCUUUUUGGUUGACUACGGAAAGAGGAUUAACUUGUGGACUUCGGAGUUCCAAUUACUUAACCAUCACUAUUCAUCUCUAUCUCUCUGUAGCUUGCCUCCUUGUUCACCAUGUCUAGGGGAAGUCUCCUGUUUGCUUCUUGCACCAUCAUCCUUUCUCUUCUUCUUCCAUCUACUGUUAUUUCAGAAACGUCCCAUACCGAUACUUUAGAUAUCUGUACCUCUUCUUGUGGAGAUAUUUACAUAAGCUACCCAUUUCGACUGAAAGGAGACCAUCAAAGCUGUGGAGACAAAAGGUUUGAGCUAUCUUGUGAGGUAAAUAGUACUACUGCAGCACUAUACUUGGAAUCCGGAAAAUAUUAUGUGAAGUCAAUCCAUUACAAUAACUUCACAAUCCGAGUUGUGGAAUCUGGCGUUCAGAAGAAGAAGGACUACUGCUCCACCCCACUACACUCUAUAACCAAGUACAACUCUGCUUAUCCAUACACCUUCCCUUCUUAUGAAAUUCCUUACCUGGAAGAACAUGUGCCUAUGAUACUUGUGACCUGCGCAACUCCAAUGAAUUCCACUCUCUUUAUUGAAACAGUUUCAUGCCUCAACAUCACCACCACCUAUUCUUCCAAAUAUUCUUAUUUCAUGGUUGGCUUCGUAACUUCUUUUGAUUUGGGGAGGUCCUGCAAAAUAUCACAAAUGCUUUUGGCAUCACCUUCAACCAACAGCAACAUGGUGUCAUGUGAAGGCAUAUGUGAUGAAAUAGUGAAUGGUUUUGAGCUCUCAUGGUUUACUUAUGGAUGUGGAAAAUGCAAAACUGGUGAGAUGUGUGAAUUACCGUUUUACAACAUCAACAACAGAUUCAACCUCAACACCAUUGAAUGCAAUCUGCGGCCCUGGAUCUUCGGGAAAAGUAUGCAACUUCUGGAUCUUUUAAUUUCCUUAAUUCUUUUCCAUGUUUUAAAGCAAAAUGGCAUACAUACUUGAGGAAUAUAAAAUUGUUAGAACUAGAAAAAUGAAAUGGCAAUGCUAUUCUUUUGAUUACUCCAUCCUCUUGCAUGUACUAAAUUUUUUUCGUCCGUUACUCUAUUUAGAAUUAUGGUGGAUGCCAAUACAAACAACAUUAUCAAGUAAGCUUUUUUCUCUGCCUUUUUAUACAUAUCCUGUAGUUAAGUUUCUGUGCGUCCUUGGCUAUAUCAUUGAUACCAUAUAAUCUUCCAUUGCAGGAAUAUAUUUAAUUCAUAGGUAUAGACCUGGAUACCUUGCUCUGUUCCUUCUCAAUGGUGCCGUUUACCUUGGUAAGAGAUGGAUUUCAAAUUCCUUUUAUACAAUUUAUACAAAUUAAAAAGCAUUCAGAUGGUCUAUGCUGUAUACGUAGUAUUGUAGAAUAUUUGUAAUCAUUGUCAUUUACGUGUUUCAUUUUUGUGAACCACAGCAAUGUACCAAGCAGCUAAACUUAUCUUUGGCCUUCCCUGUAUAACUGCAUUACUAAGACACAAAUGGCGAAGAAGACACAUGUCAAUGUACGACCAAAUCGAAGACUUCCUGCAGAGCAAUAAUAAUCUCAUGCCUGUGAGAUACUCUUACUCAGACAUCAAGAAGAAGGCAGGGGGUUUCAAGGAAAAGUUAGGUGAAGAAGGCUAUGGGACAGUAUACAAGGCAAAGCUUCGUAGUGGUCGUCUUGUAGCAAUCAAGAUGCUGGGAAAGUCCAAGGCUAAUGGACAAGAAUUUAUCAAUGAAGUAGCCACCAUUGGAAGGAUUCACCAUGUUAAUGUGGUUCAGCUGAUUGGGUUUUGUGUCGAUGGAACAAGGCGUGCUCUUGUGUAUGAUUUCAUGCCUAAUGGGUCUCUAGAGAAACACAUUUUUCUACAACAAGGGGUAAUUCUCUUAAGCUUCAACAAAAUUUUUGAAAUUGCACUUGGAGUGGCUCGUGGUAUUGAAUAUCUGCAUCGAGGAUGCAAUAUGCAAAUUUUGCACUUUGACAUCAAGCCUCAUAACAUUCUUCUGGACGAGAAUUUCAUUCCCAAGGUUUCUGAUUUUGGGUUAGCAAGGCUAUACCCAUUGAAUAAUAGCAUCGUGUCUCUGACUGCUGUAAGAGGCACGAUAGGAUACAUAGCUCCUGAGCUAUUCUAUAAGAACAUUGGAGGUGUUCCCUACAAGGCUGAUGUAUAUAGUUUUGGAAUGUUAUUGAUGGAAAUGGCCGGGAGACGGAAGAAUUUGAAUGCAACCAUAGAGCAUUCAAGCCAGUUUAGCCAAAUAUACUUUCCUACAUGGGUAGCUGAUCAGUUGAAUGAAGGGAAGGACAUACAAAUAGGAGAUGCCACUGAGGAUGAAAAGAAAACGAUAAAGAAGAUGAUCGUAGUAGCACUGUGGUGCAUACAGAUGAAGCCUAGUGAGCGCCCUUCAAUGAGUAAAGUAGUCGAGAUGCUUGAAGGAGAACUUGAGACCUCCAAAUACCCCCAAAGCCUUUCUUAUAUCCACAACAAAUGCCAGUAGAGGAUAUUGGAGACACUUCUUCUACUACCGAUGGAUCGACAAUGAUGGAAGUGUCAACAGAGAUCAACUGAUUGAUUGCAUAUGAAAAUGCCAGUUAAGUGAUUUAGUAUUAUAAAUGAUAUGAAUUUGUAAUGGAGAACUAAUAUUCCUAUUCAAUAACGGUGAUUGAAUAUCAUAUCAUGAAAGCAUCGAACCAUAAGACAAUUUCAACAAAUGUUCAAAAUUCCAAACGACUCAUGAUCAAGCAACUAAAUUCAAAUUUCAUCCGGUCACCAUUUACACUAACCUGAUUGCACGCCGGGAAUGCAUACUAGGGUUCUCGUGCAACAAAAAAAACGUAGAAAUAAAAAAAAAUCGAGUUUCUGAAGGAAAACUGACCCAGAUGCUGCCGCGCUGCAAAACAGAGUCAAUUGAUACAAAUAUAUACAGGUCCUACAGAUUGAAUCGAGUUUCAAUCAGAAGCAGCUCGAAUUGAUAUUCACAAUCCCUAAAGCCCCAAUUCUGAAACUGAAGGAGGGAUGACCGUUGUAGCUUACGAUUAGUUUUGGCCUUUUGGGGUUGUUCUAGGCGUAGUAUGCACAAUCGGCCUAGAACGAAAACGGCCCAAGUUUGGUCUGUGAACUAAAAUGUAUUUACUGCGAAGUUUUGGAAAUAAAAAUCCUAAUUUUGCAAAUAAGUCUAAAUUUUUAAAGGGUCAAUUACAUAUAACUCCAUUUUAAAACAUUUUUUUUUAUAUAAGUCCAUCAAAACAUUUUAUCCACAUAAGUCCACCCAAGCUUAAAUAGAGUUUUUUUCAUUUUCUCCUCAAAAAAAAAAAACUUAAAUAGAGUUUUAUAUUAUGUAUUAAAUUUCAAUAAAAUUACAUACUAUCAACUAAUCAGAAAAUUAGAUGAUCUCUUAUAUUUAUAAUGUUACUACUUACUAGUGUAAAAAAUCAACAACCACUCUCCUUACUAGAAAAGUUUUCGGCCGACCUCCGACGAGAUUUUCGGCCGAUCUCCGAUAAAUUUUCCAGGCGGACUCCGAUGAAUUUUUCAGCCAACCUCUGGUGAGAAUUCCGACGACCAUAAAAGCUACUACAUCUGACAACUAAAGUCUAAAGAUACUACCGUCAGCAAUAAAAACUAUUACCACCAGCAAAAAAAGCUACUAUCAUUGACAACAAAAGAUACUACUGUCAACAAAAAAAAGCUACUACUACUAACAGUAAAAGAUAAUACCGCUAGCAACAAAAGCUACUAGCCUACUACCACUGACAAUAGAAGAUACUACUGCCAGUAAUACAAUAUAGUAUCACUGACAACAAAAAAUACUACCGCAAACAACGAAAGCUGUUACUGUCACCAACAAAAACUACUACCGUCAAGAAAAAUAAUAGCUAAUGUUACCGACAAAAAAAUCUACUACCAAGCAGAUCAAAAACUACUAACAAUUAAAACAAAAUCUACUACUAGAGGUUGAGAAAGAUACUAACAUAGAAAUUGAAAAAUACUAUGAUCAUGUAUACAAAAUACUAUCAUUGUGUUGGAAAGAUACUGAUAAUACACACAUUAAAAAAUACUAUCACUUUAAUAAAAAUAUACUAACAUCAUUCAAUGUCUAUACAACGAAAGCUAUGCAGAGGUGCAGUAGUACUAGCUCUCAGACCAACUCCUCCUUCUUCAUUGACUAAAGCCAUGGGAAGCCUCUCUGUACUAGUUCAAUAACGUCGGAGAGAGACGACUCCAAAUCGGAGAUCGACGUCGGAGAGGAAAUCGGAAUCGAAGAUCGACGUUCAUAGAGAGACGACUCUAAAUCGGACUUGACGACGCCGGAGGUCGAAGACUAAGAGAUAUGGUCGGAGAAGCACGAAAUCAAGAAAUUGAAAGCUAAUUUCAUAUCUAACUGUCGCAUUCUCUCUGGCAAAGACAUCGUCGUCGAGGUGUUGUAGUCCUUGAGGCGGCAUCGUCGUCGAAGGAAUCAGAGAUACAGUCGUCGUAGAGGUGUCAUCGUCGACUGGAACACAAAAUCGUCAACGGAAUCAGAGAUGCGGUCGUCGUCAACAGAAUUAGAGAUAAGCCGGAAGUUGAGAGAGAGAGAGAGAGAGAGAGAGAGAGAGAGAGAGAGAGAGAGAGAGAGAGAGAGAGAGAGANNNNNNNNNNNNNNNNNNNNACUGGAAAUUGACUCCCUCAUAAAGCCUGAAUUGUAUUACCUAGUUAGGAGUGAUAUUCCAUUUUCAUUCCCACCGCAAAAAAAAAUUACAAAAAUUAGACAACUAAAAAGUUUAAAUUUCCUUAAAUAGAUCACAUACGUAAUUAGUAAAAGGGUGUUAUUGGAAAUUAUAGAUUUAAAGUUCAUUAUUAUGACUUAUUAAAUAUGGUGUAAUUGGAAUAGAAAUAAAUUACUAAUUCAAUUACAAUAACAAUCAAACACCUAUAAAUAGCAAAACUUUUUCCUUUCCAUAUCAAUCAGGAAAGGAAAAUAAAUCAAUUUACAUAUCCUGACAUUCCUGCUAACCAAACGAGGCCAUAGAGUUUAUAGGAGAGACUCCUAACCAUGGUCUCUAUAAACAUCUCAAAUUUUAAGGGUGUGUCUAUUGCCACCCCACAAACCACUUUGUUUACCAUGCAUUCUCUCCACACCCCACUUAUAUAUUUUUAAUUGUAAGUCUACUUUGGUCACUCAUUUACAAUACCUGAACUACCAUUUUCUCAUAUUUGCUUUGUUCACCCUAAAUUCUUUUUUCACCCACAUAUAUUUUUUUCAAUUUCAUAUUUGCUUUGUUCACCCUACAUUCGAUCUCUUUUCACCCAGCAUAUAUAUUUUUUAAUUUUAAAUUUACUUUAUUCACCGAUUUGCAAUACACACAGUAUCAGUCUCUUUCAAUAGCCAUUAAACUCCAAAAACAAAACAAAAUUGAAGAAAACAUAAGAAUAUCAUUUGAGUAAGUGGAAUCGCAAACUGAACAAUAAAAAUCACAUUAAAGUAUAAAUCUUAAUUAAAGAACAAGAAAAAACUCUCAAACUUAACAACUCAUUGGUAUCCGUCAAUAUCAAGAUGCACAAUGUUUGUAAACUCUAUUUGGAAAAAGCUCUGACGCCAAUGAAAAAAAAAAUCGAAUACAUAUAAGUGAGUGACUAGACAUGAAAAUUUACAUACAAAUCGAUAUGAGAAAUAAUGAGUAAAGAGAUAGACGAAGCAUCAACAAAAAAAAAAAUAUAUAUAUAUAUAUAUAUACAAACAGUUCACCUGGUCUUCAAUUGAAUGUUUGUGUCUUCUUCAGACUUCAUAGAAAGAUCGAAUAUGAUAAAUUAUGGGUUAAGGUUUAUGAAGUUCGUGUUUAUCUUUAAAAAAAAAAAAUUGUAAUUUGUAACAACUUUCUUGCUGUAAUUUUACAUUAGACGAUAUUAGUCAUUCAAUAAAUCAACAACGUGUGGGAUGAUCAAAAUGGUUUAUGGGAUAGCAAUAGACGCACCCAACUUUAAUUUCAAUGUGUUUGAAGAAUCAUGCCAUUAUGUUGCUGCAUUCCAACUACUCUCUUUGGGUUGCUCUAUGUCUAUAUAUAUUACGUUCAGAUUGAUUCGAGAUCAAUUUACCAUGAGUUUUCUUUUUUGGUACCAUGAGUUGGUUUCAAUGCUCAACUCGAUCUCUCACCUUAAACUAACACUUCCAUGAAUCCUAACUUAUCUCAUGAAUUGUAGGUACCAAAUUUAAUUGGGAUUGUGACUAUAUUAUGUAUGUAUGAAUAUUUGAUGUUCAUGUACAAUGUCCCCCGGGUUCGAAGAAGUGAAGAAUUCCAACUCCAAAUAAACUUGGAACGAAUCUAUAAUUAAUAUAUUCAAAAGGGGCAUUCAAAUAUUGAUCUACUUUAUGUGCAAUGACAACUUCACAUCUUUCUUAAGAUUAUUGCUUCUAAUAGUGAUUGUGUUGCUCGAACUUGUAGAGCUUCCUUACCGGUGCAUAUGUCUGUCAUCAUGGACUAUUGGUAUAUACUGAAAUAUAAAUAAAAAACUAAUAUGAUUAGCUAAGUGAACAUAAGAAGAUGAACUUUAAAAUGUUAAUGCAGUACUAGACUUUCUUUCUUUUUUAACAAAAGUAAAACUUUAUAUGAUAACAACAAACGUUACAACCAUGGGAGAACUUGGUGGGUGGACUACAAGUCCCCACAGUCCUCCCUACCAACACACCAACGAUUACAAUGGGCAUGAAGAAUGGGUCUAAAUGUAACCUACCUCUAACCCCAUCUAGAAGCCUCGAUACCAAAACCGCCAACAUAUAUGCAGCCAACCUUAAGAAGAAACAACAUCAUCAAGAACUAUAUAUACCAAAACCGCUAGCUUAUAUGCAGGGGCAACCUCCCAAUUACAUUAACAACAAGAAAACACCGAUGAUAAGGCUGAUAGUCUUUGUACAUGACACCAAACAUGACCCUACUAAAACUACCAACGACACUAAACUACAAACACCUUAAAACCCUCGCCCACAGAGGAGGGACAACAAACAAAAAACACCAAAAUUGAAAAAACAAAACUAAAAAACUAAGAGAAAGAAAAAAGAAAACUAAAAUGACCCAAUGACCUUGGCCCAUAGAGGGCCCAAGCCCAAUCAAAUCCUCUGGGCCUCAACAGGUAAGGCAUUGACCCAACACAAAAAGAUUGCUGCAACAUGAAUGCAUAGCCGCGACCCCGCUGCAGCCUCGCCGUCAACGUCCGUUGCCGCCUCAUCGAGUAAACUAUCUAUGCCUCCAUGGCGCCAUAGAGGUGUAGAACACCACCCACCGUACAUAAUCAUCAAAUAAAGCAAGACAUGGGACCCGACCAUCCCAUCAAGCAACCGAUUCGGAAUGACCAUCGCCGUAACCGCCGCCGCCCCGUUUGCCCUAACAGGCGCCCCACCGUUCUAGCACAUCACACCACCUAAUGCAAUAAUAGACUUAUAGAAUCAAAAACUUAGAGUUGUACCUCAUUGUAGAGUGUCAUCAAUAUAGAUUCAUUUUCAUUGAUUCUAUGUUGCACAUCAGAUUCCACCAAAUCCUUUGGAUUGAUUUGCUAACUCUUCUAUGUGAAUACACACACACAUUGGUUUUUUCAAAAGGUGUUUAGUGUACGGCAUGCAUCACACAUACUUAUGUGUAUUGAGAUUAGAUUACACUAAUACAUAUACAUGAUGGUCCCACACAUAUAAGUGAUUGAGAUUGCAUCGUAUACUUGUUGUAUUGUCGUGUAUACAUAAAUUUUUGGUUUUCUUUUAUUUUUCAAUGUGUAAUUAAGGUCGUCUAUAUAUAUAGUAUAUCUUGAUGAUGGAAAUCUAUUAUUAUUAUUAUUAUUAUUAUUAUAUUUAAUUAACUGUAAAGAUUCACCGAUAGUUUUUCCAGUUAUCCAAACUACUGCAACAUUGAUAAAUUAUUUUAGAUUGUCAGAUGUAACUAAAAUUAAAAAUAUUGUAAUAGAUAAAUAGUUUUAGUUUUUAUUUUCUGAAAGACCGAAAUUAAAAUUUACACUCACUUUUACCCCUUUUAGUAUCUUGUUUUUUCUUUUUUUUUGAAGAAUGAUGCUAAGUCAUAUUAUUAAUCAAAUAAAAUGUGAGAGUACAACAUAACAUAAUUAACACUCUCACGGGCAACAUAAAAUUGGAGUUAUGCAAAACAACUUAUAUGAUGUAAGUCAUCUUAAUAUUGUAAACCCUAGAAUAUGUAGUAUAAUCAAUAACGCCUUGGUAACAAAAGAACUGGGUAACUAGCCACCAAGACACAAGUAGGAAGGGACGUGUCCGCAACCCAUCAUUAUUGACCAUUUUCGAGACCACCCUACGUAGAGGGGGCAACCCCAAAGCAUUAACAAAUCUUAUUAAAGGCCAAAUCCCAAUUAACUAGGAAAAUGCUCUAGACCCGCAACCAGAUCUAGUCUAAUCCAAAAAACAAUAAAUAAAAUAAAACAAAGACAGAGCCAAGCCCAAUAAGGGAGUCCCAACCCAAUCUCUGAAGCAAGGCCCAGAAAUGAUGACCAAGCAUGGCCCAAACCCGAGCAAUCUUGAGACAUGAACAACAAGCAUCAACCAACCUUGCCACUGUCACCGCCGGAGAACCAUCCACUGCACCCCUGCUCCUUGUUAGCCGGAACGCCGCCAUCGCGUUCUCGAUCACAAGUUUCGUCGCAAACCAAAGACACCAAGGUCACAAGCAUGCAUCAAACUUGCCAACUCAGAUCGGAAAUCCUAAUCCGAGCCAACCCAUGCAUCCACGACCGAAGCACCUCCAGUCCACCACCAAACCCGCAAAACCACAACCCGUCAUCCCCUCUAAAGUCUGACCGACCCACCACCGCUCCCAUGAAUCCGGACCAGCUUUGCGUCGACUUGGAAGGCCCACCCACCAUUGUCAACCAACCUGAUGUCACUCACUUAUAUCGCCAAUCUCACCACCAGAGACCAAAGCACAAACCUAGAGGGCUGUUAGAUCUCAUCUGACGAUAGCGUCACCGGACGAAGAUGAAUAACUUUUUUGGAAACCCUAGUUACGUUGUAUACCCCUUUUAGUAUCUUAAAUUGUAUCUUUUUGCAUUUUUAUAAAAAUUUGAACUAAAAAAAUAAAAAAAGAAGUGUAGAUUGUAAAACAGCUAGAAGUAGGGGUUUCACUCCUUAUUUCUAUUUGUCUUAGCAUAAAUCAUUCUUCAAUGAAAAUCUUUGAUGUCUUAAUUGUGUAAGCUUCAAACAUGCAUGUUGUGAAUAUGAUGUUACUCUAGAGAGACAUAGUGUGGUUAAUUUUCUAGCAAUUUUAUUACUUAUUUUUGCCGUGACUUUUCAGAAAAAAAAAAAAAAAAAAAAAAAACCAAAACUUAUUAAACAAAACAAAAUGACAGUUUGGCGGUUUACUAUCUCCUAGGUUUUCUUAUGCAUAGCAUGGUAUAUGUGUCAAUUAGUUAACUUCACAACUAAUUUACCACUAAUUUAUUAUGUACAACUAUGAUAAUACACAUAUCGGAAAUGAUGGUUAUCAAAAAAUGGCAACUAAGGCAGUGUAGCAAACCUAUUCAGUUAGUUUUAUAUACAAGUAAAGAAAAGAGAUGAGAGAAACAAAUUAAUAUGGUAACAAACUCUCUCUAGAGAUGGAUAAAUAUAGAUACCAAGAACAAGUAAUUAAUUGGUUUUGCGAGUAGGUGGACAACCGCAAAAUAGAACAGUUUUUAUUUGUACCAAAUUAUGUAGGCUUUUGUCAGUUGUUUAAUCUCUCAUAUGAGAGAAUUGGUUCCUCCAUCUUAUAUAUCAUUAGAUCAGAUCCUUUUGGUUCAAAUUGAUCAUUUUGUUUCCGAAUCAUGAACCUGAUCCAAUUGAUUCUUAAACAAGUCUCUGGGAGAGCUUAGUUGCUUCAGGAUUUAUAUUUCUUCUGUUAUUUCCUCUUUGAUGCGUUUAUUCGUCUGGAGUUCUAAUGAGACUGAAAAUACAAGCUCGCUUCAAUCAUAAUAGCUCUAAAGAUCUCUAGUCUGGGUUCUCUAAAAGGAGAGUUAUUGAUUGGUGAUCAUCAUUUCUCAAAUUAAGUAACCUGUUAAAAAUAUGAGAGGCAGAGGGCAUGUCGCAGAACAACAUUUGAAAGAACAGGCAGUGGCAGUGGCCAUAGACAAGGACAAAGGAAGUGAAUAUGCAAUUAAAUGGACCAUUAAUAGUCUCUUAACCAAGGGGCAAGCUCUCACAUUGCUCCAUGUUAGACAUCCAAUUUAUGGCCAAAGUACGUGAAUGUCUCUCUACAUUAGAUUUUAACUUUUCAGUUUUAAACAAUCGGGUUAUUUGCAUGCUCCUAUCAUGCCCAUGUUUUCCUAAAUUUUCUAAUGUUCUCGUUAUGAUAAUGCAGAUGCGUCAACGGAGAAUCAAAAGGAUCAUCAAUCACAUGAGUUAUUCAUUUCAUUUCGUUCUUUUUGCGCAAAAAAGAAUGUGAGUCGUGCUUUUCUAUAUUCUUCUAUAAAUUUUAUCAUAGUACAUAUACUUUUGAUAGUAUUUAAAGGUGUUCAGUAAUAGUAGAAGUAAUUUUAAGUUAUUUGAAGUGUUAUAAUUUGAGAAUGAAAAGCAUUAUGUCUAAUAAUGAAUGAGCAUGAGAUUUGAAUUUACAACAUCAUCCAUCAUUACGGACAAAAUUAUUAUGUCGUAGAUUCUCAAUUGUAUAUGCAUUGAAUAAACAUUUUCUACCAACAAACCCUCUUACACGUGAAGCUAUUUUCAAGAAUUAAAAUUUAUUUAGUCCUUAUGGUUUAAAGUCGACAUUUGUUCAGUUUUUAUGGUUUUAUUUUAAUUGGAAUGAUCCUUAAAGUCACGAUUUUUCAUCCAAAUGGUCUUUCCGUCAAUUUUUUUGUCAGAAUACUGACGUGGCCGUUAAAGACAUUAUAAUUAUUCUUAACAGUCACGUCAGCAAUUUAACUGAGAAAAUUGACGAAAUGACCAUUUAGAUGAAAAAUCAUGACUUUAAAGACCAUUCAGAUUAAAAUAAAACCAAAAAAAUUGAACAGACGUCGACUUCAUACCACAAUGACUAUACAGUAUUUUACCCUAUUUUCAAAUACCUAUUAUUAUGUAUUACGUCUAUUAGUUUCCUUUCUCUUUAUGACUUGAUCUACUCCACAGAUAAAAUGCACCGAAAUUGUACUCGAGGACAAUGACAUACCAAACGCACUGAUCAAGUAUGUCAAAGCUAAUUCAAUUGAGAUUUUGGUACUCGGUGUUCCAACAAAAGGUGGCAUUUUCAGGUACUACCUUAAUCUCUCCACAUUUCUUGUCUCACAUUUGUAUUAAUCAAUCUUGAUUUUCCAACAAAAAUAUGAUCAAAUAUUCUUAGGUAAUAUCCUUUCUUUUAGGGUGAUUAAGCAGUAUUCUUAGCUUUUCUUAUCUCAAGUUUGUGUUAAUACAUCUUAAUUAAUUAAUUAAUUACACAAAUUUUAUUGUGUAAAAGAUUCAGACUUACAGAUGUACCGAGCAGUGUCGUAAAAAUGACGCCAGAAUUUUGUUCUGUUUAUGUCAUCACCAAAGGGAAGAUCUCAUACAUGCGAUGCUCCACUAUAGCCCCGCCACCACCUCCUCCAAGUAGUAGUAAUCUUCAACUGCAGGACCAUGCAAGCAAUGUUUCUGAAGCAAGUAAUUCACAAUUCAUGCGCACCCAGUUGCCUAACAUCAAAGGUUUGCAGGCUAGUUAUCUAUGUAAUUAAAUCAAACUAUUAGUUACGGGUUUAUUCACUGCUUACUCAAAUUUUCUUUAAUGUUGCAGCAUCAGAGAGGAUGCAUUAUCAAUCGGGAAACCAACAUUUUGAUGAGAUCAGGUAAGAUCGUAAAUAAUACUUUACUAUAGAGGGAAAUGCAUGUAAUGAACAUAAGUGCUACUACAGUCACCAAAUUUUUUUUUAUUUUUUUUUUAACUUUGUUUACUACAUAAUGCAUACAUGUGAGCGUUGAUGCGCAUUCUUUUAACGGGUAAGAUUAACAAAUGUCAUCAUUUUAUAGCAAGUUUGGUAAACAAAUUAUGUGAAACGAUAUUAAGUCUAAAAUGUAGACAUUUUUAUAGAAUGAAGUCUAAAAUAUACACCAGUAUGGAAAGCUUAAUUAGGUGGUAGGGCAAUAAUACUCUUUUCUUAUUGCAGGCUUUACAACAUUUUUUUGAUUUUUGUAUGUCCAAAAAAAGUUAUUUACGGCGCAUUUCGCACAUCAUAAAGGACAUACUGUAGUGCAAACCAAUUAGGAUGAUUGAGUAAAAACAUAGUUGAAUAUGUAAUAACCACUAAAAAUGAUGACACAGGUCACCAUUUAGAAGAGGAAGACAUUCGAUGGACAGAUCAUAUGACCUCUCGCCCGAUAUUGAUAUAUCAAUUGUGAGUAGUGAAAGACCAAGUAUGGAUCGCAUGUAUCCCUCUUUCUUAGAUAGUAUGGAUUCAAGAAGAAACUCUCGACAUUUGAAUAGCUCAGAAUCAGAAUACGGAAGCUCUAUGUCAUCCCACUCGAGAAGCACACAUUUUAAGGAAAUCAACUUUCCGAAACCUGAAUACUCAUCAUCCUCGUCAGUUGAUAGAGGGGAUUCUUGGUUAUCACAAAACAAUAAUAAUACCUUGGUAUGAUAGUUCAUCAUUAUAGUUAAAAGUCUAGAAGUACCUACAUAUAUAAAUUUUUGUCACCGAGAGUAGUAAUUAAUACUUCAUUUUCCAUGACAACAAUAGGAUGAUGUGGAGCUUGAGAUGAGGAGGCUCAGGCUAGAGCUCAUGCAAACAACGGAGAUGUACAAUACAACGUGUAAAGAAGCGCGGACAGCAAAGCAUAAGGUAUAUCUAACAUGAAAUCUUAUAUGAGCAUAAACUUUGUUUUCAUAAAUUAGGUGUCAUCUUUUGAAAACUUGGUAAAUUGACUUGUGAGCAUUGAGCAAUAACUGUCACAGGAAAAUGAACUUAACCGAUGCAAAAUAGAAGAGGGACAAAGAUUAGAAGAGGCGCGACUAGCCGAGGAAUUUGCACUUGUAGAGAGGGAGAAAACAAAAUGCCAGGCAGCGAUUCAAGCUGCUGCAUCAGCUAAAAGGCUUGCUGAACUGGAAGCACAAAUGAGGUGGAAUCAUGCAGAUAAUAUAGCCCGUAAAGAAUCUGAAGAAAUGAAGAAGACAUCUGAAGCAAGGGCAUACGAUGUUAGGUACAGGAGGUACACGAUUGAGGACAUUGAAGUGGCAACAUGUAAUUUUUUGCGAGCUCGCAAGAUUGGGGAAGGAGGCUAUGGGCCAGUAUACAAAGGUGAACUAGAUCACACACAAGUUGCUAUAAAAGUUCUACGUCCAGAUGCAGCUCAAGGACGAUCACAGUUCCAGCAAGAGGUCUGUGACUUUCCACAUGAACAAACUUUAACUACUAUGUUUAACUUUACAACAACGAUCAAUUCUUAACUUGUGAUUGUUCAGGUAAAGUAAUUAUCUAGAUCAUGUAUUGUUGCAUAGAUGUGACAAGUACACUUGGUUAUGUAGGUUGAAGUAUUGAGCUGCAUACGACAUCCAAACAUGGUUCUCCUUCUUGGAGCUUGUCCAGAGUUUGGUUGUUUAGUCUAUGAAUACAUGGGUAAUGGGAGCUUGGAGGAUCGUCUAUUUUGCCGAGGUAACACCCCGGUUAUCCCUUGGCAGCUAAGGUUUCGGAUUGCCGCAGAAAUUGCAACGGGGCUCUUAUUCCUUCAUCAAGCAAAGCCAGAACCCCUUGUGCACCGUGACCUAAAACCCAGCAACAUAUUGCUAGACAAUAAUUAUGUGAGCAAGAUUAGUGAUUUAGGUCUGGCUAGACUUGUGCCUCCAUCAGUGGCAGAUGUUGUCACUCAGUAUCACAUGACAUCAACAGCUGGAACAUUUUGCUACAUCGAUCCAGAGUAUCAGCAGACAGGCAUGCUCGGAACAAAAUCUGAUAUCUACUCAUUGGGUGUGUUGCUUCUACAAAUCAUUACAGCUAAACCACCUAUGGGUUUAACUCAUCAAGUAGAGCGGGCUAUCGAGACGGGAAGAAUUCUUGAGAUGCUUGAUCCUGCUGUUCAUGAUUGGCCAGUUGAGGAAGCAUUGAAGUUUGCCAAGCUUUCUUUACAGUGUGCUGAAAUGAGGAAAAAAGACCGACCGGAUCUUGGGAAGGUUGUGUUGCCUGUGCUUAACCGAUUAAGAGCCUUCGCUGAAGAUAGCUUGCAACGUGUUAUAUUUGGCGGAGGUGGAGUGCUCCCACCAAAUCAAAACUCAAAUUCUGCAUCACAAGUGAGUUGCAUGUCAUAAACAUUACCGUAAAUUUGAAGUAACCGCAUAUAUACCAUUUCUCUUGAAGAAGAAAACAUGCCGAAAAAUGAAAAUUUCACCUUAUAUACCUCAAAAUAUUCUUCUCCUUUUUACAUAUGUAUACAGUUAUACAUGUUCUUAAUUUCUUGGUCUUUUUCUUAGGAUGUCAUAAGUCGACCACAGUCUGGAUAUGAUAGCUCAAGGAGCCGUACUUCAAGCAUGUCAUCUCAUCCUGGAAGAAGUAGCUAGAGGAUUCUCAAAUUCAGAAAUAUUUCAUCUUAUUGUCAUACCUUGGGAAAAUUCAGCAAAAAUUGUAUCCGAUUGUACAAUGUAUAAUUAGAGGUAUCUUGAUAAUUUGUUUCUACAAAUUCAAUUGUAGCUAGUCAAGUUCUUGCCGGCCUUAAGUAGAUUGGAUAAGAGGCCAAAUGUGUCGGAUCAAUGACUAAUAUGAGAGCUAGAGGCUCCAUUUAGAAAUUAUAUUUUCAAUUUCAUUCAAAGCUUAUAAUUUAGUUUGCAGUUUGGGAGACAUACAUACAUGGAUCAUGGACGGUGAGGAUUAGUAGAAAUAAUAUAAAAAUAUAGUGGUCAAACAUAUAAAUUGUUAUGAACGGUUAAGAUUGCGUCGUGUAAAUACACGUCGUGCGUAUAAGAAUUUUCGGUAUUUAGAUUUAAUUUUGAUGUUACGACUGAAGUGACAAUUUUCAGUAUUUAGACUUAAUUUUGACCUUGCGACUGAAGUGACAAAAAGGUCGUGUCAAAUACCUGGCGCGUGCCAGCCCGCUGGUUUCACUUGGACGGCCCAAUACCUAUAUAUAUCGAAUUCCACUUCCUCUCUCACUCAUCAAACCCAAAAUUAAAAUCAUUUCUUUGCAAAUUUCCAAUCUGAUCUCUCACUCUCUCGCUUUGCUACGAUCAUCAACCCAAUUAGUAAGUGCACCACAAACCCUAGCCCUCUCUCUCUCUCUCNNNNNNNNNNNNNNNNNNNNCNCCUCUCUCUCUCUCUCUCUCUCUCUCUCUCUCUCUCUCUCUCUCUUCUUUAUCGUGAUUAAGUUUCUUGUUUUCUUUCGGAUCAUUUCUGGUUUUGUGAUCCGUUUGGUUGCCAUGAAACCGCACUGAAAUUGAAAUUGUUUGUUUCCGAUUCUGAAAAGCUUCAAGUGGUUACGAUUCAGUCAAUCUUGACAACCACAUGUGCAUGAUUGAUUGGAUUAUUAGAUUGGUAGGUUUUUGAAUUGAAUGGGUUUGGUUUCGAUUUCAAUUAAUUAAUUUUGUCUUGUUUGCAUUUAUUAGUUUUGGUUCUGUUGCCUUUAUUUCUUUCUUGAUUUGAAUAUUGCAAUUUCUGGAGUGAUAUGAAAUUUACUUUUUCUGAAAUGAAGGAUUUGAAUUUGUGUCCUCAGCUGGAUAUGGGAAUAUAUUUGAGCGCUCCGAAAACCGAUAAGGUAUCAGAAGAUGGUGAGAAUGAUAGACUUCGAUUCGGGGCUUCGUCUAUGCAGGGGUGGCGUUCCACCAUGGAAGAUGCUGUAAGUCUCUUUGAUCUUCUUGUUUAUUUGUUUCUGAUAUAUCUUUCAGAGUGUAGCCAGUACUUCUGUUUGGUAAUGAUCUCUUUAAGAGUGUAGCGAGUACAUUGUGUAAUGAUCCUUAAAUGGCGAUGUUAUUCUGUAUACUUCCGAUAAUCCAUGGAGAUUGACGAGUAAGAAUAGCAAGAAAAGAAAUGAGUGUUUCCUUAAGAUUCACGGAGUACCAUUUAAUGCUGAUACAGUACAGAAUUCUGUUCUAUGUCUUAUCUAGUUCUUCAGCAAGUACCAUUUAAUAUUGACAUAAUACAAAAUUUGUAGCUGUUUCCCCAUGGACGCAGGAUAACCCUGAAUUGUUGUCAUCUUCUUGGUUUUUGCGUUUUUUUUAUUUUCUAUUUUAACUGAAAUAAGUUAGAGCUUCGAAUAGAUAACGAAAGACUUGAAUACUUUGAUUAUUAGCAUUCAUAUUCAUGGUGGAUAAAGGUUUCCUAAGCCUAUUAGGACUAUUAAUCUAGGGUCAUUGAAGAAAGUUCAUUUGGCCAACUUGUUUGAAGGCAUGCUAUAUUCUUAUUUCAUGAAAGGUUAUCUUGACUUUUAAGUUGUAUUCUCCAGUUCCAAAUUUGAAUCCUCAUUCUAUUGGACUGGGUACUAUAAGUAGUUCUAAUAGGGUGUAAAAUGAUAUUGCGGUAUUGCCUAUUACAUACUAAAGGUUCUUGUUUUGUUGCAGCAUGCUGCUUUGUUAGACCUCGACAAUUCAACAUCUUUCUUUGGUGUUUAUGAUGGUCAUGGAGGUUAGCUUUUUAACUUUUUUAGUUGAGUAAUUAUAUCAUACUAUAUGAUUAUUGUAUCGACUUAGAUAAUCUUGAUCAUUAUUGUGAGAACAGAGAACAUGAUCCAUUUAUAGUCGGUUUCAACAGUCAUGUUGGAUGCCCAAGUACUUCAACCAGGAUUAAUAUUCUUUGAGAUCAUUCUUUAAAAUCUUGUACUUUUCAUAAUGGAAACCUAUUUGCAUUCAAAUCAAUUUUGUGAGCUGUGUUCCAGUUCAUAGGUUUGCUCAUCUUAUGUUUUGCUAUCUUGCUUUUCCUUGUGCAGUUGGCUUUGUAAAACUAUAAAUUUUCAGGGGCAUCAAAAUUAACACUGUUGCAUGUAGGUAAAGCUGUGGCAAAUUUCUGCGCCAAGUAUCUCCACUUACAAGUGCUUAAACAGGAAGCAUAUCUAACUGGCGAUUUAGGCACUUCCUUACAGAAAGCUUUUCUCAGGUUACUUCAUCCUUUGUAUUAACUUCAAUUUAUAAAUUAAUCGAUGCAUGCAUCUAUCAUGUCAUUGCGCAAGCACGGGGGUGCAGAUAGGUGUCAUUCUCCUGUGAGUAAAAUAUUUAGAGGAAAAAAAAACUUCAAACCUUGAAUCAUGGCCAUGAUUCUACUACCGAUGCAACCAUUAUCAUACUGUAUUGUAUUCAUUUUCCUACAGUGUUUCUCUUGCAUUAAAUCCUGUUUGUUGAAUAUUUUUUUUCUCAUGUAGUCGAUUCUGGAGAACCAUGUUUCUGCUCCAGCUUUUGUUUUUAUUACCAUUCAGAACUUAUAAGAUAUUUCUGGUUAUUACAGUACAGAAAAGAAGGGAUCACAGUGGUUGGAGGGUACAAAGAUGUUUAUAAAACUUGAGAAUAUUGUGGUAUAUCUUGGCAGACAUUGAUUUUGAUGUAGCUUUUAAUAUCUAUUGUGAAACAAAAUAAGCUGCAGAAAGUAGAUUGGGGGGGCGUGGUUGGGGAUUUAGAGGUGUGAUUAUCUAUGAAAGAGUUGCUCACCAUCUUAUGUUGCUUCUGAUUGAUGCAGGAUGGAUGAGAUGAUGCGUGGACAGAGAGGAUGGAGAGAACUAGCUGUAUUGGGUGAUAAGAUAGAUAAAGUUUCGGGCCUUAUUGAAGGGUUCAUCUUUACUCCCAAGAGUGCUGAAGCCAAGAGAAGUGCAUUCAAUGAUCAAAUGGAUCAGUGGUCAUCUGAGGAGGUAACCUUUACUGCACAUAUAAAGUAAUACUUAAUCUAUCAGAUAUAUACAGAAUGAUUUCAUAAUAGCAUUUAACUUUCACCAUAGAACGGUUAAACCCAAUAAGUUUGAAGUCCAAGCAAUAAUUAUUUUACUUGUUUUAAAAUAAAAUUAAAAAUUUUAGUACAUAUUUACCUUUUGAGCAGCGUCGGUGUGGUUCCUUGAUUUGAAUGAGGAUAUGGUGAUAAUCUUACAAUGGCAGUGUCGUGUGGUUGCUUGAUUUGAAUGAGGAUAUGAUAUGCUGAUAAUCUUAUAAUGGAAGUGCUUGUAUUUGGAAACAGACUUGUAGUACUUCUGAAAGAGUUAAAUUUCUUAAAUGUGACCAUUUCAAAUUAGUGGCUUUAAUUGCUUGCAAUUGCGUGCAUGGUAAGGUGCUAAUUGAUCACUUGCUAAAUCUGCCUUCAUGUAUACCUAUUAAGAACUAAAUUGGAUUUAUCUUAUCAAUAUACUCAUAUGGGUGGUAUAUGUAAGGCAUAUGUAGUGUACUGUGUACAUUUGUCAGUGCACAGUUACGGCUUAAAUCAUGCCUACAGUUGCAAGAUAAUUUACAUUCCAUCAUGGUUAUUCUGAUUUAGUCUAAGAGGUUUAUUAAGUUCGUUACUAGGUUGCACACAUCCAAGCUAUUCCCUGUAUAGUAGUAGAGGCUUUAUUUAUGCAUGAGCGUGAGAGAAUCCUUAUUUUUUUGGUUCCUUCUAUGUGAAGGAAGGAUGAUACUGUUAAUGACUAAGCAUCAGACGUUGAGUUAGGCCUGGUGCUCUUUCCAUUUAAAAUGUUGAAGGAGCCAAUUGAAAUGUCUUGUAGAUCCUAGUAAUCAUCAUGGAAAGGUUUUGGUUAGCUUUGAGCAUCUAUUUUGGAAAUGUUCAUCUUCUGCAUUCAGUUUAGCAAAGAUGGCAUUAGUGUUUUAGUAAAAUACUAUUCUGUGAAUUCAUUUGAGUACCCGAAUAUUCUAUUCUGAGAACAUGGUUGCUGUACUUAUGUAAGAUUGAUCUUUUUAUGCAAUUCCAUUUUUUGUAAAAGAACAAUUUUAUCUUGAAACCAGGGGCCUCACUCUGAUUUUGAUGGACCAACCUCUGGAAGCACAGCUUGUGUCGCUAUCAUCCGAAACAAUCAACUUGUUGUUGCCAAUGCUGGUGAUUCGCGUUGUGUAAUAUCCAGAAAGGGUCAGGUAUUUCUCCCUCUUUAUGCAGCUCCUCUAAAGUUUUUAGCUUAACUUAGUGCAAGGGUUCUGUUCUGAUCUUGUUCAAGUAUCGUUGUGACCCCAGCUGUGUGAACUUGGUAUAUUUGUUUUGCUGUUGGAUUAAUGUCAACACGCAGUGAUACUGAUUUAGGAUAUGUUAUGUUUCCCAAACUUCUGUAAUUGUCUUUACCAAGGUAAGAUCUUUAUGUAGUGUAAUAUUCAAAAUGCAUCAGCACUGAUAUUACAUAUAUAUUUGACACAAGACAUAUGGAGCAUAGUUGUAGAUAGAAGAAGGUUAUACGACAAUGGAGAAUUAGCUGUUGUCUGCUAAUGUGCCUAUCAAGUUCUAAUCUGAGCAGGUGUUCUAAUCUGCAGGAAUGGGUCUGGAAUUUUGCAUGUUCACGUAGAAAAUAAACAUAUUCUUAAACAUGUAAACUAAAGGAAUCUAGGUUCUUGAAGAGCCUGUCAUUAUUAAUUCACCAAAAGAAUGUUGGUGUCUAGCUUUGAAUUUGUGUUGGAUGUACAAAUUUUACUAGAAAGUUAAUGUCUGUCUGUCGUAAUAAAUUUUAUUUCACACCAACACUUUGCCAGGGACAUGAGCACUUGUAGCCAGGUUUUGUCACCUGUCCAUGAUUUUUUGUUGAUUGCUUCUUGUUUGGUAUGUAUUUGUCAGAGGUAUUGAACAAAGAGAGGAAGAUAGUGAAACCAAACAAAUAAGAUAAACACUUGAAUGGUUAUGGUCCCCAAUCUGCCAAGAAUAAGCAUCCCCGGUCUCUUGUCCCCAACUUCUAUGCUAGUUUCUAGGCAUAGAUCAAAUGAAUUUGGCUUCUUGCCAUUGUGGUGUUGUACUGCUGAGUGAUAAUCUUAUUAAGGAUGAUGUGUACCUUAUCAAAGUUAUAAAUGCAGGCAUAUCCUUUGUCUAAAGAUCAUAAGCCUGACAUUGAGAAUGAGAAGGAAAGAAUUCUGAAGGCUGGUGGAUUUAUCCAAGUUGGACGGGUCAAUGGAAGUUUAAACUUGGCAAGAGCUAUUGGUACAUCUUUUCCCUAACCUGGUGAAUAGAAAAGUGAAAAUAACCUCCUUUCACUUAUUGUUGUUUGAUAUUGUUGCUUACAGGUGAUGUGGAAUUCAAGCAAAACAAACACUUGCCUGUUGAAAAGCAGAUUGUAACUGCCAAUCCAGAUGUACAAAGUGUAUGUGAUAUGUCAUUUUGGCUUUCAAUACUAGAAUUUGACGUUAUUUUUUAUGUUUGAGGUAAAUUUUUCAGUAGCUAGUUAAUGGGACAAAUUGAUCUUUCUUCUUGUUUUGACUUUGAUUAGCAUUUAAUUAUAAAAUUUGCUAACACAAGUUAACAAUUGGGUUACUUUCAUGAAUACUUGUCAUCACGUCUCUGUUUCAUUUUAACUAAUUCUAUCCUGCUUGAUGUAGGUUGAGAUUUGUGAUGAUGAUGAGUUUCUUGUCAUAGCUUGUGAUGGAAUAUGGUACGUUAGUUUCUCCUUUUGUUAUAGUUUCUUUUUAGAAAACAAAGAAGCGUUGGUCCUAAUUUAAAGUGUAGAAAUGUGGUGCAAAUGAAGUGAAACAUAGUUCAGCUGCAAGAUAUUACAUGUCAUUAUGUGAGCUGCUAGACAUAUCAGGAGAUUUUGUUACUGUUUCAGAUUGCUUUGCUUCUUUUCCUCUUGUUGAAUUUGAGCCGUUAAGGCCAGAUCUAAAAUGUUUGGGAUUACUUUCAAGGGACAUUUGGAGGAGAUCUGUCUUUACUUUCUUUUCCUCUUGUUGAAUGUGAGCCCGUAAUGCCAGGCCUAAAAUGUUUUGGAUUACUUUCAAUGUUCAUUUGGAGGAAAUCUGUCCUUGCUUUAUUUUCCUCUUUUCUUUUUACAAGAAGUUGAUAUCUCAUUUCAAAAUAAUAAUAAGAAUUAAAUUCAGUUUACCCACAUGAAGUUUGGGAGUAACUUCAUGUUAAUCCCUAUACUUUCAAUUUCAUCAGUUUACCCCUCAAACUUUUGAAUUUUCCUCAAGCGUGACCAAAUGUCGUAUAUUCUGUCCAAAUCGGACGUUAACUGCUGAUAAUUUUAAUCUUAACUGUGAGGCCAGUAUCUAGAAUUUGGGCAAAUCGGACCUUAUAUGUCCAAAUCGAACCUUAACUGCUGAUAAUUAAAGGUCAAUUCAAACGGAAUAUGAGAAUUUGGGCACGGCAGACAGAAAUUGAAGAGUUCAAGGGGUAAACUGAUGAAAAUAAAAGUGUAGGGACUAACAUGAAGUCACCCCCAAACCACAAGGGGGUAAACUGAAUUUAAUUCUAAUAAUAAUAAUCAUAAUAAUUGAUAUCUAAAUUCAUCUCUAUAUCUAUCAGUUAACGAAAAUUUUCUUGUUUGUCACGUUCUUUAAAAAUCUGAAGUCAACACUUUGUGUAAAUUCCAUUUUUCAUAUCUUUUCAAAUUGAAAGAUUCUUUGGGUGGAAGUUUGGUAGGUAGAUGAAUUCACUAAAAGACAGUUAUAUUUUUUGCGGAAAAUAAUCACCGUCUCGGGGUCUCUCGAAAAGCCUGUAAUUGCAUGCAUUCUGAUAAUGUAGUUGAUGCAUGGUUGAAUGCAGUCCCAUAUAUUGUAUCCCUUUCUUACUGCAUGUUCAAUCAUUGGUGCCUCCUUGCUGUUGUUUUUAGAAGUACAUUGUUGUGGUAGCAUGUAUUUUUUAACAUUGCACUAAGCUAUGUCAUGUGUUCCUUUGAACUCUUCUUGUCAAUUUCAUCUUUUCUGAAACACCGGUGCAUUCUCUAUAGGGACUGCAUGUCAAGCCAACAACUUGUGGAUUAUGUUCGGGAACAAUUGAAGCAUGUAAGUUAACAUUACAUGUUUCCCUUAUGUUUCAAGUUUCAAGUUGUUUGGGCAACAUAAAUACAUUUUCAAUGAUGCAGGAAAAUAAACUGUCGGUGGUUUGUGAGCGAGUGUUUGAAAGGUGCUUGGCGCCCUCAACAGGCGGAGAAGGAUGUGACAACAUGACAAUGAUCUUGGUUCAGUUUAAGAAUCCUGUUAAUUCAACUGCUUGUAUUGGAAACAACCCUAUGUCAUCUGAUCCAUCACCUGAGAAGGCUUCUACUGGGAACCAGCCUCUCUUGUCUGAUCCAUCACUAGAGAAGGUAUCUACUGGGAACAAGCCUCUCUCGUCUGAUCCAUCACCUGAGAAGGCUUCUACAGGGAACAAGUUUCCGUCUGAUCCAUCACCGGAGAAGGCUUCUACAGGGAACAAGCCUCUCUCGUCUGAUACAUCACCCGAGAAGGCUUCUACAGGGAACAAGCCUCUCUCGUCUGAUCCAUCACCCGAGAAGGCUUCCACUGGGAACAAGCCUCUCUCGUCUGAUCCAUCACUUGAGAAGACAUACACUGGGAAUAAGCCUCAUUCAUCUGAUCCAUCACCUGAGAAGGACAAAAGCUUGGGAAAAGCUAGGUAGUGGUUGACAUAGUCAUCUGAUGGCUAUUGAAAGAAGGCAUUAUCUGAAAGUUAUGGCUCUGGUGAUUCAGGAACCAAAAAUUCAUUCGAAUUUCGAUUGAAUCCUCAUAACUGUACAUGUUCAUGGAAUUUCGUGUAGUAGUUUAGCUCGAGUUCUGUACAUGUGUUCUGAGAGUUUUGCAAGUUUUCUCCAGAUCAGAUGGAGCUUGCAGCUUUUCUGCAAAUUUUGUGGAUGGAAUUCUAAACACUACUGUCAUGAUAUGGUCCUUUACGAACAAGAUUAAGAUUGUGGAGUUUUGUAAACAAAAAGGUCAAAAGCAUUGAUGUUUUUCCUUUCAUUUCAAGAUUGUUCUGUUGUUAGGAAUUGAACAAUGCAAUCAUCUCUGUAGCUAACGUACCUCCCAAGUCCCAAAGGAGGGAACAACGAGCCAAACCUCCCAAGCCCCUAAGGAGGGAACAACAGAAGAGAUCAAAAGGUUCCAUGGGAACCUAGAAAUACAGAAUAAGCCGUGUGCCCGUAACGUUUCUAAGGUUCUUCCUAAGCGCCUAGGGUUAAGGAAAAAAGGACCCCAGUAGAAGCUAACAAGGAGAAGCCCGAGUUUGAGGGGGCUGUUCUCCUAUUGUUAUCAUCGCAGAGUCUCCCCAAUUAUCAUUCGUGGUGGACAUCCUGCAGCGGUUCCUCUCCUCCGCAUCAAUGGUGUUCCUCCGAUCUAGUAUGUAACAUGCUCCGGCCAACGAUAAAUGGUUAUACCUAAAUUACUUGAGUUCCCGUAAUGAUAGCUCACUUAGUCAUCAUUUUAUAUUCAUAGAGUACGAUUUGAGGGAAAAUUCCUGGAUGCCGAACUCUAGUUAUAUAGCUAUAAAUCGUAAAAAGCACAUGGUUCAUGCAUCUUCAAACAUAUAAUAGAAUCAAAUACAAACACAUGUGUAUUGUAUUCAUGUUCAUAUUGGAACAAAACUAAUUUCAUUAGCAUGUUGUAGGACACGUAUGUUAAUCAUCAAUAUGGGACCCGCUUCAUUAUUGCGGACAAUGCGGACCUUUCCCACAGGGCCAUGGGCACCCCUUAUUUGAAGGGAAGGGAUUUCAUAUGCUGCCAUUCUACUCCCACGUACGCGUGCCACGUGUGAGUCACAUGUAUCCUCAUUAUCCAUUUCCCAGUCCAACAGUAUUAUCCAACAGUGUCUCAGCUUUUCAAAGCAAUAUCUUUUUCUUAAUUUACGGGCCACGAGAUAAACGCCACAACGCCUUUUAUCUGGCCACACACAAAUCUCCACGUGUUCUCGUGCAAAGCAAUAAUUCACUUUUGGUGUUUUUACCUUCUGCCCAGUAAUAAUAAUUCAAGAAAUUACGUGGACACGCGGUGAUUUUUUUGUGGAAUUGUAAUAGAGGGCCCUAGAUAUAGAUUAAUUCUGUUUGUUCCGCCUAGGUUUCGGUAUUUAGCCAGAAAGGACCCCUGUUGAGGUUAGUUUGGUCUUUCCAAAUGACAAAAGCUUUUAAAAUAUUUCAGUGUAAAUCUUCUGUGUAAUAACUUGCUAAUUGAGACGGAGCAUCGGUUUUUCUUCUACGUUGCCAUGGUGUGACCGAGACGUAUGUGUGUCAAGUCAUGUGAAUUAUGCAUUUAUGCUGGUGAGAUGGUGACAUGAUAAAUUUUUUGAACUGUGGUUAUAGCGGUUUAAAAGUGUAAUAUUAUAUAUAUAUAUAUAUUUGUUUUAAUUAAAGUAUGGAAAGUGAGUAAACCCUAUUUUUAAUAACCUCAUUACAAGUCAACGAAAAUCUCACUGAAUAGCGAGCAUAUAAACAAAAAAUUUCCGGUUUUCUACAGCAAAUUCAUCUUUUAAAUUCUCAUUAACCAGUCACGCAAUGUUGAAUAGGAUCUCCAGCAACACUAAAACCAGUGGCAAGCUAGAUAGAAUUUGUUCAACAUACCAAAAUUCAAAUUAUGGCUAAUACUAGCAUUUCCAUUAAAUUUGAAACGAAAAUAUUUUAGCUAAUUUAAUUAUUUUUGUUUCUUAAAAAUGGGCAGGCGCCUAUGUAACGUAAAACAUUUUCACGAUUGCAUGAACAAGUCAAUUGUGGCUAACAUUUUUUCUUUCCGUCAACAGCUAAUGUUUCGUUCUACAUAAGCUGCCAAAACAAGGUGCUAAUCCAAAUUGGAUAAAAUUAUUGGAUCUAGCUCUCUAGAUGCAUCUUUGAUAAGAUUUAGUGCUUGUAAUUAGGUAUAUCGAUAUCUUUCUUUCAAUAGUACCAAUGAAUAUAGAAUUUCAUUACUAUUUACUUGUUCAUCAAUCAAUUAUUCUCCAUCAUAUUUACUUAAUCCACAUAUGUGUUCCGAGCUCACAUAAUGACACAAUGAUUGAGAAUACAUAAAUAAUAAAUAGAAUCAAUAAAUAAUUCAAAGAAAGCUGGUGAAAAGGAGGGAAUAGUUUCCAAUAAAAAAAAAAAUGUGAUGGUAUUUAAUACACAACCGACAACGAAACAUUUUUUUAGUAGUCAGGUCAUUCUCUUCUAAACAAAAUGUAGAAUCGGUAUAAGAACGUAUUAGCAUAUCUGCGUACAAAAUGAAUUAAAAUUUUCAAAGUUGAAUACAAGCUUGAUGUUGAGAUGUUGAAAACGGUCCAUUACUAUAAACCAAAAAUGAUAUCAAGAAGAUGUAAGAAUGAGACUUAGCUUAGCCACAACAUAUUAAAAAUUCUAAAAACCGGGUCAAUGACUUCAGCCUAAUGAAUUGAGAAAACCGAAAAGAGCAGGGUGACCAGGUGAAGGGGACCAGAUUGAUUAGUGAAUAAUCACAAGAUAAACCCAAAGCAAUGUUGAAUCAGUCUACUUCAAGGUAGGACCAAAGUGCAAAAAUAUCAAACAGUAUUGCCAAAAACGCAAAUUUCCCAAAAAAUAAAAAUAAAAAUAAAAAACCAACAGAAUAUUCCCAAGAUAAACCCAAAGCAAAAGUCACCCGAAACCGAAACUGACUCAGACCGAUCGAGCAAACCAGAUAAGCACUGGUCUGGUUUUUCUAAUCCGAGAAGAAGAAGAAGUGACACGUCACCUUUAAAACGGACCCAAUUGGAUAAGGACCUCAUAAACCUCUCUCCCUCCCUCCCUAUAAAUACACCCCCACUUUGUCUUUGAAAAAGCCCCAUAAUUCCCAUUCUAUUCUAUUCAAAAAAUCAUUGAAAUUUCAAAGCAAAAGAGAGAGAGCAGACCCGUCUCCCUUGCCCAUUUUUCUAUUUGGAAACAAGAUCCUGAUAUAGCCAUUGUUUAUAUAUAUAACCUUUUUUGGGGUUGUGUGGUUUUAUAUAUAAGACCCAGGUGAGAAGAGGUUUUGGUGAUUUGGGUUCUUGAGGUUUUGAUUGAUUUUGUGAGAUUUGAAAUGGCUGCUGCUGCUGCUGGUGUUAUUGGAGGAAAUGGGUCUUCUUGGAUUAACUCGUUUAAGGAUAAGUCUUCGAGGAAAAAGAAGACUGUGAACCGGGUUAUGGUUUCUUGUGUUUCUUCUAAUGUGAUGGAUCCGUAUCAGACUUUGAGGAUCCGACCCGGUGCCUCUGAAUCUGAGGUCCGGAAGGCUUUCAGACAGCUUGCCUUGCAGGUUUGAUCUCAUCCCAUCUUUUCUUUUUCGCCUUUUGAUUUCUUGAACAUGUUUUUGUAUUAAUUUACAACUAUUUUAUUUGGUGAUUUUAUUGCUUGUUUUUGGGCCCUGUUUGAUGAUUGUGUUUGUUUUAUGGAUUGCAGUAUCAUCCAGAUGUGUGCAGGGGAAACAAUUGUGGAGUUCAGUUUCACGAAAUCAACGAGGCUUAUGAUGUAAGUACUCAUGACUUCCUUCUUGGCGUAUUGUUUUGUAUUCUGUUGUUUUCACAUAUGGCCAGCCUUUGUGAUUUAUGUGUCAAGCCUGCUGUUUUGUACACAUGCAUGUAUUUCUUGGAUAUAAUUUUAGUACAGAACCAUUAGAGUUUUUGGGUGAUUGGAGAAUUAGCUUAAUAGGUUGUGUUGAUUUGUUUUCUUUCACUACUAGUGGCUAACAAAAACCGAUUGGGGGCAAACAUUGAUUGCUAAUUUGGAGUUCUCUAAACAAUUCUAGCGAGUUGCAUUGAAAUUAACAUCUUUGUUUUACCUUAAUUGAUCGAUUGGUGUUCAAAAGUUCAUUUCUCUUUCAACAUAAAUGGAUUGUGUUUGUGAAGACAACCCUUUUACCAACUUUCUUGCAUAAAGUAGGAUUCACCUACUCCAUCCAUAGCCGGGAACAAAAUUGAGAGUGAUUCGUAGCCACUUCCCUGAAAGUAUAUUGGUAAUCCCACUCUCUCACUGAGAGUCGGUGGAGUCACAAUACUACUAUGGGACUCAUGAUCUAUAUGAUGAGAGAGUUGGGAUAAAGUUGUUGGAUUCCAUGGACUGUUUUGAAGAAAAUUUGUAAACCAAUGGAAUAUGGUGAUUUAAGUAAUCCUUAACAUCUUGUGAAUUGUGGGGUGAAGAUUUAAUAAUGUGAUGGGACUGCACCAGAUCAUUCACAAUCAACUAGCAGCAUCUUUUUAGAUGUUGCAAGAAAUUCUUUUGUGGUAUUAGGUAAUGAGGUUCCUGGAUAAGUACGUGAUUAGGAUGUUUUAACAAGUGGUAGGGUCUUAAAGGAUAGUGUGCUCCCUGAUUAUGAUGUUUAAUAAUUAUCUUAUUGAUUUUCCUAUGAUUUGUUUAUGCAGAUUGUUAUGAGCAACUUGAGAGACGAAACGACUCCAAUACAGAUGUAUGAGACAUAUGAUGAAGGAGAGGAUGAUUCGAUGAGAGGAAUGAACGAUCCAGAUUACGAUAUGUGGGAGGAAUGGAUGGGAUGGGAAGGAGCUGGUAUUAGGGACUACACAUCUCAUAUAAAUCCUUACAUUUAAAGAAAGAACCAAUUGUACUACACAUCUCAUAUAAAUCCUUACAUUUAAAGAAAGAACCAAUUGUAAUUAAUCAAUAGAUGGUUCACUCUUCAUCCAAAUCCAUUACAACCUGAAUGGUUGUUCCUGUAUAUAAUCCAAGCAAGGAUAUAAAUAUCCUUUUUGUACAUAUCCCAAGCUAGAGAGGUGUUUUCCCUGGCAUUUUACAAAUGAAAAGUCCUCAAGAUUUUGCUUCUUACACUUGAGUAGUGGCAUUGAUCUCUAUUUUUCCUUAUACUGGACGAUAUCUUGUACCAUUCGGGUCAUUGUCUAUUUCUUAAAAUGUUUUGUGUUUUAGUAAUUUGUCUAUUCAUUCUGAUCUGAAAGAGAAUCUUUACCUUAGAGCCAGGACAGAGUCUGGAAAUACCAGCCCAAGUCUAGUGCAGAAAUUGGGGUUGCCGAUGACCUCUUGAAUGUCGUUUGACCGAUGCUCGUCUACACUGGCCUGACUGAGCAGCUGCAACGUUUCUUCAAGGUCAAAUUAUCAGCAGCCAAUGCGACAUUGUCAGCCAGAAAAGAAGCUAGUUCUUCUACCAGUGUCUCAAGGGGAAGAGGAAUCUGGAAGCUUGGAAGGCUGGGAAGUAGUGACGAGAGAGAGGCUUCUGAAUGUGAGCGAGAUGGUAGAGUUCUCACAGGAGUUGUUGUCAUGGCUCAACAAGAGUUCUGCGAGUGAUCUGCAGGAGGCUUUCGACAUAAUUGGUGUAGUGGUGAUGUGCUGUCGGGUGGCAUUACACUAUGCGAGGACUUUGUGCGAGAGAAUCAGAUGAACUACUGAGGGAGCUGUACGUGAUGUGUGUAUUGUAUUAGUAGCAGGGCGAUGACAGACCUGUGCCCAUUAGUGUUAAAUUUGUGUUCCAUGCAUACAUACCGCCAUGAAUUUUGUGGGUAGAGACAGUCUUCUGUAGCACAUAUGGCUCCUUUGUGAUGAAAAUUAUUUUUCUCCCCACAGGCAGAUGUUGAAGCGCAAGUUUCUAGUCAUUGACAGCCAAGAAUAGAGUUUUUCUUUCUUAGCCGCCGGGAGUUUUCUCUUGCUUCCUUACACUAGAAAAUUUGCUUUCAAGUAAAUUUGCAAAGGUAAUAACCCAGUCGAGAUACAAAAGUGAAAGAUUUUGGUAAAUUACUAUUUGCUUUACACUGCGAAAAAAUAGGUGACGAAGUUUCUUUAGAAAAGAAAAAUUCGUUCUAGAAAAAUUUUGAAAUAUAACCACGGGCCAAUUACAUAGAAGUCCACUUAGUGACAUUUUAUCCUAUAUAGGUCCACCUAAAUAUUUUUACCCACAUAAGUCCACCCAACUCUAAAUAGUGUCUUAUAUUUGGUAUUAAAGUUCAACAAAAUUACAGACUGCCAUCCAACAAAAAAAAAAUUAGAUUUUCUCUCUUAUAUUUACAAAAAUGUUACUAAUGUAAAAAGUCAACAACCACAAAAAGUCUUUGACCGAACUCCGGCAAGGUCUCUGGCCGACCUCCGGUGAACUUUCCGGCCGACCAUCAAUGAGGAUUCUAGUGACCACAAAAGCUACUACCACCGAUAACAAAAGAUACUACCGACAGCAACAAAAUAUACUGGCACCAGAAAAAAAAGCUACUACCACUGACAACAAAAAAUAUUACCGCUAGCAACAAAAGAUACUACCGCCAGCAAAGAAACCUACUACCAUUGACAACAAAAGCUACUAUCGCUAGCAAAGAAAGCUAUCACCACCAGCAAUAAAAACUACUACCGUCAACAAAGAAAGCUACUACCACUGACAACAAAAGAUACUACCGACAACAACAAAAUCUACUGUCACUAGCAAAGAAAGAUACUACCACUGACAACAAAAGGUACUACUGCUAGCAACAAAAGGUACUACCGCUAGCAACAAAAGGUACUACCGCCAGCAAAGAAAACUAUUAUCACUGAUAAUAAAAGAUACUACCAUCAUCAACGAAAACUACCACCACUAGCAACAAAAAUUACUACGUACUAUCAGCAACCAAAGCUACUACCACUAACAACAAAAGCUACUUCAUCAGCAACAAAAAAUACUACAGUCAACAACAAAAGCUACUACUGCCGACAACAAAAAGUACUACCGUCGAUAACAAAAAAUACUACCGUCAGCAUAGAAAUUGAAAAAAAAAAAAUACUACGAUUAUGUAUACAAAAUACUAUGAUCAUGUUGAAACAUACUAAUCCAGACAUUAAAAAGUAUUAUCACUGUGUUCAAAAUAUACUAACAUAAAAUUGGAAAAUAUUUGGCAGGGCUGCCAUUAACUCUAGCAACAAAGUGCAAAAACAUAAAUUUGUUUCGCAAUCCUAUUCUUUCCCUUAGACUCCACCACUGAUUCGAUCAAUUCGUUGAAGUUCGACUUCUCCGCAGCAACCGGCGCUUCCUUCACCACCAUAUCGGAAAUCCCGUUCCACAGAUCCUCCACCACCACAGAUCGACUUCAAAUCAGAGAUCGAUGACUCCAAAUUAGAGAUCGACGUCGAAGAAAGGCGUACUACUGAUCAAGUUAGCAUCCUAAAAUCCACAAACAGAAAUAAGAAAAGCACCGAUCUAGUUAACAACAUCGUCUACGAAAUCUAAGAUUGUAGUGAAUUCAAACCUUGAGUGAGGAGGAAGGACGAAGAUGGAGCGGAGAUCGCAGGCCUUGUUGAUCUUCAUCUUCAUUUUGCUUCGGAUCGGCGAGUUAUAGGUUUGAGAGGUACGGUCGAAGAUUGAUCUGCAACGGAGGUGAAUCCACCGAGCGCCUCUUCGGCAAGAAGUCUGCCGCUCGGAAAACGCAGUCAACCGAUUCCAGAUGAAGUUGGCGAAGUCGAUCUAUGACACGGUCGAUUAGGAUACAUGUUGGAGUCGUCGUCGUUCAUGGAGGUUGUCAUCAAUGGCUUCAGCGACGAUGGAGUCGAGAUUGGUGGAGAGAGAGAGAACGAGAGAGAGAGAGAGAGAGAGAGAGAGAGAGAGAGAGAGAGAGAGAGAGUAGUAGUAGAGNNNNNNNNNNNNNNNNNNNNNNNNNNNNNNNNNNNNNNNNNNNNNNNNNNNNNNNNNNNNNNNNNNNNNNNNNNNNNNNNNNNNNNNNNNNNNNNNNNNNNNNNNNNNNNNNNNNNNNNNNNNNNNNNNNNNNNNNNNNNNNNNNNNNNNNNNNNNNNNNNNNNNNNNNNNNNNNNNNNNNNNNNNNNNNNNNNNNNNNNNNNNNNNNNNNNNNNNNNNNNNNNNNNNNNNNNNNNNNNNNNNNNNNNNNNNNNNNNNNNNNNNNNNNNNNNNNNNNNNNNNNNNNNNNNNNNNNNNNNNNNNNNNNNNNNNNNNNNNNNNNNNNNNNNNNNNNNNNNNNNNNNNNNNNNNNNNNNNNNNNNNNNNNNNNNNNNNNNNNNNNNNNNNNNNNNNNNNNNNNNNNNNNNNNNNNNNNNNNNNNNNNNNNNNNNNNNNNNNNNNNNNNNNNNNNNNNNNNNNNNNNNNNNNNNNNNNNNNNNNNNNNNNNNNNNNNNNNNNNNNNNNNNNNNNNNNNNNNNNNNNNNNNNNNNNNNNNNNNNNNNNNNNNNNNNNNNNNNNNNNNNNNNNNNNNNNNNNNNNNNNNNNNNNNNNNNNNNNNNNNNNNAAAACCUUAGGAAACAUUGUAACCUCUAUUCGAUAGAUUACAAAAAAUACCUUCCCCUUGGACUUCAGUACAUACAUCCAUAUAUAUAUAUAUAUAUAUAUAUGGAGCCCUUCUAAUGAGGACCCUUAAGUUGAGGACUUGGUGAGGACUUUUUGGCUUAUCCCACCUUUCGAUCUUAUAUCAACAUCUUGACCACUCAGUUUAUAGGUAUUUAUGAGUAGAUCAUUUCUCCAAAUUUUCAGCUAUAUUGAAAAUUGUUAAAGCAUUCAUAAGUGUGAUUUAUCAAUUAUGAACUUGAACGGUUCAUAUUUGACAGAUUUGGUUCGCCCAUUAAUUUGAUCUAGUUUGUUAUCUUAAGGAACACCAAUUUAGGUGAAAAUUUGUAGAAAUGAUCUACUCAUAUAAACCUAAAAACUGAACGGAUGAGAUGUCAAAAUGUAAUCUAAAAUUGGGUCUUUUAAACCAUAAACCGAAAAGUCCUCAACUUAAGAGUCCUCACUAAAAAGGCUCCAUAGUUCCUAUCCAAAGCAAAGCUUCGUUUUGAAAUUAAAGUGUAAAGUUCCUUAUUUGACUCACUUUUCGGUCAUAUUUCCACAUCUCAAUCGUUGAGUUUAUUGAUACUAAUGUAUAGAUCAUUCCUGCAAAAUUUCAUCCAAAUUGAUGAUCGUUAAUGUACCGAAUUAGAUUAAAUCAAUGAACGGACCAUAAAUCUGUCUAACCAGUACUAUCUGUGUAAAUAAUGAUUACGAAAACCCAAAUGAUCUUCAAAUUUGAUGAAACUUUGCAGAAUUGAUCUAUACAUUAGAUUCUACAAACUAAACGGUGGAGAUAUGGAAAUAUGACCGAAAAACGAGUCAAAUAAAGAACUUCACACUUUAAUUUCAAAGCGAAGCUUCGCUCUGGAUAUGAACUGAUAUAUAUAUAUAUAUAUAUAUAUAUAAAGAAUCUUUGUUGAAGACAUUGAUUGAUAAUCUCUUUGUGUUUCAUUUAUAUAAUGGGAUAAUAAUUUACUAGUUGGGAUUUGAUUAUGUUCUUGAAUAAUAAGGGUUUUUUAGGGCUGUUCAAGAAGAUGGAUAUAAUAAGUUGAAAUUGAGAAUUAAAAGUUUGGUUUGUUUGCAAGCAUGAUUGCGUGGUUUGGUACAAGUAUAAUUGUGUGCUUCUUCAUUUUUGUUGAUGAAUACCGAUGGAUUAAGGGGUGAGAAUUUUAUUAUUUUGUUAGAUUGUAGUUGUACAGGCCUUUGCCUGCAAAUAUUGUUUACGUUUGGCUGCUAGUAUUCAUAUUAAGUUUUGAAUUCAUUAGGAAUGACUGAUUAAAGCAACGUCAAAGAGAUUUCAAAGAGAAAACGAGAAGCAACACUUUUAACUUAUCGAUAUGACGAGUAUCCUUUUCCUCUCAAUACUAAAAGAUUAGUUUUCAUGAGGGCACUUCUGUUGCGGACCACUUUGUUGCGGACUCUAUGCGGACUUUUAAACAUACACCGUUAGAUUAGAUCAAUGGUCUACAAUUGAAGAAGUAUAAACUAUUCUCAUGAGGCCACAUGUAUCCAAACUCUCCCACGCUGCCUUCAUACUUCUCUGAGUUCUCUCAGUCUCAGACUCUCUCCUCUCUUCGUUUCCCAAAAAUUUCGAAUCCCUUUCUACUGUUUUUCAUUUUUCUUUUGUUUUUCCUUUAAUUUUGAGUUCCUAACAUGAUUUUACAAUCGUAUUUUUUCUCAUACACCUCCGUAUGAGCCUUGAGAAAAUGUUGUGAAGGAGGAGGGAUUGAGAUCCCACAAAACAAAAUUGAAUCCUGCUAACAAUAAGCACUAGCAUACCCAGUAGCCCAUGGGGAGAAAAGAGAGAAAUUUUACUGUUGGAGAAAAGUGGCCAUCAAAGGAUUUGUUAAUGUUGUCUGGGAAACGAAGAGAGGAGAGAGUCUGAGACUGAGAGAACUCAAAGAAGUAUGAAGGCAGUAUGGGAGAGUUUGGAUACAUGUUGCCUCAUGAGAAAAGUUUAUACUUCUUCAAUUAUAGACCAUUGAUCUAAUCUAACAGUGUCUGUUUGAAAGUCCGCAUAGAGUCCGCAACAGAAGCGACCCCUAGUUUUCAUAUCCUAGUUUUCAUAGGAGGAAGGUAUUGACUAUAAUACUCCAUUCUCGAACGUCAACAGACAACAUUGAGGUUAUUGGGCUUGCCCGUGAGUAGGAAUCAAAGCCUCAAAGGGUCUGACAAUGUGUUUUCAUAAUUUCUGAAGAUACAAGAUUACAAUACAUAGAUUGAGUGAGAGUUUAAUAAGGGUCUUAAUGACCUUUUACCUUUUUAAAAUGUCAAUUUUCAACUAAGAAAGAAAACAUGGUCAGAAAUCAACUUGAUGACCAAAAAAGGGUUAUUUCUCAAAGUUUCUUGUCCUAGUAAUUUUUUUAUAUAUUUUUCUAACUUUUGGACUUCCCAUUUCUGACUAAAGACUACAUUUCUUCUUCACCAUUUUGUACCAUCUUACCUGAAGAAGUAGUAGAUCAUAUCCGGGUUACUCCUCUCCCUUAUUUUCCUCAAAAUGAUAAUUUGAAUUGGGGCCUCAUUGGCCAUGGAAAUUUUACCAUCAGCUCAACCUCUCGUUUACUGACACAAAAUUUGACAGACCACUCUCAAACCCCUCUUUUAAAGAAAAUUUGGAAGCUCUGUGUUCCACCUAAAGUUAAAGGUUUUGCGUGGAAACUCAUAAGAAGUAGACCGACGAGAGAUGGACUCUUUAAGGCAUGUUGAUAGAAGUUGUCCGUUUUGUCAUUAUACUUUAGAAACUGUUGAUCAUCUAUUCCUAAAUUGUAUUGGAAAAGUGUGGCUUAGAUAUAAGCCAUUUGGAAUCUCACAUCGGAAACGUCAAAGAGUCAUCCUUGAGUUAUAAGAAAUGGUACCACACACACUAUUAUCAAGAUCUUUUGUGUAAAACCUCAUACAUGUUUCUCCACCGGGUGGCUAAAGUGGGGGGAGUAUCGACAUUAUUGGACGUGUCACGUGUGUGUGGGACCUGUGGGGCUCGUCAGCCGCUUCCACGUAACAAGUGGUAUCAGAGCCCAGGUGACGCUUGGGACUUGGUGUCUCAUACGAUCGAGUUGCAAUUUGAUGGAGCUCCUGUUUGGAUUGGGAUCACAAGAUGAAGAUGGUUGUGAUCGAGAUUGAGCUAUUGGAAUUUGGAUCGUGAGACAAUUAGAGAUGGCUCGAAUCAUGCUAGGUGGAGAUUAUUGGAAAAAUGUGGCUUAGAUAUGAGUCAUUUAGAAUCCCACAUCGGAAACGUGAAAGAAUCACCCUUGGGUUAUAAGAAAUGGUACCACACACACUAAUGUCGAGACCUUUUGUGUAAAACCCCAUACUUGUUUCUCCACCGGGUGGCUAAAGUGGACGUGUGUGUAGGACCCGUAGGGAUGGUAAUAAUCCCCAGCGGGUAGGGUACCCACGGGUAUUCGACCCUAACGGGGAGAUAUACGAGGAUAAACGGGUGACGGGUACGAGGGUCCUCAGUAUUUAGAUUUUUGAAUCGGGUACGGGGCGGGUAUGAUAUUUUGAUAUUCGUCCCCAUCCCCACCCAUUUAAGAUGGAAAUAUUAUUUUUUAAUAUAUAUAAUAUUUAAAAAUAGAUAUUUAUGUAAAAUCUUUUGUAAUAUUUUUUUUACUAUGAUUUUCUUAAUGAAUAUUUAUAGAAACUUCUUUUUUAACCGAGACUUGUAUUCGUUUUUGUUGGAUUGAAUCAAGAAACUUAUUUAUAUAUGUAUUUGAUUUUAUUUUCAUAUUUCUAUAUUUCGUAAUUAUUUUUAAAAAAUUAAUUAUCACAUAAUUGUUAACGGGGAUCGGAGCGGGUAUGGGAAUGUAAUCCCCAAAGAGGACGGGUACGGGGAAUCCCUAUUAUCUAAUUACGGGGAAUGGGGCUGAUACGGGGAUGAGGAAUGAAAAAAGGUACGGGUAUGAUAUUUUGAUCCCCUGACCCUACUCUACCUAUUGCCAUCCCUAGGGACCCGUGGGGCCCGUCGGCCGCUUCCGUGUAACACAUUGUAGGUUUACAACAAGUUUGGUAGUUAGCUAUUCCUAACUUACAAAUUCAUCUCUUGAACUCUUUUCUACAGUGGCUACAUUCCUUAUUUGUUACUCCGUCAUCUUUAACUCUUUUAGAAAUAGUACUUACUACAUCAUACAGUUAGCUAUUCCUAACUUACAAGUUCAUCUCUUGAACUCUUUUCUACAGUGGUUACAUUCCUUAUUUGUUACUUCGUCAUCUUUAACGUUUUUAGAAAUAGUACUUACUACAUCAUACCGUCUAUGGAAAGCAAGAAAUGUUCUUGUCUUUAGAAACGAUGUUGUCCAUCCUGAAAAUGUUGUUUACUCUGCAACGAAUCUUUUUCGUUAUUAUUUUACUAUUAAUGCUGAUUACACUAAGAAAUCUUACAGGUUUGUUAAGCCAAUUCGUUGGCAUGCUCUUCCUCCUCAAGCAUUUUAGCUCAAUUUUGACGAAUCUGUUUAGAAUCACGCUACUUCAUCAGGGUUUGUCAUUAGAGAUGCAGAUGGUCAACCUAUUGUAGCAUCUACAAAAUAUAUUGGUCCUAAUGAUGUAUUUACUGCUAAAGCUUAUGCGUUACGUGCAGGUUUAUUAGCAGCCUGGAUCCAUGGUUAUCAAAAAAAUUUAGUUGAAAGAGAUUCGUAAAUCCUUAAUUCCAUCAAUGGUACGUGUCUUACCCUCGGAAGAUUCAACUUUUUGUUAAAGACAUCAUCUUCCUUGCCUUUAAAAUUGGUCAAGUUUCUUUCACACAUAUUCAUCGAGAAGCAAACUUUGUCGCGGACGCUAUUGCAAAUUUGGGACAUCAACUUGAAACUCAAGCUUGGGACAGAUCCCUUCCUCUUGCAGCUAGUCAGACAUUCUAUUUUGACUCUCUAGGUGUUGGUUGUAGUAAGGGUUUUGUAAUUUGAGGUUGUCUUUAUUUUAUCUCUUGUCAAAAAAAAAAAAAAAAAAAACAAAGUUCUCCACUAUCCUUUCUUUGUUAUCUCCACUUUGUCUUGUUAUCUGUAAAUAUCAAAUGUAGAUCACAUCAACGAACAACAAAAAUGUUGAAUGUAUACUAUACCCCCAAAUCACUAUGUUAUGUUACAAAGGCUUUGGUUCUUUCACUCCUAAAUCUGGCAGAGAUGGGCUUUACUAUUUCUAAUGGAGGUGCCCUUGGGAUUAAGAAGAGCAACAAGUCUCCGAAAAAGCGAGUACGUCCGAGGAGGAGUCGCAACAAGAAUAAGCUACAGUUGGGAGAGUGUUUGGAUUCUAUGGAACUAGGAUCGACAUAGAUCACAGAUUGUGACAAAGGCCUCGACUUAGAGGUUGAAGCAAAAUAAUCUCGUAGUGUAACUGGGAAAGAUCCAUGUUUAUGCCCCAAAAGUGUUGAUUCUCUUCUACUUCGAUGAAAGGUACAUUAUUGGGUUCGAGGCCUCUAAUCGGGGAGAGAAGUGUUGCUCUUAGGGUAUGGCAGGGUAACUUGCUUUCUAGUAUAUAUAUUUCAUAUCCACCUUUCUAGUAUGGUUUUUUUUUCAAUUCCCAGACGUAAUUCGAUUUAGUUUUGCUAUGCAGUUGUAUGGUCUUCAGACUAUUCAUGUUUGACAUUUAGGUCGUCAUGUUGAUCAAUGAAGAUUUUUCUUUUUCCCUAAAAAAAAAAAAGUUUGAAAUGAGUAUCUAGUAUUUAGGAAUCUGUGAAUAAAAUUUCUUUGUUGCUUAUAAGUUGGCUAGCCCGGUUUAUAAAUCUUCAUUUUCAUUUCAGGCUGAGUAAUUAAGUUCAGCUUCGAUUUUUAUUUGGCUAUCUUAUUACAUGAUAUAACCGAUGGCGAAAACACAACGUAUCUUUAUACAGAAAAAAAAGAAAAAAAAAAAGUUAAAGGUUUAGAAUAUGUUAACAAACACCCUUGUCGUUCAUUCUUCCUUUUUUCCUUACGAGAAAAUCCAGAAAGUUUGAGAAAACAAAAGAAAAAUGAGAUGGACCUGGUUGAUGCUGAUAAAUUGGAAGCACCAGAGUAGGUGCAGUGGCACUGUACGACCCAUCCUAAGCGGUUCAUUUUAGGGAUACACACAACCAGACAAAUUCAACACUUUGUGUACAAAAUCACAUUUAUCAAUUUCUUUUUUAUAUUAUUCGUAUCAAUAUAAAAUAAAACUAAUAUAUAUUAUUAUUAGCCUUUUCCAUAUGUAUUCUUUUUUUUUUUUUGGCGAGAUUUCCAUAUGAUUCUUUGGUCCCUGUAACAAACCUCCUGAUUCCCCUACUCCGAAGCUUCAAUCACCUCCUCAUUCGGGCCAACUCCAAAGGCCAAUAUCUCUCUUCUUCCUUACGCCUCCUCCUCUUUCUCUCCCUCGCUCUCUCUCCGAUUCCGAAAUCUAGGGCUUCUUAUUCUGUGAAUCAAUUUCGUGCUUUGGAAUCGUUCAGUUCCGGUUCGAGGGAGCAGAGGAUCAGUCUUCAGUCGCGCCAGGUGUUCUUUCUCGCCUUUUAGUUUAUGAAUUUUCAUAUUCUGUGCCCUUGUAUGUAUUCAAAUGGUUAUACGCGUACUCUGGAUAUGUAUGUAUGUAUUUUUGUGUAUUUGUGGUUUGGAAACUGGAAUUGCGGCACUAUAGAUGUGAUCAUUGAGUUGAAUGCUUCGAUGCUGUUUUUAAUCACCUGAAUUUUAUUUAGAAUUGCAACUUAUGACUGCGUUUCGGACUGCAUUUGUGAUUUUUACUUCAACAGUGCAAGUAGUAGUCCUACAUUGGUUGGGCAAAGGGUUCGCUAAAGGCAUAUACACUCAUUUGUAUCUCUGAUUAGUUAAUAGGUCAAGAUUAAGCUUUCAGGAGCUGUUUAUGACUUUAUGUACAUGUAGGAAGGGUUUUUUUCGCACUCGUCUUGCAUUGGUUGAGGUUUUAUGACUGAUUGUUUAUGCUGCGUCCUUUAAUUCUUUUUUAGAAAUUAUUUGUCAUGUUUCAGUAUGGAAUUUAUCAAAUUCAGCGCAUAUUUGCCAUGUGAUAAAGUAGGAACCAAAUGCAUAAAAAGAGCUGAGAAAUUUUAGGAGAGUUUUUGAGAAUAACUUUGGUAUUUGUUGCAGCAUUUUGGGGCUUGUAGAGAUGGAUGACAUCAAAGAGCGGCUGCUUCCGCCAAAAGUUCCGAAACCUGCAUCUGCUAUUAAUCUUCGAGAUUCAUCUUUUCGAUCAUCGGCCUUUGGGAGGCAACCUUUUCAAGGCGUGGAUGUUCUGGGGCUGAAGAAGCGGGGCCAGGGCCUUCGGUCCUGGAUUCGUGUUGAUACAUCUGGGAAUUCUCAGAUCAUUGAGGUUGACAAGUUCACCAUGAUGCGACGUUGUGAUUUACCUGCCCGUGAUUUGCGCUUGCUUGAUCCUCUAUUUGUGUACCCCUCAACCAUCCUUGGCAGAGAGAAGGCUAUUGUAGUUAAUCUGGAGCAGAUCCGUUGUAUUAUCACGGCUGAUGAGGUUCUGCUUUUGAAUUCCCUUGAUAACUAUGUAUUGCAGUAUGUGGUGGAGCUACAGAAAAGAUUGACAACAAGUGGUGUAGGUGAUGUUUGGCAGUCUGAUGGUUCUGACAUGAGUAGGAGGAGGGGAGGUAGAAGUUUUGAUAAUGUGUUUGGGAGCACAUCUCCUGACUAUUUACCCUUUGAAUUUAGGGCUUUAGAAGUUGCUCUGGAGGCUGCCUGUACAUUCCUUGAUUCUCAGGUGUGUAGAAGAGUACAAUAAUUUGGAUUUUCUAUCUCUGUCAAUAUUAGAUGUGUGGGUGAUGACUGUUUAUAAUAUGAUGCUUGAACAUGCACAUAAUUUGCUAUAUUGAGGAGGCUUUCAAACAAUGGUGAUAUUGGCAGUUGUGUUUUGGUACUGUGGAUAGAUAGAAAUAUAAGGAGUUCUGACAUACGGGGAGGGGACAGAGGCUGGGGGUCAGGCUUUGUGCCUAAGAUUCGCAAUUUUGAUCUUCCUUGUGGGUUUCAAAUCUCCUUGCAGUAUAGGAGGCAUUUUAUCCUCAUAUUUGUUUGUUAUCUGCUAGUUUUGAUAUCCAAUGGAUUUCUUAUCCUAUGUUUUUUUUUUUUUAAUUUUAUUAUAACAAUGGUAAACUCUCGUGUCUUACAUAAGUGAAGUGCAUUCUUUAUUACAUAUUUUUAAGGCCAAUAAUGCUUUUCAGAAACUUUGUACAUGAUUGGUAGUUUGAACUUAGAUUAUCUUCAUGUUGGUUAAACACUCUGUAAGUUAGCAACUAAUUGGUUAAUCUGGUAUUUUGAAGGCAGCUGAACUGGAAAUUGAAGCGUAUCCAUUACUUGAUGAGCUUACGUCGAAAAUCAGUACUCUGAACUUGGAACGUGCUCGACGAUUGAAAAGCAGACUUCUUGCCUUGACUCGAAGAGUUCAGAAGGUAAGGCUGUGGCAUACUUAUGUCACAUAAUUACCUGCAUUCUUCUGUUCAGAAGGUAAGGCUGAGCAUCCAAAUGGGACCAAAGUUUACUUUAACCUCUAUACAUCUGUUCAGGUUCGGGAUGAAAUAGAGCAGCUCAUGGAUGAUGAUGGAGAUAUGGCUGAGAUGUAUCUCACAGAGAAGAAAAGUCGUAUGGAGGCAACAUUUUAUGGCGAUCAAUCUGUGAUGGGGUAUAGAUCUAAUGAUGGUGUAUCUCUUUCUGCUCCUGUUUCCCCUGUAUCUUCACCUCCCGAUGGUCGAAGACUUGAGAAAAGCUUGAGUAUUGCAAGGAGUCGACAUGAAAGCAUGAGAAGUUCAGAAAGUGUUACAGAGAGUAUAGAAGAGCUUGAGAUGCUGCUGGAAGCAUACUUUGUUGUCAUUGAUAGCACCCUGAAUAAGCUGACUUCGGUAUGUAUAGCACCUUUCCUAUUGAACUUUGACAUCACUAUAUGUAGCAGUUGCUUGAGGGGGGUAGAAUCUUAUGUCAUCUCUCUCCUAUGUUUCAGUUGAAAGAAUACAUUGAUGACACAGAAGAUUUCAUUAACAUUCAGCUGGUAUGUGCUUUGUUGAUUUCUUUUUCUCCUUUAUAAGUGUAGUUCUUUUAACUACUUCAUUACGCACUGUGGUAGCAACUGAUCAUAGAAGACAAAAAGAAAAAACAUGUCUGGAUAAAACUUAGGAGCAUAGCUAAAUUGAUUCCAUCCUCAAGGAAAUCAGAUCAGGAUAAUUGACGGUUAAAUACUCAAUUAUUUAGUAACUGUAAAACUGUUCUUUGUCCACUAACUGUGCUGAUUCAGAAGUAGAUGUAUUUUUCAACUUGUUCGAUCCAGCUAUAUUUGGGAAAUGCAGAAUUAAAGUUGUAAAGUUUUUGCUUUCAGGAUAACGUACGUAAUCAGCUGAUUCAAUUUGAGCUGCUACUAACAACUGCAACGUUUGUGGUUGCGAUAUUUGGAGUUGUAGCAGGAAUCUUUGGCAUGAACUUCGAAAUCCCAUUGUUUGAUGACCCUGGCGCUUUUAAGUGGGUACUUGUAAUCACAGGAGUAACUGGCAUAUGCAUAUUUUCUGCAUUUGUGUGGUUCUUCAAGUAUAGAAGACUCAUGCCACUAUAGAGAUGUAAAAUGAAACUUCUAAUGAAGGCAUUAAAAUUAGAAGAAAAGAAAGUCAGAUGAUAAAUCCCCAAGUUGGCUGGUUGGGUCAAUUAUUUCAUUUUGAUUCAAAAAUCAACUGUGAGAUUCCAUCAAAUCCCUGUAAAUUCCCUGAAAAUUAUAGCUCUAUUAAGAUGAUUCUUUCCCCAGUCUUGGGUUCUUGGACAACCUGUGCAGUGCUUCAUUGUUUUAGUUUUUUCUUUGGAUUUCUUUUUUCUUUUUCUGUUUGGACAAGAAAGCUAAAACACUAUUACAUAGUCAAACUGGAUCUUAGAACUUGCUUGGGGAGGGAUCACACCACACCAAAUCUAGGGAGAAGAGAUGGAAUGGCGGCCAAUAGAAGCUAGAGCAUCAGCAAGGAAGUUCGAAGAGAUUGCAUUGAAAGAGCGAGAAUAUUAAAACUUGAGUCUCCAGGGAACGCAGUGCAAAAUGUUGACGCAUCCAAUAAUUAGAGAUUGAUGAAUCUCCUUGAACCCCAAGCUUCUUGAUUUUGAAUCUUCAUACAGCUAAGAGACAAUCUCUAAGAGCAGAGCAUUCAACAACAGGCACACAAGAAUGAAGCCUACGUUUGCCAGCUACCACAGGGGAACCAUGGUUCCUGAUGACAAAAAGCCGGCAGCACCGGAGGCAGUGUUGACCUAUUUGAUGGCAUUUUGAACACUUGAACUGGGAGGGGAAGCCAUCACAUUGAAUUUGCGUGGUAAGUGGAGACAAUGGAGGAAGCAACAUGAGUAAUUGAGGGGGGUGUAACUUGAGCAGCUCGAAAGCGUUUGAGAUUUGUCAGCACACCAAAGAUUCAGUUGUAAAUGAUAGAUAGCAAGAGUGGCGUAGCCAGAGAUUUAGCUAAGAGAGGUCAGACUUACAUAGCUAGUCGAUUAAGUUAAUGAAGAAAAAGACCGUGGUUAAUAGUCACAUAUGAAAGUGUUUUAGAACCGAAAUGUUUCCAUAUGAUAAGGAAGAAAAUACCAAAGUUGUACAUCAAAAAUCAAGGAGAAGUAUUUAUAUACAAAGGAAGCACAUUUCAUUGUUAGAAUUUAUAUCUAAAGAGGAAGGAAAGUUCAUUGUUAAAAGUAACUACUAUUUUAUAAAUGACUUAACUAGCUCAUAUUUCACUUACAUAGAGCCAAAAACUGAUGCAUGGUGGAGUUAAUCAAGAUGUCUAUGUAGCUACGCCCUUGAUAGCAACCAUCCCUCUGAUUGGGCAAAGAGGAAGGGAAAAGUAAACGAUUAGAUAGUUAUCGACCAAACAGCAGAGGAUAAAAGAUGAGUAGCAUUCUCCACUCAUGUACCACAAAAAGCCCAAGUGUCGAUACUGAUGAUCAAUUUCCAAGUUUUCUUCAAAAGAUCAGCCUUAAAAUGUUGUGGCACACAACAAUGCAUCCCCUGUGCAGAUUUAAUUUAUAUCGGGAAAAAAGUGCAGAUUCAAUUAAGAAGGUACCAUUUGGGGCAGGAUCCCAAAUGAAUUUAUCAUUUUGAGUUGACAUCGGAAGGCCGGAAGCUCGUGAAUAAGUGGAACACUUCAGGUUGGAAACAAGCUCUUGGCACAAGCAAGUUCCAUUACCCCAAUCAUGGCCAAUUUCACUACUAUCUUUAGCUGCUGUUCCCUUUCCCAUGCCGUGUUCACCCUUGCUUUAGAGGUCAGGGCAUGGAAUUGUCCACCUUACAGUUUUUAGUUUUUAGUUUUUAGUUUCUACCACCGCUCAUUUACUGGCUUUCAACUUUGCAUUGAAGCACAACAAAUAAGCAUACAGGUGGUGCUAUGGAUACUGAAUGUUCUUCACCCAAAAUCCCCCAGUUCCAAAUUUUGGCAUGGUCGAAUUACCUCUUCCACAAUAUACCAAGUACUACCCUCGGCAAUGAAUUAGCAGUAAAGAGUCUGAAGGCACCCCAAGAUGCACUGUGAGACUUCAGACAGUCUCAAACACUAAUUUCCAACUUGAUCAGCAUGAAUAUUUCUACAAGUUGUAAAAGCAUAUAGUUACAGUUUUCUAAGAUAAGGAAUGCAUGCUAAACAUUCAUAAGAUUUCAACAAAAAUUCACUUCUACUGCAGCCAAACAUGACAAUGAAAGAUGUUUGCUUUUAGCUGGUUAUUGAAAUGUAUUUCUCAGAGAUUAUAUUUAUAUCAAGGACAGUCCUUAAGGAUCGUAAAGAGCCACUCCUCUGAGGAGAAGGAAGAGGUAACCACACUGCCAAAAAGCAAAGACCUCUUACACCUUCCAACCAUACAAAAAUUCAAGAGGAAAGUUACAUACUUUAACAGAAAACUUUCACAUCAUUUAGCAGAAGAUGCACUACUUGAAGACAGUCUUUGGCUCCUUGCCUUAUCAGCCUUUUCCAAGUAAUCUUGAUGGGAUUGAUGCUUUGCCCCUAUAGCAGAACACAAUUGUAAUAGAAUUAGGAUUUUAGCUGAUAAAUUGCAGCUGCAAAAUUCCAUACACAAGUAACACAGAUAGCAGGUAACUGAACCAUAAGUAUGAUGAUGGAGUAUCCAACCAGGGCUUUCAGCAUCUAUUUCCCUACAAUACAAUCUAAACCGGUUCAUCAUGUGGAAAAGCAACAACACAGAAGUUGACAGCUCGUCCCCAUUUUCCGUUUGCAAUAACAGAGAAAAACAAACGCUACUGAAAAUACUGGUUAACCAAAACAUUUUAUGACAACUUGCAUAACACGAGCCUAGAUAUAUCAAAGAGAAAGAUUUACCAUCACACAUUCACAAAUAAAAACCCUACCACUAUCCUGUUUGUCAAACAUCUUAAAACUCCAUUAUGUUGUAGUGAAAUCAAUAUUUCAAAUUAAGGAUUUGCACUGAUUACAAUUUCAGGAGAAAACCAUUACAAUGUAUUUGGUACGACGACUAGAUGCACUACAUGACAUGGAUUUGAAAUAGCCAUAUGCAUGGAGUCAUUUGAAAUUUCUGUCUUCUAACCCGUGUCUUGACACACUAAUUGCAAUGACGAGACCUGCGAUCUAACUUAAAAUGCAACUUAAAUCCCGGUGCUCCAAAUUAGUCCAUUCAAUCGGGGCAUCUAAUGUUACUUGAGUAGCUAGGUAGCCAUAGCAAGAAUAAAAUCUUUAACUGACUACAUGAAGGAGACUGAGUUAAUACUAGCACAUCGGAGAUCAAAUUUCAAGCCCCUAAGAAUAAAUUCAAUUGAAACCGAGCUGCGCAGUAGAAUAGAUGUGGAAAUAACAAACACAAACUCUAAACCCUAAACCCCAAAAUUGGCAUUGAUAUAUGAAAAGGUUUUCUAAUUGAAUCCCUCUUCUUUAUCCCAUCUAAAGAAUCAAAAACGGUGCCGUUUUAACCGAAACAUAAGACUGAGAGAAGUGAAGCAUUCGGACCUCGAGUCAUGAAGUACCAAGGAACGGCGAAGACGGCGCUGAUGAGAACGAUGCCGGCCAUGACGUGCUUCUUGUCGCCGCUGUACAAGUAGUGCUCCAUUUUGCCCCUAAACCCCUUUCCGGCUUUGGCCUCGCUGCUGCUGCUGCUCAUCUUUGUCUCUCAAAACCUCAGCUUUCUCUCAAACUGUGUGUCUUUCUUUCUUCUGGGGGUAGUUUAGUUGUUUUGCUGCCGGGUUCUCUCUUAACCACGUGUAAGACACUUGGCCGCCACCCUCACCUCGCCUUUUUUUCUUCUUCUCAUUUUCGAUUUUAUUUGAGCUAGGUAUUAUUUGAUCCAUUCUAAAAAAUAAUAUUAUUUUUGUAACCAAAAAAAAAACAUAUUAUUUUGAUCACAAUAUCCCAAAAUACAAGAACUUGCAAUAACAUUUAUAGAUGAAGGUUGAGGGAGACUCGAAGAUUUUAAAUUUUGAUGGUUCUUUCAUUAAUAACACUCAAGCAUAUGCAAUACGCUCUCGAAAAUUCUGAGCUGAGGAAGCCAACAACCAUAAGUUCUUGGGUAUAAGCGACGAUGAUCUCCGGCUCACCGCCUGCGUUUAGGCAUAUCACUGGAGUCGUCCUCUCUCGUGGAAAGGAGUGUGUUGUGAGGCUUUGGAUCUCAACUGAGGUAAAGCGGUUGGGUAGAGCAGUGCUGGGUGACGGUGUGUAGUGUGAGGCUGCGGUGAAGGACUGGUCGACUUGAGAGUUGCACAGAGGUGUCGUAGUCUACAAGGGUGAGCGUCGUCGUUGUCGUGUCUUCCAUAACACGGCUAGGGUUUCAGACUUUCAGUGGCCUAAAGGAGAAGUCGGGAUCGAGAAAGAGGCGGUUUCGAGCUUUGUGGCGAUCGAUCCUGCCUUGGAUCGACAAACCUUGUAACAACGGCGGCAUUUUGGAACUUAAGGUUGCAACAAUGGUGCUCCGAUUGGGCAAGCUACUGAUACGAGCUGGUUUCUUAAACUCCUAUUACGUCACCCAUUCGGGGAAAAAAAAAAACUCCUAUUUAGUCCUUUUUUUUUAUCAAAUAUUACAACCGCAUCCGAUCAAAAAAUAAUAAUUACACCUGUGUGAAUGGGGAGACUAUGAUGCUAGACCAAUUAGUAUUAAAUUCCUAUUUAGAGCCGAUUAGUAUUAAAUUCCUAUUUAGAACAGAUGCUGCAAUGGUGUAAUUGGAUGGGUUGGAUUAAAGGUUGGGUUAGACGAGGGUCUCAUACAUAUCUCACCUUACCCGAUCAAAACCUGGGGUAAGAAUUAACCAGCUGUUAGUCUAAACCAAUUCCAACAUUAGGCCCGUAAACACACUAUUUUGUACAUGGCAUCAUAUAUAUGUUUUUGUUUAAUUAGUCUUAGGAUUGAUCUCCUUAGUGUAUUGUUAAACCGAGGACUAAAGACUGAUAAAAAUGAACAAUGAAUCAACCCCGGGUUGAAAAUUGGUCUAACCCAUCUAAAAUAGGUGCAUUUGCUGGGUGCAUUUGCUCUUAGUCUUAUGUAUUAUUUGUUCUUCGCAUUUUAUAUCAAAUAAUCAAUAUGCCUUGCAGCUCUGUGGAAGCUCUUUAGCUUUUCGUGGAUGCUGAGAGCCAAUAAGAAGUUAAGAAAACGGAAGAAUAAAACCCAAAAUAAUCCUGGUCUUCUUGGACAAAAUCCACCUAUAUCGGUAUAUCCCAUUACCAUUGCCAGUCCACUCGGUCCAAAUUCGAAAAAGAACCGAUUAUAGCCUAAUUCCAAUUUCAAAGUAUCCGAACAACUAAACCGUCACCGCUGUCACUUCAACCAGUUAUUUUCGUAAAUGCUUAACCUCAGAAUUUUUGAGUUGCACAGCCACCGCCAUCAUUGGACCUAACCUGAAAGCCAAUGAAAGAAGCAGUCCAGAUGCACAAUAUAGCAACAAUGACGCCAAGAAUCGAAAAACUUGACAACCAGGGCAACUGUACUAUUCAGUAUUGCUGAUCAUAUCCAACUCUCCCUACUGCUCCGAGUCCUGACAAAUUCAUAUGCAUCGAUUAGGCUAUUGAGAUUAGAGUUACAAUGCUAUAUUAGUGGGGCUAAUAAGUAAUUCAUGAUUUGUUAUAAUAGAUAGGUGACAUGUUCACAUGUAAAUUCCAUCUAUAAGAAAAAUAUGAAAACAUUUGUUGCUGAGGCCUUGUAUAGCUGAUUGUCAGAAUGUAGAGUAGUGAUUUCUAGGCCUUGAUUUCAAAGGGGUUUCUUACAUGAAACUCCAUCUCUUGAUUUCGGUUGCGAUAUGUCCCUAGUCCUGAAAGUGGACACUAACAGAUUAUGGCCUUGCAACUAUUCCUCAGUCAGCAAAAACAUGACCUAAGAUGUUGAUGGGCUUGAGGAACUCAGUUGACGUGCUGGUCCUUGAGGUCUUGAUAAACUUGAUUGAAUUUCCUAUCACAUUUUUGAUUGACAUAGUUAUAAAUUAAUCAAACAAUCUAAUAAGAGACUAAUGGAAGUUUGAAAAAAACAUACAAGGCUAUUUAUAAAGAAGACAAACCUGUGAAUACAUAAAUGAGGGAUUGGGUAUCCUUGGAAGUAUAAAUUGGUGGCCAGGUAGGUGAUGAUAAGGCAAGGCUUGUCCCCCAGAAACAGUUGGAAACCCACCUGGAAACUGUCCGCCUAGACAUAAGGAUGAUCUGAUCAACUCCUUCUCUUUUCCUACUCCAGUUGAUCCCUAAACGGUAACAAAAUGAUCAAUAUCAUAACUCAAUUUCGGUGGGCCACUCAUCUCAUGAAUUUGGUGCUGAAUUUUUAGCUACAAGUACACAAGAAACAACCUGAACAUUUUCCGAUAAAUUUGAUGGGCCAGUCAUCUCAUGAGCGUUUGUAUUAGGUUCCUGAGAAUCUGUUAAAAAUACAAAAAUGCAAUUAGGCUAACAAAAAACAUAAGUUACGUAGUUUCAAUAAUCCAAAAUAAUAUAUCAACUAAUGUACUAACCUUUUCUUUCAGAUGAAACUUCGUUUUUGGAGUCCUUAGAUUUUAGAGCAUUCUUCAUUUUACCCUUCCCCCGGCCUUUAGACUUCUGAGUUUCUGGUUCCUGCAACUUCAGAUGCACACCAUCUUCAUUCGUACGAUUACCAGAACCUGUAUCGCCAUUUCUUACGGCAUGUUCAUGUCCAGUAUGCUGAAGAGCUUUUAAUCUUUCCUCCAACUUUAACAAUUCAGACUUCACAAAAGUGUAUGAAUGCCUGUUCUUUGCACCCUCUGAUGUGAUUCUAUGUGCUAUUUGACAUAACUCGCCAAACUGAGCCAUGGGAGAGGAGUCCCGAUUAUACAAAACAUGUGUACUUGAUGCAGGAGCAAGAGAAUGAGUAUGUUCAGCUUCAAAUUUAGUAACAACAUACUUUUUACUUUGGUUAAGUCUAAUCUCAAGCAUUGCCUUGCACCCAAAUCUUCUUUCUUCUCUUUUUUUCUGUGGACUUCUCUUUUUAGUGUAGAAACCUUGGCAAGAGCAACAGUACUCUCUUUUCCAUAUUUCACCGUGUUUGUUUUGAUUUUGUCUAAGCUUUCUCACUUUAAAUCCAACACUCCUAGCGUAUGAACAAUAAAAAUGAUAUACAUCUUCAUCAUUAUCAAAAGUCAUACCUACUUCAGGCUCCCCAUAUAAUACCACCGGUCUUUUGGUCAUGUUGGUGUCUCCUCCUGUUUGCUCAGUAUCCUCCGCAAUAUGAACAUCCUCAGAAUCAGACCCUAUGUUUACAUGAUCGAUAGCUUCUUCAGUAUCAUUAGAAUUAGCACGGAAUUCAUCCACUUGAUUUUCCAUGGUGACAGUGUAAGCUUUUGCGUUGAUGUGGAGUGAACACUACAGCAUCCUAUUUAAGAAAAUUAAAUUGAAUUAACCAAAUUCCAUGGACAGGAAGCAUGUAUAAGCUAUAUACUCCUACAAGCCAUCACAACACUGAGUGAGCUCAAUUACAGGCAGAGUUAUGAACAAUGCAUAAUGACAAAGACCAGAUAUUUCUUUGGUCUAUUUUUCCUUUUAACUGACGAUGCUCUACAAUUCCUUGCUGUAUUCCUCUUGGAUCAUCAAUUAGACUUAUUAAAAACUUACAACAAUAAUGAAAUUAAAAACAUGCACACACACAUGUAAUUAGGAUAUUAACCGGCAGUGGAAUUGCCUAGAUAGAAAAAUGCCAGGGUCUCUCAUGCAAAUACAAGGAGCUCACACAGAUUAAACAAACAACUUACUAGCAAGAAACAAAGGCCAAACAAACCCAGAAGGAAAACGAAUGAUACCAACAAAAUUAGAACCCACACAAGAGUACCCACUAUCAAAAUGAAUGAGAAUCGCAUAUACAGGACAAAAGAUUAGAAAUUGAUUACCUUCGUUUUCAACUUGCAAGAAGAAUUGCAGGGGAUCGACCUCCAAGAGAUGAAGUAGUCUCUAUUGAUGUUUGGGGAACCGGAGAUGAAGCUGAAGAGAGGGAGAGAAAAUUCGUUCGGGGACUCGGAUCUCUCCUCAUAAACCUCUGCUAAUAUUUCUUAAUAAAAAGAUCCUGGCCGUUCAUUCUAAAUCAAUGGCCAAGAUGUCUCCUACCUUACCACAAAACAUAUUUUUUCGUAUGUUCUCCCUUCUCUCUCUCUCAAAUUACCGUGUCCCAUCUCUCUCUCUCUCCUCCGGUUCUCUUCCCAACCGCCGGCUCCCCUCUGGCGUCCUUUUUCUCGAUUUGAAUCCUCCGGCGUCCAUUCAAGGACAAGAUCUUCGUGCCGGAUUCCUCAGAAUGGCAAGUACCAAGGAGCUUUCCAAAUUAUCAAACUCAAAUUCGUUCUUCCUCAUUCACUAUCGCAAAUAGAAAUUGUCUAUGGUCUAGAAGCACAGGCAUCCACAACCCUUCAAUUCUACAAGAACAUGGUAUAAGUAAGAUAUUGAGUAAAAUCCAUCGAUCUGAAUACCAACUACAAACCUUAUAAUUCCUGUGUAAUUACAAGCACCAACUACAAACCUAUAGUUCCUGUCCAAAUUACUAGCCACACUGUACAAAAAACCCAGAUGAAACAAUUCGAUUCUUUCUACUAAAGCAACUGAUCAUCACAUUGAUUCCAUACUAGAGCAGCUGAUCAUCACAUUGAUUCCAUAAACAAACAAAAAAAUAUGCCGGAAGCUCUGCAAAAUCCACAAGAAAGUCGUCGGCAUCGAUUUUGGGACGACGAACUCGGCCGUCGAUGGUUAGAGAACAACCCCGUCCGUGGUGGCUUAUACUAAGAACGGCGAAAAGAUGAGAGAGAGAUGGGACACGGUAAUUUGACAGAGAGAAGGGAGAACAUACGAGAAAAUAGGUUUUGUGGUAAGGUAGGAGACAUCUUGGUCAUUGAUUUAGAAUGAACGACCAGGAUCUUUUUAUUAGGAAAUAUAAACAGAGGUUUAUGAGGAGAGGAUCCGAGUCCUUUGUUCGGUGUCUUCCGCUUUUGAGAUCCCUGUAUUGCGAGAUUAGUCUCCUGUCGUUUUUUUUUUUGAUACGUAGUCUCAUGUCGUUUCAAAUUUUGUGUUUGAAUUUUGUUCUUUUCAUUUUUUCAGGGAUGAGAAUUUCGGUUUUAAGUGCUCGCCCCUGACUACAUACAGUUUUUUGUUGUUGAAUAUGCGGUUGUUCUUAAACAUUGAUAAAUAAAACUGUCGAAGAUAAAUAAGGACAUUUAGCUUAAAUCUUUGAUUACAAAUAUCUGAAAUAUUAUCAAGACCAAUAAAUAUGUACUCAACUAAGUACCAAUUAACAAAAAAUGCUCUAAUAACUACUCUAUUUGUUUUGAUAUAACGGUGAAGUACCGGAAAGAUAACUUGACUACUGCAAAGCAUAAAUGCCAAAUGCACAGCUUUCACACUAUGUUGCUGACGGAAAACAAGUUUGACGACACUUAGCUUCACCCUACCACUAGGAAGCAACGACCAUUUGACAAAGUAAGGAACUCGUCGUCUGCCUAGAGUAAAUGAGACACUUUGAAUGCACACACAAGCAUAUAACCCGAUUCCUCCUACACAACUGAUGUGGGGACUUAUUGCUAGCGAGAAAUGCAACAAAGCUAAACAACCAAAAAACAAAACAACAUAAAGUAAAAUAAAAACAACCUGGAUAGGGCCCAAAAAAUGAGCCCUAACCCUACCUCUAGCCCACAUAGUAGAGAAGUCCAAUCCACCAAGCCAGGCCCAGCAGCCCAGCCCAAAAACUGUAGAUCUCUCACCAUCGUUCCCUCUGCAUCGUGCCAUCGGUGACGUGAUGUGAUCGGAGAUCCAAAGCCACCAAGCAGUUGCUCCGCCGCUGACCUAAUAUGGUAAUCCACUGCCCACCUUCCACAUCCUGCCCCCUCCAAAUUCAGGAUGAACCCAAAUCAGAUGUUCGCGAACUCUACCAUUUCCAUCGAGCCAGUAACCAAUCCAUCGGAACAACGUCAACCACCCUUGCCUUCUUCGCCACUAAACCAGAGCCACUAAUUGCACUCCCAGCUAGAAAAUCGACCCAUAACUCCGAUCUACAAGCCUUCAAUCAAAACCUAUCGACGUCCCACAUCUCCCCUACCACCAUCUACCAAACUCUUUGCAAAGCAACCCCGGCCAACUAGAAACGGAUCUUGUCCGACGACAGCGUUUAUAACACGCCAUCAAACGGAUACAACGACCAAGUUUUUGGAACCUUAGCAGCGACAGCUAGAGAGAAAAGUUUUUGUAGAAAAUUUUCUUAAGGAAUAUUUAUAAUCAGAUGGAGAAAAUGUAAAGAUAAAUAAAUGGGUAAGGACAUAAAAAUUCGCUCCAACCUUAGGGUUUGGUAGGCAAGACGACGAUGAACUCCGGUUGUAAGAUCCUCUCGACGACGUUUCGUUGGGAGAAAGGGUCAGGAUUCCUAUAUGUACAUGGAGGUGAUUAAAGUGUAAUUCUUCAUUCGCGUUGGUGAGACAUUGGUGCGAGUUUGUGCUAGAGAGAAUAAACCUAAAAGUAGCAGUGAAUUGUGAGAUCACUUUCGGAGGUGGUGGUAGCGGAUCGGCGUCAGAGUGCUCAACUAACAUCCUCCUGGGCGUGGAGACGCGUCUGAAUCUAGUGUCGAGCAGGCCCUAAGGUAAGAGGAGGAGUAUUUUUAUUGUCCUCAGCGGUAGCACUUGUAGUAGCGGUGACUAUAUAUAGGUUUUAAGACUGUACAACCACAGGACUGAAGUGGUGGUAGGAGGCUCCUUCAUGAAACUCGUUGCCGGUCCGAUCUGGACGGGAGAGAGGAAAAGGCAAUUUGGGCCUCUGGGUCUUAGCAUGCUGGGUUGCAGCUUUGCUUCCUAGUGGGCUAGGCCUUUGGGCUUCUUCAUUUCUUUUUUCUCUCUCAAUUGGAUUGGCCCUAAGUUGGUUUUUUAGGGGAGCCGAAAGAUCCCUACAUAACCUACCGAAGAGUCUACCCAUUUUUUGAUGGAAAAGUAUACCAGAAUGGUCUUAGGCCUCGAUUCAUUGAGCUAGGGUACUUUGGUUUGGUUAUGUAGGUUAUUUGCUUUCUAGACCAUAAUAAGUCUAAUUUUGGACAUUAGUUCUUUUGAUAGAUUUUGUAGUUUCUUUCAAAUUAGAAACAUGAUUCAUGAGCAGCACAUUGUAUACAAACAUGAUUCAUAAGCAGCACAUUGUAUACGAACCUAUCAUUGGACAUCUUCAAGUUCGACGUAGUAUGGUCGUAUGAUUAAUAGAUGGGUUGUAUGUCCCAUGAAGUAACAUCCAUUUUCUCUUGAACAAAAAAAAAUGGAUGUUACUUUAUGGGAUGUACAACCCAUCUAUUUGGUUGACUCUUAAUCAGUGGUCGGCUUAAGACAAGAGAUAGGCUAUCCGGGUUUGGUUUCAUUGCUGAUAACUCUUGUUCUCUUUGUAACAAUAAUAAUGAAACAGCUGACCACCUCUUUGAUUAUUGUGACUUUACUAAAAAUGUUUGGAACCUUUGGGAAGAGGGUUUCCUUAAUGUCCUUAAGGAACUCUUUAUUUCAUAGCCUCAUGAUGCUGGGUUAUUUGCAAAAGUUAUUACCACCUGCUGACAGGUCUGGAAAGCUAGGAAUGACACUGUUUUUAGAGGAGUUGUUCCUAAUCCUCUAUCAACUGCCUUAGCAGCAGCUGAAACGACUUCAGGUCAAAACAAUCUUAGUGAAAGAGUUACUGAGGUACAGUACAUUCUCAAAACCAUUGUACCGUUAUCAGGUGGCAAGCACCUCCUAACUCUCUUGUUAAAAUUAACUUUGAUGGAUCAGUCAUAAGUAAUUCAGCUGCUUGUGGCUUUAUAAUUCGAGAUGACAAUGGAAGACCAGUUUUUGCUACCUCUUGUUGUAUUAGAAGUGCUUCAGUCCCAAUUGCUGAAGCUAUGGCGUUAAGAGACAACUUAAUUAAAAGUAAAGGAGAAAAACUUCACCAAUGUUGAAGUUGAAGGAGAUUCCAAGCUUGUGAUAGAUGCAGUGAAUGACCGUCUUGAACCGCCUUGGAGAUUAAUCAAACAAGUGCAACUAUGCAAGACAUUUGAACAUUAACUAUUAGUUUUGAUUCCAUUACUUUUAUACAUGUUUUUAGGGAGACUAACUUUGUAGUCGAUGUCAUAGCUAAUCUUGGCCAUUCUUGUAAUUCGCCUCUAUAUAGGAAUGAUAAGGUUCCUCAUGAGAUUUCAAGAGUAUUAUUAUUUGACAUUGUAAACGUUAGUUGCUCUAGAGGUUUUUUUAAUGUAAUUUAUUUAUUUUUAUUUUUAAAAAAACAUCCAUUUUCUUUUUUUUUUUUAUUAUAUUUUUUUUGAAAAAAAGAAAAGAAAUAAAUUGGUGAGGUUUUAAGUGGCUUCUUGGACAGAAAGGUGCAAGUGAUGGGCUGAUGGCACUUCCCUCCAUAGCAAGAAGUCUCCGAAUCAAACAUCCCCUUUACAUAUCACUCUCCCUACUCCACCACCAACCCAUCUCCACCUCUCCCUCUUCUUCACAUUCUCUCCACCACCAUCUCUCUCACCCAACACCUCUCAUCCCAUCCCAAACUCCUCGCCAUUUCUCAACUCUCCGACCCUUCUCCGGCCAAGUCCUCAACCACCCAUUGGGCUUCAAUGCCCAGCGCUUCAACCCAGACAACACCCACAACCUGGGUCUCACCCAUUUUCUUGAAUUGCUCACAACUAGUGCUGGUUUGGCCUCUGAGGCCGAGGCCAUGGCUUUUCUCGACGAGUCUGGCGUCGAGGCAAAGCGAGAUACGGUUCUUUUGGCGAUUUGGGAGCUGAGGGGAGAUUGGAAGCUGGCGUUUUUGGGGUUCAAAUGGGGUGAGAAAAGGGGGUGUUGCGAUGAAGAGGCGUGUAGUUUGAUGGUUUGGGUUUUGGGGAGUCACAGAAAGUUUAGUACUGCUUGGUGUUUGAUACGAGACUUAAAUCAGGCUCUGAUGGAUACACGACGUGCUAUGCUUAUUAUGAUCGAUAGGUAAAGCUUUUGCAAACUUUGGCAUUUUCAUUUCUACAUUAUGUUGAAUUGAUAUGUUCAUGGGACAAGGCUUAGUUAAGGCUACAUCAUUUUCUGUUUACAAGUAGAAAUAUUUAUAUGAUGUUAAAUAUGCAGCUUCAUACUCUUGAGAGCUUGAAAUAUGAUAUCCUACUCAGCCUGAAGAACUAUUUAAAAGAUUGCUUCUUGGUGCUUACGAUAUAAUAUAUGUGCAUAUCAUCAUGUAUCCAUGUUUCCUGGGUGUAUAUAGUUUAGGACAUAUAAUGUUCUUAUCGGUCCUGGUUUGCUGUUUCUUGGAAUACUUGGUUUUUAGGUUUUAUUAUCGCUGACUUUGUGUGUGUCAAAACUCAUAUGAGUUUCAGAAGUUGAAGUCAAAGAAUAUGAUUCCCUUUUUGGUGUUAAUCAGAUAUGCAUCUGCAAAUCAUCCGAGUAAGGCCAUAAAGACAUUUCAGAUAAUGGAGAAGUUCAGGUUGAGCCCUGAUCAAGAAGCAUUCCACAUUCUCUUGAAUGCACUAUGUAAGAAUGGAAACAUGGAGGAAGCUGAAGAAUUCAUGCUUGUAAGUAAAAAGUUCUUCCCACUGGAGGUCGAGGGCUUUAACAUUGUUCUUGAUGGGUGGUGUAACAUAUCUGUUGAUGUAUAUCAAGCCAAGAGAGUUUGGAGAGAAAUGUCAAAAUACUGUAUUACACCCGAUGCGACUUCUUAUACACACAUGAUAUCCUGCUACUCAAAGGUUGGGAUCCUUUUCGACUCGCUUAGACUAUAUGAUGGAAUGAAGAAAAGGGAUUGGGUUCCUGGUCUCAAGGUUUACAAUUCCUUAAUUUAUGUACUAACCCGUGAGAAUUGCUAUAAAGAAGCUCUCAAAGUACUGGACAAAGUGAAAGAAAUGGGUUUGCAGCCCGAUGCUACCACAUAUAACUCAAUGAUAGGUCCUUUAUGUGAAUCAAAGAAGCUAGAGGAGGCACGACAGAUGCUUAGUACUAUGAUAAAUGAUAAUCUCAGCCCAACUGUAGAGACUUACCAUGCAUUUCUCCAGAGUGCAGAUUCAACGGAAACUCUUGAAGUUCUUGAUCGAAUGAAGAAAGCUAAUUUAGGUCCUAAUGGCAAUACAUUUCUUAUUAUUCUUGAAAAGUUCUUCAUAUUAGAACAACCUCAGAAAGCAUUGGAGAUUUGGAAUGAAAUGAAGAACCAUGGAAUAGUGCCUGAAUCCACACACUACACAGCUAUGGUAAAGGGGCUGGCAACUUGUGGGUUGUUCACGAAGGCCAAGGAACUUUUGGCUGAGAUGAUGUCAAAUGGAUUUUCAGAAGAUCUGAAGCUUAAGAAGCUCUUGAAGAAGCCAAUUAGAGGUAGUGUUAAAGGAAAACGGAGAGUUAGACAACUCAAUCAAGCAAAAAGGAUUAAUCUCAAACAAGACAGGGUUGUGAGAUAGAAAUGUCCAAGUCAGUCAAGAAAGAAGAAGACAUCAAGUGAAUAGUCUUAUCUUAAAUUUUGACUGCAUAUGCAAAAGCUGCAAAAGAUUAUCUCUUGCAGCUUUUCUUGGGAAGACAUGGAUUAUAUUUGUCCAAGAUUUCAUUGCCCUAAAAACUUUACAGCUGAUGCCAUCUGAGUUUCAUGGCAGCUGAUUGAAACCAAAGUGGUUUGGCUUUUUAAGAAAAGGAACUCGACCUCUUGAACAAUGUAAAACACUACUGAGGAGCAUUUGAUUAAUUGUUCUGGUAGUUGCAGACCCAAUGUGUUUCUCUAUGUUCCUGCAGGUACGUACAAUAAAAAUCCCAGUGUUUCAUAUUGCACUUCUGAAGAUGCAUCCUUUCCCAAUUGAUCCACUGAUUUGAUUUGCAGUUUGUGUUUGUUUACAUGACUUGGAUGUAUAUAUUCCUCUUUUUUUGUUGAUCUUUCUUUGCUCAUACUAAGGGAUACUUAUUUUUAAAUUUUGUGUGUGUUUGUGUUCCCCGUCACACGCCCCCCCCCCCCCCCCCCGGCCCCUCCUUCCUACAGCCUAUAAAAUUUCAUGUCAUGAAAAAUUAGUUUGAUGUUCAAAUUGUUCAACUGGACUUGUAGACGAGGUCACAUUGAAGAUAGACUAAACCUAGUGUAGUGUGAGAUAAGUGUUUAAUAGUUGGAACAAACCUUAAGGUAGAACCUAUCAUUUGGAGCUUCGCAAUUUCUUGGUCUUUUAAUAGGUUAAGAGAAGAAUGAAGAACCUAUCAUUUGGAGCUUCACAAUUUCUUGAUCUUUUUAAUAGGUUUAAGAUAAGGUAGAACCUAUCAUUUGCAUAUUAACUCAUCAUUAGAAAUGAAUUGUUGAUGUAAUAUUAUCCCUAAUAUUAUUUAAGUUCCAUCCACUUUGCAAUAUUUGAACUAGCAGUGUAAAAACUUGAUGGUGGUACUUAAUCAUUUUGCUAAGCUAGUGGAGAAGUUCUUACAGGCCAAUGCUUUAUCCCACUAGUCGCUGACUGGAUCACAGAUUCAUGUUUUGAUAUGUUGGAGCAUAGGAUCAUGACUACAUGUAUCUGUGAUUGGAACUUUGUAAACAGUUUUCAUACCAUUUUUUCUCCAAUCUAGAGUAUAUGGUAUGACACUCUAGAUUGGAGACUCUAGUCUGAGAUCUUACUUGUUAGUACCUAUUCCUAACCAAGCAUUUUGUUUUUGCUUUAUUUCAGGUAUCAAGUUAUGAGGUGAUUCAAAGUCAUGAAAGAUGGAAAAUUGGAAGGAGUAUUUACUAGGCAACUGUUGCCACCCUACAGAAUGGAGAUUCUUAAGCGCACCAUGACCACCAGGCUAAUAGGCAGUUAAGCUUCCUGAAGUCAGGUUGAUUCACAGAUGGGGAAACCUGAUAGACUUGUAAGUUAGUCCUCUAACAUGACUCUAACUUGAUGUUUCAACCAGUUGCCCUCAUUAGAAAUUCCUGGGUUGAAGGCAAAACAAGCUUUGAAUGUGUGUGCCUUCUUUGCUACUUGUGCAGAAUGAGUAUCCUUGGCUCGAUAAUGGUUACUCUAAUUAUAAUCAAUUUUCUUGUUGUGGUCAUUGUUAACUAUGAUCAAUCUGGCAUGGAAAAAGGAAACAGAAAGCAGAAAAAGGACUGAAAUCUGAAAAAGAUAAGGGCGUUGGAGGCUUUGGAGCCUCUCGGACCAAUCCCACAUGCUGCUGAAGGAGAAGGUCGGACCAACCAUGGGCAUGCAUUGAGCCAAUCAUUUGCCAUGAGUGAUGGUUUGCUUCUCUGUCCUCAAUAAAUUUAUACUAUUUGGUGUCUUCAUGCCCUAUUUGCUUACUGGAUUCCUAUCUAACCACCGACAUCAGAACCAAACAACCAAAAUAAUUCAGACCCUAAAAGAUAAAAGAAAUCCAAAGUAUUGUAAAAAAAUUGAUGGAUUUCAUGAUCUUUAUAACACGAUAUCUGAUCAUAUGCCAUUUCAAUAUAGUUUAGUGUCAAGCUGUACAUAGUUUGACAGCCUAAAUUGCCUAAUAAGGCAUCAUAUCUAUUUCUCCUCAUUCCCUCUUAUCUAUUUCUCCAAUAUCUUACGAUUUCAUGAGUCAUCGCUGCUAUCUCUCUGUAACUGCUGCGAGUCAAGUUGCCUCGACGCAAGGGGAUGCCAAGACUGAAGAAACAUGUCUGCGUAUGUUAGCCUGUGGUAAUCAAAAUGGUGGGAAUUUAGAAAAAAUGCCAACAAAAUAAUUACAAUUGUCCAACGGAUAGUCACCCAGUAACCCCUUGCAUUUUUUACAUAAUUUACCAUCAGUUCGGAAGCACCACUUGAAGACUUAGAAGAGAAAACUGAAACUGCCACUAGGGGCAGUCCUCGUUGAAAUUCAAAUAAGUUUCCCAAUUAGGCAAGAGAGCGCUUAAUAUAUUAAGCGCCCAAUUGACACUUUAAUUCAAAAUCUAAGAAACCACUGAGCAGUGGACCACUCGGAAGGGCCUCUCUCUAUCCUAUAUUAUUGUUGUGGUUCCCCACUACCCAGAACCCUCCCCUUCUCUUUUGAACUGCCUCCAGCGAAUACCCAGCUCUUCCUUCUUCCUUCUACUAAACCCAGAACAGAGGAACCAACCAUUCAAGUGUUUUAAAGUCAAGUAUCAAUGUCCAACAACUCAACCCACCUCCUUCUCCUUCUCCUUUUCGUCUCCGGCGUCGCCCUCAUCGCUCCGAUAAUCGCAACCGACCACAUUGUGGGUGCUAACCGUGGAUGGAACCCAGGGAUCAACUACACCCUCUGGGCCAACAACCACACUUUCUAUGUUGGGGACUAUAUCUGUAAGCUGCACAACCCUCUUUCUAUGUUUCUAUUCCCAGUUAGGACUUUUGUCUUUCCUUAACCCACUUUGGUUUUCACUUUUUGGGUUGUUUGUUUAUGUUCCUUAUUAAAGUUAGAAUCUUCAAAUCUUCAAACUCAAAAUUUAGGUAUACUGUAUCAUGCUGUAUAGAAAUUAAAAUAAAGACUUUGAUGGUUAAAAUGAACACUUAGAAUAUUUGUGCAGAAUCGGUUUUAGGACGUGUAAUUUUUGUUGUUCUGUAGCUAUUUUUGGUAGGUCAUGCUUCAUCAUUCUAGUUGUUUGAAUAUUUGACGUCUCAUUGCAUUUUUGAAAGCGAAUAGCAGUCUGCGAUCUGUUUUAGCAUUUUGAAUACUACCAUUUUCGUAGAUUGAACUAAUUGUUUGUUUAAUGCAGCAUUUAGGUAUCAGAAGAACCAGUACAAUGUGUUUAUGGUCAACAAAACCGGGUAUGACAACUGCACCCUGGAUAGUGCAGUAGGGAACUGGACCAGUGGCAAGGACUUCAUACUCUUCAAUGAUUCCGGGAGAUACUACUUCAUUUGCGGUAACGGUCAGUGCUUCAAUGGGAUGAAAGUCUCUGUGCUCGUCCAUCCUCUGCCCACGCCAACAGCUUCUCCAUCUGCUACGAAUUCUUCUUCAGACUCGGCUGGCCUGGUGGCUCCACGACUGGGAUUUCGUGUUUUGGUGGCAUCCUUGGCAGUGAUGUGGUUUGGAGGUGCGUGGGUCUAGUUCUUGUGGUGCGGUUUGUACGGGAUGUUGAAGCUGUUAACUCAGGGAAGUGUACAAUUUAUUCUUUCGUCUUUUGUUCUUAGUGUUAAGGUUUUCUUUGCUUUUGGUGUAUGUUCUUUGGAUAUUUAUCUUAUAUGAUUUGGUUGAACUCUCCUAGUCUUUUGCUUUCUACUUCAAGUAGUAAAACAAAAGAUGAGGAACAGACUAUAUAUAACCAUCUAUCUCAUUGCAUUUAUUAUUACACAUUAGGCUUCCUGUUUCACAAAUUGGGUAAAAGGAGAAAGGAUGCUGCCUCUACUUCCUUAUUAUAGGAAAUGAGACUGCUAGAUUCACUUUAGCUACGACUUUAAGCACUUGUUAGAUAAAAAGGCUGCUAGAAUCAGGUAGGAAAUGAGGCCGCUUUCGUUAGAAUAUCUAUAUUUGUCUGGCAGUUUAGAGUUGCUUCUUCAAACUUACUGCGGCUUGAUUCAUUUCCAAGCAUGUAGGCUGCUGGUUUGAGUUCGAGGUGUGUGUCUGCUAUUGCUCCUCUAAUGAGCUGGUAGCCUCCAUGCCUUCUGGUUUGCUUUAGUCAAAUGUUGAUGCCCCUACUCUUUCAACCUAGUCAGCUCUGUGGAAUUGGUUCUAUAGUUAGGAAGUAAAUUAGUUGUAUAUGAAUGCUGCUUUGGCAAAGUAACCCAACCCUGAUGGCCGACUGUUUAUCAGUUAAGUGAAAAGAAACCUGCUCUAAUGUAAUUUGCUUUCUUUUGAAUCCUUUGCCAUAAAUGCCCGACCAUAAGCUUCUUAUGUAGAUUUUACUUGAUUGGUAAAAUGCAUUUUUCUGUUGCAUGAUUUUCACCAUCCAUUGUACCAAAGUCUUCAUAGUCGUCUGUUUCAAAGUUUGAAGGAAACCCGGACCUUUUAUGAAGCUCCAGUUCAGUAUUUUUUUAGUUUUAUUUAUUUAUUUUGAACUUGUUUGUUAAGAAAUUUGCUGUGUUGAAUCAUUAUAAUAAUCCAGUUCAAAUUUUUCAUUUAUUUUGUUAAUCUGUUUCAAAGUUUGAACUUUGAAGGAACCCUAAUCAGCUUCAAUUUUGUCUCAUACAUGUCUAUCAAGGAAACUUCCCCCACCAAUCAAUACAAACAAAAGAAAUGGCUUUAAAACAGAUUUUCAAAGCCGUCUCAGUAAAAAAUAUAAAAAAUAAAUAAAAAUUCAAAACACCUCAUCCACCUUACAAGUCCAAGCUCAGGUUGGCUCAAGUGCUUAGUGCUUAGUGCUUAGCUUAUACUUCAAUCCGGCUUGACUUUAAGAGCCAUAUAAGCUUUAACAAUUGACAAGAUAUACCUUUGUCCAAAAAACCAAUUUGAAACCUAUUGCUGAAGCUAUGAGAAUGGUAUAAUAUUUCUGCAGUCAACUUCAGAUAAACCAAGUGAUUCCUCUAGACAGGAAAUCCUUUGCUCUCUCCCGAAUUCCCAUACACAUUGCAGACCAUCUUCUGAUCCGAUCAUAAUCAUGUUUUCCACAACCUUAAGGUCUGUCUUGGUUAGAUUAUUAUGCCUGCUCACCAGCUCUGCUCUUUGUGGUCUAUGUACUGGGAUCAGUCCUAACACUAGGUGUAUAGCGAGUGAGAAAACUGCACUUCUUCAGUUCAAGCAGGGACUCCUAGAUGAGUCGAAUGUUCUUGCCUCUUGGGAAAGCAAGAAAGACUGUUGCGAGUGGAGAGGAAUAGCAUGCAACAACCAAACAGGUCAUGUCAUCAUGCUCGAUCUUUACUAUAAUUCUUCUGAUAGUUACAAUGUUGAAUCUCCCUUAAGAGGUGUGAUUGCUCCUUCACUACUUGGAUUGCAACACCUAAGUUACUUGGACCUCAGUAACAAUUACUUUGAAGGACUGAUUCCCAAGUUUAUUGGUUCUUUGAGUCGGUUGAAAGUACUGAAACUUGCAGGUGCUAGUUUCACCGGACCUAUUCCUCCCCAACUUGGGAACCUCUCUAACUUGCAUACACUUGAUCUUGCAAGGAAUUUUGUAACUUUUGAAAAUCUUGACUGGUUAACUCAAAUUUCUUCCUUGAGAUACCUAAACAUGUCGGGUCUAAACUUUUCUGAGGCUGUAAAUUGGCCACAGGCUAUAAGCAAGCUGCCAUCACUGAUAAAACUUCAGUUACCUUCAUGUAAUCUUCCUAAUGUUGAUUUGAGAUCACUUCCCUUUAUUAAUUCUUCCACCACUCUUGAAGUCCUUGAACUCUCUGAUAAUCUUCUCAACUCUUCAAUCUUUUACUGGAUUGCCAAUGUCAGCACCAAGUUUGUCCAUAUUGGAUUGAUGGGAGAUCAAUUACAAGGUCCUAUCCCAGAUGUUUUUGCAAAUAUGAUUUCUCUAGUAUCUCUUGAUCUCUCUUAUAACCUUCUAGAAGGUGGGAUCCCAAAAUCUUUUCAAAACAUAUGCAGCUUAGAGUCAUUGAAUUUAUGGGAAAAUAAGUUGUCCGACAGACUUGAAGACUCUGUAGGAAAUUUGGCUUGUUCUAAGGGUACCCUCAAGUCAUUGUUGUUAAGUGGGAAUCCAUUUUUUGGGUCCUUUCCUGAUGUACUGACAAGAUUUGUAUCCUUGAGAGAAUUAUAUAUUGAUGGUACCAAUAUGAGCGGAUCACUCCCUAAAAGUUUCCAGCAACUUUCCCAGCUAGGAUCCUUGAGCUUAGUUUUUAACCAGUUGAGUGGUUCAUUGCCAGAUUUUACUGGUCUUCCAUCACUAAGGUUGUUAUUUCUUUCCAACAAUCAAUUCAACGGGUCUAUACCUGAGAGUAUGGGGCUUCUUUCAAGCCUCGAAGAUUUGGCUCUUUCUUGGAAUUAUUUGACCGGUGCCCUCACUGAAGCUCACUUCAGAAACCUGUCUCGGUUACGGUCUUUGUCUAUAGAUCACAAUUCUUUGUCUUUCAACUUGAGCUUCAGUUGGUUACCACCUUUUCAACUAAAAAGUUUAGAUGUGUCUUCUUGCAAGAUUGGUCCAGCUUUUCCUAGGUGGAUUCAAAAGCAGACAGAACUCACUUCUCUUUAUAUGUCCAAUGCAAGUAUUUCAAAUUCAGUACCAGAUGAGUUUUGGGAUCUAUCUUCCAGCUUACUUGACUUGAAUCUCUCCAUGAACCAUAUCCAUGGGAAGUUACCUGAUCUAUCAUCAAAAAAUUGCACCUACUUUACAUUUGACUUGUCAUCUAAUCACUUGUUUGGUCCACUCCCCCCGUUCCCUCCAAAUGUAGCCAUUCUGGUUCUCUCCAAAAACAUGUUUUCAGGGCCCUUAUCUUCCUUUUGUCCAACAGAAGCUCAGGAGUUAUCGAAUCUCGACCUUUCUGACAAUUUACUAUCAGGGGAACUUCCUAGUUGUUGGGUCAAGUAUCAGGGAUUGCUGUCCUUGAAUUUGGGAAACAAUAGUUUCUCUGGAAAGAUUCCAAGCGCAGUAGGCUACUUAAAGAAUCUUGUAUUGUUACGCUUACAGGAUAACAAGCCUUCAGGAGACAUGCCUUCUCUUGAAAACUGCACAGAGCUGAGGGUUGUUGACCUCGGAGCUAAUAAAUUAUCCGGAAGAAUACCAGCAUGGAUAGGCCAAACGCUGACAAAGUUGUUGGUUCUGCGUUUACAUUCUAAUGAGUUCUAUGGAAGCUUACCCUUGAGUCUUUGUGGUCUACCUGUUAUUCAUGUUCUGGAUCUGUCUCAGAAUAACAUAUCUGGAGUAUUGCCACAUUGUCUCAAUAACAUAACAGCUUACACUUCUAUGUCUUCUCAGUUGGAGGAUCUCACUAUUCUUGGGUUUGUGCAAGUUGGUCUGGAAAGGAAUAAAUAUUGAAUGGGGCGAAAAUCUGAAGCACUUGAGAAGCAUAGACAUUUCGAGUAAUUACUUAAGUGGGGAUAUUCCGGAAACUAUGACAAGUAUGAUGAGGUUGAUUUCUCUGAACCUGUCAAUAAAUAAUUUGACCGGAGUGCUUCCCAGUGACUUUGGAAAGCUGAAGAACUUAGAAGCUCUUGAUUUGUCACGAAACCAGCUAUCUGGUAACAUUCCUGCAAGCUUUUCGGGCUUAAACUUUCUUAGUGUCAUGGACCUUUCGUACAACAACUUGUCAGGAAGAAUUCCACUAGGUACUCAACUUCAGAGUUUUAAUGCCUCUUCAUAUAUGGACAAUCUUGGACUUUGUGGACCACCGUUAACUCCACGGUGCCCUGGAGAUGCAACAAAUCAAGAUUCUGCAGGCACUAGUGGAGCUGAAGGGGAUAAAACAGAAGAAGAGGAUGAUGGUCUAAUAACAUUGGGGUUCUAUGUUAGCCUUGUGCUUGGAUUCAUCAUAGGAUUCUGGGGAUUCUGUGGCCCUUUGUUGCUCAAGGUUUCUUGGAGAAAUGCCUACUUCCAGGUCUGGAAUGAUACCAAAAUUUGGAACUGCCAUGUAUGAGGCCACCUUACAGAGAAGAUUCAUAGAUAAAUGGUGAGGUAUAUUAUCUUGUAUCCUUAUUUGUUUGUGUUUUUUUUUUUCAUUCUUAGGAAAACGUAAUUUAUUUGUGUUUUGGAUUUGAUGUACAAUAUAUUAGAAACUCUUUUAUGAUGGUCUAUGACAUUCCAGUGUAGAGUUUCUUUAGUCUUUACUUAAAUGAUUUGAUCCCAGAAGUUUGCUUGCCUCCCUUGUAAAGAUGAACUGCAGUGUAGUUACUUCUUAUAUAAUUAGUUUAACAAAAGAAUGAUAUCAUGGCUCACAUUAAUGAUCAAUUACUGCUUGUUGACACUGGAAUUUUAUUCGUAUAUGGAACAUUUGGAUUUUAAGAACAAUGUUUGGCCCUAGUAAGUAGUAAUGAUUCAAUUCAGUUGAGUCAGUUGGCUGCUGUUAGCUCAUCUCUUCAUUUCAAAAGCAUCAUUCACUAUAUUUGUUAACAAAAAACUGUGUGUAAAGCUUCUCUGUCUGCGAAGAGCAAGUCAAAAAAUUUAAUCUAUGCAUUAUAUAUGCAGAGAAAGGUAGUGAACAGGAUAGUGCGGUUUGGAAAGCGAGGAAAGUUGAGUCCUCGAUUUAUUAGUCCUUGUGAAAUUUUAGAGCCAGUUGGUCCCCAGUGGCUUACCGUCUAGCUUUGCCUUCACAACUAAUAAGCAGAAGAGGCCAAUGAGCAGGAACCGAAGGAGCAAAUGUGAGUAUAACAUCCACACCUCUCUCUAGGCAUGCCCUCAACAUGAACAAAAGAACUACAACUCUAAUUCUAGCAAAAGAGUCAUAAAAACAGUGUACCUAUAUAUGAAAGUGGAUUAACCCGCGGUUUGUCCAGUUCUUAGACUAACAGAACUAGAUUGUUCUUUUAAUACCUUAUUAAGUUAUUAUUCAUUCAAGAUGAAAUACAUUCAUGUAUAUACAACUGAGCAACUAAUCCCCCACGGAAAACAGUCCAUAUGCAGUAGUUGGUAGUUAUAAACACAUGCCUCCUCGCGCCUUAUCUCCCAAAGACAAAUUCCUGAUCUACAGUUCUUCCUGUUCUGUGUAGGUAUGCAACAAAACUGCGAACUGGACCGUCCCAUUCGACAUCGCAAUCCAUUCUUGUUUCUCCCCUAAUAAUGCUUGGUGAAAAAACAAAUUCAAAGUGGGAUCUGUAAUCGAUCUCCUGACCUCCAAGAUCUUUCUUCUGUGUUUUGCAAUGGACGCUGAGACUGGUGUUGACUCCACCUUCGGGAGACAAAUCAUUAGUGAUGUGAACAUGGACUUGGUGAUCAGCAAUAGCAUCAUGGCCAUCACAUAUAGCUAGGAGCAUUGCAAGAAGGAUUGACAUUAAUACAUUUCUCGUAAACGUACUCAUGAUGGUUUCAUUGGUUUGGACUUUGGAGAGAAUAAAAACCUCUAUGUUUAUAUUUUUGUACAAUUGCUUAUUCCUUUCAGUGUCUCAUGUUUUAUAGUGCUCAUUUAGAGUCACAUUUAAUACUAUUAUAGAAAAUUAGAUCUCCAUAUUAAACAAGAUCUAGCAACUCAGAUUACACUUUUCAUACAAAAAAAAAAAAAAACUCAGAUUACACUUUAAAAAAGCUGCACUUUAUUUGAUUGAGGAAAUGAGUGUUAGGAAGGAAUAAAAUGAGUGUGUCGAUCGAAUCGAAUGCAUCAUUUCAUACGUUCCAGUUUAUCUCUUGUCUGUACCAUGCCCACCAUAUGUUUGAUAAAAGUUGCGACACAAGUUUGGUUUCUCGGAUUUUACUGCAGCACUCCAGGGCAAGUAAUCGUUCGUUCUUCUUUGCUUUGUUUGUGUCUCACGUCAAAUCCCAUUCUAUUUUUCAAGUUUGAAAUUCUAGUUACACAUUAUUUAAUUAAUGGAGAGAGUGACAGUCGGUGGUAGCACAAUUCUAGUUACUACCAUAGACGAGACGAAGCAUUAGAGAGUAGAGACUAGCGACUAAUGCUUUGUCUAUGGUAAGACAGAUGCAAAUUCACUUGUGCGCAUAUGUGAAAGCAUUAAGAUGCGUUCCAAGAACUCAUCCUAGCUACAUGUAUAACUUACAAUACAUGUAAAACAUGUAGAAGUUGUAGGGAGCAGCCAACAUUGACCACUGCUUUCCUUUACUUCCAAACCACCAGUUGUUCAUUUCAAAAUCUUCAUGAGCCUAUUCUAAAUGAGUAAAUGUUGAAGAAAAUGUUUGAACCCCAUGCAGGUAGGCUGCAAGUUGACUUUCUGCCGUGUGAGACUAAAAGAGAAGCCUGUAAUCUCUUAUUAGAUCAUACCUAGAGCUGUAUUGGCAGCAAAUGAAACCCAAUCUUCCAAUAUGCUACCACUCUUCAGAAACCAAAAAUCAAAAGCAAAAGAGGGCUUCUUCCAGAAGAAUGGAGCUACCAUAUUGGAACAGCUCAUUCAUGAUUUCAAUGGUAACUGUAAUCCGAUUCGACUGUACUCCGCAGAAGAGCUUAUGAAGGCAACAAAGGAUUACCACCCGUGACGGGAUGAUAUAUGAUGGUUGGAACUUCCGAGUGUACAAAGGAGUUUAUGGAGGUCGUGAAAUUUUGGUGAAAAUAUUCGGAGAAAGAUCAAACUACAGGAGUGGUGAACUUCUAACUGCUACUGAACUUGCAAUUUCUUCAAACAUGAGCAACCACAAGAACGUUUUGAAGCUCUUGGGAUGUUGUCUUGAGACAGAAUUGGCCACUCUAGUUUUUGAAUUCCCAGCAAAAGGUAAUCUCCCUCAUCACAUUUAUGGUGACAAUGCACAAUCAUUGCCAUGGAAGAUCAAGUUGAAGAUCGCAAUUGAAAUAGCAGAUGCAGUUUCAUAUCUUCACCACGGCUCUUCCAAGGUGUUUAUUCAUAGGAACCUAAGAACUGAAAACAUCUUCUUGGACCAGGACUGGGUUGCCAAGCUGUCUGAUUUCCAAGUGUCACUACCAAUUCCUUUGGACGAAGACCAUGUAGUUUCGGAAUAUCUCGGAUUCUUAGGGACAUUAGCUCCAGAAGUAAUGAUCUGUAAUCAUUAUACAGAAAAACGUGAUGUCUUUAACUUGGGGAUGAUAAUGUGCGAAAUGUUGACAGGAAAGAAAAUGUAUGAGAUACAAAGACUCCGGUCUUCUGGGGAUUCAAAGGAACUGGAAAGCAUUAUGGAGAGAAAUGUAGUGCAUGAGAGCAACAUGAAGCAGGUGACAGAAUGCAGCAAGCUCGCAGUAAGGUGUCUCGACUCAGAUCCUGAUGCAAGACCAACGACGCAAGAAGUCUCACAGACACUCAGAUCGAUCAGAACGUUUUAGACUUUUAGCUGUAAAUAUUUCUCUGUCCCUUGUGUUAUUUUUUUGUUGAUUUGUUCAGCUCCCAAGACAACUAAGACAUGCAGAUGAGAAACAACUAAUUCAUGUAAUAAGAAAUAAUGAUUGCUAUUGCUUUCCCUCCAAUAAUACUGAACUGUCAACAUGCAAGUUUGGUCAAUCUCUUAUUAGUUCAGAGCUGGCACAAAGCAUCCACCCAUGUUCAGGGCCGGCCCUGUGUGCUUGGAGGCUAUAGACGAAUUUUUUUUCAAGACCCAAUAUUAAAUGUUUGGCAAAAAAUCAAUAUAUAUACUAUAUAAAGGUCAUUUUUAAUCAUUCAUUAUAUAUAUAUAUUAAAUAAUUAAGAAAAUAGUUAUAACUUUGUUCUGAAUGAGAAAAAAAUUGACAAACUACGUUACAAUAAAGGAUAAAAAAUUAUAAAAUAAAUCUUAUUAUAUUAAGGUAAUAGAAAAGAAUUGUAUCAAAUAAAAUUUAAAAUGAAACAGGAUGUUAAAUACCCAAGAAUUAAGGUGUAAAAGAUAUGAAUUUAAUACAAACUCAAAGAAAUAGUAAAAUAAAAUUUAUAAAAUGAAAAUUGUAAAAAUAUAUGAAUGACCAAAUAAAUGAGAGACAAAAAAAAAAAAGCUAAAUAAAAAAGGAUGAGACCUAUAGGACUCGAUCUCGAUCAGAACCCAUUAGAAGUUAAAUGUAUUACGUACUUACCACCACAACUAACUCAUCUUUACAAAACAUGCCUACACCAGAUAUUAGAUAUAGAGGCCCCUUGGAAUUGGAGGCCCUAGACCUGGGCCUUGCCCCAAGGCCGGCCAUGCCCAUGUUGAGCACACAUAUAUCCUGAAGCUGACUAGUGUUGUACUCGAUCGAACAGGCGAAGACCCAGGGUUUGGACAGAGAAUGAUCCACAAAUUGAUUCACAAGUUAAAAUCUCUGAAUCACUACUAGGAAGAGGAGGACUAGCUGCAGAUUUUGAAUAGAAAUAAUUGAAAGUGAGCACAUGAAGAGUUUUCAUCCAGAAGAAUGCAAAGCAUACUCGUUGACCUCCAAGAUGGACACAACUGUAUGCGGUUCCUUCAACUCUUUUAAGGGCACCAGACAGACUUAUCUUAGCAACUCGUUCAAUACAAUCAGUUUCACCUUAAGGGGACAACACCAUGCGGUAGACUAUUAUCUGUUCAUCAUCAAAGGUAAAAAUUAGCUUCUCAUCCUCCUCUUCCGAGUCCACCACUAAAACCUUGUUGUACAUUGUAUGGAAAACACCCAUAUCGUCCCGAAUACGGGGUUAACGAUCAGACCAUGUUGCCUUGGGGUCAGCCACGUCAAAGAAGAGUAGACGGCCUUCUGUUUCAUAGCUUGUGCGAAGUGUGACAAAGAUCUUGGUGCCCACAACUGCAACAUUGGAUGGACGAAUCGCAUCCCAGGGAAGGUCUCCAACCGGAAGACUUGGGAGAGAAACCCAUGCUUUGGUUUCAGGGUCAAAUACAUUGAAGCCGGACAAUCCUAGAAGCGUUUAGGAGUAAAGAGAGCAUAUAGCUUACCAUCGAUCUCCCGAAGCCAGGGAUGAAAUUUCUGUCCUCCUGGCAAUCCUGGAAUCACAUAAUAGGAGGGUUUAUUGCCUUUGCUGCGGAUGAACCUGGGGUUGGGUUCCACACUUGGAUCAGUCUCCAAAACAUAGGUUCUUGUAGGGAGCACUUCCAUGCCGCCGGUGAGAACAAUUCGAGAGCUGAAGACACCAACACCCAUAGUGAUGGGAACAUCAUCUCCCUCUAGAACAGCAACUUGUUGUACGACAGAAUCGGAUUGAGAAGAAAUCAUGGGAAGGUCAUCUCCCUGAUGAAGAACAGUACCUUGUUCUAGGCCGGAAUCAGAUUGAGAAGAAAACAUGGGAAUCGGGGUAAGGUCAUUACUGAACAAUUCCCUCAAUUUGAUGGCGUGGACACAAUAUCGAUUGAAAGAAUCACCAAAAUGAAACUCGCUCGAAAGUGCAAACGUACAGUUUAGCUUCAACCUCAUCCAAUUUCUUCUGAUCCCGGGGGGCCAAGUAGGCAAUUUUACCUUCCUCAACCCUCAUCAUCGCCCUCCUCCGAUUCGUUGCUCCUCCUCUACUUAUCCUUGGAAACCCUAACCCUAGGCUCUUACUAGUUUGCCCAACCGUAACCCUAGCUCCGACUUUGUGGUACGAUGAACAUAUAUAGAUACUUCUUUGAAAAUAGCAGAAAUCCUAACAAAAUUAAACAUUAGAUAUAGUAUUGUCCUCGCCUAUAUUACUUUGUUGUUGUAGGAGAAACACUAAAGAGAGGAAGACAUCAAAUAGAUCGGACUCGGAGAACUGUGUAUCUUAUUCAUUCAUAAGAGCUUAUAGGCACAUUUUAGGUGUGUAGAAAGAAACAUAUUUUUGCAGUAACUUGGUAAUCUAUCACUAUAUGGAAACAAUAUUCUUAAUCAUGUUAGCAUUAGACCAAAGCACACACAUAUUAAGUGAACAUUCUAAAACACUUCUCUUUGUGCCACGUGUGUACAUACCGAAUGGUGCAUAUGGUGUGCAUAUGGUGAUUGAGAUCUUAUUAUUUAAUUGUCAUCAAGACAAAGAACCUGUGUACGUGGAUGACCUAUAUAUAUGAUGUAGUUGCAGUCGAUGAGUUACUCUUAUUUUUUUUUUUUGAAAGUAAUGAUUUCAUUUAAACAGCUAGUGACUACAAUCACUUAAGAUGACAUCCCUUACAAAUUCGGGAGCAACAACAAACCAGCUAUGGCUUUCACUAUAGUUCAAAGCAUGAUUUGCGAGGAUAUGGGCUACUCUAUUAGCCUCACGAGGUACAUCUAUUAGCCUCACGAGGUACAUGGAGAACUCUAAAAUCUGCAUACCGGUGAAGAAACUCUUUCACCUCUGCUACGAUGGUACCCUAUGAUCAUACUAUCUUUGAUCCCGAACCCCAAUGGAAAAGUUUCAACUUUUACAAUCCGAUAGCCAGUAGGAUCAUACUCUAGAUUUGCUUCAGUGAUUUUUAUUUCUUAGCUUAUUGCAGAAUACUUAUAAUGUCCUUUAUAUAUAUCUUUAAAAAAUAAAGAAAUUUUAAUUUUUUACUUCUUUUGUUAAAACUCCUAAUAAAAUGCCAUAUUUUUUGGGGGUUAAAUAAUAAAUGUGAUAUAUGAGUGUUCAAACAAUUGAUUGUCUCAUCGUUUUCUUUAUUGCUAUAACUUUUUCAUAUUUAUAUUUUCUUUAGUUUUUGUAUAAUGUAGCAUAUUCAUUUCUUUUUUAAAUAAAUCCUACAACUAUAUGCAGUUCAAUGGAAGAUUCACUACUUUCCAGUGACGAAUCUAGGAUUCAAAGUUAGUCUAAGACUCUAGGCUAAUUUAUUUCCUUAUACAGUACAUGCGAUCUUUUUUCUUGUAUAUGUGUGAAUUUUUUUGUCAAAAUGAUAUUUCAAACAAACAAAAAACAAAGAAAAAAAUGUAAAAAGAAGAGAAAGGGAGAGCAGGAAUCGAACCCUGGUCAUGGGUUUUGGAGUCCAAAGUUUUAAAAUUCAGUAAGCCAACUGAGCUGACAAGAGUAUCCAAUUAGAGCUAACAUGUACAAGUAUAUAUAAUUUUGUCUGCGCUGCAGCCCAUGCAGCCUUUCAAGUAUAUCCGUUUAUUUGCAACUAAAGAUUUGAGCUAUAGAACUCAGACAGUUGACAUGGCUACUCUUCUAUUUGAGCUUUAGGACCUCUAAAAUGAGGACUAGUUGAGGACUUUCUAGUUAAUUAGUGGUUUUUAUGAAAUUUACGUAACUUCACGGUUCAAGCUAUGUAAUGAAUUACAGAGCUGGAUCGAUUUGUAUAGCUUUGGAAUUCUACUCCUUGAGCUUUUUGCAGGGAAGAUAUUUAGUAGUAAUUUGGGAGUUCAUUGAGAUUUUAGCAGAUUUCUAACACAGGCACAUUAGCAAGAACCGACUUGGAGGUAAACAACUUGGAAGAUGAAAGCAAGAAAGAAGUAGUUGAAUGCGCCAAACAGGUAGAGCUGGAGGUGUCUCAAAAGAAAAUCGGGACGAGAGGCCCAUCAUAUGAAAGAGGUAGCACAACUACUCAUAUGAUCACAAGCUUAUGCUAUAUACUUGGCCACUGGUGUACGUAUUGUUGUUGUUGUUUUCUCUACUGUCAUAUAUAGCUUAUGAUAUUUCUGAAAAUUAUUCUAUAAUACUAUGGUUCUGGCAAAGAGAUAUGAUUUCUUUUUUCCUGAUAUUUCCCAUCAUGAGCGGCCAACAGCAUGUUUUCUUGAAAGCACUAACAAAUUGACAUACUAAGAUUUGAAAUCAAAACGCUGAGCAUGAGAGAUAUAUGUAGAAAAGUAGGAUUCUCCUAAUGUGCUGAAUAUUCAAAAGUCCAAUUAUGAUCGAGUUGAAUACUGUGUAAUUAUGUAAUUACUAGUUUACUACCAGGAUGCUUUUCUGUCAAGAACAAAACAAAGCAACUCAAUGAAUUGGACAAGCCUCCAUAGUUCGCAGUCGUCAAUCUCUCAAAAAUAGACAUUACAACUAGAGAGUCCCUUCCCACAAAACCUAACGAUCAUCGAUCUCUUGUCUUAAAAGUGAAUCACUGUUUGAAGAUUUGCAAAUUAGUUAAGAACCUUUUUUUUGGUACAAAUUAGUUAAGAACCUUUAAUGAGAGGUAACCACUAGCAUAAGUCAGUUUUUGGGUACCUCAGACUAGUUUGGUUUCCUAAUAGCAGCUGUUGAAGACAAGAGGUAGUGUGCAUGUCCUGGAUUAUUACGACGAAAAUGGGAGUCUUAAACAGUGUUUACAACAUGGAAAUAGAUUUUUUUUUAACAUGUAAGAAACCUUGUAGACUCGGUCUUAACUUUUGUAUGGUUGCACAUCUAUUCAAAUUCUUCUUCUAUGUCUUUUUACGGUUGUCCUUUGGCCAUCUAAAGGGAUGCUUAACGAUUUAGGUUAGGUACAAGUAACUUACAAAGUAAAUCCUAAAGAUGAAAAAAGAAUAGUACCAUAAACAAAUGAUGUUUUUCCUAGUGUUGGCAGAAGGGAAAAGUUUUCAUAGUGCUGUCUGCAAUUCUGAGAUUAAUAGAUAAAGAGCAGAGGCCAUGAUGCUUGUUCUCUAAGCAACAGCACUAUACAACCUCUUCAAUGACUCAAAUGGCACAAAAGUCCUUUGCUGUUGUCUUUUUUGUGGUCCAUUUAGAAAAGAGGAGCACCAAUAUCACACUUCCAAUUCUUCCUUGCCCAGAUAGCUAGUGACUUUUCCUUUCUUUCUCUUCUUUCUAGAAAAGGAAAAAAGGAUAGUGAUAAUUCAGCAGGGAAACACAUAUGAUGAAAAUAUAUGCAUCCUGGACUUUGUGAUUUAUACUUUUUGGUGAUUAGUCUUAACCUCUCGUGGCCUAAUAGUUCAUACUUUAGUAGUGAUUAUCUUCGGCCCGUGAUUAAGACUUCAGUGGUUCAUGACUAGUCAGAAGAAACAAAAACUCCCACCAGAAUUAAGGGGUCAAUCAUUUUCUGGUGAACUAAAACUACCUGGCUUUAAUGGUGGAGCAAUUCUUGUUUAAUCACUCUACUCCUGAAAAAUCACCUUUAUGGAAUAAAGAAAUCACAGUAAUCACAUCAAGUAAAAGCAUGUAACCUCAACUCUCAAGCUUCAAUUAUAAUGAUCUUUUUCAAACUUGAUAGGAUUGCUUUGUAGUUUUUGUCAAUGUUUGGAAGGCUAUUUGCACAUCUUUGGUGAUUAACUGGUUAUUCCAAUGCACAAAUUUACGGAAACUUUGAUCUGAUUAUGAUUGAGAAAUCCUGGUUACAUGGAUGAAACAACAAAGGGACUUCUUCGAGUGAACCUCAACACGAACCCAGUAAUGGCAAAGAAAGCAGAAUCAUCUAUCUACUAUACACAGAACAAGAAAAUCCCCAUGAUACACAACUUUCAGGCCUCAACUUUCCAAAUGAAAUCUUCUAAGAUAUAAGAAAACUGAAAUGAAGCAUAUGGCACGGUGCCUACUCUGCAGUUGUCGUCUGUUUUCUCCUUGACCUGCUCCUGCUGUAUAACCUAGAAGGAGGGGAAGGAGAGAACUCAAAAGGGAGUGGUGGGAGAUCCAUCUCCCCUUUCAAGAUCUUAACAAUCUCCCCAAUGUCUGGCCGCAACUCUGGCAUCUUUUGUAAGCAAGAAAGAGCCAAAUUUAUACACAAACUUGCCUGGUCUUUAUUGUACUCAUCCUUCAGUCUCUCAUCUACAAGUUCUAGUAUAUUUCCGGCUUGAGCUAACUGUCGACACCAGCUUAUUAGAUUUGCCUUUUCUAGCUUCAUCGGUGAUGCAAGAACAUGUAGUGGUCUUCUACCGGACACAACCACAAGGAUUAGCACACCUAGACUGUAAAUAUCUGCCUUCUCCAUCAAGUACCCACAUCCACCAUAUUCUGGAGCAACAUAACACAAAGUCCCUCUCAUGCUUGUUGUGCUGCUUAGCUCACGGCUAAAUAGAUCACCACUCCACAUGUCACUGCCAACGGAAUGUGCAUUCUUUUUCUUCCAUCCCCUUCUGAAACUGAACUCACCAAUGUGAUCACUCUUUUCUUGACUUUGUUCCCUAAAAUUCUUUCUCCUGCGAAAGUGAUACCAUCUGCCAAGAUCAAAACGCUGCAUUUUUAAGCCUUUCUUCCACUUUGUUUCAAGAUUUUUGAGAUUGCUGCCCUUCUUGCUAAUCUCUGCAAGGUGCUCCUCCUUCCACCAUUCUUGCAUCUUCUUCGGUUUCCUUUUCCGGUUCUUCCUGCCCUUUGAUUCAUUCUUCUCAAACUCCUUGCUGAGAUUUCCAAACCCAAAUUGUUGUACUUGAGGUCCAUUUCCAUUUUCAAGUUUAUCAACUGGAGAUGCAAUAUCUAAGUCGGUCUUCUGAUCAGGGAUGCUCUUCUUGUCAUCAUCCCAAUCAGGAUUCGAAGACGGGCAAAUCUGACUCCCAAUCCACUCUGUAACAUAAUCUUUACUACACAAUUCACCACUCCCAUCUUGCUUCCACCACCAAUCCUUCCCCCAUUGCUUUGCAUCCUCUGCUUCAUCAACAGCAGAACCGGCAGUAAAACCCAAAUCCUUACUAUGAUCAAUACUAUCAAGUUCAUCUUCAUAAGGUACAAACCUGUUAUUCCAAUCAUCCCCACCAAAAUCUACACUUGAAACCUCUUUGCCCUUUGCAUCACUACUCUUAACCUCACUCUCACAGGCAAUGUUAGCAUUAUAAUUUACGGAAUUCAAGUUCAAAGCUUUAACAUUACAGCACUUCCUACUAUUUUUCGAUGAUGAAGAUGCUUGCAAAGCAAGAGCAAAAUCUACCUCAUUAGAACUCUCCACGGGUGUACCAAUGGCCGGAGAAGUAUCCACAGCAAAGUUUCCAGACAGCUCCUGACUCUUCCCCAAGUCCUGGCUAAACAUGUCAACCCCAAACUCACCAUCCACCUUAAUCCUUGACAACCCAAAGUCCGAAAUCUUCGCCCUGUUGUCGAAAUCAAGCAAAAUGUUGCUUGGCUUAAUAUCACCAUGGAUAACAGGAGGAUCACAUCCCAAAUGCAAGAACUCAAGUGCUCUAGCCACAUCUGUAAUUAUCUCAAACCUCCUCUCCCAGCCCAAACUCAAAACACCUUCUCCAAAAAGUGACUCUUGGAGACUCCUAUUAGGCAUGUACUCAUAAACCAGAAUCCUAAAAUCCUUUUCCACACAAUAACCCAAAAGGGUCACCAAAAAUGGUGAUCUUAACCCCCCAAGAAUCUGCAACUCAUUCUGAAACUCUCUCUCAGUUUGCAAGUUCAAAGCAUCCAACUUUUUAAUAGCAAUCAACUUGCCACAUUUGAGUAUACCUCUGAAGACAGUUCCAGAGCCACCCUUGCCUAUAACAUUGGCUGAAUCAAAGUCAUUGGAAGCAUUCUUAAGCUCCUUGAAUGAGAAUCUUUCAAGCUUCAAAGGUGCACUGGAAUCAAAUGGGAUUGUCUUAGCUCUGUCCACAAGGGAAUGCCAGAGGUGAUAGACAAAGUAGACAAUGGAUGAGAUUAUUACUAAAGAAGCUGAGAUUGUGAGGGCCAAGAACAAGACCCUGGUCUUGGUGAAGAAAUUGGGUGGGCUUACAAUGGGAAGUUGAGGACUUGAAGGAGGGAAUGGUCUUGCAGGCAUGGUUUGGUGAGGUGGGUUCAGACUUCAGAGUCUUAGGGUUUCUGGGUUUGUGAUAGGCUAAAGGUUGAGGAAGAUUGGGGUUUGGGGAUGCUCAUUUUCUCAUUCCUACAUUUUUUUUUUUCUUGUUUGUGACUGUCUAUCAGUAUCCAAUGUGGGUUUGCUUUACAGUUGGAUAAUCUAUGCAGAGAUUGUUGCUAAUCUCUUUGCCUUUUUUUAAGUUUUUGAUGAUUGGGUUUUGAUUCUGGAUUGUUUGUUGUUUUUUAUAUUUGGUUUUGUGAUUGGAAAAUUAGGAUUAGAAAACAGUGGUAUGGAAGGGAGGGUCCCAAGGUGGAGGUGCUUUUGACUAAAGAGAAAGCUUUGCCAGACAGUCUUAACAUGGCAGAUUGCAGAGAAGAAAACAAAAUGAAAAACCAAUAAAAAUAAAUUGGAGGGAAAGAUGGUAUCCAGUAGGAUAUAUAGGAACUUGGCUGAGGUUUACCUCGCAAAUGAGAACAGUAAAAUUUGGUCUGUACUCUGUACAAUCUUUCAGAAUCCAAAUGAUCCAUAGUGAAAAAACUAAAUAAAUAAAAGUACCUUUAUAAGGUGGGGUAAGGUCCGUGUAAUACAGUAAUCAAGUAGUUCACAGAGCCUCACAUGCCUAGUCCCUAUUCUCUAUUUUGUCUAUAGAAUUAUAUGAUGGAGACUCCUCUUAUUUCUGACCUUAAAAAGGAUAUUCGUCUCUCAUCUCUGUACCAAAGAAUUUGCCUUCGACUUCUGUUUUUAUUUUUUUAUUGUUCAAAGAUACUUUCAUUUACUAACGAAAAUUACAUAAGAUUUGAGAUUUAAGACAAUCUGACUACUUCAGAUUAGAUAAUCAGAUAACUCAGUUCACAAGAUUUCACACACGAAAUCUGAUACUUUAGAAAGAAAAUAUGCAUUAUUACAUGUUCGAAAAACAAACCAAUGAAUACGAUUGAAUAAGUGAUUCCAAAAGCAAGAAACCAAAUGCGGAGAGAAGGAGAGGACGGUGGGUUUGUGUGUUAUCAAUGUAGUUUGAGAGAAAACUUCUCGACUUAGUUAAUUAGUGGCCGGAUUAUUUGCAUCAUUUAGUAACUACUAAAAAGAAUAUGUUCGACUAUGUUUGAGUGUAAUUAAAUUGUAGUAAUUAAUUUUAAGAUAAUUUGUUUUUAACAUAAUUUUUGUAGUGUUUGUUGAUUAGAUGAACACGUACAUUAUCGACUAAUAUAUGACCGUAUAAGCUACUAGAAAGCCACAAUGCCAAGUGCAACUCUAUAAAAGGCUUCAAUUAAUAGUCUUUAACAUCUAAAAUUUUAUAUGUAGAGUUAUAAGAGAAUGUUUUCACUAUAACAUUUCCCACGUGAAUUGUGCAAAUGGUGGUGAGAAGAAAAAGAAAGACCGUGACACUCGCCUUUAUUAGCAGCUCAUUAGCUGAUCGUGUCAUCCAAGUAGCAUGACGUACCUACUGGGUAUUUCUACUCGAGUUUAAGCGUGCAUUGUGCGAUGAAUGUUUGUGAUGAAAUGCUAAGAGAGGAGAGAGGGAAAAUUGGAGUUACGGGGUCUUCUCAUACUGCACACAGUUCGCUUAUGUAUGCAGACCAGUUUGAUUAGGAGCAAAAGAACAUGGGAGAUGUUUGGUGAUGAGUGGGACAUGUCCACCAGAUGGGAGGUCAGAUUUCAUGGUGACACUUUUGGUUUGGAUAUUAUCCCAUCAUCUCUUGGCUUGUGUCUUUUGUAUGCAUUCACAUAAAUAUAUACUAUAUGUAUAUUGGUAUGUAUGUAUAUAUAUAUAUAGAAAGGAUAUGAAGCGGACGUCCGGACUCGGUUUAAAGUGCGGACGUUCGUCUGUUCUCCAUCCUCCGGCGCCGGCGACGGUGCGCCUCUACCUCAGAAGACUCCAGCAGCGUCCCCGAUCACUUUCCCUCCCCGGCGAGUCCGUUCUUUUUCAGUUUUCCGGUGAGAUCACCCAAACUUCAAACAAAGUCAAUCUCGCCGAAAAACUGGAAAAAAACGGCCUCGUCGGGGAGGGAAAAUGGUCGGAGACGCUGCUGGAGUCUUCUGGGGUAGAGGCGCGCCGUCGCCGGCACCGGAGGAUGGAGAANNNNNNNNNNNNNNNNNNNNUUUUUAUAUAUAUCUAACAUCAAAAAGUGUAAGUAUAUUAAAUUACCAAAAUAUGUUUAUAUUAAUUAGAUAAUAUUAUUAAAAACUUGAAAUACACUACAUCUCACGUUAACGUUUUCUUCACUAUAUGAAUGAAGUUUCAAACUUAAAACUUAACAAUAGACAUAUUUUUAACCGAGUUGAUCGAUGAUUAAUCAUGGUCUCAUGGGCAAGAGCUUAAUAAUUCAUAAUAAUGGAUUCCCUCAUGAAAAUGAAGGUUUUUGGUUGGCUUCGACCAUGCAAAGACUUAGAAUGGUACUAUCUAUCCUGCAAACUAGUGGAGUAUCCAUGCUUGAGGUUUUCAAGCAGAAGAAACUGGUGAUCUGGUUUGGCAUUUGUUUUGCAAUGAUCUAAAACAUGUGUGGGUGCAAAACGUCCAAAAUAAUGAAUAUGUCAAAAGAUUCUACAUAUAUUGAUCAAUCAUGGUGGAGCAGUUUGAAUGCUCUUGAGUUUGCAAAGAAAACAUAGUCUUCUCGUUGUUUAGCAAGGACAGAGAAAACUUUUAUUUUAUUUCUAAGUCGAGAUGAUAUAAAAAAAGGAAUGAAUGUGUAUUUAGAAAAUAUAUAUGGUAGUAUCGGUAUAUUUUGAAUGAGGGUAAUUUAGGAAGUUUAAAGAUGUGUAUCUAGUUAAAUGUUAAUAUUAUAAAAUUAUGGGUGCGGCUAUUUCCACCCCACUAAAUACUCAGUUCACCCAAUGCCUUAUUUUUUACCUUUAACAUUCCUAUUUCGCCCUUAAAAUUUUGAGAAAAUCUGUUUUUUUUUUAUUUUAUAUUCUUUCUUUUUAUUUUCCUCAAUCUAAUAAAAUCUAAAAAUAUAUACAAAUAUCUCAUCAAUAUAUUUGAUGUAUACCUCCAUUCUUCUCAAACCACAUCCUAUAUAUAUUCUCCUCGAUCUUUUUCUAGAGUUCCUUCUUUAUGAUUAUAUAUAUAUAUAUGAAAGACUACAUUUGAAGCCAUAAAUAAAAUUAAAAUAAGAAUGAACAAUCCCACCACACUGUAUAACCACCAUGUUAAAGAUUGAAGUGAUUCUCAAAUCUGAUUUGAAAGAUGUAGAGAAUUUGUUUUUUUUUUUUUUUUGAUGUAAAGAUGUAGAAGUUGUUGUUUGGAUUUUAUAGAUUUUAGUUUUUUUUCUACAAAAAUUCUUGAUUGUGGGGUUAGUAUGGAAUAUUUAGUUUAAAAUUAAAAUGUGAGGUAAACAAAGUAUUUGAUGGGGUGGCAAUAGCUGCACCCUAAAAUUAUUUGGUGGUGUAUUAAGUGUGAGAUAUGUAUUUAAUUAGUAUUUAGCCAUGUGUGAAUAAAAUUUCUCUAUGCACAUUGGAGUUGUAAUCUAAAAUUAAAUACUCACUACUUAUGUUGUAAGAAAAUGUUAUGUUUGUUAGAGCAUGUUUAGCAACAUUAGCCAUUUUUUAGUUAAAUUUGUUAAAAAUUCAUUUUAGGGGUUCUAGUUGCACCUCCAAAUCUACUAAAUAUAUAUACCUCCAUCAUUUUUUAACUCUGAUUUGACUUUAAUUAUCAACUCAUAUGAUAUAAGGACAAACUAGUUAUUUUUUUUUUUUAAUAAUACAAACAACAAGUUGAUCUAGUGCCUUUUGCUUCCUCUCCAUCUAGAUAUGCAGCAAGUUGAUCCUUCUUCCUUUUGCAAACUCUAGCUUCUUAUCUAGGUUGAUAAUCUGGUUCAUUCCCAAAACAAAACAUAUAAAACAAAACUGAGUAUCCCAUUAGAAAAUUGGCUCGAAAGAUAAGCUGUUAAGGGUAAUAUCUCCGAUCGCUCUCUAUAUUUAGAAGCGAGAUAUCUAGAACUCCUAGAAGUAAAACUAGAGAGCCACUUUAGAGUAAGGGGGACGUCAGUCCAUUAAUAUAGUAAAAGUUACAUAGAAAUAAUUCACCCAAAGAGCUACGAAAACAUUGAACUACCCGUAGGAAACCUUAAUUAGCCUAAAACCAAGAUAUAACAAUACAUAGGAAACUUGACAUUCAACCAGUACAGAAUUAAACCAAAGAAUCACAUAGACGAUUUUUUGACGCUGCGAUGCUAAAGAAGAAACAGGAAAGAAACCAAACACUUCCCCAACGUAUUCAAUUACCAAGCUAUGACACACCUAGGAGCACGAUCCAGUCCAUUUGACCCAAAAAAGUACCAGAUAGAGCAAGGCCCAAUCCUAGAUACAAACUCAAGGCCAUGAGCCCAGGACCAACUGCUAAGGUCACCUAAAGGAUUGGACAUGUAGCCUUCAACUUGUUCAAAGCACUGCCCGCCGCCGCCGUCGUCGUCGAUCCUUCCAGUGGUCGGCCUAGUCCUCACUGCCCCAUCACCAUCAUGUGGAACCCACCAAAAUGAAUGAAUCCCUAACAGCCAAAACCAACAGAAAGCAAGUAUCCACACCUGAAUUUAGCCCGACUUGCCUUAACAACUUCGCCCGACAAACACCGAGGUCGACAUAGUCUCUCCUAAGCUAUUUAGAGAGCAUAUUUAGCUUUUCAUAUAAUUAAAGAUGCAUGAAGCUCUCUCUAUACUUUAAGGAAAAAACUUGCGUCCGACCCAGUUUGGACACAUUCGUCCGGACUCUCAUAUGUAGUCCAAUUCUAGUCUGCCAUAUGUCAUUUUUUUGUUUUGAUUUUUAUUCUUUAAUAAAUUAUGCUUAUGUAGGGAAUCUUUAAUAUAUAAAAAAAUAAAAUAAAAUAAAAAAAUAAACAAAAAACCUGAGUGCAAAGCUCUUGCAAACAUUGUUGGUGCGGUUAAUUCAUGAAAACAUGCAUCGCAUUUGCUUCCACCUCAACUAUUUGUGUUUAAUAUGAAAACAUCAAACGAGAAUAAAACUUGCAGUGACUGCAUUUGAUUUGAAAUUACUUAAUGAAGUAACAAAAGACACCGGUGAAGACUGUGCUCAGUCCUCUAUACAAUAGAACGCCAGAACGAAAAGGGCGCAUAACUACGUGAAUCCCAUUUUCUAAGAGAAUCAAUUUGUGUGAUGGUUAUGUUCUCUACAUUUGAAGAUACAUAUCUCACAUGCUCACUACCAUACUCACCAAGUAUUGCAUGUGUGUAGUAUAUAAAGUUUGGCUUGCACCCUGGGUGGUUAAUUUGAAGCUAGAAUAGACACUAAAUGACCAUGACCUAUGAGAAAUUUUUCAGUCCUACGGGAGAACCACUAGACAUGCCUAAUGGUUCUCUCUAGCUAAUAAAAAAUAGCCAUGUGGUUAUUUUUUACACAUCAUAGCUGGGUUAAAAUUUAUUCUCUAAAAUUUACUCCAUUCAACUCAAGUAAAAUUAAUCAAACGUCAUACCAGAAAAAUCAGUUAGGAGAAUCACCCCAUAGCGAACAAAAAACAAUCUUCUUAAUCCUAAUGUGAGCAUUAUUCAAUGUUGUUUUCUAGCUUAAAAUUCUUGAAGCAAUAACACAGUGAUAAAUCUACAGCACUGAAAUGCACGAAAACAAUUUCAUUGCUUCUCUAAGUCCAAUCCGAAUUCGAUUCCAGAAUCAGAUAAACAUCAACUCUUGCAAUCCUUCUGGUCAUGGUUAAUCUAUUUACUGAUCGAAUUGGAUUAUUGUCAAAAACUUAGUCUGAAAUAUGGCAAAAACCCAGGAGAAGAGAUAUGGCUAUGCAAGCAGGGGCCAUAUCUCCGUUUACAUGCCCUUUUGGUUUUGAAGUCAAAGAGAGUAGGAGCCAUAGUUUCAAUAUUUCCAACAUUUUUACUCCAACUCAAACCUCCAUUUCUAUCUUGUUCUUCCUUCCACACCUUCAGCUUCCCACCGAUUUCCCUUGAUCAUUAAUCCGUUUCGAGUAUUGGAUUUUGUGUUUUAAGGGUUGAGCUUUGACAAUGACUGUGAUAUAUCACUCAUUUGAUCAACACAAAAACUAAUGACAAACACAAUAACUCAACCCCAAACCCAGAAUGGCCCUUACUCUCUUCGAUCGACCUUCAACCCCAAAUCAAUGGCAUGCCAAAUGGAGAUCUGAGUUUUUUUUGUUUUGUUUUGGAUGACGUUUGUUGGUUUUACUUAAGUUGAAUGAAGUAAAUUUUAACCAUGUGAUGAUGUGUAAAAAAUAACCACGUGGCGAUUUCUUAUUAGAUAGAGAGAACCAUUAUGCAUGCCUAGUGGUAGUGGUUCUCCCGUACGUAGCACUGGAAAAUUUCUCGACCUAUGAAUUAAGCAUCAUCUCCUAUGUCUUCCACUUCAAACAUCUGUAAAGUAUGGCUUCGAUAUGAGCCUUUGUAUGUAUCUUGUAGAACUAACUUGUAAACUAUAAAGGUAGUAAUUAAUAGUUUCCAAAGUAUUACCCAGCUCCUUAGCUAUUAAAGAAUUCCUACACAAGUGAUUUCGAAAAAAAAAAAAAAAUCCCUACAUAAGUAUAAUAUAUUAAAAAAAACAAGAAAAAUAAAUUCAAAACAAAAAAAUUACAUGCGGCAAACUGUGAUUGGACCACAUGCGGCAAACUGUGAUUGGACCACAUAGGAGUCCGGACGUGUGCGUCUAGACUAGAUCGAUCGGACGCAAGUUUUUUCCUGGUAAAAUUGAUAAAAACUAAAUAAAUAUUUAAGUAAUUUGGACUUAAUUUGUCCAAAGAGGUCCAUUUCUAGAAAUUUUGAGGGAAAAGCUGUCAUAUUUAGUUUUUUCCCAAAUAAUUAAUUUUAUUCAAGAGAAGAAAGAAGAAAAUGAGAAAAAAGGGCACAAAAUCAGCUAAUUAACCGUACAAUGGUCUGACUCUCCUCAAAAUCAGCUUCUAUUCCUUACUACCCGCCUUCGUCUCUCGGAAUCGCCCACCUCCUUUAUCCUCCUCGAGCUCUAAUGACAACACUAUCUUCCAAACAAUUACAUCAUUGAUACAGAAUCAAAGCUGCAUUUACCAACGUAAGUUCCCUUCUUCCUUGUGUUAUUUCUCGUCUGUCUUUUCUCAUCUUGUUUCACAUUGUUGUAGGGAAGAAAGUUGAGUUUCCAUUUUGUUCUUUGCAUGAUACCUGCCAUAAUCUGAUAUGGGGUAUGGUUGCAAUCCAUAGUAAUGCCAACAACUUGGAUCAUAUAUAGAAAAUGGAAGACAAGAACACAUAAAAACUUGAAUAAUGGAUUUGUUGCAUCAUGUCUUCUGGAAUGAACAAUGUGUUACAACAAAUUUAUACGAGAUGCUUUGAGAAUCCAUUUUACUGUUCGCCCAAGUUUCUAUUCCGAUAGAUAUCAUUUCCAAAAAAAAAAAAAGGUUUCAAUUGCGAUCAAAUAAACACAAACAACCUAAAAGCACUAUGGCUUUUCUGGAGACAAAAGCAACACCGUUAAUUUUGUCUACUUUCAUUCAUUGUCCUGUCCAAACUGCCAAUCUGUAUCUAUCAGCCCUGAAAAACAAGUUCUGAAACUUGAAAAAUGCAAUUUCUAAUUUUUGUGCUAUUUUAAUGUCUGCCAUUGCAGCCUUUUCAUUUUUGUACUAUGAUGGCAUAAUCUGGGUUGAUUGAACUUUGUGCUAUGUUACCCCCAAUCAGCGGAUGAAGCGAUUUGGGACUUGCCUGCGGAUUUUCACAUUCUAGUCUGAUAUCUAUGUGACCGAUCGACUGUUCAAGAUGUACAAGUCGCAGUAUUUUGGAGGUCAGAAGGAGAAAUUUGUGAGGUAUUAUUUUUUUUUUUUUUUUUUUUUUUUUUUGUUAGAUGUGGUAUGGUUUGUAUUUGUGCAUUGUCUAUAUUUCAACUCGGACAUCAACUGGUCUUGAAGAUAUUUAGCAUCUCUCAAAGAACAGACUUGUAGAUUCUUAUUGUUAUUGUUUAUUAUGAUUUGGCAUAUGUUGACUUUUGUAGGUUGGAUGAUUUGGAUACAAUGUCAAUAAGUUCAGAUACCGGGAAAGUGAAGAAAUGUGGAUUUAAUAUAGAGGGUUUGGCUUAUACUGAUCGUCGAAAAAGAAAAUCAAAGUCAGUUAAGUUUGGAUUUCCGAGGGGAUCAGAUGGAAUAAUGACAGUUGGUAGAUCAAUAAAAACUGGUGUCACCCGUGCAGUGUUUCCAGAAGAUCUUAAAGUUUCGGAUAAAAGGAUAUUUGAUCCACAGGACAAGUCGCUUCUGUUCUGGAACAGGCUUUUUGUCAUAUCAUGUAUCUUUGCAAUAGCCAUUGAUCCUUUCUUCUUUUAUCUCCCUAUAUUCAACAAGGAACAGGAAUGCCUCUCUAUCGAUAAAAGUUUAGCAGUCACAAGUAUAACGGUGCGAACUUUAAUAGAUGUUUUCUACCUUAUUCGCAUGGCUUUUCAGUUUCGUACAGCUUAUAUUGCACCAUCUUCUCGGGUGUUUGGAAGAGGUGAACUGGUGAUAGAUUCUUCAGAGAUAGCACAGCGAUAUCUACAUCGUUACUUCUUUGUUGAUCUUUUGUCUGUGCUACCCGCACCACAGGUUAGAAAUGCCAUGCUCAGUUUCUGCUAGUUUGCACAUAUAGAGGAACUUUUAGCCAUUUCUUUCUCCCAAUCUGAAUAACAAGCCUAAGAGAAAAAGUCUUUGAUAAAAAGGAUACCCGCACUUCAUGGUUUACGAAUUAGCUAUUACCUGUAGCAGUGCAAUUGUGGAGGUGUCAUGCUAAAUUUAAUAAGCUAGUUUUGAUAGAAAUAAUAGAUUGAGACUUAUCUUGUUUGUUUUGUUAAUCUGCAGAUUGUUGUUUUUGUAUAUUUGCAUGGAAAUGGUGCGGCGGUACUGACUACGAAAAAGGCAUUGCUAUAUAUUGUCUGGUUUCAGUUACUGCCAAGAUUUGCCCGCUUAUUAGCUUUAAACUCAGACCUUAAGAAGAGCGCGGGUUCUUUUGCCGAAACUGCUUGGGCCGGGGCUGCAUACUAUAUGCUUUGGUUUAUGCUUGCUGCUCAAGUAAGUGUUUCUUAUCUUGUUAAGUAAGGCAUGCUGUUUUGCUGCACUACCCUAUAGGCCUAUAUCCCCACUGUUGGUAAGUCUUGGUUGAAGUUCCUUGUAGAAUGACUUUAAGCAACUUUUUGAACUUAUAGAUAAACCUUUCCAGGUCACUGGGGCUGCCUGGUACUUGUUAUCUGUAGAACGCUAUGGUUCAUGCUGGUGGGAUAAGUGUGCAGAAAAUGGUGGUCAAUGUAAAGUAGAAUUUUUGUACUGUGGCAGUGAGAGUAUGCCGGGAUACGAUGAGUGGAGCAAAGUCAAAGAGGAUGUUGUAAAGAAGGGCUGCAGCGCUGAAGGUGAAGACACCGAAUUUGAUUAUGGCAUCUUCAAAGGUGCUGUAGAAUCUGAUAUUAUUUCAUCCACCAACUUUGGAGAAAAAUUUUUGUAUUGCUUGUGGUUUGGAUUGAAAAGUUUAAGGUAUGUUAUCAAUUUUAAAAUAAUUUUUUUUUUUUUUUUUUUUUAGUCUACCUGAUUUAGUUAUAACUGUUUAAAACUGUGCAUACUCAAAGUCUGUUCUGUUUAUUGGAAUAUCAUGAUGGUACGUAUGUUGACGAGUGCUAGUUAGCACCAAGAUAUCAUUUGAUGUUUUUGAACCAAAUUCUUAAGUAUAGCCUUUCCAAAUAUAUUAUUAAAACACAGAACCAAAUUCAGUACUUGAAUUACAUUGUUCAUUGAAUUUUAAUUUUGAAACCAAUACAGAUAGUUUUAGAGCAAGGUGCUACUAGUUGCAAGAUGGAAUGAUAAAUUCUUUCAGGAUAGUAAACAUAGAUGUUCUGUUGAACAAUGUGGAAGCCAUUACUACUCUUUGCUACUUUAUAGCAGAGUUUUCACCCAGUUUAACUCUAGCUACUUUACUAGUAUUUAGACUAUUAACUCUUGUUAUGCUCUUCUACAUCCCACAGGCACUACGGAGACAUUGCUAAUACAUAGUUGUGUGUAUCUUUUGAUAACAUGCAAUUCUAUUACUAUGCAGUAUAUGGAACGCUUACAUAUUACUGUAGAAAUUUGCUAGUUUUCUGCUUUGGGUUCUCAAGUACUUAUUACUGCUGUUUCACUUUCUUCAGUACGCUUGGCCAGGGGCUUGAAACCACUUCGUAUCCAAUGGAGAAUAUAUUUUCCAUAGGGGUAGGCACUUUUGGCCUCAUCCUCUUUGCCCUUCUGAUCGGAAAUAUACAGGUGAGCUGUUGAUCACUCUACUGGAUUCAUCAUUUUAUGUCCUUGGCUCUGGUGGAAAGUGGUUAUAAUCUGGAUGGAAAAGGAGGAUCAACAUGUCGGACCGAUAAUACUCCCCAGAAAUUACUUCUAUUGAAAAAACAAUGAUGCUACAGAACUUAUUUCUUCUUUCUACUAUUUUGUGGUUGUAACCUUAAGCCUUAUUGCUGACUUUUGGAGCUUAAUGAACAUUGUACAGACCUAUCUUCAGUCUCUCACGAUUCGUCUUGAGGAGAUGAGAAUAAAACGGCGUGACUCUGAGCAGUGGAUGCACCAUCGCUGGCUUCCGCAGGAACUUAGAGAAAGGGUUCGCCGCUACGAUCAAUAUAAAUGGUUGGAGACUCGAGGUGUAGAUGAGGAGAGCAUUGUCAGGACUCUCCCAAAAGAUCUCAGGAGGGACAUUAAACGGCAUCUCUGCUUGAACUUGGUCAGACGGGUAAGUAUACAUGGUUUCAUCUCCUUCCUUCAACGGGUCUAAGUUAAAAUCAUAAGAAGCAUAUAGGCCACAAGGUUGGUUCAUUUUGUGUUUGCAAAUUUUUAACUUCAUUUGGUUGUGACUGUAGGUGCCUCUUUUCACCAAUAUGGAUGAGCGGUUGCUUGAUGCCAUUUGUGAGCGUCUGAAACCAAGUUUAUGCACAGAGAAUACUUUUAUAGUCCGGGAAGGAGAUCCUGUUGGUGAGAUGUUAUUCAUCAUCCGAGGUCGCCUAGAAAGUGUGACCACAGAUGGUGGCAGGACUGGAUUUUACAACAGAGGUUUGCUCCAGGAAGGUGACUUUUGUGGAGAAGAGCUCCUAACAUGGGCACUGGACCCGAAAGCCGGCUCUAACUUACCAUCAUCUACUCGAACAGUGAAGGCUAUAACUGAGGUUGAGGCAUUUGCUUUGGAAGCAGAGGAGUUGAAAUUUGUUUCCACUCAGUUUAGGCACCUUCAUAGCAGACAGGUGCAGUACACCUUCCGGUUCUACUCACAGCAAUGGAGGACUUGGGCAGCCUGCUUUAUCCAAGCUGCUUGGCGCCACUACAGGAGAAGAGUGGCGUUGGAAAAACAAAGAGAGGAGGAAGGAUUCGGAUACAGUGACGGAGAUGAUGAUAAUGAUGACGAUGAUGGUGGUGGUGGCGGUGAUUCUAAAGGCGGUUCUGGUAAACAUGGGCUUGGUGCCGCAAUCCUUGCAUCCCGGUUUGCAGCAAAAACUCUUCGUGGUCAUAGGCUUCGCAGUUCAGGCAGGAGGGAGCUACUGAAGCUGCAGAAGCCCCCUGAGCCAGAUUUCUCGGCUUAUGAUGAUAAGUAAUCUGUAAUCAAAUCUUAAACUUGAUAUUGAAAAUCCAAGUCUGGUGUGUACAUACAACUUGGGCACUCACAGAAAUGAUGUCAUACAGACAUACUAGGUUUUCGGAGCAGUUUCACAGUAUAAGUUGUGAUCAAUAGAAGCCAACAUUGUAUGGCUAAAUAUUAUAGCAGCAAGCAGCAAGAGUUGAACUUCAUAGAAAAUACAAAUUACCACCAUCUACUAAUGAACACACUCACCCACAAGACUUAUGUACAUUUCACCAAUGAUGCCAGAUUACCUGUAACCUUCGUUGCCUAAAUUGAUGGUACAUUACCUAUGAUCUUUGUUCCCUUAAUUUUAUGAAGAUAAUCUGUCUUGCCUUCAUCGGUGUAAGGUUACUUCCCAAAUUGUUGUAAGAUUACGUGUGAUCUAAAUUAGUUGCGGAGGAUGGGCAGGCUUAGUUGCCUACAACCAAUAGGCUUCAUGUGUUUCAAGAGCAGUUAUAAACAGUAACAGAGAGGUGCAAGAGCAGCAGCAGAAAAAUUGACCCAACUCCAUUACAAAUUUAUUUGAUUAUUCAUGGUGAUGAUUUUUUUUCUUGAUACAUUCAUGAUUUUCGUGGUAGUGAAUUUUUUUGGAUAAAAGAAAAUACGCACAACGUGUAGAGUCACCAUUUACUGAAUUCUUCACGCCACUCAUACUCGGUUUCAUCAAGUUCGAGCGACUAUGAUCCUUGAAGUCAUCUCAAACCAGGUUGCACACCCGCCAAUUGUGGUAGAAGAGUAUGGUGACUAAGUUUUUUCUGUGCAACCAAGUAUGAUCACCAUCUUUACCAUCUUGCAGUCCAUACACCAAAAAAUGGGUUGAUACAUGUCAAACGUCUCAUGUGCACGUUGCCUUCGUUUGUGAUUCAAAUUAGAACUACUCUGUGGAUGGCUAAGAAUAGGCAAAUAGGUUGCUGGCAUGCAGGGGUUCAAAAUAAAAUGGAGGGUUUGUUUUCAUAAUUACGAAUUGACAAUGACGCUGUAACAUACAGGUUGGAUUCACACUUGCUUGAGCAUCUGAUUCUAAUUCAAGAUGAAGAAAGCCUCGCUCUAAUGCUAGUGUAGGCCGUAUGAUAUCAUUAAGUUCUCUGCAUGUCAAGAAUAAAUAUAUACAUUAAGGAUAAGUUUUAGUGUGCUAACUGAUAAUAUAAAACAGGGGUACUCAGAAUUUAGGGGUUGAUUUCUUGAGGUGGAAUAUCUGAAUGUGAGGGGUUUGUACAAAACUUGUGGUUUCUUUGAACAUGGUGGGCAGGGCUGUAGUGGUUCAGGGCCGAAUAUGGUGGUGAGUGGAAAUUGGGUCAAGGGAUAUGGUCCAGUGCCGCCAGGUUUAGAGGAUGUAUCUCUAGGUUCUGGUACAGAUGACCAACUGAUCAGUUCUCCAAAUGUGACUCCCACAAUGGUGGAGGGAUCAGCCCUGCCUUCAGCGAAGGGUGUGAUAAAGGUUGGCAGCGAGGAGGUGGUUAAGAUGAUUGAGGGUUCAAUGGUUGAAGCUCCUCUUCCGGUUCAGAACUUAAAGGAGAGAGGCUGAGAGCGUAUGGACUCACUACCCUCUCCGCCGAAGAGUGGGAAGACUGCAAUCAUGAGCUCCUUCCGUUCUGCCAGAGACUGGCAAUCUGCUGGAUUGGUAUUCACAGGAGUUCUUAAACAGGCUAUUAGUUUGUCUUCACUGCAAAGCGUAGAGCUCAUCUCACCAGGCUGAAUAAAGAAGCCAUUUAGGCUUCUAAGCUUUCCUGCUUUCCUGCUUUCUGUUUUUUUUGCUUUAUGUUUUUUAUUUUCCCAUUUUGGAAGGGUUUGGUAGUGAAACGUAGGAUUUUUUUUUCUUUUUUCUUUUUUAGAUUUUGACUUAGAAAAAUUUUAUUAACACAUUCCUAAUUAUUAGAUACACAUAUUAUACUUAAUACACCACCUAUUAACUUUAUUAUUUUAACAUUUUACUAGAUACACAUACCCAAAUUUCCUACAAUACCCUCGUUUAAAUACACAACUUAUUCAUUAAAUACACAACUCAUUCACUAAAUACACAUAUUUUCUAGAUUUGCUACUCAAUUUAUUAAAAGAAAAUUCACAUUAGUUAGAUCUCAUGCGUCACCAGGGCACCGAUUUUGCUUGAGAUCUCUCUCAUUGAGUUAGAUCAAUGACAAGCAAACUAGAAGGGUAUAUAUAUAAUUAUAUAUAGCAUCAUCCCAAGUUCUAGUUUGGUGUUCAAACGUAAAUGCUUUUGAACGACCUAGCAUGUGUGAACAGUAAAAAAUAAAUUUUCCAACUUCAAUUUGUACUGUCUAAUCAAACAACAUACCCUAUAAUCUAAAUAAUACCACUAGAAUCCAUUACGUUGUCUUUAGUUUUUGCUUGAAACUAUGGCUGUCCCUAGCUAUUUCUGAGUAGGGCUUGGUAUCUUCACAUACGUUGUUCUCGUAAAGGAGAAUAAUAGUCUUAAGCGAGAUAUUUUUUUUUUAACUAGGUUUCUUUACUUUUGAUAUAAAUGUCUCUUUUGGUAAUUUUAUGUAUCUACAAAAUCUUAUCUAAUUUGUAUAAAAAAGCGAUGUGUAUCUAACAUUUAGGGAUGUGUUAAUAAAAUUUCUUUUUGACUUAUGAUUUAUGACGGGUGAGCGACUCCAAACGUUUUUAGUGGUCUCUAGGGGUUUGGGAAGGUUUGUUUCUAUAUAGGGGCUAGAUUCAGUGGGAAACGAAAACACUUUUGGGCCACGUAAUGUUUUUAUUCCUGUAAUGUUUUUUCUGUUUACUGAGGUCCGCGUAUGAAUAAAAGUGUUUUCAUUCCCCAAAAAAAAAAAAAAAAUUAAGGGGUUGAAACAAGUUGUGAAGGACAACCCGAGCAAAUUCAAAAGGUUAGUCAACUGUGUUACUAUAACUCUCAAAGACAUUGAGAUGUUCUACGGACUUCUACCUGAACAAUUCCUGUUCUAGCUUUUUACACAAGCAAUGUUGACAGUGUAUCUAAGAGCACAUUACAAUGUGCACCUUCAUGGAGGAAUGUUAGAGACGGCUCAAUNNNNNNNNNNNNNNNNNNNNNNNNNNNNNNNNNNNNNNNNNNNNNNNNNNNNNNNNNNNNNNNNNNNNNNNNNNNNNNNNNNNNNNNNNNNNNNNNNNNNNNNNNNNNNNNNNNNNNNNNNNNNNNNNNNNNNNNNNNNNNNNNNNNNNNNNNNNNNNNNNNNNNNNNNNNNNNNNNNNNNNNNNNNNNNNNNNNNNNNNNNNNNNNNNNNNNNNNNNNNNNNNNNNNNNNNNNNNNNNNNNNNNNNNNNNNNNNNNNNNNNNNNNNNNNNNNNNNNNNNNNNNNNNNNNNNNNNNNNNNNNNNNNNNNNNNNNNNNNNNNNNNNNNNNNNNNNNNNNNNNNNNNNNNNNNNNNNNNNNNNNNNNNNNNNNNNNNNNNNNNNNNNNNNNNNNNNNNNNNNNNNNNNNNNNNNNNNNNNNNNNNNNNNNNNNNNNNNNNNNNNNNNNNNNNNNNNNNNNNNNNNNNNNNNNNNNNNNNNNNNNNNNNNNNNNNNNNNNNNNNNNNNNNNNNNNNNNNNNNNNNNNNNNNNNNNNNNNNNNNNNNNNNNNNNNNNNNNNNNNNNNNNNNNNNNNNNNNNNNNNNNNNNNNNNNNNNNNNNNNNNNNNNNNNNNNNNNNNNNNNNNNNNNNNNNNNNNNNNNNNNNNNNNNNNNNNNNNNNNNNNNNNNNNNNNNNNNNNNNNNNNNNNNNNNNNNNNNNNNNNNNNNNNNNNNNNNNNNNNNNNNNNNNNNNNNNNNNNNNNNNNNNNNNNNNNNNNNNNNNNNNNNNNNNNNNNNNNNNNNNNNNNNNNNNNNNNNNNNNNNNNNNNNNNNNNNNNNNNNNNNNNNNNNNNNNNNNNNNNNNNNNNNNNNNNNNNNNNNNNNNNNNNNNNNNNNNNNNNNNNNNNNNNNNNNNNNNNNNNNNNNNNNNNNNNNNNNNNNNNNNNNNNNNNNNNNNNNNNNNNNNNNNNNNNNNNNNNNNNNNNNNNNNNNNNNNNNNNNNNNNNNNNNNNNNNNNNNNNNNNNNNNNNNNNNNNNNNNNNNNNNNNNNNNNNNNNNNNNNNNNNNNNNNNNNNNNNNNNNNNNNNNNNNNNNNNNNNNNNNNNNNNNNNNNNNNNNNNNNNNNNNNNNNNNNNNNNNNNNNNNNNNNNNNNNNNNNNNNNNNNNNNNNNNNNNNNNNNNNNNNNNNNNNNNNNNNNNNNNNNNNNNNNNNNNNNNNNNNNNNNNNNNNNNNNNNNNNNNNNNNNNNNNNNNNNNNNNNNNNNNNNNNNNNNNNNNNNNNNNNNNNNNNNNNNNNNNNNNNNNNNNNNNNNNNNNNNNNNNNNNNNNNNNNNNNNNNNNNNNNNNNNNNNNNNNNNNNNNNNNNNNNNNNNNNNNNNNNNNNNNNNNNNNNNNNNNNNNNNNNNNNNNNNNNNNNNNNNNNNNNNNNNNNNNNNNNNNNNNNAAUGUCCUUUUGUAGGACAUCAAUCCUUACAGACAUAUUUGCAACAUGUGAUCUCGUUACUUUAACACUAUAAGCAUUUGGGAUCAAGAUGAGAUUUAGUGGGGACAAACCACGACAAUUCACGUCGUUCCACUUGAACACUUGUGUUCUUAUCUCCCUCUAACGGUGGGAAUAUUGCCUCAUCAAAGUGACAAUCCGCAAUUUAGCAGUGAAUGAGAUCGCCUAACAAGGUUCCUACAUAUGCGGAUUAUAGGUGGAGGUUUAUAUCCAACCUAAACUUAUUCAUCUCAAAUGACCAAUCAUUGUACGCAGUGGCAAUGCGAUUUGGCACUUAGAAAUAACAUCUAGCCGAGCUCAAGGAUUGGAGAUCCGUUUCAAUCCUGCCGAGCUCAAGGAGUGCAAUUUUGUGUCAAUCCUGAUACACAGUCACGAGCUGUAGUACAACAAAAUUCAAUGAUAGUGGAUCGUAGAUGAAUAGUAAAACUGCAUGCAAAGAUUACAUAUCCCCAAGACGCAAUAGAAAGAGUGGUGCGCAUCAAUAAUGUUCGAGCGACAAGCUAAAGUUGCUUGGUCGUAGCCUCGGUGAGACCGUAUUGCGUGUGAACAUGGGGUACAGGACACUUCAACUUACAUCCCGAUGAACUUCUUUAAAGAAUGGGUAGUGAGCCCGUAGAAGUAUAAGCAGUAUAAGCAGUAGAUAAUAGUGUAAAACGUNNNNNNNNNNNNNNNNNNNNCCUUAUUUAGCUAAAGAAUAGGCUUUCAAAACGAGCAAUGAGCAUUGCAAGGGGCCAAUGCGACAUCGAGGAAAGGCCGAUGCACCUCAAUUGCUUGAGGAAUUGAUCGGACGACCUCCAGGAAGUUGGAGUCGUGUUCGGGUGACGUCAAUGUCCCCCGGGCCACCACCAUGCUUCAUGGUGAUGCUAGAUCUCGAAUGUCUUCGUUUUGAGCGGAAGAAUGGAUGUCCAUGAGAAUUUCUCAAAAUUUAGACCAUUAUAUCUCUUCCAGGUUGACCAAUUUGGUCAAACCAAAGCCUAUAUGAGUCGGUGUCCCAAAUAUCAUGUUUGGCGAUAACAUGGGAUUCGAUAUUCGAAUCGUAGUGACAUACAGUUCACUAGAUUGACUCAUGAAUUUCUCCAAGAUGCGCUUCAGUUCGCAUUCAUGAGGAGAUAUACACAAAAGAAUGUUACAUUGCUCUUGCAUACAAAACCAAGCUGUUAUGAGACUCGAUAGAGGUCACAAACGAUGCUUUUAAUGGUUUGUUCUUCGGAUUGAUCAUACACAAUCCGGAAAAGCCGCGAAUUGAUCAAACACAAUUCGGAAAAAUGCCUCGGAUUGAUCAAACACAAUCCGGUGAAAGGUCGGGGUUGAUCAAACACAACCCGGACAACGAAACAAGAGUGAUCAAACACACUCUUGACCCGCGAAUAAAAUUCCGGGAUUUGGGUACCUGCACGCACAAAAUCCCAAGCAUAGAAUGGAGAUGGAGAAGGGAGGAAAAGAUUUUAUCCUCCCCGAGUUAUUGAACUUGGAAAAGUUUAAGGUUUCAAAAAACAUACCUUUCUAGAGGCUGCCGAGAGGAGAAAUAACGUUUCGCCUACUUAUACUUCGAAUUUGGGGCUGAAAAUUUGAUAGGAGGAGCAGCUAUGGAUGGGGAAGCUGCUAUCAAAAUUUGAGGUUGAUCGGAGCAAGGGAAGGUGGUGAACCGGUGGUCGGUAGCGGCGGCGGUCUGGAAUCUUCCGGCGGCCGGUUCGGAGACUUUCGGGCCGGUUCUCAGGGUGAGACCGGCGGCGUUGGAUCCGGGGCGGAGAGAGCUUUCUGGGGAUAUAAAAUUCCGGCGGAGGGCAGUCGGAAUUUUGGUCGGAAAUCGGGAAAAACAAGGCUGCCCGAUUUUAGGGUUUUGGUUUUUUUAGGGUUUAGAAAAAAAUGGUGGGCUAUUGGCUCUAGGGUUAGAACAAAGUGGAUAACGUGAUAAAGGAUAAAGUGUAGAGACAAAGAGAUAGCAAGAGAGUCAUCAUCUUAUUCAUUGAUAGGAGCCCUUUAUAUAGGGAAUUACACAAUACCAAUAUGGUAAGGAUAUGAAUACAUAGAUCUAGUCUAACUACAUAUCCUAUUGGCAUAAGGCCAAGGCACACAUAGAGAAUAUCCUAGAACAUGGACCAAGUUUCUUAUACAUUCUCCACACUCAAACGCACUUUCAAACUAGUUGCCCCCUAACAAAGCUAAACUCAAAUUCAACCAGAAGUGAAAGGAAUUGAUACUUCAAAGAUAAACAGCAAACACAGCUUCUAUGGUAUAAUGAACAGAAAAUGAAAAUUACUAUGCACAGAAUUAUCACUUUUUCAGAAAGGGGUUAUGUACUAACCUCUGAGAACUCGCCAUUUUGUACAAGUUAAUCAUUUUGAUGAGCAUCAUAGGAUCACAAGACCAUUAAAAUCCCAGAGAGUAUUCAUGCCCAGAUUACAUUUGAGAACUGAUCUGCCGUCCAAUUGACUGGGGCACUGGCCUCCCACCCAACCAUUGGAACACUCGCAUUCUGCACCCAGCUCUUUCUGCUGCUCAAUUACGCCAAGCAGAAGACAAUUCCAACUCAACAUCUUCUUCCCACCAAGUAGCAGACUGUGAUAUCAGUUCAGAACACACAAGUAGAUGAAUUUUGGAGUGCUAUUCAUUGUUUCACAAUAUGCUUUUGGAUUUAAAUUUGUAAGAGUUACAUAAAGAAAGAACCUCAGAUACACAAGGUAAAUAGAGUACAACUUAUCAAUAAGCAAAGAGAUAUUGCCAGCCAAAGAUUUAUUGACUUGACUGGGCAAGUGUAAAGGUCACAUCCAAAUGAAUUAAGUUUUUUUCAAAUUCGUAUUAAUCACCAGGUCCUAAUUGGAUAAUUGGGAAUAAGCUGAAGCAUUAUCUAAUUUCACAAACUAUGUUUUUCUCAUCAUACAUCCAGUUACAACAGAGUAUGCAGUGAACCUGAUACUGCAUUGUCCCUAUACAAAAAAUACUAGAGCCAUAGGUCUAUCACUAACAAAUGUAACUGUUCUUGUGCGCGUAUGUGAGAGAGAGGGUGUCAACAUUGAGGAAUGGUAGUUUAAAUUGUAUCAAGUUACUAAGAAACUGUUUUUCUUUGUUGGUCUGAAGUAUAUCAUUAGACCAGUAACAAGAAGAGGUAGGAAAAUUUGUCAAGUUGGGAGAUUGACCAUUUAAACAGAGUGAAACUAGCGACAUAACAAGUUCAAAAACUCUGAACAGCUAAAAUAAACUGUUUAAGAUAAGGAGAGGGUAACCUUGUAGCCUCUACGAAGAAAUUCCAGUGAGCUUCCUUCUUCUUCUGUAAGUCCCAAGACCCUCAACAGUUCUUCUUUUGUCUAAAGAGCAAACAAAUAAUGAGCGUGAAAGCAUAACAACCAUAUCUAGCAAGUAACAGUGUAAGAUGCUUGGAGUUUCAGAUAGAUGUAUACUUCACCCAGAGUGAAGCGUGUUGCACUCUCUGCUACGCAAGCAAAAGAACCAUCUGCUUGUUUAAGCAUUACCUGCCAAGGCCCUGAACUUAAAAAAGAUGAGAGAAAUACCACAACAUCCUGAUUAAGCAGCAAGUAAACAUAUUGAAGAAGAGAAUAUUUGAGAGUGCGAAAUAGAAACCACCAAGCAGAAGAAUAAAGUGUAAGAAAAUCAUGGUUAACAACUACAGACAAGCUGAUAGUAUAGCAAUAGCCUUCCUGAGGCAAGAUUGGGUUAGGAUGCUAUAUCAUAAAUGUAAAUGUAUUCUUCAUCAUGUCCAGACCACACAGAUAAUAGGCCUUGUAUGAAAUAGCAUAGCAUAAAUAAGUCCAGAUUGUUCUCUAAUUGUUCCUCUAAAAAGAGAUUCAUAUGUGCAUAAUGUAAAAGAUCAAAGGACUGUGCUCUAGUUUGUAGCACAAUAUUGGAUAUAAACCGUAGUCAUCAAUACUGACAAUAAGAUCAAGAAUGAGCAAUAAUCAGGUAUAUACAACUGGUUUUAAGAAAGUACUACAUACCAGGGUAUUGGCGAAAUAAUGCUCCAUUGUAAUUCACAAUAUAAGGCGCUACUGCUACUGUCUUAGGAGUUGACAAAUAAAUGAUUACCAAAAAUUUGAAAUAAGAAAGGAAAAACAGUUAAGGUUUAUAAUUUAACUUACCUUCGAGUACUCUCUUAUUCGAAUGUAGAACACUGGAAUAAAUUGUGAAAGAAACCGAUAAUGUAAAUCCUUGGUUGGAAACCCCACAAGACCCAAGUCAGCACUGCAUAAUUAACAGCGUCUAAUUCAUAGUUAAGAAGAAUAUUCAGCAAAUAGCAGAUAAAAUUUGAAGAAAGGUCAGGAAGGCAAUAGGAUUACCGCAACGUAUCGAGUUCGAGAUUGAAUAGAAGUGAUGGGGUUGACAUGGCAAAUUGUUCCUGUAAAUACCAAAGGGUCAGUAAACAAAGAAGCGCCACAAUACGUUCACAUAAAUUGAAGGAUUUGGAAAUGCUAUCCACAAAUUUAUUCUCAUCAUUAACAAGAAACAUUGUCAACUUUAGGCUACAGACAACUACAAAGUUAUAAGAAUACCCUGAAAUAUUUAUACCUACAUUAAGAUAAGUUAGACUUAGGAAGGUUAUGUGAUUGCGAAACAGUUAAAACACAUGAACAUGUUAAUACGGCCACCAGCAACUAUUUUAUCAGCCUCACUAGUGCAUGUAUAGUUUGAGGUAGCCAGCAUAUCAAUAAAAUCACACUAAACUUGUUAGCAAGAAGAAUUUUAUUGAAAGAUAAAAGCAAAGUAGAACACAGGAGAACAAGAUGCCCACUCAAUUAGCUAGCUCUUAAGUCAGACUCUGGGUCUCAAAAUAGCAUCGAACACAAAAACAGUAAAGUCCAAAAGAGGUAAACCACAGCAGCAUUACAACGGUAAAGAAUACCAUGGAAUGAACUAUUUCUAAUUUUGAGGAACACGACGCACACAGAGAUCCCCAAAAUGAAAUCCUUUCCCAAGAAUUAUCAUAUUUCUGUUCAUUCAAACGACCCACCAUUACACCAGUCCCAAUCCAUUUUUCUCCCUCCCAAAGACAUAUCUUUUACAGAAUCCACUGGAUUGUCCCCACUAACAUUAGACUGCGUAAAAUCACUUUCCCAAAGGCUAAAACAAAUGGUUCAGACAUCCAGAACCAUCUUACACAUUAAACACCACGAGGGACAGACAAAAAAGCAUAGAUGUCUGAACCAUAGAUGUGAGUACAUAUCAAUAUACAUCCAUUGAUAAGUCUCCCUGCUCUAGACCUUCUAGAUAAAUUUAGAUUCCGAUGAAUAAAUAUACAGCAUUAAAAAGAUCAGCUAGCUUAUAUGAAACUCAAUUUUGCUGAAAUAUAACAGAAUGUUUAAAUUUUGUAAUUAUCAUCCAAAAGUUAUCAGAAAGAAAAAUCAUAUGAAUGAUUUCAAGAGUACCGUAGUUAUAAAAGUACACGGUGUACACAACCAUCCAGCGUAAUACUCAUGAAACAAUAGAACAAAAAUAAAUGGAUUUGAAAUAUGUAAGACAACUAACAAGAAAACGACCAUACCACAAACUUCUCAAUUCCAGCAAGUUCGCGCGUGCUACAAUUAAUGAACAUAUAAAGAGAAGGAGGCUCAUUGGAUGCCCAGCGACCUAUAAUGUAAGAGAGAUAACAUAGAGAUGAUUGUUAAUCCUCUCUUCCAAAGAUGAAUAAUGUGCAUUGAACACAAAAAGAUAAUUCAAAUUGGUGUAACUUCUGUUGAGAUCAAGUUCAAGAAAUGAAAACAAGCAAUCAGAAACAUGAAAUGCUUGAGUCCUGUAACUGACCUUCAUUUUCAUCUUCGAAAUCAAAAUCAAGUGUGUUCCUUAUGGAUCUGAAAAACAUGGUGACUGGACCACCAGGAACAUCAUCAAGGGAACCUAUGGUUAUAUCACCAAUCUGAAAGAAAAUGGUAAAAAAGAAAACCCAUUUAAGGACAUUGAAGUUAUAUGGCACUCUAGUUUCUGAAGAGUACCAGCGGCAGUAGCAUGUCAGUAUAGGUUCUAAUAAAAUGGAAAGUAUAAACACAAAUAAAAUUUGGCACUACUUAAAGUAGAUAUUUUGUAUUGCAUAUUACGGUUGUUAGACCUUUUCUUUGUACAGUGAUACCAAAAUCCUAUGUCCAAAGGAUUUACAUAAGCUGAGAAGACUAUGAUGCAACUGAUUAAAGAAAUGAAUUAAAGGAUAGAAUUGCAAGUUAAUUUUUACCGAGUCGAUAGCUGUUCUAAACAGCUCAGAGGCCCUGCGCCUCUCUGGCUUAUCCGGAAACACCUGAAUAUAGAAAAACUAUUAUAUACUUUACAAUUGAAAUGUAUAAAACACCUAUAUGAAAAGGAAGAUUCUUCUUACAAUACAAACUCUCGUCUCCUUUCUUUCUUUUAGCUUCCGUACAACAGCCAAGGCAAGUUGAACAUUGGCAUCAAUGAAGUCAUCUGAAGACCCCUUUACAUGUUUUAGGAAUUUGAGAAAAUCAAGUCACAAGUAUUCCACGUGCUAUGUGUCAUCCACAAAUAAUAUCAUGAGAAGUACCUUAUAGGAAGAUAUGUUGCUAGGAAGGGGCCUGGAGACACAGAAAAUGCCAUGAAAAAGAAGAGGUAUUAGAAGAAAACAGCAACUCCACAUAAAAUGCCUAACCAAAAACUAACAAAACAAAAUCAUCACGCGCAUGAAGAAAUGGAGAAAAACACUCUACAAGACUACAAUCCAUCUCAUAGUACAUUAUCAUCACACCACUUCCAAAAUAAAUGUUCUUUGUUAGCCAUCUAUGUUUAAGUUUUCAACCAAACUUAGAUUCUCCUUCAGUUAAAUAAUUCUACACAUCCCUAAUCAUGUAUCCAUGCAUAAAAUUAACAUUCUAGAAAGAUCUAAUCUUAAAAGCCUGUGACUUUGUAAGUUCAGGUCAAUAUUGAUUGGAAAAGCAAUGCAUUUCAGUUCAUGAAUGAUUUCUAAUAGCCAAGAACAUGCUCGAAUGUGAAAACCCAAACAUGGGUUAAGCUCAAAAAACCAUUCUUGAUCCAAAUUCAUAAGCUUUUUUCAAUCAAAAGCAGAAGGGCCUUACGGGAAGUCAAUCUCCAAGCGGGUCUUGCCAUCUUCAAGAGCAUAGGCAAGCGAGUUGGCAGCGUCAGUGACGAGAACCUCAUAGGACUUGGGCUUGUAGACUGCAACUCCGGUCUUGGGGUCGAGACUUGAAGCUUUGUCGACGCAUUGGAUUGUGGUUGUGGUGUUGUGGAAUGGGAGAGGUCGAAAUGAUGAUGAGGUGGUGAGGAAAGUGGCGGUGGUGGUUUUGGGAAGUGAAGAGAGGGGAGAGCGGGAGAGAAUGAGAGGGUGGUUGGUGGAGGAAUGUGGGGAGAGAGUGGAAGAGGAGAAGGCCAUGGUGGUGGUGGACUGGUGGUGAGAGGGAAAUGGAUGAGGUGAUGAUAAGGAGUUUUCAAAGGACUUCUGUUUUUGUUUACGUGCCCCUUGGAGCUUGAGAGUUGAGAUACACUCGAACCUCUACGAAUUAGGGGAUAAUUCACUUCCUAUCUAAUUUUAGAGAUCUUUUUCCCAUAAAUUUUGAUUGUGCUAGACUCUGCUAGGUUGAGUUGUUGUUUUGGUAGAAAUCUGGUGGAGACGUGGAGUCGUUUUUGGUUUGUUUGUCUGUAUAUAUAGUCAUGAAAGAUUGGUAAUGCCACAAUCACAAUUCAACAAUGAGGUCGGUGGUGUAGGUAGUAAGUUGUGAUGACAAUGCAUAUGAAAUGGGAUGAGGAUCCUCUUUUAAGCUUUUUUUUACCUAAGCUGUCUAAAAAGCUCUUCGGAAGAAUAAGACACAUGGAAACAUCAAAAUCUAAUGGUCUACAAGACUACAACAUGACUAAAAUGUUUUUCUCUCUUCUCAUAUUUGUCUUCUCUCCUAAUCACUUAGGGAGUCACUUCUGUUGCGAACCAUAAACUUGCGGACUCAAUGCGGACUUUUAAAAAUAAAUAGUUUUUUUUUUAAGAUUUUUUAAUAUUUUUUACCACAAAUAUGAAGGAUUUUUUUUUUUUUUUUACCACAAAUGUGAAGGUGUUGUCUAUUAAAUCAUAAUUAGAAAGCACAGGACCUCUAGAAGGAGAAGAGUGCAAAGAUAAAGGUUUGCGCAUGAUCUUUUGGUGGAUUUCAGCGGGAGAAGUAAAAGGCGUGAGAAUGUGGGUGUAACAGUGUAUGGUUGGGUGAUGUCAAUUCUAUUUUAUGUUUUAAAAUAUGAACCAUUCAUGUAAUUUGAUGGUGGAAAUUAAAAGUCCUAAACAAUUCUCAUAUAAUGAGUCCUCAUUAGAAGAGGCUCCAAUCACUUAGACUACAUUCCCAUUUUCUAAGACUGCAUUCCCAUUUUCCGUUUGUCUUCUGUCAUUCUUGUUCUUUGUCGUUCUCUCUUGUUUUUUUUCCUUUAAUUUCCCUUUCUUCUGUUCUUUGACUCAACUAUUUUUCACUAUCAGAGUUCACCACCCAAAAUCGCAAAAUUUCCUGACUUCUUCUAGUUAUUGGAAUUAAAGUUUUAGAUCUGACGAUGAUUAAUGAGCUUGAGAGAUCAGCUGGUUUGAUUGGAAUCUCAUUGUUGUAUUCAUGGUGGUGACAAAUUAGGCUUAAUCGUGUAACAACAUGACAAAUUACGUUGAUUUGUUCUUCUUCUUUUUUUAGAGGAAUUGUUCUCUUUUUCUUCACUGGAUAUCAUUCAAUUAAUGAAUUAAGACUAUUGAUUGAGGGGUUUGAUGAUUUACUUAAUUUGAGAGAACUUAUGGAACACCCAUCACGAAGUAGAUGUUUCAUGUUCAUCUAGACUGAUCAGAAAACCAGUUUUUAUGUACUAGGUGUCACCGAAAAAUUGAACUUUGUUGUGUUUUAUUAGAGAGAUGAUAAAUAAAUAUAAUGGCAAGAGUGAGAUAAAAUCAAGAAGAGAGCAAUUGAAACAUAGCUCUAUUAUGGAGAUGAUGAAAGACUAGUUUGAACAUUUUUUUGGAUGAGAAGAGCUGGAACUUGAUGAAGAAGAGAAAGAGCAGUAUACUUGGUUGUGAAAUGAGCAAGCGAUUGAAAAAUUGAAGUGUGGAAACAGUUACAUGUAAUUCUAAACACGUGUCACUACGUUGUUGAAAGCUUAGGUAGGUUAGGCAACUAAAGAGGUCAGGAGAGGAUCAGAUCUUAUCAAAUAUGAUUCAUAUUUGUUUAUCAAAUUCAACCUUAGAAAAAAAAAUUAUAUUAAAUCACUCACACACCCUACAUAUGUCAAUAAGAUUUAAAUUCAUAACCUCAAUGUUGUUAGUUAACACCUUAACUAACUAAGUCAUGACUCACCUUAAAGUUAUUGUUCUUUUGGUAUAUUUUGUCUUGUAACAACUUUUCUUGCGUUCUACAAAUCAAUGAUGAUAAUGCAAAACUAGUUUUGUAGAUGUAAUUUUUUAUUUUUAUAGUGAAAACGUUUCUUUAACACCCAACUUAAUUUGUUUACGUGUAUUAAUAAAUAUUUCAAGACUUAGCUGUCAAAAGCUAGAUUACUUUUCUUCAUCGUAAAGCAAAUCAAGGCAGUCAUAGAUUUUGAUCUAUUCAGCUGGGACUGCAAGGGAAUAUGUAAUGAUGACACAACUUGAUCUCUAAAGGAAACUUUGAAAAUGCUGCCAAAAGAAAACUAAACAUAAAUAGGGUUAACUUUGGCUUAAUCAGUAUGUUUUUGAGAAUUUGCAAGGAGAAAUAUGAACAACUGCUUCUACACCUUUAUCUUUAAAAAGAGAAAGUGCAGGUGCAUUUCGUGUAUCAUUUAUGGGUAUAUAUGCAACAAGAAAAGGCAUAGAACAGUAAAUAUAUGGGUAACUACACAAUUUAUGACAUGUUUGAUGUUCGCAUUACUAAUAAUUGGUUGCCAAAAAAGUUAAGAACAUGUUUGUUAUGGUGUACAAAAAAAUACACGACGACAUAAACUAGAGUAGUACAUAUGAAGAUUAUGAGUUGGGCAUUCUUGAAUUUGCAAAAAAUUGUAUCUGUCAUUACAAUAACGACUGCUCAAGAGAUGAGAGAUUAAACUUAUGGGAAAUGGAGGGCAUGCUCGAAUUUGCAAAAAAUUGCAUCUGUCAUUGCAAUAACGACUGCUUAAGAGAUGAGAGAUUAAACUUGUGGGAAGUGGAGGGGUUGCUCGAAUUUGUAAAAAAUUGUAUCUGUCAUUGUAAUGACAACUGCUCAAGAGAUGAGAUAUUAAACUUGUGGGAAGUGGAGGGUAUGCUCGAACUGCCCAAGAGAUGAGAGAUUAAACUUGUGGGAAGUGGAGGACAUGCUUGAAUUUGCAAAAAAAGUGCAUUUGUCAUUGCAAUGACAACUGCUCAAGAGAUGAGAGACUAAACUUGUGGGAAGUGGAGGAAGCAACAACGUCAUAUUGUUAGGCAGUCAUGUAUAGAUAAGGCAGCUCAUAGUUUUUACACAGAAGUGGACAUUCCACAAGAGAUCGACAAUUAUGACAAUAUUGCUACGAUGAUAUCAUGCAGCUUCAUUCAUCAUGAUAAGGCAAAUCAGGUAAGAAAAACUCAUCCUUAUAGUUUUCAAUUAAAAUAUACUCGUGACUGAUUGUUCUAUUGAUUUCAGGCUGUAACUUUACAAAGUCAUUGAAAAUAAGAAAAUGAAACAUUUUUACGACAAAGUAAAUGGGAAACGUCACAGUAGAUGAAUUACAUUAUGUGAAACUUAAUCAAUUCAUAAAACUAGCAAACUAAAACACGCAUUUGUAAGUCAUCUCAUCAUUCCCAAUGUCAUGUAAUCUACACUUCUCCACUUGAACUCAUCAACUCUUUUUUGUGUGAGUACCAACAUAAGCAUUAGCCAAAUAAUAAAAAACCUAUACAAUCAAAAUGAACCAUACUUUACUUUUCACUAAAACAUGAAUUAAUAAUAUAAUAUAGGCGAUAAAAAAAUAUAAAAAAAUCACAACCUUAUACUUGGAUUAUUUUACUUUUGUCAGUUGUGCGAUAUCAUUGUUCGAAGCUCUUUCAUAUUUUAGGAACUUGAGCACUUCGUUAAAGCUCCAACAUCAGCCUUUAGUGCAAGAAAUAGGAAAUUUAAUGCUUAUAUAGAACCUGAUUGGAAGUAAAUGGUAAAAGGAAAAAUUUUAAAAAUGGCUCAAUGCAGUCAAACAUAAAACCUGAUUGGAAGUAAAUAAAACCACUAGUAAUGAAAACUAACGCACACAUUCUCUAAAAUCUUGAGACCAAUAACCAACUCUAGCAUACCAAGGUUUCCUCUCCAACAUCAAAACCUAGACAUUCCAGCUGGUUUUUUUUUGUUUUAAUUUGUUUAAGCGGUAAAGUUAACUGCCAGAGUAAAGUAACCAACAUGUCAUAGAAAUAUGAAAAUGUCUGUCAAAUGAAAAACUAAACAUAAAUAAGAUUAAACUUUGGCUUAAUCAAUAUAUAUUUGAAAAUUUGCAAGGAGAAGUACAAACAACUGCUUCUACACCCUUACCUUCAAAGAGAGAAGGUGCAUAUACAUUUUGUGUAUCAAUUUUGAAUAUAUAUGCAAAAAGAUAAGGCAUGAAAGAAUAAUUACAUGAGCAACUACAUAAUGUAUGACAAGCUUGAUGUUCGCAUUACUAAUAAUUGGCUGCCAAGAAAAGUGAAGAACAUGUUUGCCAUGGUGUACAACAAAAAACACGACGACAUAAACCAAAGUACUACAUAUGAAGAUAAUGAGUUGAGCAUGCUCGAAUUCGCCAAAAACGUCAUAUGUCAUUGUAAUGAUGACUUCUCAAGAGAUGAGAGAUUGAAAUUGUGGGAAGUGGAGGAAGCAAAAAAGUCAUAUUGUCAAACAUUCAUGUAUACGAAUGAAACUUAUUAAAUGAGGCAGCUUAUAAUUUUUAAAAAGAAGUGGACAUUCCACAAGAGAUCGAUAACUAUGACAAUUGAUAUGAUGAUAUCCUAGGCAAUGGAGAGGCUCCACCAGCUCAUGAACCCAACAUAGUUCAAUUUUCUUCCUAUCUUUCUAUUUUACCUAAUGAUUGGAUAGGUCGGCGACCUCCGCGAUCGGGAUAAACAAGUUCUUAUACGAUACAUUUAUAACAAUUUUGAACAAAAAAUUGAGAUUAAUAUACUUAUAAUUUAUAUCAUUAACUAUGAUAGUGGGUACUGAUAUUAACACCUAUGCAACCAUUAUUGGGGAAUUAGUCCCCUCUGUUAGAAAUGUUUUAAGGAAUUCACACUGAUAAGUCAUCAGUGACACCCCAAAAUUAAAGUUAACGCACUAUCAUUUUUUUCCCACUAUUAUGAAAUUGGUGUGUAUUAUUGUUGCCACCAACAUUAGUGAUAAAUUUAGACGAUAUAUAAAAAUAUAAAAGAGAUUAACAAGUUGGGCCCACCUCAAAUCACAAAAUUGUAAAAUGAUUUGUUUUGUCCCAAUAUAAUUUCAAAUAAAAUACAUGAUAAGAAAUAUAAAUCUCUUCAUCUUUUGUUUUCUUAUUCACUUUUGUUGGCCUUUUCUUCUUUGUAUGAUUUUCUUAUCUGUACAAAACGCUGAGUAGUACAAAAUACUGAGUGGUACGAAACACGGCUAGGUAUAAUUCAGACCAAACAAAGUUGGAUUCUAACCUAUAGUAUGUAGUUAAAAUGUUGAGUAGUAUAUUAUGUAGUUGAAUUCUAACCUACUGGAAAUGUAGUUGAAAAUGCUAUUGGAAAUUUUGUAUAACGUACCAUCUUUCAAAUAUUUAUCUUAUAAAUAAUCUCAACUUUAGUCAUUUCUUGCACUUUUCAUGAUUCACUAUCAUUCUUCACUCUUCACUAUCAUUUUUCACUUUUCACUUUUGCCUCAUGCAUUGAUCUCAUGGUUUUAUGAUAAUGAAAGACUUUGGUACGUAGUUUGGUAAGUGAUUAGUUAAUAUCAUUAUAUGAUUAUUGCAUGUAGCUUUAUUUUAUUGCUAAUUAUUACAUAUCUGUGACAACCCGGAAUUUUAAUAUAAUAUAUAUAUAUAUAUUUGUUUGUUUAUACAUACAUAUUUAAUUUGUACUAUAUAUGCUGAAAAUUUAGAUUAGUUAUUUAGUUAUUUUCUUUUUGUUUUAUUGAUAGUGUUAUUUGGGUUAAGUAUAGAGUUUGAGGCCUUAACCAAAACUUUGACCCAAUACCCAGAAAACCCAAACCCGAGCCCAAAUUUAAGACAAUUUUUGUGAAAAAGCUGGUUGUCAUUAAACAUAGCAGAACGACGCCCAAACGCUACUUCACCGCCUUCUGCUUCUUUUUCACUGAUUUCUUCUUUCUCCCGACCAGUUGACCAGAUGCUUCCAAAUCUAAAACGUUGCCGCCAUGAAACAAGUUACCUAUUGGGGACUCCUCAAAGCUAGAUUCCUAGUCUAGUACCUAAACAGGUAAGGCUUAGAUUGAACAAUUCAAUUUUGCUUUCGUUGUUUGUGUCUUGGACGCCAAGUUCUUCCCCUUUCCAGACACUAUAAAUAGGUAGAGUGUUCUCCAUUUUUUAGAUAGGUUUCAGAAGUCCCUUCAUACUUGGACAGAGAGGGAGAGAUACACUGGUGUCGUAGGAACAUAGGAAGAACAAUUCAGGAGCUUGCUUCGGGUGAUCGACAAAGGUAGGGAAAAAUUGGGGAACCUCUAUGCUUGCUUUAUAUGUUGUUUCAGUGAUUAUAUGUUUGUAUGGAAUGCUUGUUUUCUUGCUGCCAUUAACAUUUAUAUGGUUUGUUUUAUGGUACAAAGUUGUUCUUAUCAUAUAAGGUGUAAGGGGAAUGAUAGUUCUAUGCAUACAUCAUUUUGGUAAAGAAGUUAGUGAUGAAACUUUUGUGUAGUUGGGUCCUUGUCCUCUGAAGUACCAUAUCCCACGAUGCCCGUGUGAAUGCGUGAUAAUACGCGGGAAUGCAUGAAAAUACGUGAUUAGUAUAUUUGAAAAGGGCGGGAUUGGCGAAAGAGGAAUGGACAAGAUGAUUUGCAAAAGAGGAAUGCGAGACUGAGUGGAAGGUAGUUCAUAUAAAUGAGUAGCCUAAGUCACCCUUGUGGUAAAAUACAUGGUUUGUGGUAAAAUACAUGGUUUGGGACAUGUAUGGUUUGUGGUAAAAUACAUGGUUUGGGACAUGUAGACUUAGUUUAUUCGGCUAUAUGAACUAUAUGUGUCAAACAUCGACAAGCGUGGCCCGUGGAUCAUCCUUGUACCGAUAUUGUCUCAACUUAACCACUUUUAAGUUGUUGAGUUUUAAUCACAAAAUGUCUCGGUACAAUUAGGAAUGGCCCACCCACUUAUGAGUUAUAUUUUCUUUGUCACUUUUCCAAUGUGGGAUCUCUCCUCUCCAACACUCCCUCUCACGUGCAACCUAACUUUUAGGUCUGCACGUGAAACUGAUUAACAAACUGAACCCGGACCCUAUGAUAACCGAAAGAACCCUAAACUUUAAGUUGUUGGGUUUUAAUUACAAAAGGUCUCGGUACAAUUAGGAAUGACCCACCCACUUAUGAGUUAUAUUUUCUUUGUCACUUAUCUAAUGUUGGAUAACUGAAAGAAACCUAACUUUAAGUUGUUGGGUUUUAAUCACAAAAGGUACUCGGUACAAUUAAGAAUGACUCACCCACUUAUAAGUUAUAUUUUCUUUUGUUCAUUUUUCCUAAUGUGGGAUCUCUCCUCUCCAACACUUCCCCUCACGCGCAACCUAACUUUUAGGUAUGCACAUGAAACUGAUUAACAAACUGAACCCAGACCCUAUGAUAACCGAAAGAACCUUAAACUCCCAAUGACAGCUGAAAGAACCCCAAGCUCGAAAGAACCCCUAAACUUGAAAGAAUCAAACCAGGGCCAUGACCUUUGAAAGAACCAACCUGGGCUCGUGGAGAAGCAAACUGGAGAGGGGUCCGUUGUAAUACCAUGUCAAGCAGCGACAAGCGUGGCUUGUGGAUCAUCUUUGUACCGAUAUUGUCCCAACUUAACCACAUUUAAGGUGUUGGGUUUUAAUUACAAAAGGCCUCGGUACAAUUAGGAAUGACCCACCCAUUUAUGAGUUAUAUUUUCUUUGUCACUUUUCCAAUGUGGGAUCUCUCUUCUCCAACAAUAUGGAGUUGAUAAUAGAUGCAUUCAACCAUUUUACUAAAGUUGUUCAUUUUCUAUCUUGUCUGAAAUUAUUUUUGCCUCCUACUGGAUUUAUUAUGGUCACGUACCCCUUUAAAUUAUUGUGCAGGUAAAGAACAGGUUGUUGCCUUAAUGAUGUUAUCAUCUUAUGAUUUAUGAGUGAUGCUUGCUUAUGUAAAAUUAAACUUAGACCCUGUUUCUGCAUAAUCCCGGAGGCUAUGUAGAAUCAUGGUGGAACAUGUACAAUAGACGAUCAUGAACAAGAGACAAGGACAUAUAGUGGUUCACCAUGUCAUCGGAGGACAUGGCUACAUCCACUUAAGCUUCUACUAUCAUGGCCAAUAGACUCUUGAUGUUACAAGAGCUCUCCAAGAUGGAGUGAGUAGGGAUCAUCAUCCAUCCUUUCUACAUAUAGGAAGCCUUCCUUUUAUAGUUAAGGAAAGUUCCCUCACAUAUUAUGUUUCCGAUGUGGGACUGACUGCACAUAUAUCUUCUUAUGGUGCCUUCUUGUGGAGCUUGAGAGAGCACCUUCCCGAUGUGGUACCGAUGAUCUUUCACCAUGACGAGAUAGCCCGGAUGUCGGUCUACUGGAAGUAUGUCGGGGGCGGGGCCCUUCGUGGCAGGAAAACAGUCUACAAGGUUGUUGCUUAUGCUUGCGGUAUAUCUACAUACAACAUGUCCCCCCCCCCCCCCCCCCCCCCACUCUUGAGUAAGAGGACCAUCUUACUUGGAGAGUUAUAAAUAAAUAAAUGGUAUGCGGCCAAGCACAAGUAACGACCGAGUAACGACAUACACCCCUUGUCCCCCCAACUCUCUAAGGAAGAAGGUUCUCUUACUCGGAAUUAUUUCCCUCUCCCCCUUUCUCACGAUUUUCUUCUCUCUUUUUGAAAGGAGUGACAAGAUUCACUAUGCCCCCCCAAGUCUUGCUCUCGGUCGAAUGCCACUCUCUCGGUGGUUUCUCAGUCUAAUCAUGAAGUCUUACCACUUUUAUAUCCUGAUUCUAUGGAUAGAGCUGCCGAAUUGGUGCAUAUAGGAGGUAUAGUAGUGUGGACACCUUCAUGUUAGAAUCUCGUAGAGUAAAAUCAUGUUGCAUUACCCGUGAUGUAUGUCUGCCACCCAUUUUCACUUUUUGUUGUUUUUGAUUCAGGGUGACAGCCUCUAAGCUCCCGAUGACAUCUGACUCCCGAUCCCGGAGAUGAAAGUGGUGGAGCCCUGACUUGCUCUUGGAGUCAAUUCUCUACUGUCUUUAAUAUCUUUACUUCUCCCGGUGGCUGACUAUUUCUUUUCUGCUCCUAGUGGCUGAACAUUUCUUUCUCUGCUCCCGAAACUUAAUCAACUUCAAAAUAAUGACUUCUGAUCAUCACCAACUUUCUAGCUCUCUGGGACUUGGCAUUUGCUGCAGCCUCCCAACACCACUUCAAUAGUCAACUUUCAAUAUCUAACUGCCAACUUCAAGAACAACGAUUUCCAUUCUCAAAUAUUGCUGCAAAGCCAACAUAAACCAAACUUCUUAAAACUGCUAAGGACACCCAAAAUCAUCAAAGAAACCAGCAAACACCAACAGGGCAGUAGAACCCCAAAAUUCAUAUCCUUCGAAUCUUAACCAAACUGAAAAUUAAUUAUACUUUCUGGUAGAGGUUGACAUGCAGACCAUAUUUGAUACAAAGUUUCAGACCAAAAUGAGUCUUAAAUCCUGAUGAAAUUCGAACUCAAGACAGCUACAAAGUUUCAAGCCAAACGUAGAUCAUAUCCCUUCCUAUCACAACAGGUAAUAGCAGCAUGUAUAAUACUGAUGAGUUCAAAACAACUUAAAAACCACUACUUAACUCAUGUAAUUGAAUUGACCCAAUCUAUGAACGUGCAUAGAACCAUGUCAUGAUCUUCACUCACUCCACAUAUCAAAUGAUCAUAAACCCCACUUUCACAAUCAACUGGCCCAGGAAUUUCAUCAAGUUGCUUCUAUGUUAGAGAGAUGCAUAAGCAGUCGAACAUAAACAUGAAGGCUUGCAUAAAAUCACACAAUAAUUCCACAAAAUGAUAUAACAACACACUACCCCACUCGCAUAUGAAUCACCAAAUUCCUCCACAGUAAUCCAAAAUCAAUUAAUCAUCGAUAGUUUAAAGAGGUGGAGUAAGAGGACUUAGCUUUGGCUUGCUUUGCUCAUAGAAGUAUACCGACGAGAGCACUGCACUGUUCUGGAGCUUAUCCAGAUUUCAAUUCUGUGUUUCGAGGAUGGGGAAGCUGCCAUCGGGUGGUCAAAUUUGAUGGCUGGUGUAUAGAGCAAACUCCCUCCUUUUUUUAUUUUAUUUUAUUUAUUUUUUUUAUUACUCCGAUGAGCUAUGGUAUCAUGAUCCUGACUGGUUCCACCGGUAACUCAUAGAGCAGGCGUUGCCAGAGGAAAGUGAUAACUGAACUUGACGACUGGGACCCUGCUUCUUGAUCGAGAUUAAAGUUUCAAAUUACUCUCCUGCCAACGGGACCCGUGCACACCCGGCCGAAAUCCCCUUCCUAAUGUGAAUCUCUCCCGAUGCUCCUAAUGAAUAUUCAUCUCGGUCGGAGAAUUGACGAACGCAGCCAGCGGGUGGAGGAGGUCGCUACCGAUAAGGCUCCCGGUCGACAUGACUAACUGCCUUGGCGAUUGCGUGAGCUCCGGGUCCCGGUGAUCCAUCCCCGGGUGCUAUCUGCCUGGAGGAGUCGCUUGAGUUCGCUCGGAGCUAGUUGGCGAGAUUAGACAAACAUGAUGCAGCUGGAGGCGUGGAGUCACCAGGAGAGGAGCCAUCGGGGAUGCAUCGGUAACUGGUGGAACACGAAACUCCCGAACCCACUACUUAAUUGGACUUGCAUAUAGAUUUAGGCCCGAUGGCAGUUGCUGGGCUUGGAUACAACCCGAUGGACCUAUUGCUCUCAUGGACUUGAGUGAACUGCCUCUUGGUGGAAUGCCUCUCUCGGUGGAAUGCCUCUUGGUGGUAGAGCAACGUGACUUUUUGUAAUGAUUCCCAUAAACGGCGCCAAAUGUUUCUGCAUAUGGGAAGCCUUCCUUUUAUAGCUAAGGAAGGUUCCCUCAUAUUACAUAUUUCCAAUGUGGGACAAGGUGCACAUAUAUCUUCUUAUGAUGUCUUCUUGUGGAGCUUAGAGAAGGACCUUUCAGAUAUGGUACCGAUGAUCUUUUACCAUGGCGAGGUAGCUUAGAUGUCGGUCUACCGGAAGUAUGUCGGGGGCGGGGUCCUUCAUGGUCGGAAAACGGUCUACGAGGUCGUUGCUUAUGCUUGCGGUAUAUAUACCAACAACCGACCCUAGUUAGUCUUUUCUUGUAAUUUUGGUUUGAGAAUCUAUUGUAAUAAAAAAUAAAUUUUAGUUUAGUGUUGAGUUGUUCCUUUCUAAUUUCUUUCUUAUUCUGAUUAUGAAAAUUAUAUUUCAUAAUUGGAAUAUGAGUCACACGAUCACACCUCGAAGGAAAAUUUUAUUUUCCAAAAAUUGGUGUGUGACAAUAUCGUUAUUUUAAUACAAUCCUACAUAUCUUAUUACACCCGUACGUUAUGUAAGAGACUAGUGAAGUAUUGAGAGAGAGAGAGAGAGAGAGAGAGAGAGAGAGAGAGAGAGAGAGAGAGUAGUAGUAGUAGUAGAGANNNNNNNNNNNNNNNNNNNNGAGAGAGAGAGAGGUUUGAAUUGGGAAGAUCCAACACGUGUUGAAGACUCAAUCAGGGAAAAAUACGUUUUGAACAAGUCUUCAUCAUACCAAAGUAACAUGUCUUCAUCUAACCGACGUAACAUGUCUUCAUCAAACCGACAUCAUGGAUUAGGAGGAGGAAGCUCUACAACUCAUGGAUCAGGAAAAGGAAGAUCUAUAGUUCCUAAAGGUGGAGAGAAAUUUUAAUAAAAACUUUUAUGUGCACUUUUAGGUAGAUACUAGAUAUUAUCAAUUGUUAGAACAUAAUCAAUUAUGAAUUAUCUCAUAUUGUCAAACAUUUACAUAUACAAAUGGAACUUAUCUAAUUAGGCAACUCAUAAUUUUUACAAAGAAAUGGACAUUCCACAUAAAUCAACAACUAUGACAAUUGCUACGAUGAUAUCUUAGGCGAUGGAGAUGUUCCACCAACUCAUGAACUCAACAUAGUUCCAUUUAUUUAUGCUACGUACUAUACUUUUUCAAAUUUUUCUUUCAUACCCUAAAGUCGAUUGUUUCUCCAUUUUCCCUUAUUAACUAAUCACUUACGAAACUACCAAAGUGUAUCACUAUCAUAUAUAAGAUCAAGAGAUCAAUGCAUGAGAAAGAAAUGAAGAGUGAAAAAUAAUAGGGAAUCAUGAAAGGUGCAAGAAAUGAGUAAAGUUGAGAAUUUUUAUAGGAUAAGUAUUUGAAAGAUAGUAAAUUAUACAAAAUUUCCAGUAGCAUUUUUAAUUACAUUUUCAGUAUGUUAGAAUUCAACUACAUUUCAACCGCAUACUACUGUGCUACUCAGCAUUUCAACUACAUACUAUAUGUAUGUCCCAAAGACAGUUUUCCCCUCCCAAGAAUAGAUCAAUUGGUUGACGCCACAGCAGGGCAUGAGCUGCUAAGCAUGAUGGAUGUUUACUUAAGGUACAACCAGAUCAAGAUGAGUAGCGGAUCAAGAGGCCACAAGUUUUACAAUAGACAAGACAUAUACUGCUACAACGUUAUGCCCUUUAGUUUGAAAAACGCGGGCGCCACAUACUAGCGGUUGAUGAAUUUGAUGUUCCACGAUCACUUGGGGAAGAUUAUAAAAGUGUAUGUGGACGACAUGCUUGUCAAAAGCGUCAAGGCAGGAGGCCAUGUGGUCAAUCUCAAGAUAAUCUUUGAAAUCUUGUUGAAGUACAAGAUGAGGUUGAAUCCAGACAAGUGCUUCUUUGGGAUUACAUCAAGCAAAUUCAUGAGGUACAUGAUCAGUGAGCGGGUCAUAGAGGCCAAUCUUGAGAAAAUCAAAGCAAUUCUGGACAUGAAAGCCCCAGUGAAAAAGAAAGACGUUGAAGUUUUGCAAGGAAGGCUAACGUCAUUAUCCUUCUUCAUCUCACGCCUAACCGAUGCGUGUGUUCCCUUCUUCAAAGCCAUGAAACGCCCAACAGGAAAUGAAGUGGAUUGGACACUAGACUGCCAAGCGGCAUUCUAGGGCCUGAAGGAUUACCUAGUGUCCAUUCCCUUAUUGUUAAUCCCCAAGUAGGGAGAGACAUUGUACAUAUACCUAGCGGUUUCCAGCUGGACAAAAUGGUUUUGGCGCUAAUCACAGCCGCUAGGAGGAUGCGUCAAUACUUCUAAGCUCACACGAUUCAUGUCCUUACAAAUCAAUCGCUCAAGAGUAUGCCCUCAAGUUCAACUUUAAAGCCUCCAAUAAUGCAGCAGAGUACGAGGCCCUUAUCGCUGGAUUAUUGUUGGCCCCUGACUCAGGAGCUAAAGACAUCAAUAUCUUCAACGACUCACAAUUGGUGGUCAACCAAGCCAACGGUUCAUUCCAAAUGAAGGAUUCACAACUAACGACCUACAUAGGAUAUGUAAAAACUAUGUUGGGCAAGUUUCAAUUCCACAACAUCACACAACUCCCUCAAGCGGAAAAAGCCAGAGCGGAUUCCUUGGCGCGAGUAGCAACAACCCAACCCCACCAGCAUAGGGAAGACACAAGGAUAGAAAUCUUAGACAAACCGUCUACAACUAAGACGCUGGCGAAGAUAUUUCAUAUUGAGACAUGCCCAUCAUGGAUGGAUGAGAUCAUGACCUAUAAAUAGGAUGGAACGCUCCUAGAAGACAAGUUGAUAACACAAACGUUGUUUAGGCGGCCACUAGAUACAACAUUAUAGAAGGGAAGUUAUUCCGCCAAGGGUUGAAGUUUCCUCACCUGAAGUGUAUCACGCCGGAGGAAAGCAAAGGGAAGUUAUCUUUUGUACUAGUGUAAGUAUCCCUCAUAACUUCUUGUUUAUCUAUAAAUGGUAACCGGAAGAGUAUGUAAUGGCUGCUCUAGCACCAGUUUUAAUCUAUAAAAUCUAUUGUUUUGCAUUUAAAAAAAAUUGUUAUGAACAUAUGGCUCAGAUAUUAAGUUCAUUACUUUUGUUAAGAACAAGUAUAAGUUCGUUAAUGUUCUGUCUUCCACUAGCUAGCUAGUUUAAUAAUCUGGGGCUUCUCCAGAACCACUCCAAGUUGGUCGGUUUCACAACUACUAGAAAUGUUAAAACCCUAAAAUUGACUCAUUUGACUCAUCACUUAAGGAGAAGCAAGAGGCUUCAACGCUCCAAGAAGCUGGACGUUCUCGACCGGGGAGUGACACCUAUAAGUAGAUCUCUCAAUAGGAGGCGAGUAGAGGUUUGUUGGAAUCAGCCAGAGAUAGUACAAGGAUAAAAGGCUGAUUGUUGAGAAGGUUCGAUGUGUUCAUUGUUGGUUAGAAGGAGACCAAUUCAUUACAGCUACAAGUCAAAAGAGGCUAAUUUAGUUGGUUAGAAGGACAUGUAUGUUCAUGCAAUUGAAAUUUUGAAACAUAUAGUGGAUUUUUGAAGGUGAGGUAAUUAUACCAAUAUCGUAAUGUAGAUGAAUAUUUAAUAUUUAUAGGUGUAUAUUGCUUUCUUUUGUAUGAUUCAAUGUUUCACUUCCGGGAGUGAAAUUCACACUCCACAAAUUACGAUAUAUUUGCACUCUUACUGUGAUAUAUACAUAUAUAUACACACACAUACAGUCGGGAUCACAGACGGACGUCCGCAAACCCGUAAAAGUGCGGACGUCCCUGAUUUUGCAGCGAUCAAGCGCCGACAACGUCCCUUCUCUUGCCGGACGGACACCAGAGGCAUCCGAGAUCUGUUUAACAUGAAGAUGAAGGCCAUGGAGAUCGGAGUAGAAGGACUGGGCAACAACCUCCACCCAAAACUCAGACAACAUCAAUCUCGGCUGCAAACUGGUAUUCGGCGAGUCCGCCGGCAAUAGGAAGCUCACGAUCAAGGUCUGGUGUCCGUCCAGGAAGAGAUGGGCCGUCGUCGGCGCUUGAUCGCUGCAAAAGCAGGGACGUCCGCACUUUUACGGGUUUGCGGACGUCCUCUUCUGAUCCUGUCCGUACACACACACACACACACACUUUUAGAGAUAGGUCCAUACCAUUGGAUCUAUUUUUUAAUGAGUUUGGAUAGCUAAGAUUAAAACAAAAAAAUUAACACUUAUGUCAAACCUAGACCAUUCAAGAUCAUUAAAAAUAAAUUUGAAUGACUUAACGAUCACCAAAUUUUCUGAAAACUUGUAGAGGUGAUCUUCUCAUAUAGACUUACAAACUGAACGGUGAAGAUGUGAUUUUGUGAUCAAAAAGUUUGUCAAAUACCUUAUCCCUAUAAAUGAACCAAAAUAGGGAUCCCACAAUGGAAGGAGCUGGUAUAUAUAUGAAAUUAUUUCCCUUAAGUUUUAAUCAUAUGUUCAUAUUAAUUAUUUAUAUAAAUAUAUGAAAAAGUGGAUGGAUUAAUUGUUUGUAAUGGUGUGCAUUGUUUAUUGUUUAGGGAGAGGGAUCCAUGGGGUGUUCAUGAUGAUUUUACUAAGGGAAAAGGGAAGAACAAUCGACUUAAGGGUUUGAGAGAAAAAUUUAGAAAGUUAUAGUACGUAGCAGAAAUAAAAGAGCUACCUAGACAUUAAAGACAUGCAUCCACAAUGGUAUCAUGGUGGUGUUGGCCGGUAAUAUUCAAAUUCGAUCCAACACCUUGUAUCUAGAAAGGGAGCGAGAAAUGUAAGCUGAGGAGAGGUUAAAGCAGGACCUGCAUGACAUCAAUUAUUCUACAAGUAUUUUCUUUUUUGGAACAAAAUUCUACAAUUAGGUUAGGCAUGAAAACACUGACAGGUUUUGCUUAAUGAACAUAACUGAACUCAUCUAGACCGUGGGCUUUAUCAAAUAUAGCGUGGUGUUAAAAUGUCAAGUACUCAGCCCAUAUAUAAGAAAAUGAAAAUCAUUGAUGCAUAAAGUCUUCAAUACAACUUAUGAUCAUAACUGUUGGGGGGGNGGUGGGUGGUGGUGGUGGUGUGUAGUGUAGUGUUGUUUAGUUUUAGUAGUUGUUAGUUAGUUAGUUAGUUAGUUAGUUAGUUAGUUAGUUACGUUAACGUUACCGUUAACGUUAAACGUUAACGUUAACGUUAACUUAACGUUACCGUUAACCGUUAACCUUAACCGUUAACGUACCGUUAACGUAACGGUUAACGUAACGUUAAACGGUUAACGGGUUAAACUUAACGGUUAAAACGGGGUAAACGGUUAACUUUAAACGGUUAAAGUUUAAACGGUUAACGGUUAAACCGGGUUUAAUUAACGGGUUAACACGUUUUAACGAACGUUUACGUAACGUUUAACUCGUUUAAACGAACUUUAACGUUUAACUUAACGUUUUAAACGUUAAAGUUCGUUUAAAAACGUUGUUAAAACGUUUUUAACGUUUAAACGUUUAACGGUUAAACGUUUAACGGAAACGUUUUAAAACGUUAACGGGUUUAACAACGUACGUUUUAAACGGUAACGAACGUUUAAACGUUACGUUUAAACGGUUUACGGUUAACGUUUAAAACGUAACGUUUAACGAAACGUAACGUUUAGAACGUAACGUUUAACGUACGAGUUACGUGAUNUANANAUANAUNAUANNANANNANNANAUANANAUANAUAUNNUNNNNNUNNUNAUGNNGNGNGUGNGNGNGNGGNGGGGGGGAGAGGGGGUUUAUAUGAUUUUCAUUAAACUGAAUGUUUUGUUUGUUUUUUUUUUUUAAAGAAGGCAUACCGAUUAUAUUGAUAUCUCAAGCCCGCAAAAACAAUUACAUAUCCUCCCUCUACAGACAUGGGUAGAUAAAGAGUUUGUGGUAGUAGCACAAAUGAUACAUGGAUUAAGUCCAAUCAUUUGAUGGUUCAAACUCAAUCAAGAGAGCCUAUAGACUAAUAACUAUUACAUAGUAGAUAGGUAGAGUACACAGACUUGAUGACACUUACUAAGACUAGAAAGAAAAUGUUGUGAAAGCAUAAAACUUGAACAUAGAUGAAUGGACUAGGGCAAAAAACCUUAGCCCAAACAAUGAAGCCCAAUGGGGCAGCCACCAAGGAGGUCCACAUAGGUCCAUCCAGUUGAUUUGGCCCAAUCCACCUUCUUUCCAUCUUUGUCUAAACUUCGCAGACGCACCACCUGUUGCUGCAAAAAACCACGCCACUCGAUUUGAACACCCAGACGCUAUCGCCGGCGACUCAAAUCGUCGCACGCGUCACCUCCAAAGCACAUCCACCCUUGCACCACCAACCAAAAACACACCGCCGAAAUCGAGUACAACCUCCCUCAGACAAACCCCAUGAGCAUAUAACACGUACUUGCUUUCUUGUCCGGAAGCAAACCCAAAGGCGACGACAAGGCCAAGAGGCCCACCGAAGAGUCUAGUCGCCACGGGACAAGAACAAGAUCUUGAAUCUGGAGGCUAGGUAGGAACGGUGCCUUAGGAUUCUCUUUCCCGGUAGACCACUAGGGUGUAUUUACUCACAUGAACCGAAAGUUUGAUCGAUAGAGAAAUAAAAAAAUUGCAUUUGAAAUCAGUUUUUCUGCGGUUUGGUUUAAAUCGGGUAGUUUAAUACUCGAAACUGCAACUGAAUCGCUUUUAUGCGGUUCAUGCAGUGUGACUGUAAAACAACACAGGUUUAGUUCGUUGCAGUAAUCAAAUCAUUUUUUGUGGUGCGGUUCGGUCGGCAACCAUAUUUUUGAUUGAAAUUAUCCACCCAUAUAUUAAGUAACGACGGUUCGAGGUAAUAAAAAACUUUGUAGAGAAAGUGAAAAGAAGAGGAUAAUGAUAAAGGACAUGAAAACAAAUUAUAAAAGAGAACAAAAUUGUAGACCAUUUAGAUUCAUUAUAGACACGUGUCAAAAUCCAAAUAAAAGGCGUAGGUAGGUUAGGUGAGAAUAUCCGUCUCUCACUGACCAAAACAAUCUGAAAUACGGCCAAAGAAUAAUAGGACAAAAUUAAAGAAUGAUGAAAAGAGAAGCCUCCCUCCCUCCAUGCUGAGGUUUCAGAUUCCCAUUCUCAUUUAACUCGGAAAUUAGAAAUGGCGUCCACGUGAGAUCACACUUUAUCUUCUUCUUUUUUUGAAAUUGACACUUUAUCUGAUGAUCACUAUAAUGUUUAAAGUGCAUGCAAAUGGCACUUCGCAGCUUUUGACUCUCUCUCUCUCUCUCUCUCGGCAAACUGAAGCAGCACAGAAAUGGACGACUUCAUCAACCUGAUUUGCCCUGAUUCUCCAUCCGUAAGCCGCUCUCUCUUUCUCUGCUGUUUUUCACCUUUUUGUUUUGUUUCGUAAUUUUGAUUUUCACCUUUUUUUUUCUUUCGUAUUUUGAUUUUCUCUCGUUCACUCAAUUUUUGAAUUCGUAGAAAUAUAAGUGAUUGAGUCGUUUAUUGGUGAUUGUGAAUUCACAGGUAUGGGAUGGGAAUGGAGUUUCCAAGUGCUACGGGGACAUAUAUCCUUAUAUUCUGUUUUGUGUAAAUUACUGUUUCAUAAUAUAAUGGAGAACUGCUCCUCCUUAAUUUACAAUCCUUACUCUGUUAGGCUUUGCUGCAAAUGUAGUUACUCUUGGUGUGAUUUUCGUGCUUGGAAUCGCGGCAAGGACUGGCACAAGAAGCUUGAGGGUGGGUUUUGUAUUGAUAUUUGAUUGGAACUAUCAGUUUAUUCGCUCUGUAUGGAUGAUAGAUAGUAUGUAAUGAUGGGCUUACAAAAUUUACUCAGAUGAACUUUUCCGAGAGGUUGUUUUUGCACGUGCUUCCUGCCAUCGGGGCUUGUUUAGCAUUUUUCGACAUUGCUUUACUCAUGAAGAAAGAUAGUACUGGUGUCUUAAUCACACGACACGAAUGGUUUUUCAGAUGUUCCCAGUUUGCAGUCUGGGUAAGGGCUUCUUCUGUUAUAACUUAAUUGGGAACUACAUGGUAUAUUAUGUUAUUUUUUUUAAUCCAUGAUUCAUUGGUUAUUUCAAAUAUGCAGACAGUUGUCAUACUCUUCUCAAGGUGGUUCAGUGCUUACCAUAUCUUUUGCAACCGCAUCUUGUCUUUCUGGUGGCUUGUGAAAAUGCUUUUGGCAGUGCUUCAUUUGUGCACUACAUAUCCUUCAUUCAAGGUACAUUUUUUGUGUAGAGGUUUCUUAUGGCUGAUUAAAUUCCAGUCCAUGGUGGGCUGUAAAAGGCCGUUAAGUUUAAAAGGAAAAUAUUACUUGACUGUAAAGUACAGUCUGAGAAUUUUCCAUUUUGUAAUCGGUUAGUUUUGAAUAUAAGAUCUGUCCAGACCAGUUCACUUUUCACCACUUAUGAUGCCAUUGAUUUGUGUGGUUGAAUCUAACUUGACUUUAGAUUACAUAUGUUUAAUAAUGAAACGAGAGGGGGUAAUAUGAUCAUGUUUUGUAAAUAGAUUUUGUUAUGAACUCCUUUCUCUGACAGGUCUUGUUGUCUCUUAAAGAGAUUUGUACUGUUUCAUUGGACGUCAUCUUUGGUAUAUCAAUUAACAUCAUCAGAAUAAAGAGGGCAUCAUCCAACAGAAGGUAUGAGCUGUUUAUUAUUAUUACCCCAAACCCUUUACGAUUAUGAUUACAUAGGUUAUAUUGACAGUUCCCACUAUAUAUUAAUAUACUGGUUAAAUUACAUUGAUGAUAACUUCAUAGACGAUAAUAUAUAAAGCCGAUUGGUCAUACCUUUCAGCUCCUCAUGAAGUAGGGGUUGAUUGAGAUCUUAUUAUUUAAUUGUCAUCCAGACAAAGAACCUGUCUGAAUGACCUAUAUAUUGAUGUAGUUGCAGUCGAUGAGUUACUCUGUGAUCAUACCAUCUUUGAUCCCGAACCCCAAUGGAAAAGUUUCAACUUUUACAAUCCAAUAGCCAGUAGGGUCAUACCCUGGGUUUGCUUCAGUGAUUUUUAUUUCUUAGCUUAUUGCAGAAUACUUAUAGUGUCCUUUUUUUAUAUUUGUAAAAAAUAAAGAAAUUUGAAUUAUUUACUUCUUUUGUUAAAAUUCCUAAUAAGAUGCCAUAUUUUUGGGAGUCAAAUAAUAAAUGUGAUAUAUGAGUGGUCAAACAAUUGCUUGUCUCAUAGUUUUCUUUAUUAUUUUAAUUUUUCAUAUUUAUAUUUUCUUUAGUUUUUGUAUAAUGUAACAUAUUCAUUUCUUUGUGCAAAUGAAAUCCUACAACUAAAUGCAGUUCAAUGGAAGAUUCACUACUUUCGUCUGACAUGGACCUCGAGGAAGGUUCUUUUAAGGACUCUGUAAGUUAUAUGCCACCAAAUUACUUGAUCAUAUUCUCUGUUCUGUUCAAACCUUUUCUAUGCUGUUUUCUGGUUCUGCUUUACACUUGCGUAAGUAUAAAUGUAGAUGCUGAUAUGCUUUUAAGCACAAAUUCUAUAAGGAUGGCUAUUCUAGAUGAAUGCAUAUUUUUUGGAAGAUAAAUUCUGAGUCAAUGCAUAGGAAACAGCAAAUCAACCAUAACUGCAAGGGUCAUAAUAUCUACCUAUAUCGAUUAUCAGUGACAUAAGAUACAAUAUGGUAGUGCAAGAAUGUGAUUUCUUCUUUUUUGACAAACCCUUCAUGAGUCUUUGUUGAAAAAGGGAAAGCUGUAUCGUUCCUCUCAUAGAUUAAGAAGAGGAAAAUAGAAAGAUGACAAGCAAAUUUUAGGAACAUAUCCUUGUACAGUAACUUGAUCAAAGUGUAAAGCCAAAAUGAUAAUUACAUUUAGAACUUCCAGGCAACCAAGAAUUAUUGAUCUGAAAUAUUUAAUGCUGGUCAUGUACUUUAAUAUCUGUCAUGUUAAAGUUGAAAUUGUUGAGAGUGAGAUGCCUCCUCGGUCCUAUUUGUUUCAGUCUUCUUUUGUAGCAAGCUCAUACUCACCAUCUUGUAUUAAUUUUCAAAGGGAGAUGGUCAAAGCUAUUUCGAUCUUAUGACAUUCAGAUCUAUCACUUCUGUGAUGAAUCAUGGUGUUACAAAGCAGCUUGAAUUUGAAGAUUUGCUUCUACUUCCCACUGACAUGGACCCUUGUUCCUGUCAUGAUGCAUUAUUUAGCUGUUGGAAAUCCCAAUUGAGUGAUUCCCCUGACCCAUCCCUAUUUAGGGCAAUCUGUUCUGCAUAUGGAUGGCCAUACGUUCGUCUGGGAUUGUUAAAGGUAAUUUUUUUUUUCAGGUGAAUGGGAUUCUCCCUUUUUUGCUUUCAUGUAUCGCAAUAGAUGGGUUAUAUAGCUUUGUACAUAUUAUGGUAGAUAAUUUGCCGCUGCUUUUAGCUCAUGACAAGUUUUUCUUUGCAGAAAAAAGUAAACUAUUCUUUUCAAACUAUCUUACUUUCAGAAAUUGUUUUUUUUUUGGGCAUAUGUUCUUCGAAUGUUGUUAGUUGUAGAAAUAGUUUCCUGCUUAUUUCUUUUUUGCAGCAUUGUGUGAGUGGCACUGCAUUAUAAAUUCUGAAAGAAUUUAAGACACCUCACUUGUGUAUUGGUAUUCCUUUUUUGUUUCUUACUGGGAUGUCCAAGGUCUACAGUUUGUUUCAGUUAUAGGGAUCUUUAGUUCAAUAUGCUGACAUUGCAAGCAAGAGAAAGACCAAUUUACUGGAACUUACAUGGCUGCUACUCAAUACAGUGAACUUUUGGAGUUAAUCUGAUUGUUAAUGAAAUAUGAAGCUUGAUAUAUUAAUGUUGUCAAUUUCCUACAUACUGUCAUAAGCAGGCAAAUAAAAGACUUGGCUUCUUACAAAUAUAAUAUUCUGAAUCGUCAGUCUCCAGGUGCUUAAUGAUUCUGUUGGUUUUGCUGGACCGUUGCUUCUCAAUAAGCUAAUUCGCUUCCUUCAACAAGGUCUGUCAUAAGCAGUUGAAUAUACUUAUAAUCUUUAUCUUGGAUGAAAAACAUGUAUAAUCUUAAACAUGCUACUUUAUUGUUCACAGAAUUUGUCACUUUUCUGUUUUUUUCAGGUUCUCAGAAUUUGGAUGGCUAUGUUCUUGCAGUAUCCUUGGGCCUCAUAUCUAUCUUUAAGUAACACUCUGAUCCUUGAACUUCAAUGACAUAAUUAAUGCAGUUUUUACUGUUUUCCUUCUUUUUGUUCUCCGCCUCCCCCUCUGCCUCUUCAUCCUCAUCCCCAACCCCCCCCCCCCCACCAUCUACAUUUUGAUAUUGCAGCUAGUGCUUUUCUUAUAUUUAUUUAUUUUGUUGAAACAAGGAAUCCAUUCCAGCCUCGUAUAAAUGAGUAUUAGAUUAAAUAGAGUACUAGCGGACAUAAUGCCUAAACCAUAGGAAAUAGAGGGCAUAUAGUAAUAGUUAUCUAUAGCAUUUAUGAGCCAAUUGGGCACCUCCUCUAGCCCAAAAUGGAUCUCCCUUCUGCAACAGAAAGUGAGCAAUCGUAUGAGUAAUUCCAUUAUAUUCGGAUCUCCCGUAUUUUCUUGAUUCAUGAUUAGUAUCACAUCCAUAGAGCUCAUUAUUAUUAGGUCCUGAAUAUUUUAGAAUGAGACAAUAGUCAACCUCUACAAGUACAUCCACUUUUUCUCUUUUUAUCAUGGGUGAAACGAAGACUGAUUUAAGUGGAUGUGAUACCAUUUGAGGGCAGAACUCCCUUGUUUAUGUUUCUUUGAAGAGUCGUCCGUUAAGUGUAAGUCUCCAAUCUUUGGUGAAUGGAGGUUCAAAUCUUCAGGUUGAUAUUGGUAAAUUGAACUUUAGGUAUAUUCACUUUCUGGCAUAGUACGCACAAGAUUAUUGCUGAAUGCCUAUUUAACUAUUGUCACCAACAGAAAAAAGUGAUAUGUGGAUUGUACUAAACCUAGUUUUUGUCCUAUUCUCCCUAUUCUCCUACUUCUUUGUUCCAAAACUUGUUCCCGAAGAGUGACUGCUUUUGAUAUCUUUUCUUUAUUAGAUGUAUACUUACAGUUAAUCGAUACAGAAGACCUUUUUCUUUGUGGAUGCAACAUUUCUAACAGUAAAGUUGAAUUACUUUUUUAUUUUUUUCCAAUUUUUCAAAUCGUUUUUGUUUCUAACAGUAAAGUUGAAUUACUUUUUUUUUUUUUUUUUUCCAAUUUUUCAGAUCGUUUUUGGAUACACAAUAUACUUUUCAUCUUUCGAAACUGAGGUUAAAGCUACGAUCUAGUAUCAUGACAGUUAUCUAUCACAAGGUAUGCGUUUUAUCUGUCCGUACCAUGAAUUGUUUGUACAUGCAAUUAUACAACUGAGUGAAAAUGGUUGUGCAGUCUUAGUGCUAUGAUUUUUUGUUCGGAAGAUAAUUAGCUAAUUGAACAAAAAGCAUCAUAUAAGAAGACAAGGUGUUUGCAACAGAAAAUAGAUAACUCCCUUUCUCUUUUUAAAUAUGAAAAAACAGAAAAGAAAAUUAUAAUUCCCUCAAUUCCUCAUUAUUUGAAAUUAGUAUUGAACACAAUCUUCAUUCAUAUUUGGGUCUAAAGAGAGUUAUGGUAACAUAUCAUUUGAAAGGUUCCUCUAAUUUACCUUUCUCAAGAUGAUGACAAGCACAUUAUUCCACAUUCAAAUACAUUAGAUGUACCUUUAGGACUGAGGGAAAUAUUUAGUUGUUCAAAAAUUAUCAGUAGAAUUUCAGAAAUAUAUAUAUAUAUAUAUAUAUAUAUAUUUUUUUCUUAAGCAUGUGCUACACAGGAUUUCAGAAAAAAAAAAAUUAGUACUAUUUAUUUGUGAUUUGUAAGGCAAUAGAAAAGUUGGUAAACUUAACACUGUACCCACCUUUCUUCUUAGUAAUUCUCAUGAGUUGAUUUAUAUUAGUUUAUGUACUUGGUAGAGUUGAUGCUUUCAGGUUGAAUUAAUGAUGCUUUGCAUUAUCCAGCUUCUCGUUCUCCUACCUGUUGUAGAGUUUUAUCGGUUAAAUCACUUAUGUAAUGAUGCUUAGGUAGUAUGUUCUAAUCUGAACUCUGUAUACUAGGAAAUGUUGUUGGAAAUAUGGUGAGCUUCCAAAAUUGAGUGCAUGCAUCUGUGGGUUUUUCUUUUUCUUCCUUUUCCUACUGAGCUAGGCUUUUUAUCUACUUUACUCCCUUGCUUUAUCUCAAUUCUCAAGUUUAUUUUGGGAAUUGUUGUUGCAAAUAUGGUGAGGAUUGAUUUGUUGAGCGAGAAACCUUCUGCUUUUGGCAGAGGAAAAAAGGCCAAAGUCCUUUUGUUGUUUUGGGGUAGCGUGCUCUGGGUGGUUUGGAUGGAAAGAAAUGAGAAAUUUGUUUAAGCUCAUAGUGCUGAAGAGAGAGAGUUGCAUUCUGGACGUCUCCUUUAGGCUUCUGUUUCCAGGGAGUUUUAAGAAUUUCACUUUAUCAUUUAUUAUGCCAAAGUCCAAUACUGUAUCCUAUAUAACAAUAGUGGAAAGCAGUAGUAUAGGAUCUUUGUCCAGGCUGGUUUUUUGUUCUACUCUGCUUUUAUGUAUGCUUACAAUAAAGCUGUUUCACUUUAAAAAUAAAGAAGUUUUAUUUUGUCUCCCAGUGCCUAUGUAUAAACCUAGCAGAGCGAUCGAAGUUUACUGAGGGUGAAAUCCAGACAUUUAUGGCCAUAGAUUCUGAUCGUAUUGUCAACUUAAGUAACAGUCUCCAUGAUAUGUGGAGGUAAGAGCUAUUUUAUUCCGUUUGUUGUAUAUCUUAUGCCUUUACUUUCUGGAUGUACUAAUGUAUCAUUUAUUAUGUUUAUUCAUUCAUUGGAUUUCAUAAAGUCGAAGAUUACUGGAGGAUCCAAGUGUGUCACCUACAAUAAUACUAUUUUCCCCUUUCUUUAUAACUUAGCAUUGUCUAUUAAAUACUUCCUUCAGUGGGAUUUGUGAUAUGGAGUAUUAAAUGCGGCCUCAUGUAAAUUAUAAGCAACAAGAUUCUAUAGCAUGCCAAGGGAAGUGAUUACGUGCAUAGGCUGUUUUGACAAUACAAUUUAUUUGAGGUUGGUCCAUGGAAAAAGAGCUUGAAAGUGGCAACACAAGUUUUCAUGGGCCUUUGUACCGGUUUAUGAACAAAGUGUCAAUUACAAUAUGUUUCAAUAACAAAAGUAUAAGUGUCUACUUAAAAACACACUAGACAACUCUCAUGUUAUAUGAUAACUGGUACAAUGAGUGAUGAUAUUCCACACCCUAUCUACCAUGUCGACAAGGCUGAAGUCUUUUCUUUACUGUCUAUUCAAAGAUUUCUGUACUGAUUACUCUUUCAGCUACUGAAAAAAGGAGAAGGGAUCAGCGGGUUGUAAUCACUAUUCUGAAAAGCUCAAUGUAGACCCUGAUAUGAUUCUGUUUUCCUGUUUUUAUAAAUUAGUAUUGUAGUUUACCAGUGGUAGUUUUUGUUCAGUUAAUAAAGAUGCUCAUUUUUGUAAAUUAUAAGGUUGAAUUACUAACUAAUUAAGGUUAUUAUUACUUUUAACAUGGCUUAUAAUUGUUCUUCUUGAGAUGAUAUCACUAGCCCAUUGUGUUCUCAGUAUCCUUGUGUCAAGUUUGUAAAUUAGUGGCUUGAUCCCCUAUUUAUGGUUUACUGACCAGCCUAUUUCCAUGAAUGUUUCAGCUUGCCUUUACAAAUUGGGGUGGCUCUAUUCCUUUUGUAUACACAAGUCAAAUUUGCAUUUGUUUCUGGGCUUGCAAUUACCAUUGCAUUAAUACCAGGUACCUUUGAUUCUUGGAUGGUUUUUGGAAUCAGCAGGUCACAGUUUUAGAUUUAUUUAAGCAUUUAAGUUAUUGAAUCACUUGAGCUGAUGCAAAACAUUUAUGCAAUAAUGAAAAGACCAUUUUACUUUCUAUAAAAGUUAUAUAUGCAGUGUGUGGAUCAAAGUUAUUAUCAAUAUGUAAAGAGUUAGCUUGGUUUAUCUUGUAGUAACAGUUGUAUGGCUGGGUAGAUUUACAUAUAGGUUCGUAAUCUCCAUCACAAUGGACUUUUAAUCCUUUCUACCUGUGGAUGGCUUGGAAGUAUUGGUACUUGGAAAUAUGUUAAUAGUGUAGUCAAUCACUUGAUGUAGUUUUGUUCUGAUUGAACUUUUUGUUCUGUAGCGAAUAAAUGGAUAUCUACGUUGAUUGCGAGGGCUACAGUAAAAAUGAUGAUGCAGAAGGAUGAGAGGUAUAUGCACUUAUUUUUUUUAUUUUUGCUUCUCAUUUAUGUGACAGUAUAAGCUUGCUCAGAACAUAUUGGUUGCUUUGAGGAAAUUAGAUUUGUAGCAUGCAGUAAUAGUUGUUAUGUUAGUUAAUUUUAUAGGAAGUGGUUAAACAAUGUAUAUUAAAACCAACAAAUGGAAAAUGCUACCAUCACUCCCACCUCAUGUGUGGGAUGGAAAUGCAUGUGUUUUGAGACACCUGAAAUGGAAAUGAAAUACUAACCUCAGAUAGUUACCACGAUGAAUAGAUUGUAAACAUCUAAUCACAACCUGAUAUCCCUCUAAGUUGGUGCGACCCCUAAGUUAAUAAAAGAACAAUGCAUCUGAGCCUAUUAGACCAACUCAAUUCACUUGGUGAAUUCCAUGAUCACUGUAAUUUGAAACUUCUUUCAGUCUGGAAUCAGGUUACAUUUAGUUUAGAAUCAUGGUGGUUAAGCAUGUUAAAAUAGUUAUUAUUGAGUUGAAUAAAAUAUUCAUAUAUAAUUGUCACAUAGGUUAUAUUAUUUUAUUUUAACAGACUCUGACAUCUGUAUGAAAUACCUCUAUGAAUAUAAUGACUCAGGAGCCUGUUUACAAAAUUUCUAAUGUUAUCUGGAGAAAACAUGCUAUGACAGAUUUUCCAUUUUUGCACUUCCAUCCUUGUAGUUCCAAUGUUGUAUCUAUCUCUGGCAUUCACUGGACCCCAAUAGUGUAAGCUGUUAGUCAAUGAGCCAAAGCUACUUAUUAGGCUGACGUUAGUAUCCCGGCUCCUUGGCAGGAUCAGAAGGACGGGUGAACUUUUGACAUAUAUCCGCACUUUGAAAAUGUAUGGCUGGGAGCUCCUGUUUUCUAGUUGGUUGAUGGAGACGAGAUCAUCAGAAGUUAUGCACUUAACUGUAUGGUUCUACUCUAAUUCUUGGAGUAGCCAAGAGAAAUACAAGUAAUGAGAUAUUGUUCCUUUUCUUUUACUGCUUGCUGCAUGAAAUAAUGUUCGAUUUUCUUACAUUUUUCAGACGCGGAAGUACUUGGAUGCUUGGUGUGUAUUCUUUUGGGCCACGACACCAACUCUUUUUUCUCUUUUUACAUUUGGACUUUUCACAUUGAUGGGGCAUCAACUUGAUGCUGCAACGGUACUAACUGUUCUGCUAGCUUAUACAUACUCGGAUCUUAUGAAUUUUAUUAUCUAUGCAUUUGAUGUGGGAGCCAAGUUCCAAGUAUAAAAGUUAAUUACUAAUCAUAUUUAAUUAUGAGUUCUCCUUUAUAUAAGAAAUGAAAACCGCAAAUGCAAUAUUAGGUUUCUUUUGUAUUUUGAGAUAUAUAUAUAUAUAUAUAGGGCCCUUCUACUAAGGGAUCCCUUUUUUUGACAUAUAUGAGGGAUCAAGCAUUAGAUCUACUUUUCAAUCACAUUUUUCAAUCUUAACCGUUCAGUUUUUAGGUCCUAAUAUGUAGAUCACUUCUGCAAAAUUUCAUCCAAAUUGGUGAUCGUUAAGGUGUUCAAAACUGCGAAUUAAAAUUAUAGGCAUGAACGGUUCAGGUUUGGCAGAUUUGAUCCAUCAAUUGAUUUCAGUUAGUUUGAAGCCUUAACGAUUACCAAAUGGGAUGAAAUUUUGCAGAAAUGAUCUACAUAUAUACAUCUAAAUAUUGAACGGUGGAGAUGUUGAUAUGUGAUUGAAAAGUUGGUCUAAUGCUUGAUCCCUCAUAUAUGUCAAAAAAAGGGAUCCCUUAGUAGAAGGGCCCUGUAUAUAUAUAUAUAUACAGUCCUUUUCAGAUACGGACGUCCGCACCGCCUUAAGGUGUGGAUUUCUCUCCGUUCGCCACCGUACGGCGCCAGCGAGGGCGUGCCUCCACCCCAGCGGACUCCAGCAGCUUCCCCGACCACUUUCCCUCCCCGGCGAGUCCGCUGAAUUCCAGUUUUCCGGCCAGAUUGACUUUGUUUGAAGUUUUGGGUGAUCUGGCCGGAAAACUAGAAUUCGGCGGACUCGCCGGGGAUGGAAAGUGGUCGGGGAAGCUGCUGGAGUCCGUGGGGUGGAGGCGCACCCUCGCCGGUGGCGAAAGGAGGGACGUCUACACUUUAAGAGCCGCGCGGACGUCCGCACCUGAUAACGAUCGUAAAUAUAUAUAUAUAUUUUUUCCAUAAUGUUGAAUGAUCAAAUGUUGUCAGUUAGGUCUUUUAAGAAUUCCUUAGUGCAUUAGUUUAAGGCAGGAGUGUUCUAAUUUCUCUGUGACUGAUUCCUAGAAUACUUCCAGUGUGAAGUUGUAUCCUUUCUAUAUUUUAUUAUUCUUUGGACACUGGCUGAUUAGAUUUGAAGAAAAGCUCAUCUCUGUAAAAUUCCAACUGCAGGUCUUCACUUGUGUUGCCCUAUUUAACACUUUGAUAUCUCCUCUAAACUCAUUCCCAUGGGUCAUCAAUGGGUUGAUUGAUGUAAGUUUUCAUAUUCGCUUCAGUCUAAACUCUAAUGUCAAGGUUUUAUUUAUUUAGUAUCCUUUUAUUUUAUUUAUAUUUCUUAUAACUUUUGCAAUUGUGUGAUGAAAUCAUACUUCUCUUUACUCUAUAAUAGGCGGUCAUAUCUGUUAGACGGUUGAGCAGAUUCCUAUCUUGCUCUGAGCGCAAGUCAAAGCUGGAAAAGACAUCCGAUUCAUCACCACAUUUCUCCAAUGAUCUAUCUGAAUUUACCUUUGAAGAUAUGGCUGUUGUGUUUGAUGAUUCAUCUUGUUCCUGGUCCAGCAGCGACGAAAAGGAAUUGAAUUUGGUGCUGAAUCAUGUCACUCUAGGUAUUCCAAAGGGUUCCUUCAUUGCAGUAAUUGGAGAGGUCAGGAUAAGUGUAUAAAUUUAAUUACUUCAUUUCUGGUAACUUGUUGGCAUGCAUUAAACAAUGUACCGAUAACUUUAAUUACUAUAGGUUUACAAAAGUUUUCUGUUACAAGUCAGACAUGAUAUCUAUUCUUGUGGCUCAUAUAGGAGUUCCUUUUCAUCAUCUUCCGCUAUAGUUAAAUAGCACCAGGGGACUAGGCUUGAUUUCACCAUCUUUUAUGAUUACAUUAAGACAAGAUCAAUUGUGUACUUCAUUAAAUAUCUCCCACUAACUCCAUGUAAAACCUAAAAACUGCGAGUACUAGAGUAAAGUUGCCCUACUUUAUGUAAGAAAGGUUCUGAUGAUGCAAUUUGGUGCUUAAGAGGCAAGAACAAUGACCAAGUCCAAGCAUCUUAUAUAUGUCAACUGUUAGAUACUGAUAAUAGUUUGGACUUAUUAUCCCUAUGGUGCAGUUCUCUGAUGGAUUUUUAUAGUAAUUAGGCAAUACUCCUCUAUCGUUGUAGAAAAUUGAGGCUUUGGCUAAGGCAAGAAAUUUCUUUCACAUUUGUUAAAUAUAAUAACACAAUUUAGUACGUAGAUAAAUAAAAAGUUUUCUUGAAUAUUGAAAUAUUCGUAUAAACCUUUCUUCUGGCAUAUAGAGUUUAAUUUAACAUCUAUUGCAUUUACAAUUUCUCAGGUUGGUUCAGGUAAAUCAUCGUUGUUAAAUUCCAUAUUGGGUGAAAUGCAACUAGUCCAUGGAUCAGUAUACUCUUGUGGAUCUAUAGCAUAUGUACCACAGGUUUGUAGACUAGUCCGAGUGCUGAUGGACCUCAAUUCUCGAGAAAUAUAAUUCAUCAAGCUUGCCUCUGUUUUGAGAUUGCAGGUCCCAUGGAUUCUGUCAGGAACGGUCCGUGACAAUAUACUCUUUGGAAAGCAAUAUGAUCCCAAAAGGUAUGAUUCUAUUGAAUAAUGAACUUGCGUGAUAAUGUGAUAUCCGUCCUUUCCCCCAAAAAGAAAUCAAUAAUUUCUAACUGUAUGUUCCAGUAGUCAUAUAUAAUUUCCUUAUAUUUUACAUUUUUGGUAUCCACAAUUUAGGAUCCUACUCGUCUUUGAUAGUUUGAGAUUAAUAAGAGGAUGCUUCUGAACUGUUUGGGACUAACACAACAAAAUAUUGGGGAUUUCUGCUCUUGGUUGCUUAGAAAUACAGUAACUUUCAAUCAUUUUAAAGCAAUAAUCAUAUGUGGAAAUUUAAAAUACUGCGACAAUUAAGACAGAAAAGUGACUAAUCAUAGAACUGGAUUGUUGGAUAUAAGAUAUAAGACUUUAGAGAUAUUAUUAAUCCAAUCACAGACAGCUGAGCUAGAAAAUAGCUAUGCUCAGGAGAUCUUUGACUCAACAAUACAGGGUAGACAAGCCUUCACUUCCUAAUUACGAACAUGAUUGUUCAUUUUUCUGUGAAGCAGAUAAGAUUUUUAUAUUUAUCUUUAAGGGAAAUGUUUAUCCAAUUUACUAAAUGUGAACCUUCUUUUAUAUCAAUAGAUACUCGGAUACUUUAGAGGCAAGUGCUCUAGACGUUGAUAUUUCAAUAAUGGUUGGAGGUGACACGGCUUAUAUUGGAGAAAAAGGAGUCAACUUGUCAGGUGGACAGAGAGCUCGAAUUGCUCUGGCAAGGUUAUUUCAACACUCUAUACCGAAUGUGUCUAGCUAGUAUUCAGCUCCAAUCCCGCAUUUUGUCCUUCCUACCAAGUUUUUUUUUUUUUUCCGACUGAUUAUAUUUGGACAUUGUGGAAUUGCAGGGCUAUUUAUAAUGGCUCCGAUAUGUUUAUUCUUGAUGACGUUCUCAGUGCAGUUGAUGCAAGAGUUGCUCGAUGUAUUUUAUACAAUGCAAUUUUGGGCCCACUGAUGAAACAACAAACUCGUGUGCUUUGUACGCAUAACGUUCAGGUUAUCUCUUCUUUUCUGAUUGCCUUUUGUUCUCUUCUAAUUUUGUUUUGUUUACAUAAUUUGAACAUAGAAAGAUCACUAGGACAGUUUACUUAAUUUGAACACAAAAAGAUCUACCUUUUUUUUUUUUUUUUUUCUGAUUGCCUUUUGUUCUCUUCUAAUUUUGUUUUGUUUACUUAAUUUGAACAUAGAAAGAUCACUAGGAUAGUUUACUUAAUUUGAACAUAGAAAGAUCACUAGGACGACAUUUCUCUGAAUAAUCUUUGAAAUUUCGUACAUAAACGAGUAAUGCAGUUUGAAUGUAAAUCAGAACCAUAAAAGUUUAUACCAAUUUAGUUUUAUGAGAAUAUGACUAUCAACUUAAGAAUAUUAAUGGGGUUGGAGUUCUCUGAGGAAUCUAUAAAUUCCAUUUUGUAAUAGUCUGAUAAGUUGGCUUAUUUUCCUUUCUUUCAUAUUGUCGUAAAUAGAAGCUCCAGCUUUCCAAGUGGGUUAUUCUUAUUCAUUUUCUGUAGAUUUGCUGCUGGUCGAUUUUCUAGAUUCAAACCUUUUAUAACUAGUAUUAUUGUAUUACUCUGUGUAUAAUUUAGAAAAUGCUGAGUAGAUUAGCAAGGAGAAACUUCUUGUAUUGUUCUGUGUAUACCUCCAUUUAUUGGAACUUUGAAAAAUUGUGAUUUUUUUUUAUUGUACAGGCAAUAUCUUCUGCUGAUACAAUUGUUGUUAUGGAAAAGGGACAUGUAAAGUGGGUGGGACGUUCUGCGUGUUUGCCAGCUUUAUAUUCAGCAUUCUCUCCACUGAAUGAAUUUGAUAAAUUCUCACUCAAUGAAGGAAAAGGGUGCAAUGGAGCUGCAGAUACUCUCAGAAAAGACCAACAAAAUCUUCCCUUAGAGAAAGAUAUUGUGCCUGCUUCAGAAGGACAAGAUUUUAUUGAAGUUGAGGCACGGAAAGAAGGAAAAGUAGAACUCUCUGUCUACAAGUGAGUAAACAUUUUCACCAUCUAUUAGUUUAUUACUUUCUUUUGAUGAUUUAAUACUCAUUUUAGUUUUACUUUUCUUGGAAAGUUUAUGGGUAACAUCCCUUCAUGUCAGAUAUUGCAUAAAGGAAAAAAUUGUUGUGGCUAUUGAUAUAGUUUGGGUUUUCCAAAUUUAAGUUUGCAUUAUUUUCUUGCAGGAAUUAUGCCACCUUUACUGGUUGGUUCAUUUCUGUUGUAAUAUUUCUAUCAGCAAUCCUAAUGCAAGCUUCUCGUAAUGGAAAUGAUCUGUGGCUGUCAUAUUGGGUUGAUGCAACAAGAAGUAGCCAGGAAGGAUACUCUACAUCCUUUUAUCUGGUACACCGCUACCCCUGUCUUCUAUAUUAGGGCAUGAUCUUGUCAUUUCCUUGAAACAGAUGGAUUGAAAACUUUUUCCAUAGUCCGUGUACGGUUUUCCAAAUAGUAAAAGAUUUCAAAAGAUAAAUUAACAGGCUUUUGCAAGACAAUUUUAUCAAAUUCACAGACUUGUAUCAGCAGAUUGUCGUAUAAGAAGAAUUAAUUUGUAGUAUAACUAGGCACUUAAUCAUUCUUUCUCUGUCUCUAUUGUUUUUCCUGUGAUUUUGGCUAUUUUCUACUUGGAUCCCUGUAGUUCCAGUUUUUGUAGUCAAUGAUAAACAAAAGAAUCCAACGAAUAAUUCCAAAUUUGUCAUUCUUCCACUAAAUUAUUAUAAUAAUUUUCGAAAAGAAAAAAAGUUUGUUUUCUAAUGUCAUUAGAGCCGUCUUGUAAUGGUGUAGUUUCAUUUUUGGUCAACACUGUAUCAAAAAGUUAAAACCAUAAUUAAAGGAUGCAAAUAUUCUUUCAAUGGUUUUCCAUGGUUCUCUCCCUAUCGUCUAUCACUUAAAUAAUGCUAAACAAUAUCCGCAUGUAUUUUUUUCUUGGAUUGUGUCAUAGUGUUUACAAAUACAAUGUAAUUCUGUCAAGGAUACCGAGGUACGAUCUUUAGAACAAAUCUUGUUCAACUAAGGUCGGAUUUACUGUUUAACUACAUUUACUGUUUUCGGUUGAAAGUUCAAAUGAUGAACUUACCUUUUAUACUGCUACAAUCUGGAUAACAGAUAAUGCAUUUAUUGGAAAAAAAACAUGUGGGAACCUGAAUUUAUUAGUUAGAUGCUUUUCUUUUUUGUUCUGAAAAUGUUAAUUAUACAGGUUAUACUGUGUAUCUUUUGCACUGCAAAUUCAAUUCUUACAUUAGUGAGAGCCUUCUCAUUUGCAUACGGCGGCUUAAGAGCUGCAGUUAAGGUGCAUGAUACCCUGCUGAAUAGGCUUAUCAAUGCGCCUGUUCAAUUCUUUGAUCAGACACCAGGUGGAAGGAUACUAAACAGGUUAGAAUUCCUUUCCGCUGUUCCUCAUUUAUCGACUGCAUUUCAAUUUUCUACUUAUUCUUUUUAUUUUGUAGGCUAUCUUCAGAUCUAUACACAAUUGAUGAUUCUCUUCCCUUCAUGCUUAACAUUCUCCUGGCCAAUUUUGUGGGCCUUCUGGGAAUUGCAAUAGUUUUGUCUUAUGUUCAGGUAUGGUGUAGAUUUUUGAAGAUCAAACGUAUUAUUGUUUAAUCUUUUUCUUUAGAAUUUUGAACUUUUUUUCCCAUGGCCAUCAAAUGUUGUCCUAAAGAGUUUAUGCCAAUCUCUAGGUCUUCUUCUUGCUUUUCCUAUUGCCGUUUUGGUAUAUCUACACCAAACUUCAGGUACACUUCAUGUCUUUUAUAUAAUUUCAUUGACAGAUCCCGGGUGCAGAUAUAAAUUUCUCAAACCAUAUGUCAAAAAUUAUACUUGAUGUUAAUAGAAUACAGUAUCUUCACUCUUAGUCGAAUGUGUCACUAGAACAGAAUUUUCAUGUGUUAUCUGAGGAAAUAGAGUGAUACUUCACAGUAGAAUGAGAACUAUUAGUUAUCCAAAUGCCAAUAUAGAUGGGAGCUAUAGUUUAAACAAGUCUGGGAAAGUUCCUUGCAUAUGAGAAGAAUCAGCGGACUCUGAUAGGUGGGAAUAAAUUAAUUCUGGAAAAAAAAAAAAAUAGUUUUUUAAAACUCACUGACUCAACAUACUCACAAGCUUCUAUUUAUAGUGGACUAACUAAUGACCCUUGAGAUGAAGCUUGGUGAAUGGAAAGUUUAAGGAACAUAAACUAAUUUUUGCAGAAACUUUCCAUUCUAGGCAACUGCAUAAUAGUUGAAGGAGCAGAAACUUUAAUCCGAAGUUUUUGCAUAACUAAUUUUUUUCAAGAAUUUGAAUCUUCAUCUCUCAGUGAAUGGAAAGUCCCAAGAUUCUAAUUUUUGGGAACACCACAUUUUGUACUUCAACUCUUUGAUGUUGAUUGUUCAUGUUAAAAUAUUAAGCAAUCUAUCAAAGAAUUGUUAUACAUACCUUGAUUGUUCAUGUUAAUGUAUUUGACAAUUUGACUUGCAUGCUAAAGCUAAUACCUAUCCAUUGGGGAAGUAUGGUAAACCAACAAGAUUUCACAUGGUUGGACCAUUAAAGCAUAAAUUUGGCAGUUAAAUCUCAAACUGCCCACUGUUAAUCUGAUUAGACCUACAAAUGUGAUAGAUUGCUUCUCUGAUCUCUAAGAUCUUAUCAAUGUGUGAGAAAUCAUUUUAAACUAGAAUAAAAGUUAGAGCUGCCUGGUCAAUAGAAAACUUUACACUUAUUCUAACCAGCCAAAUUUUACAGUUCUUUUACAGGUCAACAUCUCGAGAAUUGCGAAGGCUGGACAGUGUGUCUCGAUCUCCCAUAUAUACAUCCUUCACAGAGACACUUGAUGGAUCAUCAACUAUACGGGCGUUCAAGUCUGAGGUAGAUAAUGAACUGAAUGAAGUAACAACUAACAUUAUUCAUCCAUUGGGUUAGAUAGUACAGUUGCUUCAAAGGGCAAAAAUAUAGAAAAACCUAUGGGUGCCCAUGCACAUACAAAGGUGCACUACCACCACCCUCUAGACUUGAUAUGUUCUAAGGAGACAUAGCUUACCACUUUCAUGAAUUUUGAGUAGUUCCAGCCAACGAGCCUGGGGAAAAAGACGAUGAUUGAGAGGUGCUAGAGGCAAGGUUGGGAGAGCUGGUAAUGGCCCUAGUGGAAGUAGUGGUAACUUCACAAGUUUUGGGCUAUUUAAGUACUAUUGUGGUCUCACUUCAUGUAUUCAUUUCAAAGUAUCACUAAUGAUACAACUUAUUCUAGUUCCUUAGUAUAACACAUAUUUUAUUUUUUCUUACUUUUUUUAGAGUGGACACUGUACCUUUGUUUGUGAACUACUAAUGUGGCCUUGUUUGUUUUUUUUAUUCUGUGACCGUGAUGAAUAAUAUUGACUUGCUAACAUCUUGAGCUUUUCUAGUCUAGGGGUUUUCUAACAUGGUAUAAAAGUUUAAAGUUCUGCUUGUAGGAGGUUUUCUGUAUGAGACCUUGAGUUAGAAAUUUCCAGUCCUUACUCCUUUCUUCCUUGGUGGGGUUGUAGGAGGAUAAUACAUUGACAUACAUUGUUGACCCACUUUAUAACAGCUUAUGCUUCUUGCAUCUGGUGGUUCUUUUACUUUGCUUCUGGUCGUGCGCAGGACUUCUUUUUGGCCAGAUUCACUGACCAGGUGAAAUUGUAUCAACAAACUUCCUACACAGAGUUAAAUGCAAGUUUGUGGCUUUCCCUACGUCUUCAGGUAACCGUGUAUCUAAUAAAUACUUUACUAAGCCAAAUCCAAAAGUAGUAUAUACAUUUAAAGUAUAUUCCUAUUAUCUAAAGCAAAUUGGGUACGAGUUUAGUUGCAACUCAUAGUUCUUUCUAAGAGCUAUGGUUGGUUAUAUAUAGUGCUUAAGAUUUGUUUGCUUAAAAGAAGAGUGGUAUGUAUAGUCUUUUUAAAUUUACAAGAAAUAGAAUGAACAGAACCUGUUAAAAGCAGAGGUAAAACCACAGAUAUCACUAAUCCCUGACAUUGCAAAAAUGAGUUGAACCCUAUGGUCAGCUCUAGUAGCGGGAUACCUAUUAUAGCGGGGAGCUUUAGAAUAUACAAUAAUUUUUAGCCCACAUCCUAACAGCUUCAACUUUCGGGAUAGUGUACGUAGCCGAAUAGAGUUUAUCAUAACAUUUUUUAACUCACAUGAGAUGUUCUUUCAGUUGUUAGCAGCAUUUAUCAUCUCAUUUGUUGCUAUUAUGGCUGUUCUUGGAUCUCAUGGUGGAUUACCAAUUGGUUUCAGUACCCCAGGGUUGGUAAGCUCUUUUGAACUUCAUAUAUUUGACAGAAAGUUUGCUCCUAAGGGGUGAAAAAAAGACAAAGAAGCUGAAGUCUUGUAAUCAUUUCCCUCGUGUCCUAAUUGAAUUGAGAACUGAUGGUUAUGCAUUCUGUUAUAGGUUGGUUUGGCUCUAUCUUACGCAGCUCCAGUUGUGAACUUACUGGGAAGCUUUUUGACAAGUUUCACUGAAACAGAGAAAGAAAUGGUUUCCAUUGAAAGAGCUCUUGAGGUACAAAGAUGAACCUUCGUCUAAUUUAUGUUCCUACUAAUUACUUAUGACUUACAGUUAACACUUAACAGUAUAUGGAGGUUCCUCAAGAAGAAGUUCAUGGACUUCAAUCUUUGAACUGCAAUUGGCCAUAUCAAGGACGGAUUGAAUUCCAAAACGUUACUUUGAGAUACAAGCCAUCUUUUCCAGCUGCACUUUGUGAUAUUAGUUUUACUAUUGACGGAGGGAUGCAUGUAAGAGCAGACAGUACCUGAUAUUGAAUUCAUCUUGUCCAAUUUAUUUCAAUGAUUAUGUGUUUGUCUGUCAAAGUUCAUUUGGUUGUCUAUUCAUUUUCCCUUGAUUAUUAAUCAGGUUGGUAUUGUUGGAAGGACGGGAGCUGGAAAAUCUAGUGUCUUGAAUGCUCUUUUCCGCCUCACACCAAUAUGCACAGGAUAUAUCCUUGUGGAUGGUAUAAACAUAGCUACUGCUCCUAUCAGGGAUCUUCGUGGGCAUUUCUCUGUUGUUCCUCAAACUCCAUUUUUAUUUGAAGGAUCAUUAAGGUACUUGUAGUGUCAUGUACUUAAGAUUCUUCAUUUUCAUUUGAUACUAAUGCUGACUCUUAUAAUUUCUGUUAGCUAAAAGGCUAUGACCAGUAAUACAUUUUGUUUGAUUACAUUGACUACUCUACUAUUAAUCAGUAAAUCGGCAUGUAUGUCAUCCUAAUUUGUAGGGACAAUCUGGACCCAUUCAGGCUGAGUGAUGACUAUAAAAUUUGGAAGGCUUUGGCGAGAUGCCAUGUCAAAGUGGAAGUAGAAGCAGCAGGAGGUUUAGAUAUUCACCUAAGCGAAUCUAGGAUGUCCUUUUCUGUAGGGCAACGGCAGCUUCUUUGCCUUGCGCGUGCACUUCUCAAAUCUUCAAAGGUAAGAUGUUCCACAUUUUCUACACUAACAAAGAUUGCAAUAAUGCUUGAAGAGGAGCACAAUAAAAUAACCAUACUUUGAAUUGCGAUUUAGAUAUCAAAGCACUUCUCGAAGUUUCUUGUUCAAUUUUACACAAAAGUUUUCUUGUUUCUAAGAAGUACCUUAUUGCACUCUAUACGGAUAACUCAGACUUUUGUUGUACCAAGGAUCCAUUUAACAUGCAUCAGUGGUACCACCCUAGUCGCAUUCGCAACCAUUUCAAUCUUGUUAAAGUGCUUUGAUUAACUUCUAUGUUUCAGAGAUAUUGACCUCAUCACUUCUUUUAAUUCUUCUCUUCGAGCAAACUAUAAUUUCUUAAAGUGCACUUUAUUCAAAUUUACAUGUCUGUAACUGUUAUCCUGAGAAUCUAAAUGGAGAAUGUUUUUUAAAUCUCUAAUCAAUCCACAAUUUUACCACUUAAAUAGAGGCAGUUUGGCCUCGCAAAAUAUAUAUCAGUGGACAUAAUUUGGAUGUGGUUAUGCAGGAGAAGUUCUGUUGCAUGGUUCCUGUUAGGGAUGAAAUUUUUAUUUUAUUUACAGAUGGAGACUGACACUAAAUUUUCAGGUCCUUUGUUUGGAUGAAUGCACAGCUAAUGUGGACACUCAAACAGCAUGUACCUUACAGAAAACCAUAUCUAGUGAAUGCAGAGGCAUGACAGUUAUCACAAUUGCUCACCGUAUUUCCACCGUUUUGAAUAUGGACGAUGUCCUGAUCCUCGAUCAUGGUAUCCUGGUAAGUCAUAUGGGUUUUUCAGUACCCUUGUGUACUUCUAUUUUUGCCAUUCUCUUUUAUCAAUAAUUUGCAUGAAGAAAUGAACUGUUUGAAAGAAAAGUGAAAACUGUAUUGAAUUGUUCAUGUGGCAUGUGUUUCAUACUUUGAUUACUUCCCCAAUGAUGAAUACUCUCUGACUUAUAGUUGAGGACAACCAUAUAAAUUGAAACAAUCAUGCAAUAUUCCAAUUGAGGAAAAAGAAAACUAUGCUAUGUGAUGACUCAGACUAUCUUUUUCCAACUUCUAAGGUCCUUUACAUUAACUGGUUGAAUGUUUUUGGAAAAUACUUAUACCUCCUUGGUUGUCCCAUGACUCUCAUCUGUAGGUUGAACAGGGAAAUCCGCAGGAUCUCUUACAGAAUGAGUUCUCCAGAUUUUCCAGUUUUGCUAAAGCGUCUACGAUGUGAUGAGCCAACAAGUACAGCUGUUCUCAUUGCUGACUUCUUGCCAAUGGCAAGGUUUACCUACAAUAGAAGCUAUAUCAUUGCUAGGUGGAGUACCUUUGCAUAAUCCUCAACGUCACUCAGGAACCAAUUAAUAUCACGGUAAAUACAGUGACGUGACUUCUAUGAAGAUAAGCAUCAUAUGAUGAACGAAUAUGUAAGUGACUUCUUAUCAACUGCUUCUGAAGCUGAAAGCACAAAACUGGAAGUAACCCUUUUCUUAGAUUACAACGUAUCCUAGAUGGAUAGACUUAGAAUUACAUUCGUAGUGGUAUAAAAGACGUAUUUAUUGAUAUCUGGAUGGCCAUCUAUGUGAAAAACAUGAUGCUAACCACAUGGAACAAAAUGAUGCUAUUACAGUGGCCAUAUUAUUAGGAUUAUAGGAGUGUGUUACUCUAGGGUAGUUCAAAUUGUAACCUUAAAUUUUCUACUCGAUGAAAAUAUCUCAAAAUGUAGCAUUCAUCUCUUUUAACGUUUAUUUUACUUUCUGCUCUUAGCUUUCAAUAAUCCGAACUGGAAUCAAGGCUUAGUUGAAUAUUUGAUUGUCAUAUAAUAUUGGAAAGAAAAGAUUAUUCUUAAUGGAUAGGGUGUAAAUUAACAGAUUUUACCAGGUUCAGGAUGUAAAAUUUUAUUUUUACUGAUAGUAAAAAUAGACGUGUCAGAAUAUAGUAGGGAUGUAGAACCAUAUAUGGUUGCCAUGUGGUACUGCUGUAGCCACUGAAGAAUUUCCUUAUGGUUCAGAGUUGGUUAUUAAGCUUUGUAGUCAGUUUUAGGGAUGCACAAUCUCUUAUGCUUUGUGCUGUUAAUGUGCAGAAAUUUUCAGUGCUACGGAUUAACCUAAGUAGUUAAAUUUUGAACAAAUUCCGUUGCCGUUAAGCUAGCUUUCGUGCCAAACAUUAGGGCUGGGCUCGGGUCGGGCCGGUUCGGGUUUUUAGAAAACCCGACCCGAAACCCGAAAAUCUCGGGUCGGGUCGGAUCGGGCCUUUCAAAUUUUCAGCCCGAUUGGGUCCGGACUGAUUAUGUUUUUUCGGGCUUUUAGGUUUUUUCGGGCCCAAACAAGAUUUGAUUGUUUUACUAUACAUUUACUUCAUUGCAGCUUUAGAAAACCAAUUCAAAGCAUCAAACAUUGCAUAUCAAAUAUAAAGCAUCAAUAUUGCAGACAAAUAUAUAGCAACAUUCAACAGAACCCAAAUUAGUGAAAUUACAUAGGUACAACUAAAAACUAUUACAGCAGAAAAAGCUAAUUCAUUAGAUCAAUCGGAGGCCAAGUACAACUGCCAAAGACCCAACAUGAUAAUAAGUAGAUGGAACAAGAGCCAGGCUAAGAACCAAUGUCACUUAGUAAUGCUGUGCCAGAAGCUUUCUCUAAGGCCAGUAUCAGCUGGAACAAUACAUAUGCUUGGCAUGUACCAUUUCUCUCUUGCACAUGGCUAAGCUAUAAAUAUCUGCAAAACAGAACAUCAAUAGAUAAAGCAGGACAAAUUGGGAUAGAUUACAUUUGGUUUGUAGGAAGAAGUUGGAACAGAAAACCUUACGAGUGAAAGAAAACCUGACUUCAAGACUCAAAAUAGGUUAUACCCAAUUUUUGGAGACCUAGGAGCCAAUGUUUUCUGGACUUUAAAUUUGAUCAUAUCAUAUCAUCCUAUUAUAUAUAUUAGGAUCAUAUCAUCCCCAAUAUUUUAAGAAUGACCAUGUUAGCUUAAAUAUUAACUGUUAAUUAAAGUGGUCAGUAUAUAUAAACCAAAACACUAUUACAAGUAGUUUGAAUAAGUUAAGGAUCACUGAGCAGAGAUGAUGUAGAGCUGUAUAGAAUAGGUGUUUGCUUAAUAAGAUGAAACAGCAGAUUGAUGGCUUACAUGCAGAUUGAUGGCUUACAUGGUUAUCAAAGAGAACAUAUAAUAACAAAAGCUUGCGACACAGUGCAACAGCUAUGGAAAAGCGAUUAUAUAUGAAGUUUCAGAAGAAGCAGAACCGAAAAUCGAUCACAUCUAUAACAGAACAACAUACUGGUGGCUAUAAUGGACACAAGUUGAGGAAGCAUAACCAAAUAUCGACAAAUAGAGAAAUCAAUUGAUAUAAUGCAUAAUAUACAGAGUUUCAAUACAUGGUAUACAUAUACAGUUUAUGAUGCAUCAUAUGAUUCACCUCUAUGAUGAUAACAUAAUAACAUACAUAUAUAUAACAAUCCAUGAAUCUUCAAAAUACGAUUUCAUAUUCAUGUUUAAUAAUCACUUUCGUAUUCUUACAAAGAAAGAACAAUCCAUGAAUCUUCAAAAUACGAUUUCAUAUUCAUGGUAAUAAUCACUUUCAUAUUCUUACAAAGAAAGGUAAGAAAACAUUCAAAGAAAGAGCAUAGGAAACAAAGAAAGUGAGAGAAACCUAGAAAACCCAGGUUAGGUUUAUACCUGAAAUGCGUGAAUACUCAAACCCAGAAGCUGAAAAACUCAGAAACCCCAACUUUACAUCACCCAACUCAAACCCAUCUGCCUCCACUCUCCAAACAAUCGAAAAUUAGAGCUUCUUCUUCCUCAUCCCUUAAUCCCUUAUUCAUCAUCCCUCCAGUCACCGUUGUGUUGGACAACAAAAUCGGAAGAAGAGAAGAAGAAGAAGAGAGGCGCAGAGAAGAGAGUUUAAGAGAAGAGAGGAAGAAGAGAGGCGCAGAGAAGAGAGGCGCAGGUAUUUUAGUUUUAGGGUUUUUUUUAAUAAAAAAAAUUAUAAGGACCAAUAAGAUUAUGACGUGUGGCAAAAAUUUGUAUAUCGGGCCUGAACGGGCUUUCGGUUCAGGACCGAGCCCGAAACCGAACCGAACUGAGAGCAUUUGGACCGGUUUAUGACCCGGACCGAACACCUCCCAUUUUGGACCGAACCGAUUGGGCCCGAUCGGGCUUUUGGGUCGGUUUUUUUGAAUUUUUGGGCCCGAACGCCCAGCACUACCAAACAUAUUUGUCUGCACCAAACAAUGUUGAUAGAAACUAUUGGCUGGCUAGAGUUCAUUCAUUUUUGGAUCUUAAGAUUACCGGUUCCGAACUAAUAUUAAGAUGUAAGCAGACUAUGAACAAUUGACAUUCUGUGUAGAUUAAACAUGCUAAGAACGUAGAUCAUGAUCACCAGUAGGCCUUGUUAAAAGUCACGAGGGUCAACAAAUAUCAUCGGUGAAGAUGGUCGAGAGUUAAUCCAAUCCGACGGCGACGACAGUCCUUGCUUGGCUUCUGUGAGCUUCUUGACACACCACAUAUCCUCAGCCCAUGAAAGCUUCGUCCAAUGUGGGACUGCCUCUCUAACUGGGUCUCUCUGGCUCACCUCCGCCACCACGGCAGCGCAUCCAUGGUCAUCCCUUCCCACAUUGUGCACGAAGUUGCACAAACCCUUCAUCAACCGCAACCCGUGCUUGCCCUGAUCGGCAUGUAACCCGUACAUAAAAUACACCCCGAACUGCUUGAAAACGUUUGGAAAUGAAGGCAGUCUGAGCCAUGGAAGCCAUGCAUCCACUAGUCUACUUCCCACGCAACAUGCCUGUGUCAACUUGGACACUCCCUUCACUUGUAGCUUGAACACUUGUUUGGUGUUCCAAACGCUGAGGAUGGCAAAAGCACUUCUAGGGGGGAAUGUGCUUUUCUUAGGGUCCCAUUUCAGAAGGUAUUUUCUGGGCAGGGCCAUGAAAGUGCCUAGAUUUAGGGCACUAGAUAAAAUGGCGUCUAUAUCUUCCGGGAAGAAUUCCGAGUUGGCAUAGAUUUGGCGGUAGAUCGACUCGGCUAAGCAGGCGGGUAGUCGAACGAUGGCGAUGGUGGAAGGUACUGGUUUGUAGUGGGCGUGAACUGGCUGGACUAAGAUGGUCGGUGUGCGAAACUUUUGGUAUGAGCACUUGAGUGUGAACAAAUUGAUUGAAGCCUCGUUGGUGCAGUCUGUGGCCAUGUAUGCAUAUUCUGCUCCCUUUUGCUUGCACCAUUCUUCUAAAUGUUUCACUAGUUUUGUACCAAUGCCAAGCCUCCUGCAUGCGUUAUGAACAAUAAGAACAAGAGAAUUUCUCAUCCACAAUUAGAAUUCCAUAAAAGUAUUUGAUAGCAAUUCGAUUAAUUUAUUAUUGCAUGGUGUGAAAUUCAAUAUUGGAGGAAGAAAACAAAAUAAAGGGGAACCAGAAUAUGUAAAAAAGCAAAGGAGCAAUUGUGGGUGGCACUGUGUGGAUGAGGAAAUGCAACAUAAGAAUAGUUUUCUUUUUUUCUUUUUUCUUUUGGUCUGCAUAAAAUAACCAUAUAUAUAUAUAUAGGGAUUCUCAAGUGCGGACGUCCGCACCGUUUUCCGGUACGGAUUUCUGCCGUUUCUCCACCGUUUCAGCGCCGGCGACGCCUUUUCUUCUCCCCGGCGUGAUCUCAGACCUCCCCCGACGGUGUUGGAAUGAAGAAGAAGGCCGGAGAGAUCGCGAUCGGAGGUCCACCAUGAUCGGUCGUGAAGUUCUGAGUGAGAUUGCUGCAUAGACCUCCGAUCGAUCUCUCCGACCUUCUUCUUUAUUCCAACACCGUCGGGGGAGGUCUGGGAUCACGCCUGGAAGAAGAAACGGCGUCGCCAGCGCUGGAACGGUGGAGAAACGACAAAAAUCCGUACCGAAAAACAGUGCGGACGUCCGCAACAGAGAUGGCCUGUAUAUAUAUAUAUAUGUCACAAUGCGUAUUCUUAAUUGGUUUGUUGAGUUAAAGGUGGUACAUUCUCCAUAUCCCAAAUAGAUUUGUUUGGUUCAGGUAGGGAAUAAUCAACCCUCUUUGGCCAGGUUAGCUAGUUGCUUGAUUUUUUAUUUUCCAUGAUACGAGGAAUAUAAUAUUUCGUUUCUCUUUUAUGUGAGAAUCUAAUCUCUUUAUGUAGCUCUGCACAGUUUAUUUCUGUGGGGCGGGUAAUAGAAUCCUCUCACUUUCUAGCUAGCUUUCACUUCCAAUUUCUUUCUUUGAUUUGUGGUAGCUAAAAUGUAGAGGUCGAUCGACUAGCAACACAGGGUUCACAAAAACCAGAAAAUAUAUAGUUGAUCGAUCAGAAAAGGCACGCAUGAAGAAAGCGCACGUAACAGAAAGUGAAUGAUCGAUGGAAUGAACUGUCUCUUUUACUUUCAGUGCUAACCGAUCGAGCAAAAGAUGCAUGCGGAAACAUUAUAAAUAUGGCCAUGAUAAUAUUAAUUGGCUAAGCUGCAAUAACAGUAACAGAACUACAGAAGAGUACUGAAGUAUUACUGAAAUGAUGUGAGAGAGAGAGAGAGAGUGAGAGAGAGAGAGAGAGAGAGAGAAACCUGUGCAUGGGAGAAACCCUUAGUCCCAGGAUAUAAGCCAGCUUUACAAACACUGAAUUACCUCUUGUUACCUUUUUUACACAACCCCUGAUGACACCCACAAUUUCCUUUUGUUCUCCGUACACUGCAACCUGCAUGGUCAAUUUCAUUAGUAUAAAGUCUCAACAUUCGAAGCCUGAAGUGAUCACAGGUAGAGAUAUUCAAGUAAUGAGAUUGUAGUCUUACCAGCAUUAUGUGGGUCGGGAAAUGGCGGAUGCGACAUUUGGGGUCACCCAAGAGAUCAGUGACAAGAGAAGGCUGCUUUCCCCCACGCUGCCCAGCCAUUUCACACAGCCUCUCCAUCUCUUCCACCGCCACCUUGUCACUUUCUUCAUUGUAUUCCCUCACCACCACCAUGCACACCUCAUCAAGAGUCGCUGACGACGGUGAAUCCUCUGCAGCUAUCUUUAGCACCAUACUACUACUGUUAUCCUCAAUCUGCUUACUGUGCUUCUCUAUGCUUCAGUUCUGUUUCUAUUUAUAAGUAGAGGUGAGCUGAUGUAGCACGCACCCACCACUAUUUCAUCUUUUCCUAUGGUGAAUUUGACCGGAUAUAUAUAUUGUUUCAAACUUUCAAUUAUUGGCUCAUAUAUAAACCCUCCUUUGCGAGGUCGGCAAUAAUUAUAAAAAGAGUUCGAAACAUAAUAUACAACCCAAUAUACAAGUCUAAAAUUAUCAUGUGGACUUGUGGAGUACCUACGUAGUGUCAACUUAUAUAUGAUCACUAGUUCACUACCUUGUUAUCGAAAAAAAAAAAAAAACUUAAUGAUCGAUCACUUCAUGAAGACGAUCGAUGAUGAACAAUUGACGAUGGUGGUAAUGAUCAUAUUGGUCAUACAAAGUAGUAGUAUUAUAUAUAUUGGUCAUUACUCAUUAGGUCAUGUAUCAUUGCAGCACUCAUCCUACGUACUUUCAAUUUGAUUGGGAAAAUGCCAUAAAUCUUAAAAUUAAGGUAAUAAUCUCCAAUUGUCAUUCAACUUUGAUACGGAUAUAUAGCUCAAAUAUGUAUGUCGAUCUCUGACCCGCGAUUGUACUAUAUAUAUGCAGCAAUUACAGAUUAGACAAACAGAUUUGUGAUAUUAGUUCAGGUCUUUGUAAUCAAGGGUUUAGGCUCAAUGUCUCUUUUUGUAUCAAUAGUUUCAUUAAUCAAGGCUUGAGGGCAGCCGUACCAGUCCUUUAUUCAAAAAAAAAAAAACAGAUUUGCGAUAAGGAAGUUGGUCAAUAAUUAAUAUACGUAGCAACUAUUAGUAUAUAAUGAUGCUAAGAUGUCUAAACGUACUUCCUAUACCUCACUUGGAUAUAUAUAGCUAAUUGGAUGAAAACAAAUUAAACAGAAAACAUUUUAGGGAGAAGAUUCUUACUAUCUAGCUAGCUAGCUAACUAAUGGAAACACAUCCUUUUUACUCUACACCAAAUUCGUGUGCUUUAUGACUCCUAUAGAGACUAUUAUUACCAUAAUUAAGCUAGCCAUGUAUGUAGAUAUAUAUAAAACUAGCUAGUUUCUUCUUUGCACCAAUUAUCGUAUCGGUUCAUGAAGUAGCUAGUGAGAGCUGGAGCAUGCGAGAACCAAUUGGUUGUGGAUGAGCAUGUGAAUGGUCCUGUGAGUGUGAUCAUCACCAUUGCCACCAAAAAGAAAACGAUGCUAGCUCCUCAACUCGAUCCACAAUUAUAUGAGUGUACUAGCUACCAAAUUUUAAUUGACUAAGCCAAAAGAUUUAGCUCUGGAUAUGCUGUGCUCUGUUCCUGCAAGCUUACUUUGUCCUUUAAAUGCGAAACAUGAUAUUUUAUACAAAAGCACUUGGACAAGAAGCACGUUCUUGCUGAAAAGGGGAACCUACAUUUUCUGGGUGGACAAACCCUAAUUUGGGAAACACAAUUUUAUCUGAAAUUGAUGAUCGAUGAUAUUGGUUACUAGGAUUGUUGAAGGCAAUGGUUCGAAAACAGAAAAGAGACACUAUGACAUCCAGAAAUGAGAAUGUCGUAAUUGAAAAGACUAGGACAAACUCAGAAGUUGACACAUGAAUGCAUCCACCAAAUUGGAAAGACAAGAGUCGACACACAUUGCUCCCACGCCAUUUGUUUCGCACUCUCAUACCAAAAUAUAUAUGAAAUAGCUAGUCACAAAUAGGACCCGAAAGCUCGUCCUUACCCGUUCAAUAUAGAUGAGAUUGCAGCUAAAACGUGUUAUAUAUACAUGUUGAUUUUGCAGGUCAAUCUGUUCAUAUUCAAUUUUAGGUCGAGUUAAAUUGAGAAAGUGAAAAACUUGACUAUUUCUUUUUUACUUUUCAACCAUUGAAGAUACAGUUAUUUGGCGAUUAUAAGGUCCGAUCCAUACCUAUUUGCGAUGUAUAGAGUAUUGCACUUUCAUGUAACACAUAGAGAGAGAGAGAGAGAGAGAGAGAGAGAGAGAGAGAGAGAGAGAGANNNNNNNNNNNNNNNNNNNNGAGAGAGAGAGAGAUUAUGCGUUUACAAUUCCUUUUUACUUCUAUUGAAGUAAUGAUCUUAAUCUCCCUUCUUCGACAAGAAGAGCAGGAAAAAAAAAAUGCAUACGUACGUGGCACGUCUACAUAUUACAAUAAGUAGACUCAAACCUAAAUUUAGAAAUGUGGUGACUCGCACCAAACAUGCUCUUGAUAAUUGCCUUCUAUCUUUUCCCCUUUUACUAUUGGAAUGCAUGUGUUGUAUAUCUUGUAUGUAUGUACAAACAUGCAUGAUCAAAAUUACCUGACUUGUAUAAUCUUAUCCACAUGCUCAAUUUUACUACUAAGACAUAAAGAGAAAGAGUGAUAUAUAUCUCUGCCAUAAAAUCUUUUUAUUUUAUUUUAAUUUCAGAUAGAAUAAGAAAAUCUAGUGAUAUAUGUUAGAAUGUAAGUAUGAUGAAUCACUGCUAUGACACCAAUUGCAUGGCCGCUGCUUAUAGUUACUUAAACUUCUGAGUCUGGGAUUUCAUGAUACAAUCAAAGAGUUGUGGUGUUAGCUAGCUAGAGGCAAAGUGAAAGAAACGGUGUAUAGGAAAUGAUUCUGAUCAAGAUGAUGAUGAUGAUGAUGAUAAUAAUAAUAAUAAUAAUAAUAAACCAUUCUAUAUGAACAAACGCAAGGCAAAACAUAUACCUGGCCCUGGGAAUUGAUUCAGUUUUCCUUUAUAUAGAAUCUCUAUAUAUGUUUCAAUCCAUGGUUCAAGUUCCUCAAAGCAAAUGAUUGGAGAAUUCGAGGAUCCCAAGUGAUAUAUAUGAAAAAGUAAACAGUCUAGCUAGUAAUAUGGUAUAAAAGUUAUAUAUAUCGUUUUGAAGAUCUGUCAGUUUCUUUCUCAGUUAAUCACACACGUACAUCUACGUACCUAAUUGUGUGAUAAUAUAUAUGCUUCAUGAAAAGUACAGGUUGCGUAGAAACCAAGUUGCAUGUCUCAUAUAUACUUCCAGUCAGUUCAGAAUCGAAGAUGAUGACGAGACACAUUCUUAUAGAUCAUGCAUACAGCAUCAAAGGAUCGAGGAUAUAUUUAGAGAUCGAGUUGUUGGAUUUUCAAUUGCAGCAUUACUGCUAUAGCCUAUAGAGUGAUGAUUAAUUAUCAAAUGUUUACGUAAAUUAAGUCAAUGAACUAUGAUAUAUAUCCAUAUUGGUUUAAAAUGGAAGCCUGUGUAAAGCUUGGAAUCUCCUGCGAAUAAUAUAGCUAGAGAAUCAGACCCGAGAAAGCUAGCAGAGAGAUAAGCAUUGGCCGAAGGCUGAUCGAUGGUGCAUGCAUGAGUCUGCAGCUCGAUUUCUUUAUCAAACCCAGAACGCAUGCAGUGGCAGGCAAUAGCUAGCAUCUAUAUUAUAUAAUACUCCAAAGGGGGGAAAAGGUUUAGGUUUUUUCCUUGGCACCUGGGGGAUCACAUGGGACAAGUUGUCCAUGACCGGAAUAAUUUACUUUUCCUGCCGCCGUCUGUAGCAGUCACAGUCCUCCCUGCAUCCAUCUUCACAAGAGCAUAGUUAACAAAAGAGAAAAUUUUAUGAACAGUGUCCAUGAAGUAGGUUCACUGCGAAUUUCAGUACAUUAAGUUUUAAAACAUAGACUGUGAUACGUUAAAAAACUUGAGAUAUAGACAUGGGUGGAGCCUGAAUGGAUAGUAGAUAUUGUUAGCAUGUGUAAAUUUACGGCUUAUCCAUUUUUACAACAUAUCUAGCUACUUUGAGAGGAAAUGAUUAUCAAUCUAUAUAUUAAUGUACACUAAAAAUUAUAUUCGAUUUAAUAUAUCAAUAAAGUUUUGAUAUUCUUUUUACUGUAUAUCAGCCGGCCUCCCUAAACGUAAAUUUCUAGCUCCGCCCUCGAUUAAGGAUGCAAAAUGAAUGAACGAAGAGGAUGGAUUACGGUUUAUUUUUGGUGAAAGAAAAGAUGAUAGAUUAUAGGUGUAUGGCUUAUACUUUUUGAAAUUGAUGACUCCAUUAGUGUCCAUUUAACUCAAGUUUAACAUCUUGGGUGACGAUAGGAAUUAAAAACUGUAUAUAUGCCUAAGUUGAUAUUGUUCUACUUUAGAUACUUGCAUAUCAAGCACAGCGAACCAUGUGCAUAAAUUUAGCUAUCCCAAGUUAUGUGAAAGCUUGAUGAAAAGAAAUCUACAUCCCAGCCUAGGAACAUAACUAGUAAUAGAAACUGAAAUGUGGAAUGCUUAUGAAUAACAGAGUGAUGGAAUUACAGCAAAAAGCAACCACCCAUGUUGAGCACACAUAUAUCCUGAAGCUGACUAGUGUUGUAUUCGAACAGACGAAGACCCAGGGUUUGGACAGAGAAUGAUCCAGAAAUUGAGUUACAAGUUAAAAUUUCUGAAUCACUAGUAGCAGCGCUGCUACUAAGAAGAGGAGGACUAGCUGCAGGUUUUGAAUAGGAAUAUUUGAAAGUGAGCACAUAAAGAGUUGUCACCCAGAAGAAUGCAAAGCAUACUUGUUGACCUCCCAGAUGGACACAGCUGUAUGCGGUUCCUUUAAAUCCUUCAAGUGCACCACACAGACUUAUCUUAGCUACUAGUUCAAUACAAUCUGCAGUUUCACCUUGAGCGGACAGCACCAUGCGGGAGACUAUUAUCUUUUCAUAAUCAAAGGUGAAGAUUAGCUUCUCAUCCUCCUCCGAGUCCACGACUAAAACCUUGUUGAAAAUUUAUGGGAAAACACCCAUAUCGUCCCGAAUGCGGGGUUCACGAUCAGACCAUGUUGCCUUGGGGUCAGCCACGUCAAAGCACAGUAGCUGGCCUUCUGUCUCCUCCUCUGUGCGAAGUGUGACAAAGAUCUUGGUGUCCACAACUGCAACAUUGGAUGGACGAAUCGCUUCCCAUGAAAGGUCGUCUCCAGUUGGAAGACUUGGGAGAGAAGUCCAUGCUUUGGUUUUGGGGUCAAAUACAUUGAAAGCCGGACCAUCCUCCCCGGAUUCACGACCAGAGAGAGCAUAUAGCUUACCGUCGAUCUCCCCCAGCCAGGGACAAAAUUUCUUUCCUUUCAAUCCUGGAAUCACAUAGGGAGGUCUAUUAGGUUUGCAUGAAGAAAUCCAUCUGCUGCUGAUGAACCUAGGGUUGGGUUCCACACUUUGAUCAGUCUCCAAAACAUAGGUUCUUGUAGGGUGCACUCUCCUACCGCCGACCAGAACAAUUCGAGAGCCAAAGACACCAAUACCCAUAUUGAUGGGAACGUCUUCUCCCUCUAGAACAACAACUUGUUGUAUGACAGAAUCGGAUUGAGAAAAAAACAUGGGAAUCGGGGUAAGGUUAAAAGAGAACAAGUCGCUCAAUUUGAUGGCGUGAACACGGUAUCGAUUGAAUUCAUUGACAUAACCAAAAUGGAACUCAUAAGUACAAACGUACAGUUUAGCUUCAACCUCGUCCAAUUUCUUCUUAUCCCGACGGGCCAAGUAGGCAAUCCUACCUUCCUCAGCCCUCUUCAUCGCCUUCCUCUGAUACGCUGCACCUCCUCUACCCAUCCUUGGAAACCCUAACCCUAGGCUCCUACUAGCUAGUUUGCCCUAACAGUAACCCUAGCUCCGACUUUGUGGUACGAUGAACAUAUAUAGAUACUUCUUUGAAAAACUCUUAGCAGAAAUCCUAACAAAAUUAAACGUUAGAGAUAGUAUUGUCCUCGCCUAUAUUACUUUGUUGUUGUAGGAGAAACACUAAAGAGAUGAAGACAGCAAAUAGAUCGAACUCGGAGAACUGUGUAUCUUAUUCAUUCAUAAGAGUUUUUUAUAUAGGGAAUUACAAAACACAUUUUAGGUGUGUAGAAGGAAACAUAAUCCUGCACUAACUUGGUAAUCUAUAGAAACAAAAUUCUUAUUCCUGUUAGCAUUAGACAAAGCACACAUAAAGUGAAUAUUCUAAAACACUCCUCCUUGUGUCACAUGUGUACAUGUCGAAUGGUGCAUGCUAGAAAAGGUCAUCUGGAGUUGGAAGACUUGGGAGAGAAGCCCAUGCUUUGGUUUUGGGAUCAAAUACAUUGAAAGUCAGACCUUCUUGGCCACAUUCACGACUAGAGAGAGCAUAUAGCUUACCGUCGAUCUCCCCUAGCCAAGGACGAAAUUUUUGUCUUCCAAUCCUGGAAUCACAUAGGAAGGUCUAUUGGGUUUGCGUAAAAGAAUAUAUCUGCUGCUGAUGAACCUAGGGUAGUUGGGUUUCCACACUUUGAUCAGUCUCUAAACAUAGAUUCAUGCAGGACGCACUUUCCUAAACUGUUACACGCCGCCAGCUAGAACAAUUUGAGAGCCAAAGACACCAAUACCCAUAUUGAUGGGAAGGUCAUCUCCCUCUAGAACAACAACUUGUUGUAGGUCAGAAUCAGAUUGAGAAGAAAACAUGGGAAUCGAGGAAAGGUCAAAAGAGAACAAGUCGCCCAAUUUGAUGGCAUGGACACGGUAUCGAUUGAAUUCUUUGAAAUAAUCAAAAUGGAACUCAAAAGUACAAACGUACAGUUUGUCGAAUUUCUUCCUAUCCGGCCGGGCCAAGUAAGCAAUCCUACCUUCCUCUGCCCUCUUCUUCGCACUCCUCUGAUACACUGCAACUCCUCUACCCAUCCUUGGAAGCCCUAACCCUAGCUAGGCUCCUACUAGUUUGCCUUUUCAACUAGGAUAGUAUUGUGCUGUCUCAUAUUAUUUUUUGGUUAAACUAAUAGUAUUGUACUAUAUCUAUUUUUUGGACAAAAAUCCAAAAGCCUGCUAACUUGGAAACAUAAUUUUAUUCUAAGGACAAUGUCUAUUAGUUCUAAUUUUAAAAAUUUUAUUUUCACCAACAAAAUCAGAUUUUAAAAUUCCUAAGAAUCAACUUAAAAGACAAUUAUAUCCUUAAUGAUUUAAAUAAACUACAAUAUACUAUUAUAAGAAUAAUAUAUGUCUAUUUUGAAAUAAAUAUCUAUGACCGGAUUCUCGCAACCAAUGACCUUUGACCGUGAUGCCGACGAACUUUGACCGGGAUCCGACGACGUUGACCGGACCAGCAAUCGUUGACCUGACUCCGGUGACAGUUGACCGGAUGUCUAUUGAGGGCAGUAGGGGGUUCGUCGGGGGUUCUAUUAGGGACAGUAGGGGGUUUGUCAGGGGGUCUAUUUGGGGCAGUAAAAGGUCAUGUCGGGGGCCUAUUGGGGCAAUAGAGGUUCGUUAGGGGUCUAUUGGGGACAGUAGGACCUCUUAUUGCCCCUAGUAGGACCUCCUACUAGGGGCUGUAUGACUCUUGAACUUAACUGUACGUGUGCUUUAGUCACUUAUAACAGGUCCUUAUUAGGGGCAAUAUGACCACCUAUUGAGGACAGUAUGACCUCCUAUUAGGGUCAGUAUGACCUCCUACUAGGACCAUAUGACCCUUAAACCUAAUUGUGUGUUUUAGUCACUUAUAACAGGUCUCUAUUAGGGGUAGUAUGACCUUUUACUAGGGUCAGUAGGAUCUCCUACUAAGGGCAAUAUGACCGUUGAACUUAACUACGUGCUUCAAUCACUUAUAACAUGUCAAGACCCACCCCGAAUUUUACCCUAAAACCCGGAGUAAAUCUUGUGGGGACCACCUCUAAGGAAGAUAUUACCGAAAAUUCGGCAUAACCUCCCUUAAAAUUGGACAACCCUUCCUAAAGAAAACCUGCAAACACUCCUAAAAAUUCUCAAUUCAACCUUAACUUCUAGAGCCUACGUGCUCCCCAAAUACAACCACCACCAAUAACAAUAAAAACAUCAACUUCCAGAUCAUCACAUAAUUAUCCCACUAAAAUAGCAUACAUCUUCCUUUAAAUAUUCUAAAAUGUAAUCAUGCCUUCGCCCACAACCGAAAUAAUAUUAUACAAUAUCCCCAAGCGAAAAUCAGAGCUACUAGACACUAGAGGAAGCAAGAAAAACACUGGUAGGUUAAAUAGAUAACCUACUGAUGAAAGGUGGUGGAAAUGCGGGUGACUAUGCCUCGCCUCCUACUAGAUCCAACCCGAACUUUGCAGACUGGGCAUUUUAAAAAGAAGGGCCCAGGGGAAGACAUUUGAAACCGUUAGAGUGAGUGGACAAAAAUAAAUUUAAAAAGAAAUAAAUCUUUAUGCUUUCCCGAUUUAACUUCUGUGGAAAAACAAUUAACGGCAUGCAACAAGCUCAAAAGUUUUUAAAAAUUUACCGAAUUUACCGAAACGUGACUAACCGCACUAGUCACCAACACUUCAUAAAAAUAGAGCCUCUCAGGCUAAAAUAAAAUAUGUAUGUAUUACACUCGUCAUAUCCCUUGUAUGAAUUUUCUUGAAACAACAAAGACAAAUAGAAAUUCACACAAGGCUACGACGCUUGCGUUUAACACUCACGUCGCACCAUAAUGGAAUUUUACCUCAUUAUGGUGGAAAAGACGAUGUAUAUAUACGCGCAUAUCCCCUAUAUAAAUUCUUAUAUUUAUAUAAGACUACGACGAUUGCGUCUAACGCUCACGUCGCACCAUAAUGGAAUUUUACCUCAUUAUGGUGGAAAAGCACGUAUAGCUAGCUAGCUAGCAAUAUUUCUUUAUAUACAUAUUAUUCUCAUAAUCAUCCAAAUAUGGAUACAUAUAUAUACUCAGCAAAAUUCUCAAUUUUGGUUAUUCUCUAACAACGUAAAUUAUUUUGCAUGCACAUUAUUUAAAACAAAAAUCCCCUCACAAAAUAGGCCUAAGCCUGAUGUCGAUCCGAGGCCUCUUCUGCUCGAACCUCCUCACAUCCUGUUCUAAAUUUAAAAUUAAAUUGCCAACCAAAAAUCCAUUACUUACUCAAAAAUAGGCAAAUUAAACAUGAGCCGUAACCACGCUCAUUCUCGCCUAACUUCGAUAUUCCUAAAUCGAAACGAUCCAAAACUUUAAUACCAUACUCGGCAGCCAUAAAUACAACCUCCCCCAGAAUAACGACUUAAAUCCUACGGCCGGAUUCCACAUUAAUUAACCGCAAAAAAUACCAAACUUCAAAAAUUCUCAAACCUAUCCAAAACUCAUCCAAAAAUUUCAUAAUUUACAUCAAUAAACACCUUUUAAUAUUUCACAUUUAAAACCAUAAAAAUCUCCCAAACAGCGGCGGCGACGCCGCCAGCUCCGCCGGCAGCAGCGGCCGGAGGCCGACUUCGGCGACCUCCAAUGCCUAUGAAAUUUUGACAGCAUCUUCCUCUCAACUCACUCUACAACUUCCUUAACUAGAACAACACCUCAUUCCAAGCCUAACUAGGUCAAUCGAACGAAAACAUUCAUAAGUCCCUAGAACUUCAAUUAAACAUCUCUCCUUAUCAAGACCGAAUUAUGACGAUUCCUUGUAAGGGAUCACUAACCCUGAUGAGAGCUACAAAAUGAGCUAAGAAUCACGAGCUAUGGUGGCCGGAGGUGGAAGCUCCGGUGAAGGGCAGCCCGACGUCUCCGGUGGAAAAUCUCCCGAUCGGCGGCGUUACCGGCGCGGCCACUAGGCCGGGAAGAGAGAGGAGAUGUGUCAGGACCUACCCCGGAUUUCCCCUUGAAAUCCGGAAUAAACCCUGCGGGACCCACCUCAAGGGAAAUUCUAUCAAAAUUUUGGCAUAACCUCCCUUGAAAAUGAGUAACCCUACCUGAAAGAAAAAUCAUCAAAGCCCAUACACUUCUAAAACAAUUUAAUCCACAUCUUCUGGAGCCAUCUGUUCCCCCAAUAAACAUCCACCACCUCAACUCACAUAAUAAAUCGAAAUAAUUUCAUGAAUUUAAUCUCUCAUAUAACAUGCCAAAUAAACCUUUUUCAACACUCUUAGGUGGAGUCACAAGCUCUUAACUCACAACAUUAACAACAACAACACUUAAAACAUCCCAAGGUUAUCAGAACAACUACUAGGAAAGAAGAAAAUACAUAGGUAGGUUAACUAGUAACCUAUGAGAGAAAACUGGAUGAGGUGGGAAAUAUGACAUGCCUCCUACUCUCGCCGAACAGAGCUCUGCAGACUGGGCAUUUAAAACGAAAGGCCCAGGGGAAAGCAUUUAAAACGUUAGAGUGAGUGGACAAAAUAAAUAAUAAAAAUACGGACUUAAUGAUAGAACAUUAAAUCAAUUUAAUGCUUUUCCCAUAUUUUCCAUUGAGAAAAUAUUUAUGCAUGCCAUUCUUGGAAAUCUUUUCGGAAAUAAUUAUAGACAAAACUAAUGAACCAAUCCCAUUGGUUCCCAAUAAAUCAAUAAGAAUAGGGAAGAGGUUUCACCAUAACAAUGAGCCUCCCAAGCUAUAAUAGCGUAUAAUAGCGUCCCACGCUAAGCGCUCUACUCACAUAUGAUGAGGACCGCUUAUAAAGUUAUAAUAGCGUCCCGUCCCAUGCUAAGCGCUCAACUCUCAUAUGAUGAGGACCGCUAAAUAAUGGCUAGCUAACAAUAAUUAUAUAUAUAUACCGAUCGGUUGCCUCCCAAGCUAUAAUAGUGUCCCACGCUAAGCGCUCUACUCACAUAUGAUGAGAACCGCUAAUAAGACUAUAAUAGCGACUCACAUAUGAUGAGGACCGCUAAUAAGGUUAGCUAGCAAUAAUCUAUAUAUCAACCAUUUUAUGGUGAAGUACAAUAUUAAAAUAAAAUGAUCCACACUUUCCCAAAUAAAUUAUAAUAAACUCAUAGCGCACAGUACAGCCGUCCCACGUGUCAACUAAAAUUAGCAAGAGUUCCGGAAAAAAUUAAGUGGAACUCGAUAAUCCAACAAAAUAUUAUAUCUCCAAAUGCCUUUGAAAUUAAAUAACUUUCGCGCAUGCAUGAUAUUAAAAUCAAAGGUCCACUCACAGUGCUCGGCUAUGCUUGCUGACGGCCCGAGGCUUCCUCCAAAUGAUCCUCCUCACGUCCUGAAUAAUCAAUAAUCAUUAAGCCUCCAAAUCAGGACAAAACUUUAAUAAAAUUUCCGAAAUAAAAAGGAAGCCUAUAAUUUCUUUUCUCUUGCCCAACUUCUCCACUUUUUACCUAAUAAGGCUCACAUUACUCCGCACUUACCGAAAGCCAUAAAUUAACCUUUUUAGAUUUUAAAACCUGCUAAACCAACUGCCGGAUUUCCAUUCGACUAACCGUCUAAAUCUUUUAUCAUUGAUAAAUCCCAAAUCUUAUCAAAUCUCCUCCAAAUAUUCCCAACUAUACUUCAUUAAACUCCUCUCAUUCAAACAAACCCAAAAUCAUGAAAAACUGCCCCUAAGGGGCGGCGGCCGGCAACCGGAUUCCGGCGAGGGCCAAUGCUUCUCAAAUUUUCACAGAAUAUUCCUCUCAUCAUGCUCAACAACAUUCAUAACUAGCACUUAGUCCAUUUCUAAAGCUAACUAGGGCAAACGAAUCAAACUUCCAUAAAUCCCUAAAAACUUCAAUUAUACAUUUCUCCAUAACAACAACGAAAUAGACUAAUUCUUUUUUAGGGAAUACUCACCUUGAUGAGAGCUACAAGAUGAGCCAAAAAUUGCUGGGGGUAGUAUACAUGAAAGAUAGGAGUUGCUCUUAAGAGGCCUAUACAUUUCCAUCCAUUGAGGGAACAAUUUAAAAAUAUGAUAUGACCAUAAGUUAAAUGAGAGCAUCCUUCUUCAAUUCUACCAUCAUCAUCUUCUUCAAAACCUUGUGAAAGAAAGAAAUAAUUUCUGAAAAAUUAAUCCACAGAAUUCUAGAGUGGUUGCUCACUCAAAAUUAAAAUGAUCUAUAUAUGGAUAUAUACUAAAACAAAAGCUCCAACUUAUUCGAUACAAUAAUCAUAAAACUCAAUUUCCUAUCACAGCAAUCCACAUUGUGCUAACAAUUCCAAUCACAAAGACUCCAACUUUUUGCAGAUUCAUCGAAAACCCAGAAACAAAAACGCAUAACUCACAUCAUCAAGCUAUCAAACACUUCAAUUCAGCUAGAGAAGCAAACCUAACAAUCUUUAACAACUCAUCUAAGUCCUUAUCGUAUUCGAAUUGGCACGAAAAAUGCAUAAUACAAAAUCCACUUUCUUCCCAGUUCCAACAUCUAACCUUUAUUUUUUCUUCUACAUUUCUACCAGUAAUAAACCUAAAAGUCUAACAUGUGGCUUCUUCGCAUUGACCUUCUACCAAAAUCAAUAUAAAAUUUCUGCCAAAAUCAAUACAAAAUUUCAAUCAAACUAUAAGAUCUCCUUUAUUUCUUCUCUUUCUCGUAAAUAAAGCCAAGCAAUGUAAUGUUUGAUCAAAUUAGAAUCAAACAAAUUGAAACUAACAGAAUUAGGAAUGAUGCCAUCCAAAAUUUCUUGUAAACUCAAAUAUUAAUCCAACAUAUUUUAUACCAAUAGCUCAAUUUUCAAUCUGAUCGAAAUGAAGAAAUUGAUGCGACCAAUCGAUUUUAGUUCAUCACCGGAGAUCGUGAAGUGCUCGGAGUUCCAUACCUCUCUAGAGAUCGAGUCGUACCUCAAUCGGGAUCGCCAAGCGCGGCACUAAGCUUGCAUUGCCUUCCUACUCGGAUCCUCAAAGCCAUCGAGCAUGGCAAGGCUCGAAUUGUCUCUAAGUUUCUGGAGUCUGAGAUCAUCGUCGGCGGCCAGAGGCUUCUAUGGCCCAGAUCCAAGAGAAAGUGACACUACCAGGACAAGCACUUUAGCUGACGAAAAAUUUUCGUCGGCCUGUUAGCUUAAUUCGUCGGCUAAGAUUUCGUCGGGAAAAGGUCGUCGGUGAUGACUUUAGCCGACGAAAAAAAAAAUUUCGUCGGCUAUAGUCCCGCAGUUUAGCCGACGAAAAACAUGUCGUCGGUUUUUUUCCCAGACUUUAGCCGACGAAACAAUUAAGAUAUUCGUCGGCUAAAGUCUGUAAUAAAAAAAUUUUUCCCAGACUAUAGCCGACGAAACAAUUAAGAUAUUCGUCGGCUAAAGUUUGUAAUAAAAAAUUUUUUCCCAGACUAUAGCCGACGAAAUAUAGUAUGUUUCGUCGGCUAAACCUUAUAAAAAAAUUUAAAAAAAUAACUAUAGCCGACGAAAUAUAGUCUGUUUCGUCGGCUAAACCUUAUAAAAAAAUUUAAAAAAUAACUAUAGCCGACGAAAUAUGCCAUAAUUCGUCGGCUAAACCUUAUAAAAAAAUUUAAAAAUACUAUAGCCGACGAAAAAACCUUUAAAUAUCGUCGGCUAAACCUUUAAAUAUCGUCGGCUAAAGUUGCUGGUUUUUGAAAAAAAAAACUGCAGAAAUUUUCGGCCACUUCCAAUCACCACCAAAAUUUGACAGAAUCUUCCUCUCAACAUUUCGAACAACUUUCUAGAAGAAGUCGAAGCCCAAUUCUAAGNNNNNNNNNNNNNNNNNNNNCGUCGGACUCCCAAGGGGGGUGGAUUGUAAUAUCCCACAUCGGCCAAACGGAGAGGGGUUAUGUGCUCUAUAUGUACAUGCCCACCACCAACCUAAUACGAAGCUGCUCCUGAGCUGCCGGAAACAAAGCGGACAAUAUCGUGUUACGGCGGAGCGGGUCCCGGGAUGUGACAACAAUAGUCAAUCGGACACCAAAAACCAAAUCUGCAGCAUAGUGAAUAAUAAGGGUAAAUUGCAUUGACCUCAACUAUCGGCACCGAGGCUUUACCGGAAUACCGUGAUUUUUCAACCGUGGACGUAUUUCACCAUUCUGGUCAUAUCUUAUUUCACGACUUUUUUGCGUUUGAAGGUUCUACGUAUAGUUUUUUUUUCCCAAAUGAGUUGUUGUCCAGAUCUGCAAAUACAAUAUAAGGCACUUUAGCCGACGAAAUUAUAUUUUUCGUCGGCUAAACUUUUAAAAAUUUCGUCGGCUAAAGUUCACAGACUAUAGCCGACGAAAAAAUUUAUUCAGACGACGAAAUUUUAAUUUCGUCGGCUAAAGUUGACCAUAGCCGACGAAGGGAAAUUUCAUCGGCUAAAGUGGACUUUAGCCGACGAAAAAAUAAUUCGUCGGCCUGGUUUUUUUAUUUUCGUCGGCUAAAGUCUUUCUUCUGGUAGUGUGAGGUCGCGUCGUCUUCCUCAACGUCGCCUUGACCCCGCGGGUGAUAACUCGCCGGGGCCAGAAGUGGACGUUGACAACGAGAACGACGUUCUGACCGAGGAGGGAGAGAGAGAGAGAGGGAGAUGAAUGUCAGACGAUGUAGAGAGAAAGAUAUGAGAUGAGGGUAAUUUGGUCAGGAAAAAAACACAAAAGGUUAAAAGUUUUGUUAGUGGGAAUAUAUCUUAAGAGUUUAUAAGGUUGAUGAUAAUUUUAGAAUCUUAUUUUGUUAGUGAGAAAAAAAAAUAUUAAAAUUAGGGUUAAUGAGAAUUUUCCCUUUAUUCUAACUUGGAACCCUAUCAUUAUAUGGGAUUAGGAUUCUUAUUCCUGAAACAUAAUCUCAUUUUAACUUGAAAGCCUAUCACUAUAUGGAAUCAUGAUUCCUACUCUUGUGAGCGUUAGACCAAGAUACACAAAGUGAUUAUUUUAUAACAUUUGUUGAAUGAGUGCGGCUAUUGGGACCUCCAAAUUUACUCAGUAUACCUCUCAUUCUCUCUACACCUCCAUUUUACUUUUAAAUACAAACAUUUUCUCAUUAGACAUCCUUUCAAAUUCCUAAAAUAGUCUUGUUUAUGUAAUUCACAUAUAUAUUAGUAUAUUACUCAUUACACCUCUUAUUCACUCACUAUACCUACCAAUUCUUUUUUUUCUUUUGCAUACGAACAUCCAUUCCUGACUUCCAUUCUUUAAUUUUUUUUCUUUUUNNNNNNNNNNNNNNNNNNNNUUUUCGUCGGCUAAAGUCCUUUGAAAAUUUUCCUCCAAAUUUGGUUUACCGCCCCAAAAAUUUUUGACCUUAGCCGACGACUUUUUUAAUAUCUCGUCGGCUAAAGUCUAUAAAUUCACGAAAACGCUCAUAUCUCCCUCUAUAUUACGUAGUUUGGUCAAACCUUCCACACGAAAAACUUUCACGUAGAUGAGACGCAACCGCCUAUAUAAAAAUUUUGAGACAUUUGCCUUCCGACGAUAAGGCUCACUAUAGGGAAUAAUAACGGUAAAUAGGGUUGACCGCUACUAUCGGCACCGAGACUUUACCCGAUUUAAGUGAUUUUUGAACCAUAGCCGUAUUUAACCAUUCUGAACACAUCUUAUUUCACGAGAUUUUUGAUAAUUUUGCUUCCUAUAUAGAGUUGGUUCACAAAGUUGUAUAACCUACUAAACCAAAAUUCGACCGUCAGAUAUGAUCAUUAUGACGAAAGAUGUCUAUGGUAAAAAAUUCAACUGGAUCCGACAACGUUAAGAACUCAAUCAAAACGGGUAACCCUAAUCCAUCGUCACUUAUCACACGAAAACGCUCAUAUCUGCCACUAUAUUACAUGGUUUGGUCAAACCUUCCACACAAAAAACUCUCACGUAGAUGAGAUGUAACUGUCCAUAUAAAAAUUUUGAGACAUUUACCUUCCGACGAUAGGGCUCCCCAUAGGGAAUAAUAACGGUAAAUAGUAGACACAUUGUGAUUCCGAUGACUAAAAUUCACAAAUCAAAAUUCGACCCUCAAAUAUGAUCAUUAUGACGAAAGAUGUCUAUGGUAAAAAAUUCAACUGGAUCCGAUAACGUUAAGGGCUCGAUCGAAACGGUCAACUCUAAUCGGAAAUAAGAAAACUGCAUUUUGAAGCCCUAAACGAAUUCGGAUGGCCAAAAAGGCCCAUACAUCAUGGCAUUAGCAAUGAGUUUGACUCAUAGAGUCGUUACGCUUUCAGAAAGGUAUCACAAUUGUAAUAUCCCACAUCGGCCAAACGGAGAGGGGUUAUGUACUGUAUAUGUACAUGCCCACCACCAACCUAAUACGAGGCCUUUUGGUGGCUCAGCGGCUUCGGAGGGGAUGGGUACUCCGAGGUUAAGCAUGUCGAUGCGAGAGCAAUCCCAGGAUGGGUGACCUACUGGGAAGCUGCUCCUGAGCUGCCGGAAACAAAACCGUGAGAGCCGGUGGGCCCAAAGCGGACAAUAUCGUGUUACGGCGGAGCGGGUCCCGGGAUGUGACAAAUGGUAUCAGAGCCACUCUGCCGUGUGGUGCGAGUGUGCCGACGAGGGCGUCGGACUCCCGAAGGGGGGUGGAUUGUAAUAUCCCAC
RNAcentral lists this long non-coding RNA (217125 nucleotides) under Fragaria vesca (wild strawberry). RNAcentral's name for it is "long non-coding RNA (FVES_LNC003009)". Lineage: Eukaryota; Viridiplantae; Streptophyta; Magnoliopsida; Rosales; Rosaceae. The record is from RNAcentral.